RNAcentral lists this long non-coding RNA (180384 nucleotides) under Citrus maxima (pomelo). RNAcentral describes it as "long non-coding RNA (CMAX_LNC003046)". The stretch from base 128918 to 129021 matches the Rfam family "Plant small nucleolar RNA R71". Lineage: Eukaryota; Viridiplantae; Streptophyta; Magnoliopsida; Sapindales; Rutaceae. The record is from RNAcentral.
CAGAUUCUUGUGCCUAUUGCAAAUGGUUCAGAGGAGAUGGAAGCUGUUAUGAUAAUUGAUAUUCUGCGACGAGCUAAAGCAAAUGUUGCAGUUGCAUCAGUUGAGGAUAAACUAGAAAUUCUGGCUUCGUCAAAUUAAAUUAGUGGUAGAUGUGCUCAUUGAUGAGGCGGCUAAACUUUCGUAUGAUUUAGUUGUCUUGCCAGUGAGUUGGGGUGCUUACUCUUGCUUCAUAGUCUUUACCACAUUAUUGACUUACUAACUACAAUUUAUCCAUGCACAUUGCACAGGGUGGACUUGGUGGCGCUCAAGCAUUUGCGAAGUCAGAUAAAUUGGUGAAUAUGCUAAAGAAGCAAAAGGAAUCAAAUAGACCUUACGAUGCUAUAUGUGCAUCCCCAGCUUUAGUGUUGGAGCCCCGUGGCUUACUCAAGGUACGACCAUUUCUGCUUAAAUUAUUUACUCAGAUUUGGAUCACCUAAUCUGAACUUGAUGAGAGAUUAUGAUGUUGUAUGAUUUUAUGAAUGUGGUCUUAUCUCAUGUAAGUCAGUGAUGAAUUAAUUGGAGUUUGUUGACAAAUUAGAAGCUGAAAAACUGCUGCUGCUUCGUUAGUUACAUUACCCAAAGAGUUAAAAUUAACAUCACAAAUUUGUUAUCCCAAAUGAUAUGGCAUUUAUUGAGUGAUUGGUAUUAAUUGUAUUAUCUAACCCACCAACAGAUGAAUGCCGCACCAUUUGAGACGAUCUUUUGGGAUAAAAAAUUUGGGAAGUGCAGCAAAUUUUUAUGCCGAUUUUUUUUGGCUUCAUUCAUGUAAACUCCUCCCCCCCCCCCCCCAAAAAAAAAGGAAAACCAGCAAACACCAAAAAAAAAAAAUUCUGAAGUACUUCCCUUAAUAUCAUUCCUGUGUAUUUCUUUUCCCCUCAAGACAUAUUUAACUUUGGUUCAGGGUAAAAAAGCUACAGCUUUUCCUGCCAUGUGCAACAAGCUGUCAGAUCAGAGUGAAAUCGAAAACAGAGUUGUGGUUGAUGGCAACCUCAUCACCAGUAGAGGGCCAGGAACUUCAAUGGAGUUUGCACUGGCAGUUGUGGAGAAGUUUUUUGGCCGCAACAAGGCACUUGAGCUUGCAAAGAUAAUGCUUUUCACUCGCGCCUAACGUUUGUACCGGGACCUGACUACUAUUAAACUAGUGUGUUUAUUUCUGUAUUACUACUGCUUGUAGAGAGGGGAAACGGAAACUUGAAUUCAUGUUUGAAUAUGGAUUCACUGUGUCGGUUUGUACAGCAGUUUGGUUUAUAAAUAAAUGAGUUCAUAGAGUCAUUUCAAAUAUUUGGAAUAAACCUGAGUUUAGUUCUGUUAUCAAUGGUCGGAGUCCAAUUGCGAUCGACUCACUGGGAAUUUUAAUUAUGACCACCUUUCUCAUAUAUAUAUAUAUAUAUAUCAAAUGUUAACUCGAUUUACAGGAUAAGAAGGAAAAGAAAGACGUUAAGAGAGGAGCAGAGACCCAAAAAGAGUUGACCACUUUGUUGGAGCAUAAAUCUCUAGAAUAUUGAAAUAAAACACAUACCAUAUCUAGUAUUAAGUAUGUAUAUGCAAGAAGAUACAAAUUUGAAGAUCAGAUUUCUCAUUUCAAUUUAUGUUCUGCUUAGAGCAAUGGCUCUCAUUCCACAAGCACAAACAGGAAAGAGUACGCAUGAAGUUAGGAAACAAACAUAGCAAAAUUUGCAUUAACUACUUGCAGCAACAUCAUCCAAGAACUUGACUUUAAUCUUCUUGAGCUUCGCUGCAGCAUCUGUCAUAUGCAUUCUCUUGUCAGGUGACUCCAUACAACAAUCCAAAGCCAAAUCCAUGAUGCUUAAUAAACAAUCCAUUUUGGCAGAAAAAGCUUGCUCUUCUCGCACCAAAUUUGUGUCAACAACUUCACUCAAUCUGUGAGGUAAUGACUCCUUUACCCAUCUCCUUAAACUCAUUUCUCCUGUGAACAUUUCAUCGGUGGGCCUCUUUCUCGUGAAAGUUUCCAUCAAUAACACACCAUAGCUGUAGACAUCGCAUUUGGCUGAAACAAUUCCUUCUGAUCCAUACUCUGCAUUUUUUAAUUUUAAUUAUGAAAAAAAUGAUAAAACAAAUAAUUUUUUGAUAAUUAAGGUAACCCAAACUUUGCUCGUGCUUGAAAAAAGAGUAAAAAUUUUAAUUACAAUUGAAACUUUACCUGGUGCCAUAUAACCAAUUGUAGCCAUUGUCGUGGUUUGUGUCACAGAAUCUUCUCCUUCACCUAAGAGUUUGGAAAUGUGCCACCAUAUUUUCAUCCAAGAGAAUGUUGGUAGGCUUCAAAUCACAGUGAAUUAUAGGUGCCGACGAAUGACCAUGACGGAGAUAUUCAAGAGCCGACCCCACAUCUAUCAUUAUAUUCAACCUCUCUAGAAUGUCUAAGAAAUAGUUGUGAGAAUACAACCACUUCUCUAGACUACCAUUCGGCAUGAACUCAAGUACCAAUGCUUUGAAAUCUGGAUUAGAACAACUGCUAAUGAUCUUUAUGAGAUUUCGAUGACGAACAUUCCGUAAAACUUCACAUUCAGAAUCAAAACUCCUAAAUGCUCUCUCUAGUUGCAGAUUGAAAAUCUUUAUCGCAACAUAAGUCCCGUUGGAAAUGGUUCCUUUAUAAACUGAUCCAAAGCUACCUGUACCCAGCAAGUUACAUUCAUUAAAUUCAUCAGUUGCUCGUUGAAUGUCUAGGUACGAUGUUCUUCUCCAUGUUGCAAGAGGUAGGAAAUCUUCGUGAUCUGAUUUUUUUGUACUCCUCUUUCGGCAUCUUAUGUACAUAAUGAUGAUAAUUACUAUAAGUACAGAGGAUACUAUCGGAGGCAAAAUAUAUUUAAGGACAAUUAGAGCAACGUUCUUGGUGCUUUUGCUGUCACCUUGUUUGCAAGGUGGGACUCGGAGUUUAGGUGGACCACAGAGUGCAUAAUUUUUGAAAAAUGAUUCAACUGACAAGUUUUUAAAAGAUCCCUUAACAGGAAUUUACCCUUCUAGCCUAUUAUGAGACACAUUAAAUUGUUUGAGAUGUGAAAGUGUCUCCAAUGACUUGGGAAUUUUUCCAGAGAGAUUGUUGCCGGAGAGAUCUAAGGAUUCUAAGCUUAUCAAACUGCCAACUGAUUCAGGAAUAGGUCCUUGAAAUUGAUUACUAGCCAAGGAUAGAAUUUCUAGAUCUACGAGGGCACCAAUAGUUGAUGGAAUAUCACCUGAUAAUUGAUUCCUUGAUAAAUCUAAAACUCUCAAGACCUUUAACUUUUGUAUAUUGGAAGGGAGAGAAUCAUUUAAUGAAUUUGACGACAAGUUUAUCAUCAGGAUGUACUCAAGGCUCCACAAGGAUGACGGUAUACUAGAACUGAGCUUGUUGGAGCCUAAGUGGAGUUCUCUUAGAGAUGUCAAACUCGCCAGGCACGGUGGUAUAUGUCCAGAGAGCUUAUUUCCACUUAAGUUUAAUAUAUUCAACCUCUCCAAAUGGCAAAGAUCAUGAGGAACGUAUCCUUGCAAAUUAUUCUCAGGGACAUAAAAACCUUGUAGCUGCUGUAGUGUGCCUAUGGAUGUUGGAAUAGUUCCAUUCAAGUCAUUGAAGCCGAGUCUUAAGGCGAUCAAGCCACGUAAAUUACCAAUUUCUUAUGGAAUGCUGCCCCCGAGCCUGCACUCGAAUGCAUAAAUAUUCUGAAGAGAAGCAGAGAAAUUUCCAAUUAAUUGUGGAAGGAUGCCACCUAAUGGAUUAGAAGCUAAGGCUAAAUUGGAUAGAUUUCUGCAAUUAGUCAAAGAAGAGAGAAAACUCCACUGAUCUGCUGAAGAGGAUUCUGUCGUCAAGUUAUUCAUCAUAACGUUGAGCACGCUGAGGUGUCUCAAGUUGCCAAAUGUAUUUGGAAUAUGGCCCGAGAAUGAGUUAAAGCCCAAGUCUAGGCCAAUGAGUUUAGUAGCAUUGGUAAUAGAGUUGGGAAUUUUCCCUAUAAGAUUAUUGGUCGACAAGGCUAGAUACUCUAUGUUCCGAAGCGAGUGGCCAAUCGUUGACGGUAAGCGGCCUGAGAGUUGAUUGCUCUCUAGAGUAAGGAUUCUCAUGGUUGAAAUAUUGAAGAUCGUGGGUGGAAUGAGGCCACUUAAUUUAUUAUCAGCAAGAUCAAGAUUCUUCAAAUUUUGUAGACUGCCAAUCUCGGUUGGAAUUUGACCUGCCAUCAGGCCAACAUUGAGAAGUCAUUGAGCUUUUAACUUAAGGUGAAUUGAGUUUGACAAUGUUACCCUUCAAAAUGUAAAAUGAUCAAAUUAAAUUUAUUACAUAAUAAUUUCAGCCAAUAAUGUUCUUUAAAAUAUUUCAUAGAUAACUCUGCAAAAUAUGCACGCAAAUGGAAAAUUAUGCUUUAAUUACAAGAGGUGGUGGAACGUACCUUGAAGAUUGCAAGACCAAAGACCCAGAUUCACGAGUUUUCUCAAAUUUCCAAUCCUUGAAGGAAUAGUUCCACCAAUAAUAUUGAACUCUGCACGCAGCAUCUCUAGCCUUGAUAAGUUGAAGAGAGAAUUAGGGAUGGGACCUGUGAAAUUGUUAUAAUCAAGUCUCAAUAUUCGAAGUUUAGAUAAGACACCAAUCCAUGAUGGAAAGCUUCCGCUCAAUUUAUUGUAAGCGAGACUCAUGACUCUGAGUCGACGUAAUUGCCCCAAUUCUUUCGGCAGAUGGCCAUGAAAAUUGUUCUCACUGAUGUCAAGAGACACUAGAAAUGAGAGAUUUCCGAAGUGUAGUGGAAUCGUGCCUCCGAGACCCAUAUCUGAAAGAUUCAAGGCAGUGACUCUUUGAUGGCGUGAACCACAAGAGAUACCAGCCCAGCUACAUAUUGGAUAAGAUAUAGACCAAUUAUUUGCCAGGGCACUCCGAUAAUCAAAAGCAUGGGCUUUGAAUGCUAGAAGAGAUGAUUGAUCUGUUGUUAAAUCGUUUAAAGUCGUCAUAGCUAAGCUGGCAAUGAGAUAUUGUAACACCAACAUAGGAACAAACAAGAAUAUAAACGCAUAUUGGUCGUUUUUAAUAGUAGUUGCAAGGCGAGAUUGAUACAAGUUUUAAGUGAAGGAAAUUAGCAUAUACUUAUAAUGAGACAUAUGAAUUUGAAAAUAAGAGCAGAAAAAAAAUACAGGAGACUUGCGAAUUGUUAUAUUCUCUCAUUGAGCGAGCCGUCCAAGAAAACGCAUUUAUACUUGAACCCUAAAUAAAGGCCUUAUGGCACUUUAAUUGCCAAAAGGAAGAAGAUGUUCUUUUUCUAAGGCUUAUGGCAACCAUAAUAUGUUCUUUUUCUUUUCUCUAAAAAGAAAAAAAAAAAAAAAAGGCAACCUUCACUUGACUUGGUCUAAUAAUUAUCACUAAACAAUUAAUAAUACUAAGGGUCAGUGGCAUCCAGCUUUAAAAUAACGACAUAAUUGGGGUAAGUUGUGUUUUAGAAAUAAAGAAAAUAGAUAACUAUACCUCCAUAAUUUGAUGAAAUAAUCAUAUAGACUUUCAAAUUUUUAAGAAUGGAUACUAAAACCCUGUUAUGUUACUUUCUACAGUUUAUUUAGAUGUCAAAUGCCUUUUUUUUUUUUCUCCUUUUUUCCACUGUGGAUGUCAAAUGUAAAAUUUAUUGUUAUUCCAAUAUCAUGUCAUCACUUGCUUCUAUACAUGGAACGAUAUAUUGACUGUUUUUCCAAAGUUUUAAAUUGAAUUAAAAACAUUCUAAUUAACCUUUAAAAAAAAGUCAUCCAACCAAAUAUAAAUCUUCUAAUUAACCUAAAAAUAGCUACGCCCCCUAUUAAUUUGAAUUAAAUAAAUCUUCAUUUUUGUCAUGAUUUUGGAUCGCCAAUGGGGUGGAUAUAUCCAACCAGAUCCGCCUCAUUGGCAUUCCUAUAUAUUCUGGAAUUGGAAGAGUAUCAACGACUUAAUGUGUAAUUCUAAAUUUGUAACGUUUAAUUCUAAUUUGAGGAUUCAAAUGAAUUUAUGAUGAUCUAAAAGGGGACUGAAGAUUGGCAUGCAUACACACAUACACACAUACAUAUAUGUAUAUAUAUAUAGAGAGAGAGAGAGAGGGGUAAUAUAAUAACAUUCUUCUUGAUGAAGAUUUUUGUGCCAUACGAAUUAAAUAAAGUGUUGUGUCGACGUUCGAGGCUAGAUUGGUUACAUUGCUUCAGAGGUGUUUAGUAGAAACUUUGUUGAGGCAUCACAUAAUUGAAAUUACUAGAUUUAGCGAGAUGUAUAUAUUUUCCACAUCUUCGAGCAGGUGUUUAGCAGGAUAAGCAUCGAGGAAAGUGAAAUUGCUAAGAAGAUGAAUAUUGUUGUUUUGUGGUGUAUACGGACUCGUCCAUCGGAUAGGUCGCCCAUGAACAGAGUGAUAGAAAUGUUAUUGCAAAGAAGCAGACUGACUAGCAGUGACGCUUUGAAAAGUCCACCGGACAUCUUCUCCUCCAAGACCACCAAUAUAUUCUUCCACCAUUCAACGUCGUGACGUGGGGAUCGGAAUUAAAUUAUAGGAUGCUUGUAAGUUUCCUUUGUGGAACUUGUGAAUUUGUGAUGGCAAAAGUCGAUGAUGUAUGCAACUAGCCGGCCCGUGUAGAGUCCGUUUGACUCAUAAAUAUUUGUCACUUUCACUCUUUUUCAAAACCCAAAAGCACGCUAAAUCUUAAUCUUAAAACAAUUUUUGAUUGAGUGCUGACAUUUUGGGCUUAUCUUUAAGUAAUCUUAUACCACGCAUGCAUUUUUGUCGUUGUGCGGUCAUCGUUACUUCUAAAGAUCGUAAUCUUUAAGAAAAAAAUUACUUCUCUUGAAAGUGAAAGCAGGGCAGCUAUUGGCGUAUUGCAAUGCAGCUGCUAUGUAUAGUAGUCAAUUCUUGAAAAGAACUAGUUUUCUUAAAUUGUAAAUGGUCCCCUUUAUGACUGGGAGAUUUUGAACAAAAUGAAUAUGAUGAAUUCUUUCCUUGAAGUCUCAUCUUUCAUAAUGAUUUGGAAAUAAAGAUAUUACCAUCUCUGGCUAAAUGUUUACUCUUGAUUUGGACCACCUAAUCUGAACUUGAUGAAAGAUUAUGAUCUUGCCUUAUUUUAUGGAUGUGGUCUUAUCUCACUAAGUCAGUAAUGAAUUAAUUAAAGUUUACUGUCAAAUUACGAACUCAAAAACUGCUGCUGCUUCAUUAUUCACAAUACCCAAAUUCAGUGCAGAACUUAUUAUAAGUUUUCCGAAAGUUUUAUGCUUUCUUUCCCCCAAAUCCCAAGUGCUUCCUGUAAUAUCAUUCCCCUGUAGAUGUCUUCUCCUAAGACAUGUUUAACUUUGGUUCAGGGUAACAAAGCUAUAGCUUUUCCUGCCAUGUGCAACAAGCUACUAAAUUGGAGUAUUUAUGAGUUGAUAACAAGCCAUUUUAAAUAUUUGCACCAAAAAAAAAAAAAAAGGUGAGUGAUGUCGAGUUCUAAUUUCAAUGUUCAGAGUAGAAUUUUGAUUACUGGAAAUUUUAAUUUAUGAAGUUGAACUAAGAAUUUGUUAUAAUAUAUUCCACCUUCCUAUACAGUCAUCUGGAAUAAUAAUAUAUCAAAAACAGUAAUAAGUCGAUUUGCAGGGUAAGAAAGAAAAGAAAGACGCUACGAGAGAAGCAGAGAUUCAAAGACUUCACCACUUUGUUGGAGGAAAAAUUUCAUAAGUCUCCAGAAUAUUGACAUAAAACACAUACCAUAUCUAGCAUUAAGUGUAUUUAUAUAUGUCCAAAGAUAAAAAUCGAAGAUUAGAUUUGUCAUUUCAAUUUAUGUUCUGCUCAAAGCAAUGGCUUUUAUUCCACAAGCACAAACAAGAAAGAGUACGCACAAAGUUAACAAGCACACAUAGCAAACAUGACAUCAACUACUUGCAGCAGCAUCAUCCAGAAACGUCACUAUAAUCUUCGUAGAUGCCCCCUGUUCUGGUGAUUCCAUGCAAAAAUCCAAUGCCGAAUGCAUGCUGCUUAAUAAACAACUCAUUUUAGCAGAAAAAGCUUGCUCUUCUCUCACCAAGUUUGCAUCGACAACAUCACUCAAUGCAUGAGUUAAUGACUCCCUUACCCAGUCUCUUAAACUUAUUUCUCCCGUAAAUAUUUCAUUUGUCGGCUUGUUUCUGGUGAAAGUUUCCAUCAAUAAAACACCAUAACUGUAGACAUCACCUUUGGCCGAAAUCAUUCCUUCUAAUCCGUACUCUGCAUUUUUUUGUUUCAAUUGAUCAAAUAGAUGUGACAUCAUAAAACAAAUGAUAAACAAAUAAUCUUUUGACAGUCAAGAUGGCCCAAACUUUGACUGUGCUUAGAAAAGAGCGGAAAUUUGAAAUUAUAAUUGAAACCUUACCUGGUGCCAUAUAACCAGUUGUAGCUACUGUCAUGAUUUGGGUCACAGAAUUUUCUUCAUCACCUAAGAGUUGGGAAAUGCCAAACUCACAUGUGCCACCAUAUUUUCAUCCAAGAGAAUGUUGCUAGGCUUCAAAUCACAAUGAAUUACAGGUGCUGAUGAAUGAUCGUGAUGGAGAUAUUCAAGUGCCAGCUGCACAUCUAUCAUUGUAUUCAUCCUCUCUAGGAUAUCUAGGAAAUAGUUGUGAGAACACAACCAUUUCUCAAGACUACAAUUGAGCAUGAACUCAAGCACCAGUACUUUAGAAUCUGGAUCGCAACAGCUGCUAGUGAUCUUUAUGAGAUCUUGAUGACGAACAUUCCACAGUACUUCACAUUCAGAAUCAAACCUCCUAAAAGCUCCCUCUAGCUGCAGAUUGAAAACCUUUAUUACAAUGAUAGUCACAUCAUAAAGUGUGCCUUUAUAAACAUAUCCGAAGCUAUCCGUACCUAGCAGGAUACAUUCAUCAAGGGUGCGUUUGGGAUUGGGGUUGGGCAGCUGUAGCUUAAAAGCUACAGCACUAAAGUGUUUGGUAAACACUAACUGCUGUAGCUUUAAAGCUAUGUUGAUAUGAUUUUUCACUUGUAUAAUAUAAAAUUUAUUAUAUCUUUAAUAAUCUUAUCAAAAUUAGUAUUUAAAAUUUAUAUUUACUAUAUAUUAUUAACUUUUGUUUCAUAAUUACAGCUUUUUUUUCACAACAGCUGUAGCUUAAAAGCUACAGCACCUCAAUCCCAAACACACCCUAAAUCCAUCAGUUGCUCGUUGAAUAUCAUGAUAGGAUAUUCUUCUCCAUGUUGUCGAAGAGAACAAAUCUUCUUUAUCUGGAGUUCUUGUUUUCCUAUUUUGAAAUAUUAUGAAGAAUCAUAACAAUUGUUAUUAGUACAUUGGAUAUAAUUGAAGGCAAAGUAUAUUUCCGGACAAGCAGAGUAGCAUUCUUGGAUCCUUUGCUAUUAUCUUCUUUGCAAGGUGGGACUUGAAGUCUUGGUGGACCGCAUAGUGCAUAAUUCUCAAAAAAACGAUUGAGCUGAAAUGUUUUUAAAAGGUCCUUUGAUAGGAAUUCCCCCUUCUAGCUUGUUGUGAAAAUUUUAAUAUACUCGCAAGCACACGAAUUUAGAAAUAUAAUAAUGGUAACGAGGGCGAUCCCACGUGGAUUGUUAUAAAUUGAAAAGUUUAAUUUAAAUCUAAAAUUAAUAUUAAUCAUAACCUAGUUGAGCGAAUUGAGUUUUAAAAGAAAUUAAACUAAUUAAACUAAGAAAACAAUUAAAGUAAAUGAGAUUUCAAUAAGAUAAAAAUUACCAAGGUUUCAGAAUCCACCACUAUUCAACUAGUAAUUAUCUAAUUAUUAAUUAAUCCCUAAUUUUAGAGUGACAACUCGAAAUCAAUUUAUGUCAUCUCAUGGAUACAACAAUUAAGUCAAAUAAAAUUAAUCUUGUGUAGGUUCUUUUUCUGCUUAAUAGUAUGAUAUCUAAGUAUUCCAUGUAAACAUAUUGAGUAACAAAGAGUCAAAGUUUUCCUAAGUACUCUGUGUAAAUAAUUUAAUAAAAGACAUAGAAUCAAAGAUAAUCAUAUAUAAACUUUAUAGAUUCAAGCAUAGAUUUAAUCGAAUAUUAAUCGUAACAAUCAAUAAUACAUGACAGAAUUAAUGAAAAGAUUUUAAUAACAUCUAAUUAAUCAUGUAAAAUAAAAACCAUAAUCAUCAAAGAAUAUCUAUAGGGAAUUAAAUAAAUAAAAAGAUAAUUAUUUCAUUGAAUAGAGUUUCAUCCUUAAGCUCAGUAUAAGAAAAUUAACUAGACGUACUUAAAUAGGGAGCAACAAAAAAAAUAAAAUCAGCCAUGAAAAGCCGAACUGUUGCAGUCGGAUUUCUCCCUAAUCGCGUCUGCGCUUUUCUUUUCUUUUCCUCUGGCGGCUGCCCCUCCUCUCCAAAAGCCAAAAGCUUGCUUUUAUAUUUAGUCUUUAAAAUGGGCCCCACCUCUUAAAUUCUAAAAAGGGCUUGGCCCUUUUAUUUGCUUCGUCUUGCACGUGCACUCCACUUGGAAUUUUCACUCUUUUUUUUAACGCCAUACAAUUGCUUCUCACGUGAUGGCCAUAAUCUUCUUUAUCUUCAUGUGCAUGGAUGAAUGAACUUGUCUUGAAUUCACAUGCAUAUUUGCCUAAUUGCUCCUAAAAUCAAUCAAUUAAUACCUCCAAAAUUUAGCUCUUUUAUGUCCUUUUUUAUCCAUAAUCUCCAAUUAAUCCCCUACUCAAUAAAAUAAUUCAAUUAAUUAAAAAUAACAAAUAAAAAUAACUAGCAAUUAUAUAAUUAAGGGUAAAAUAUGUAUGUAUUAUAUACUCAUCAUAGCUUAUUGUGAGACACAUUACGUUGUUUAAGAUAUGAGAGUGCCUCCAUUGACUUUGGAAUUUCUCUAGAGAGAUUGUUGCUAGGGAGAUCCAAAGAUUCCAACCUUAUCAAACUACCAAAUGAUUCAGGGAUCAGACCAUAAAAUUGGUUUCUAGCCAAGGAUAAAGUUGCUAGAUCUUUGAGGCCACCAAUACUUACUGGUAUAUCAACUGAUAAUUGAUUUCUUGAUAAAUCAACUCUAUUAAGACCUUUAAGUUUUGUAUAUCUGAAGAUAGAGGACCACUUAGAGAAUUUGUUGACAAGUUUGCAUACAAGAUGUACUCAAGACUCCACAAGGAUGAUGGGAUACUAGAAGUGAGCGUGUUGGAGCUUAAAAAGAGUGUUCUUAGAGAAGUCAAACUACCCAAGCAUUGCAGUAUAUGCCCGAAGAGCAUAUUUUGAUUUAAAAAUAAACCAGUCAACCACUCCAAGCGGCAAAGAGUUAAAAGAUAAAAUGCUCUGUAGAUUUUGUUUGUUUACUUAGAAAACAGGAGAGAAAGUUUAUUGACUUAGAGAAAAUACAAAGCUCAACAUAUUCAUUAAUUACAAUACAACACUAUUUAUAUUAGUGUGUAAAAUCUUCUCAAGGUUACAAGUUUACAAAACUUGUGAGCACAGAUUCUGGUAUUCAUAACAAACUUUUGGAGGGAAGCUAAUUAGCUUUCAACUAACUGCAAAACUAACUUUCCAGCAUGGCUUGAUGACUCAGCAGAUGACUCAGCAUUUUAUUCUUAACAUGCCCCCGUAAGCUCAAGGUCGUGGACAGACAUUGAGCUUAGUUCGCAUAUAGGCAAAAUGAUCAAAGCUCAGAGGUUUUGUAAGCACAUCAGCUAACUGAUUAGAACUGGACACAUGCUCAAUGAAUAGCUGCUUAUUAGCUAUGUGUUCUCUGACAAAAUGUCAAUCCAAUUCUAUAUAUUUAGUUCUGGAAUGAUACUUAGGAUUGCUGACCAAAGCUUCUGCACUGUUGUUAUCACAAUGAAGAGCAAGAGGUUUGUGGAGUGAUACUUUGAGCUCUUUCAACAGAUAUGUAAUCCACAAAACUUCAGACAUAGCCAAGGCUAAAGCUCUAUACUCAGAUUCAACAGAUGAUCUGGAAAUAAUGUUUUGUUUCUUAGAUGACCAAGACACAAGGUUUGAUCCAAGAUAAACACAAUACCCUCCAAUAGAUCUCCAGUCAUCUGGAUCAGACCCCCAAUCUGCAUCAGAAGAUGCUAUGAGAAUUGGAGAGCUUGACUUGAAGAACUAAAGUCCAAAAUGUGUUGUACUCUGCAGAUAUCGUAACACCCUCUUGCAAGCCUGCCAAUGCAAAGUAGUUAGAGCAGCUAAAAACUGGCUCAAUUUAUUUACUGUGAAUGCAACAUCUGGUCUGGUCAGUGUCAGAUAUUGCAGAGAACCAAUGAUGCUUCUGUAAAGUGAAGAAUUUUCAAAUGUGCAGCCUUUGUCCUUCUGCAACUUAUCAGCAACACUGAUGGGUGUAUUACAACCUUUUUUUUUUUUUUGAGAAGGGUGUAUUACAACCUUUACUUCCAAGCAUUUGAGCUUUUCUCAAGAUAUCACCAACAUACUUAGUCUGAGAUAGAUGUAAUCCUUCAGCAGAUGGAGUCACUUCUACCCCAAGGAAAUAAUUGAAAUCUCCUAAAUCUUUAAGUGCAAACUCUGAGCUGAGUUGACUGAUAACCUCUGUAAUGUAAACAUUACUAGAGACUGUUAUUAAGAUAUCAUCUACAUAGACAAGGAUGAUUAGAACAUCACAUCCAAUAUGCUUAAAAAAUAAUGAGGUUUCUGACUUGGAAGACCUGAAACCCCACUGAACUAGAGAUCCUUUCAGCCUAUCAUACCAAGCCCUGGGAGCCUGUUUAAGACCAUAAAAGGCUUUAUGUAAUUUGCAGACAUGAUUGGGAAACUGGGAAUUGGUAAAGCCUUCUGGCUGAGGCAUAAACACAUCUUCAGUAAGCAUGCAAUUAAGAAAGGCAUUGUUAACAUCUGAUUGCCGAAUUGGCCAACAAUUCAUGACUGCUAAGCUGAGAACAAUACGAACAGUGCAGGGUUUAACAACGGGACUAAAGGUUUCAAAGAAAUCUACUCCAUAAGUUUGAUGAAACCCUUUUGCAACCAACCAAGCCUUAUACUUGGAAAUGCUGCCAUUUGGGUUAUACUUCACUCGAAAAACCCACUUAUUGCCAACAAGUUUUGUAGCUGUUUCAGCUGGAACUAAUGUCCAGGUGCCAUUUUUCUGCAAAGCAUUAUACUCAUCUUGCAUAGCCAUCUUCCACUUUGUAUCAACCAAGGCUGCUUUAACACUCACUGGUUCAAGGUCUUGGGUAGCUGUAAGGUAGGUCUUUGGUUUAAAAACACCAGAUUUGGCUCGAGUAACCAUUGGAUGAGUGGAAAUUAUAGGAUGAGGAGAUGGUUGUGAUUCAACAUAAGGAUUGGAUAAAGAAUUAUGUGAUGAAGAAUGUGGUCAUGAUGAGUUAGAGGAAUCUGAUAUUGGAGAGGGACAAUGAGAAUAUGGAGCUUGUUGAGGUUGUUGAGGUGAAUGUGAAGAUGGUGAUAUUGGUAACACUACUGAAGCAGGAGAUAUAGCAGAUGACUGAUGCAAGCCAUUGUCAUUGAGGAUACAAAUAGAUGGAGAGUAGGAUGAUAGAGACUCAGAGGAAGAUUCAGAUGAGAAGAACAACUCUGAGUAGGGAAAAUCAGACUCAUUGAAAAUAAUAUGAGCUGCAACAUAGACUUUGCCUGAUUUUGUUAGACAUCUAUACCCUUUGUGAAGAGGACUGUAUCCUAAGAACAACCUUUUUUUUUUAAUGAAAGUCAAGCUUGUGGUUAUUGUAAAGUCUGAUAAAAGGGUAACAAGCACAGCCAAAAACUCUGAGAAGUUGGUAAUUUGGUGGCUGAUUAUGAAGUUUUUGAUAGGGAGAUAAGUUGUUAAAUGUAGUGGUAGGCAUUCUAUUAAUGAGAUAAGAGGCUGUAUGAAAAGCCUCCCACCAGAAAGAAAUAUGCAUUUUUGCUUGAGCAAGAAGUGUUAAUCCAAUUUCAACUAAGUGUCUAUGCUUUCUCUCAACAACACCAUUUUGGUGAUGUGUAUAGGGACAACUAAAUCUAGCUUGGAUGCCUUCUUAUUGAAGAAAGGACUGAAAGAUUUUAAAUUCACCUAAGCUCUUAAAGUUUUUUAAAGUAGUAAGAGCAUAUGAUUUCAAUACUAAGGGAAAGAUCCAACAAUAUCGGGUGAAAUCAUCAACAAAGGAGAUAUAGUAUCUAUAACCAUCCAAUGAUAAGACAAGUGCUGGUCCCCAUAAAUUUGUGUGUAUCAAUUCUAAAGGACAUUUUGUUUUGAUUUCAGUAGCUGGAAAAUGCAAUUGGUGUAACUUUCCAAGUUGACAGGCAUCACAGAAAUGAAAAAUUGAUUUGUUAACAUGAACUGACAGUAAACAAUUGUUCCUGAGAAUAGUUUGUAUAACAUGUUUGCUUGGAUGACCAAGUCUGUUAUGCAAUACAUUAGCUGACAUAGAACCUGAAGCUUGAAAGCUUAUAGGAGAUGUAGACUCAAAACAAAAGCCAUUAUUUGAAUUUUGAACAGAAGUAACUGCAUUAUUGAAAGAAAGGGUUGACAUCAUAGAACUAGGAUGACACAUUUGCAGAAAAGAAGAGGAAUGAGAGAUAUAUUCCUCUUUUGACAGUAGCUUGUACAGACCAUCUUUAGCAAUCCCUUGAGCUAACAGAGUGCCCUUCGCCUUGUAUUUUAGAAAGCAAAUGUAACACCCCAAAAAUUACCCAUGAAAACACAAGGGUAAAAUUGGAAUGAAACCUCACAUCAUUUAUUCUUAUUAAUAAAUCUCAAGAUAAACAAUCAUUAUUCAUACUCCAACUGAAUCCUUACAUAAAACAUAUGAAAUAAAGUCUCCAAAGUAAAGUCUCUAAUCCAAAAUAAAAAGUCUAGCCAAAUUUAAUCUUUAAAGCAACUCCAAAGAUCCACUAAGAAAAAUUCUCCAUCUAAGCACCCAAGCCACAUUUCUAAUCAAUCUGCAAAAUAUUAGAGACGAGGGGUGAGCCGUCAACUCGGUAAGCAGAUCCAUGCACAAUAUUUGAAAACCUUUGUCAUGUAUCGUUAAACAUUUUAUAACAACAUCUUCAUUUAGCAUAAGGGGUGGAUUCAUAUAAAAACAUUAAAACAUUUAUAAAAACAUUAAAGCGUAAACAUUGGUAGCUCAUGCCUCAUAGUCAUCAUCAUUCAUCAUUCAUCAUUCAUCAUUCAUCAUUUAGGGUGUUAUACCCUGCAUUGUUCCUCAUUCAGGGUACUAUACCCCACAUUGUUCGUAACAUCCUUGUGCACAAGAUCAUCAUCAUACCAGCAAGCUGGCCAUAACAUUUCAUAACAUCAUAACAUUAACAUCAUAUACAUUACUACGGACUAUGAGCCAAAACAUUUUUGAAUCCACCAUACAUUCUUUCAUAAAUAGCAGUUAAAGUCUUCUAAAACAUUUAAGAACCUUUCUUUGAUCAUUUAAUUCUUUUAGAAAAUUCUUUAAGAAAACAUUUUGUUUAAGAAAACUAAUUUCUUAAGAAAAAUUAAUUUUAAAAUAAUUUUAUAUAAAUUCAUUUAAAAGUGUUUUUAUUUUACAAAAUUAAUUUAAAUAUUUUAGAAAUCAGUUUUGUAAAAAUUUCCAUUUAAACAUAAUUUGUAACGUAAAUUGCAUUUAUUAUAAAGCACAUCAUGCAUGAAUCUACUUACCUCGAUCCGUAGCAAUCAAUUCAAUACCUCAAGAACAACCAACGAGCUCACCCUCGUCCUAUAAUCAUCAUAAAAAUAUUCUUAUCAAUAUCAUCUCUAACCUUAAACAUAAUCCCAAUCAUCCUUAAAUCAUAGACACUAAUACUACCUUAAUACUUAUACAUAUUCUAAACAUAUCCUAUACUUAUGAGUAUCCUGCACAUGCUGAUUUUUAAUAACCUAUACACAUGUCGGAAAACCAUGAAAAUUUACAGAGGCACUGUGAACAUGCAUAGCAUUGCAUACAAUAUUUCACAAAAAAAUCAGCACAAGUCAAAAUCGAGUCAGAAUAUUGACCUUUCACCAAAGUUAGAGCUGGCAAAAUGGGUCAUCGGGUCGUGUUCGUGUCGUGUCAGCUUCGUGUCGUGUCAAAUUUAGGUCGACCCAAACCCGACCCAUUUAAUAAUCGUGUCAAAAUAUUGAGAUCCAAACCCGACACGGAAAAAUAACCGGGUUACCCAAUAACCCGUUUAAUAUCUAUAUAUUGAACAAAAGUUACAUCAAAUAUUUACACACUAUCAUACAUACGUAUGUACAUAAAUACAUACAUACAUACAUACAUACAUAAUUUAUCGAUAUUAUAAAAUAUACAUAUCUACCAAUAUAUUACACAUGUACACUAUUGAGUUUUAAUUAUAUAUAUAUAUAAUAUUAUAUAUCAAUAUUAUAAAAUAUACAUGUCUAUCAAUUUUUACACAUUUACACUAUUGAAGCUCUAAAUGUAUGUAAAAUUUUAUAAAUAAAAUAUUGUGUUUAUAUUCACCCUUUUAAAGAAUAAAAAAAAAAAGAAAAUCAUCUCUAAUAUUUGAGUUUUAAUUAUAAGAAUAUGUAAAUUAUUUUAAAAUAGAAAAUAUAAUCGGGUCAUUGAUCGGGUAAAUGGGUCAAGAAUUUUAACCCAAACCCGACACAGAAAAAAAUCGUGUUGACCCAGACCCGACCCAUUUAAUAAUCGUGUUAAAUUUGACGACCCAUACCCAUUUAUUUAUGUCGUGUUCGUGUCGGGUAAUCGGGUCGUGUCAAAUUUUGCCAGCUCUAACCAAAGUAACAAAAACUGUCCAGCACUGACCAAAACAGACCUUUUCCAAUUAGAAAAUUCAUAAAAUAUUCUUUGGUACUCGAAAUAAUAUGUUUCUUUUUUCUAAUUACAGAAGACACAUUCAAAAAGCAUAUAAUUAAAAUUCAUAAUUUUUGGACUCCUGAAACUAUUUUAAAACGUUUUAUUUCCGAGAACAUCUAACCCGUCCAGACAAUUCCAGAUUUGAAAACAGAAUUUCAAAAAUUCGUAUCUUUUAUUUUACAUGCCCAAAAAUCGUGAUUCCAGUUUUUAAAGACAGAGGAAAGAUUCAAAUUUCAUUAUAAAAUCCUAACAUGGCCUGUAAUAUUCAUAAACUAGCCCAACUGUUACACGUUUCAGCUUCUGAAAUUCUGGAAAACAGUUUCCAGAUUUGCAGCAGCCAUAUGUUACGAUUUUUAGUAAUUCAACCAUAAAGAAUAAAACUACGAAAUUAAACAUGCAAGCAUAGGAGACAUAGAUCUGUUGGCAAAAAAAUCGGCAUAAUUUUAAAGGAUGUGUAACCUUAUAGAAAAAUUUCCAGAGUUGAGAACCGCUGCUGAAAAUCGGAAUUUUCCAGCACCAGUAACCCAACUUCGAAAACCCAGAACAAUUUGCAUACUCAGACGAUUUCAACACAAAGCCUAUCAAUGGAAAGCCUGGGAUGUCUAGUUCCAUGAUAUGUAAGAUAUUCAAGUGAUUCUAAAUAAAGAAAACGAUUUCAAGCAAGGAAUAGAGAGUGUUCAUAUCAUCACAACAUUACAAACACACAUAUAUUACCCAAAUCAUACUACAAGUAAUUAAAGGCCAACAAUUCCAUAAAAAUAAAUCAUAUAAGUCGAAGAAAUACUUAAUACCUUAAGGCAAACACUAAGAAAGAAGUGAUAAAACUUUCUUUUCCUUCUCCAAAGACUUAUAUUUCCUUCUUUUCUUUCUAGGGUUUGUAACGGUGUAAAAAAAUAAAAGACGGCUUCUUAAAAAAGAUGGUUUUCUCUUAAAUACUAGGUAAUUAAUAAAUAUUUAAAAAGAAAAAAAACUAAUAACUUACGUAACUUAUUUAAAACAAUCCGAUAAAUUUUACUCACACACAAACACUCAAUAAUAACUAUCCUACUCAAUUUAAUAAGGGCAAAAGAGGAAAAUUAAAUAAAUAAAAUUGGGCGUUACAGCAAACAUCAAAGAAAAAUUCAAUGGUUAUAUCAUUAUCAGUGAGGAGUUUGGAAAUACUAAUGAGGUUUUUGGUAAUUUGAGGAACACAUAAAAUAUUAUGUAGUUGUAAACAGGUGCCAAAAGAAGUGUAAAGUUGAGUAUAACCUAUGUGAGUGAUUCGAAGGCCUUGGCCAUUACCAACAGUUAGUAAAUUUGAGCCAAAAUAGAUCUUACCAUCACUCAGAUUCUGAACUGUGUUGGUUAAGUGAUGAGUUGCACUACUGUUCAGAAACCAUCCUUGGUCAGCAACUCCCUCAGAUGUUGUUAUGAAGGCUGCUCUUGGUCCCUAAUGCUGAUUAGAGAAGUGAUUUGGAGCUGGAGCUGGAAAAUUUGGAACAAAAUUCCUGUUGAACCUGUCUCUGCACUCACCUGCUGUGUGAUUAAACCUGAAGCAUAUUUGGCAAGCAACACCAGUUCCCUGAGCAAAAUUCUUUCCAGCGCCUCCUGAAUUGAAACCACCUCUGCCAUAAUUGUUAUUGAAGCCACCAGGACCAGGAAAUCCAUUGUUAAAUCCACCAGCAAAACCUCUGAAGUUGUUAUUAUUCCAGUUUCCUGUUCCUGGAUUGAUUCCUUGAUAACCACCUCUUCCAUUACCACCAAAACCACCUCUUCCACCAGAAUUAUUGUUCCAAUUAUUUCCUCCAGCCUUGUUCUAGUUGUUUUGAUUAUUAUUAUUACCUUUCUUUGAAAAAUUUCCAGCCUGAGCUAUAUUUGCUGCAUAAUUGUUCUUGGUUUCCUUACUAUCAUGAAGCUUAUUGUUCUCAAGUCUAGCCUCAUGUGUGAGAAACAUAGCAUAAGCCUCACUAAGAUCCAUAUUCAACAUAUUUGCCUCAAUAUAGACAACUACAAGAUAAUAUGACUGAUCUAGGCCAGAGAUAAGAUGAGUAAUUAGAUCCAAAUCAUUCACAGGACUACCAACUAGAGCAAGACCAUCUGUGACUGUUUUAAGCUUUGUAAAAUACUCAGACAUGGUUAAAGAUCCUUUUCGCAGGUUACUUAGAAGCAUUUUCAGAUGAACCUUCUUAGCCAUAGAUUCAGAUCCAAAUUGUUUUUCAAGGUUUUUCCACAACUCAAAAGAGGUCUUAGAGCUUACCACAAGACUAAGAAUAUCAACAUUCAUGGAUGACAUAAUCCAACUGAGCAGGAGCUGAUCUUGACGUUUCCAAGCUGCAUACUCUGGAUUCUCUUGACCUUCGAUGCUGGAAGAAGAAGAACCUUCAGAUCUAGCCUCUGGUGGAAGAAAUUGACCAGGACAGAUCCUGGAUCCAUCAAUAUAGCCUUCAAGACCAUUGCCACGAAUUGAAGAAAGUACUUGCUGUUUCCAGAUCAUAUAGUUCGAGCGAUCAAGCUUGAUUGGAUUUGUGACGGUGAAAGAAGUUAUGGGAGUGUUGCUGGAUUGUUGAUUAGAACCGAUUAAGGCCAUUUGAUUCAAGCUUUGAUACCAAGUUAAAAGAUAAAAUGCUCUGUAGAUUUUGUUUGUUUACUUAGAAAAACAGAGAGAAAGUUUAUUGACUUAGAGAAAAUACAAAGCUCAACAUAUUCAUUAAUUACAAUACAACACUAUUUAUAUUAGUGUGUAGAAUCUUCUCAAGGUUACAAGUUUACAAAACUCAUGAGCACAGAUUCUGGUAUUCAUAACAAACUUUUGGAGGGAAGCAAAUUAGCUUUCAGCUAACUACAAAACUAACUUUCCAGCGUUGCUUGAUAACUCAGUAGAUGACUCAACAUUUUAUUCUUAACACUCAGCAGAUGACUCAACAUUUUAUUCUUAACACAAAGAUCACAGGGAAUGCAUCCUUGCAAAUUAUUGGCAUCGAGAUAUGAAACUUGUAGUGUCUUUAACGUUCCCAUUGAUGCUGGAAUAGUUCCGUCCAAGUCGUUAUUGGAGAGGCUUAAAGGUAUCAAGCCACGAAAGUUACCAAUCUCUUAAGGAGUGCUGCCCCUAAUUUUGCAAUCAUGUGCAAAAAUUUUCUGAAGCGACUCACAGAAAUUCCCAAUUAAUGGUGGAAGGAUGCCACGUAAAGGAUUAUAACCUAAGCCUAAAAAUGCUAGCAUCCUUCAAGAAGUCAAAGAAGGGAGAAAACUCCACCCACCAGUAGAUGAUUCGUCGUCAGGUAAUAUACGCCAAGGAAUCUCAGGUUGCCAAAAGUGCUUGGGAUAAGGCCGGAGAAAGAGUUGUAGCUCAAGUCUAGGACUCUGAGUUUAGAAGCGUUGGUGAUGGAGUUGGGAAUUGUGCCGCUAAGUUUGUUCUUUGCCAAGCUUAACCAGUCCAUGUUUGGAAGCGAGUGGCCAAUCGUUGGUGGUAAAUGGCCUGUGAAGUGGUUUUCAGCUAGAGUAAUUCUUGUUAUGUUGAAAUAUUGAAGAUCGCGGGUGGAAUAAAACCAGUUAAGUUAUUGGAAUUAAGAGCUAAAUACUCCAGAUUUUUUAGAUUGCCCAUCUCAGUUGGAAUUUCACCUGCCAGAAUAAAUGCCCACAUUAUAUAUUAACGGUUAUUGAGCUGAAAGUACAAGCAGAGUAAUAUAUAUGUUCAAAUGCAUUAAAGUCGCAAGUUUCGUUUGACACCAAGCAUAUGGAUUAUGGUCUCUCUAGUUAAGCGAUUUUGUUAAUUAGUUGAAAAAAAAAUAUGAUGGAGAAUGUUUGAAUUGGGCCUUCUAUUUUCAUUAUAGAAUAAAUUAACUAUUAAUUUUCAUGAGAAAAAUACUUAUUUCCAUAAAAUUAUUCAAGCUUUUAAAAAGAUUCAGAAUUAAAAAUCAAACUUUGUACUGUAGAAAAUUUGCCGGUACGUUCAAUUAGUACUUCGUUUGAGGAAAUAAGAUUAGAAUAGGCUAAAGGUACGGUAGUUAUGCGGUACCUGUUUCAUAACCGUAGAAUAGUAAAUGUUUGACUUUUUUAUUAGAAAUAUAUCAUUAACAAUUUUGUUCGCUAAUUGAAUAGAGAAAGAAGGGGGGGGGGGGGGGGGGGGGGAGAGGGCAAAAAGGUUAACACAUUUCGAAACUACAAACGAUUGCCUUUUCCUAUUAAUAAUGUUUGCGGAUUCUAACAAUUGAAUCUCAAGGUCAUGAUAUAGUGAAUUUUAUAGUGAAUAAAAUUAAUAUUCCACAUACUAUCUAUUUAAUUAAUGUCACAUCAAUUGAGACUUAAGAUAGGGCUCAAUUGUUGGGAUACCUGAUAUUACUCUCUUUCUAAAUAUAAAAUUAAUGUUAAUAGUAAAAGCAUUUGGAAACUGGGUCGAAUCCCCCAUUAGGGAUCAAAUUGGGAUUGCGGUGGCUGAUGAAGCUACUUUAUGUUGUAUGGAUUAAAUAAGACGCCGAUUGAAAAAAUAACUUAGUGUUUUGAAAAUUGCGUUGUUAUGGUUACUGUAAGUUUGUAAAGUAGAAUACAUGCUUUUAGUAAAUUUGAUUACGAAAAUGUUGUUUUAUUAUAUAAUGACAAAAAAUAGACAUAAGUUUAAAUUGCCUUUUAUUUAUAUAUUAGGGUUUGCAGAAAAAUAAGACUUAAUUAUCUUUUAGUUAAAGUUUUAAGGUUAUAAUAAGAACUUUAAAAGUAAUGGCAGCUUAUUUAAUAAGCUGCUUAUAAAAUGGAACUUCAUAUCAGGAAGUCUGAGGAUAAUACGAGUAGAGAAUUUGAGAAGGCAGCUAGGCGCCUAGAGAAUGCUCGACUGGUUUGUGGCCUAUCUUUUAAUUUCUUCAGAUUCGGGACAAAUUGUCUUGGAGUGAACUGAUGUGUUGCCUUUUCUUUUUUUAAGCUUGAAUGAUCUAUUUGCUGCAGUAAGCAGUGAACGUCCUAAUGAAUGUUAAAUUAUGCUGUUUGUUUCGAUUUACUUUUCUAUCUUAGCUCCGUGUGAUUAGUGGAAUGCUGGUCCUGCGAGUAUAAAAAUGAACUCCUUAAGUCAAAUUCCUUCUUGGGGUGUUGGAGAAAGAACUAAAUACAUGUAACAUUUCUUUCGGAUAUGGAUCAUCUGAUGGAUGUUGUAUUUUCUAGGUAUUGAGGAGAUUCCCUAAUAUUGAAAAAUUACGUUCCCGAGCAUCAAAAGAUGAUCCCCUAGAAUUGCGUUCACCUGUGACAAAAGAGGAGCUUGUAGCUGAGGUAUGGAUUUUUAUCUUUCUUGGUUGUUCUUUAUAGUCGUUUCUCAUUAUAAUAGCAAAAGCAGUUUGUUCUGAGUGACCUGUGUAGUCUACUAUCAAUCUCUGCCGAUUCUAUCAUUAGUACUAUUGACUAUGUGUGCUUAGAUAUUUUGUUUUUACCAUGUAAUUUCAUAUUUGAUACAUUUCUAAUUGUGCAUUGCAUAGCGUCCAUGAACGGGAAUGAUAAAAUAAAUUUCAAGCGUGUUUAAGUAGAUGAAAAAACUUGGUACGAUUUAGAAGGAUUUACUGAUUAAAUAAUUUUCCAAUUUGUUUGCCUGGAGGAAUUGAAUAGUUAAUUGAUUAAAGGAUUGCAAGGUGGUUAGGUCCAGCCGAGCAUUGUAAAUUUUAACGAUCAUUAUGAAUGUGUAGUUCCUAUAUGUGAAAUUGAAUUUCCAUGGUGGCAUGAUAAAAUGAAUUUCUGCUAGGGUGUGAUCGUAUGGUAGUCAAUUGUGAGAAACAGAUCCACAUGGUAAUAUAGAUUGAAAUUUUGCGUCUUAAUCCACGAAGAUAUAGAUUUUGGCAAUAUUAUACAAGCACUGGGGGUUACCUUAAAUAUUCUGGACUUGCCAUUGAUAGAGUUUCUUUUACCUAGUUAUUGAUAUUGCUUUCAAUUUUCUAUUUUACUGAUACCAUAUAUACAAAUUUAGGUGGCAAGACACCUCUGUCUGCUUUCGGGGAAUACGAGGUUCCUAUGCGCUUACCCAAAGGUCCAGUGGACUCUCAAUGUCAAAGCCCGCGGCAAAUAAACAAUCGUUUCAUUUGUUUUGUUUUACUCGGUUCGGGAUCCAAAUUCCAUUGUAGAACAGUUUUUGGUUUUUCUUCAUAUAACAUUCUGAAGAUAAUACAGGCAACAUUGUUUGCAACGCUACAGCUAAUUUGCAGUAGCAUGAAACAAUCAGAAUUUUGCCUUUUUUGUGUAUAAAAUUUUAUUUUUUUAAUUGUGAUAUUACAGUUUUGCCCAUCGAGCAUUAUGAGGCCUAAUAUUUGGAUAAAUGUUAGGUUUAAUAUAUAUAUUUUAACUUCAGUGUUUAUUUAUUUUUUAGUUAAUUGUUUAGUCAAUAAAAAGAGGUAAUUAAAAAUGUAAUUAAUAAAUUACUUAUUAGCAAAUUAAAAAAUAAAUAUUAGCAUAAAAUAAUUGAUAUUUUAUUCUCUUACAACAAUCUUACUAAUUAUUAUUUAUAAAUUACUUAAUACAAGUUAAUUUAAAGUAAUGUUUAAUAUUCUUGUAACAACCUUCCUAAUAAUUUUUUUGUAAAAAAUUAAUCCUAAAAGUAAAAUAAUAAUAAUUAAUUUGUAUUUUACUUGGUAAAUUUAAAUUUUUUUAACUAAUAUCUCCAAGAAUAUGGUUGUAAGGAUAUUAUUACAAAAGUAAAACAAAUAUAAGAUUGUAAUAUAUUUAUUAGUAAGAAUAACUUAAGAUAUUUUUUAAGAUAUAAAAAUUAAACAAAUUCCUUCUUUGAAAAAUCGCAUUUUCUCCUUCACAACAACAGCUACAAUGUUGUAAUUUUAUCUUUUGUUUAGUUUCUUUCUGUUGCCUUUUUGUUUCGUUUUUUGAAUUUUCUGUGUCGUUUUUCCUGUUGAGGCCUAUUGCCUGUUGCGAACGGGAGUGAGCCGAUUGAGGCCGUGAUAACGAUCGAUGUUUUGAGAAGGUCUGGAGCUGACGUCACGGUUGCGUCCGUGGAGAAACAGCUUCGUGUCGACGCGUCAUGGUGUCAAGAUUGUCGCUGAUGCUCUCGUGUCUGACUGCCGCGACGCCGUUUUUGAUCUUAUAGCUCUUCCCGUAUGUAUUGCAGCUCACCUCAGCUCAUGCCAAUUUAUGUGAUGUUUGUAUAAUUAUAGAUGAUUAUUGCUGAUACUGAAUGUUAAGCUAAAUAAUUCGUCGUUAAGUCAUCUUCAUUUAAUUUUCGAUUGAAAAUGAUAAAAUAGUAAUUUUGAGCAAAGAAAAAUGUAGAAAAUGUUUAUUUUGUUUUAUUUUAAUUUUUAAUUUUUUGAGAUUUCCUUAUUGUGGCUGUUAUCAUUCAUUAUAUGGUCAUAGUUAAAUAUUUCAAGUUGUUGUAGUCAGUGAAAUUCUUUUCCAUAUUUAUUCUGGCAUGUGUAUUUUUCCUUUCAAUUUCUUUUGUUGCUGAUUCUUUGAUUGAUUAUGUUAUAUCCUUUUUUGUUUCCUUUGUAGGGUGGCAUGCCCGGUGCUACCAAUCUGAAAGAAUCUGAAGUAUUAGAAACCAUUGUGAAGAAGCAGGCUUCAGCUGGGCGUCUUUAUGCUGCUGUCUGUGCUUCACCUGCUGUGGCAUUAGGGUCUUGGGGUCUGUUGAAGGGAUUGAAGGUAAGAAUUAGAUAAGCCUUUUUUAUGUUUUGUGUUCUUUUGGGAAUUGCAUUGAUAUUUGUGUUAUACAUCAGUUUUGCUCUCACCGAUGAUUGUUAAGUUCUAAUUUAUGGGGUUAUUCAUUUUUUGUAGGCUACUUGUUAUCCGUCAUUUAUGGAGCAAUUAGCUCCUGCUUGUGCAGCAACUGUUGAAUCAAGAGUACAGCAGGAUGGUAAAGUUGUUACGAGUCGUGGACCUGGCACUGCUAUGAUUUAAUUGUCUUGCCAGUGAGUUGGGGUGCUUACUCUUGCUUCAUAGUCUUUACCACAUUAUUGACUUACUAACUACAAUUUAUCCAUGCACAUUGCACACGGUGGACUUGGUGGCAACAAGGCACUUGAGCUUGCAAAGAUAAUGCUUUUUACUCACGCCUAAUGUUUGUACAGGGACCUGACUACUAUUAAACUAGUGUGUUUAUUUUUGUAUUGCUACAGCUUGUAGAGAGGGGAAAUGGAAACUUGAAUUCAUGUUUGAAUAUGGAUUCACUGCGUGGGUUUGUACAGCAGUUUGGUUUAUAAAUAAAUGAGUUCAUAGAGUCACUUCCAUUAUUUGGAAUAAACCUGAGUUUAGUUCUGUUAUCAAUGGUCGGAGUCCAAUUGUGAUCGACUCACUGGGAAUUUUAAUUAUGAACUAAAAAAUUGUUAUGUUAUAUUCCACCUUUCUCAUAAAAUGUUAACUCGAUUUACAGGAUAAGAAGGAAAAGAAAGACGCUAAGGGAGGAGCAGAGACCCAAAAAGAGUUGACCACUUUGUUGGAACAUAAAUCUCUAGAAUAUUGAAAUAAAACACAUACCAUAUCUAGUAUUAAGUAUGUAUAUGCAAGAAGAUACAAAUUUGAAGAUCAGAUUUUCUCAUUUCAAUUUAUGUUCUGCUUAGAGAAAUGGCUCUUAUUCGACAAGCACAAACAGGAAAGAGUACGCACGGAGUUAAGAAACACACAUGGCAAAAUUUCCAUUAACUACUUGUAGCAACAUUAUCCAAGAACUUGACUUUAAUCUUCUUGAGCUUCGCUGCAGCAUCUGUCAUAUGCAUUCUGUUGUCAGGUGACUCCAUACAACAAUCCAAUGCCAAAUCCAUGAUGCUUAAUAAACAAUCCAUUUUGGCAGAAAAAGCUUGCUCUUCUCGCACCAAAUUUGCGUCAACAACUUCACUCAAUCGGUGAGGUAAUGAUUCCAUUACCCAUCUCCUUAAACUCAUUUCUCCAGUGAACAUUUCAUCGGUGGGCCUCUUUCUCGUGAAAGUUUCCAUCAAUAACACACCAUAGCUGUAGACAUCACAUUUAGCUGAAACAAUUCCUUCUGAUCCAUACUCUGCAUUUUUUAAUUUUAAUUACGAAACAAAUGAUAAAACAAAUAAGUGAUAAUUAAGGUAACCCAAACUUUGCUCGUGCUUGAAAAAAGAGGAAAAUUUUUAAUUACAAUUGAAACUUUACCUGGUGCCAUAUAACCAAUUGUAGCCAUUGUCAUGGUUUGGGUCGCAGAAUCUUCUCCUUCACCUAAGAGUUUGGAAAUGCCGAAGUCGCUCACAUGUGCCACCAUAUUUUCAUCCAAGAGAAUGUUGGUAGGCUUUAAAUCACAAUGAAUUAUAGGUGCCGACGAAUGACCAUGAUGGAGAUAUUCAAGAGCCGACCCCACAUCUAUCAUUAUAUUCAACCUCUCUAGAAUGUCUAAGAAAUAGUUGUGAGAAUACAACCACUUCUCGAGACUACCAUUCGGCAUGAACUCAAGUACCAAUGCUUUGAAAUCUGGAUUAGAACAACUGCUAAGGAUCUUUAUGAGAUUUCGAUGACGAACAUUCCGUAAAACUUCACAUUCAGAAUCAAAACUCCUAAAUGCUCUCUCUAGUUGCAGAUUGAAAAUCUUUAUUGCAACAUUAGUCCCGUCGGAAAUGGUUCCUUUAUAAACUGAUCCAAAACUACCUGUACCAAGCAAGUUACAUUCAUUAAAUUCAUCAGUUGCUCGUUGAAUGUCUAGGUACGAUGUUCUUCUCCAUGUUGCAAGAGGUAGGAAAUCUUCGUGAUCUGAUUUUUUUGUACUCCUCUUUCGGCAUCUUAUGUACAUAAUGAUGAUAAUUACUAUAAGUACAGAGGAUACUAUCGGAGGCAAAAUAUAUUUAAGGACAAUUAGAGCAACGUUCUUGGUGCUUUUGCUGUCACCUUGUUUGCAAGGUGGGACUCGGAGUUUAGGUGGACCACAGAGUGCAUAAUUUCCGAAAAAUGAUUCAGCUGACAAGUUUUUAAAAGACCCCUUAACAGGAAUUUCCCCUUCCAGCCUAUUAUGAGAAACAUUAAAUUGUUUGAGAUGUGAAAGUGUCUCCAAUGACUUGGGAAUUUUUCCAGAGAAAUUGUUGCCGGAGAGAUCUAAGGAUUCUAAGCUUAUCAAACUGCCAACUGAUUCAGGGAUAGGUCCUUGAAAUUGAUUACCAGCCAAGGAUAGAGUUUCUAGAUCUACGAGGGCACCAAUGGUUGAUGGAAUAUCACCUGAUAAUUGAUUCCUUGAUAAAUCUAAAGCUCUCAAGACCUUUAACUUUUGUACAUUGGAAGGGAGAGGACCAUUUAAUGAAUUUGACGACAAGUUUAUCUCUAAGAUGUACUCAACGCUCCACAAGGAUGACGGUAUACUAGAAGUGAGCUUGUUGGAGCCUAAAUGAAGUUCUCUUAGAGAUGUCAGACUGGCCAAGCAUGGUGGUAUAUGCCCAGAGAGCUUAUUUCCAUUUAAUCUUAUUUCGUACAUCUGCCCCAAGUGGCAAAGCUCAUAGGGAAUGGAUCCUUCCAAAUUAUUCUCAUCAAGAGAUAAACCUUGUAGCUGCUGUAAUGUUCCUACAGAUGUUGGAAUAGUUCCAUUCAAGUCAUUGAACUCGAGGGUUAAGAGGAUCAAGCCACGUAAAUUACCAAUUUCUUUAGGAAUGCUGCCCCCGAGUUUGCACUUGUCUGCAUUGAAUUUUUGAAGAGAAGCAGAGAAAUUUCCAAUUAUUGGUGGAAGGACGCCACCUAAUGGAUUAGAAGCUAAGUAUAAAACUGUUAAAUUUCUGCAAUUAGUCAAAGAAGAGAGAAAACUCCACCGAUCUGCUGAAGAUGAUUCUGUCGUCAAGUUAUUAAAUGCUACGCCGAGCACGCCGAGGUGUCUCAAGUUGCCAAAUGUAUUUGGAAUAUGGCCUGAGAAUGAGUUUAAGCUCAAGUCUAGGCCAGUGAGCUUAGAUGCAUUGGUAAUGGAGCUGGGAAUUGUUCCGAUAAGAUUAUUGCUCGACAAGGUUAAAUACUCUAUGUUCCGAAGCGAGUGGCCAAUCGUUGAUGGUAGGUGGCCUGAGAGUUGAUUGCCAAGCAGAUUAAGGAUUCUGAUGGUUGAAAUAUUGAAGAUCGUGGGUGGAAUGAAGCCACUUAAAUUAUUCUCACCAAGAAUAAGAUACUCCAAAUUUGGUAGAUUGCCAAUCUCGGUUGGAAUUUGACCUGCCAUAAGGCCAACAUUGAGAAGUUAUUGAGCUUUUAACUUAAGGUGAAUUGAGUUUGACAAUGUUACCCUUCAAAAUGUAAAAAGAUCAAAUUAAAUUUAUUACAUAAUAAUUUCAGCCAAUAAUCUUCUUUAAAAUAUUUCAUAGAUAAUUCUGCAAAAUAUGCAUGCAAUUGGAAAAAUAUGCUUCAAUUACAAGAGGUGGCGGAAAGUACCUUGAAGAUUGUUGAAACCAAGAUGCAGAUUCACGAGUUUACUCAAAUUCCCAAUCCUUGAAGGAAUAUUUCCACCAAUAAAAUUGAACGGUGCACGCAGGUCCUCUAGCCUUGAUAAGUUGAAGAGAGAAUUAGGGAUGGGACCUGUGAAACUGUUAUUAUCAAGGCUCAAUAUUCGGAGUUUAGAUAAGACACCAAUCCAUGAUGGAAAGCUUCCGCUCAAUUUAUUGUAAGCCAAACUCACGACUCUGAGUCGACGUAAUUGCCCCAAUUCUUUCGGCAGAUGGCCAUGAAAAUUGUUCUCACUAAUGUCAAGAGACACUAGAAAUGAGAGAUUUCCCAAGUGUAGUGGAAUGGUGCCUCCGAGACCCAUAUCUGAAAGAUUCAAGGCAGUGACUCUUUGAUGGCGUGAACCACAAGAGAUACCAACCCAGCUACAUAUUGGAUAAGAUAUAGACCAAUUAUUUGCCAGGGCACUCCGAUAAUCAAAAACAUGGGCUUUGAAUGCUAGAAGAGCUGAUUGAUCUGUUGUUAAAUCGUUUAAAGUCGUCACCGCUAAGCUAGCAAUGAGAUACUGUAACACUAACACCGACAUAGUAACAAAGAAGAAUGAUAAGCGCAUAUUGGUCGUUUUUAAUAGUAGUUGCAAGGCGAGAUUGAUACAAGUUUUAAGUGACGGAAAUUAGCAUAUACAUAUACAUGAGACACAUGAAUUUGAAAAUAAGAGCAGAAAAAAUAUACAGGAGACUUGCAAAUUGUUAUAUUCUGUCAUUGAGCGAGCCGUCCAAGUAAACGCAUUUAUACUUAACUUGGUCUAAUAAUUAAAAAAAAGGCGACCUUCACUUGACUUGGUCUGAUAAUUAUCACUAAACAAUUAAUAAUGCUAAGGGUUAGUGGUAUCCAAUUUUAAAAUAACGACAUAAUUGUCGUUAAAUGUGUCUUAAAAUAAAAAGACAACUAUACCCCAUAAUUUGAUGAAAUAAUUAUGUAAACUUCUAAAUUUUUUACAAUGCAUACCAAGACCUGUUUUGUUACUUUUUACAGUUUAUUUGGAUGUCAAAUGGUUUUUUUUUUUUUCACUGUGGAUGUCAAAUGUAAAAUUUACUGUUAUUCCAAUAUCAUGUCAUCACUUGCUUCUAUACAUGGAACGAUACAUUAACUGUUUUUCCAAAGUUUUAAAUUGAAUUAAAAACAUUCUAAUUAACCUUAAAAAAAAAUCAUCCAACCAGAAAUAAAUCUUCUAAUUAACCUAAAGAUAGCUACACCUCCAUAUUAAUUCCAGUUAAAUAAAUCUUCAUUUUUGUCAUGGUUUUGGAACUCGAGCAGGGUGGAUAUAUCUAACCAGAUUUUCCUUAUUGGCAUUCUAAUAUAUUCUGGAAUUGGAAGGGUAUCAACGAAUUAAUGUGUAAUUUAAAUUUGUAACGUUUAAUUCUAAUUUGAGUAUUCGAAUGAAUUUAUGUCGAUUUAAAAAUGGACUGAAGAUUGGCAAUAUAACAUUCUUCUUGAUGAAGAUUUUUGUCCUAAUAAGAUCUCCAAUUUUAUACAUCAAUUAUUGUUGGUUUGUGGUGUAUUCAGACUUGUCCAUCGGUUACGCCGUCCAUGAAUAGAGUGAUAGAAAUGUUAUUGCAAAGAAACAGACUAGCAGUGUCGUUUUGAAAAUUCCACCGAAGUCUUUUGCAUCUUCUCCCCCAGGACAGCCAAUAGAGUAUAAAUUUUUGUCACUUUCACUCUUUUGAACAGCACGGGAAAGCUUAUCAAUUUUUGUCACUUUCACUUUCACUCUUUUCAAUCUUUAUAGAAUUCUGGAUGGACGAUCACUCUUUUCAAUCUUUAAUGAAUUUUGGAUUCAGUGUUGAUAUUUUAGGCUUUGAUGGGCUAUAGAUUUUUUUUUUUUUUAAAGAAUUUUGAAUUCAAUGUUGAUAUCUUGAGCUUAUCCUUAACUAAUUUUUUACCACUCGUGCAUUUAUGUCGUUGUGCGGUUAUAGAUUCAGUUAUUUUUAAAGUAGAAAAAUUACUUCUCUUAAAAGUGAAAGCAGGGAAGGUACUGCAAUGCAGCCGCUAUUUGUAGUAGUUAAUUCUUGGAUGAAAUUUGGGUCUUCCUAUAAUACAUGCAAGGAAUAAAAAAAUUAAAAAAGCAUUGCCCGAAAGAGUAUUGUGCCGGUGUUGGAGGCUAGAAGGACAAGUCGUUACAUUGCUCCAGAAGUGUUUGAUAGAAAUUUUGGUGAGGCUUCACAUAAUUUAAAUUACUGGAAUUAGCGAUACACACACACUCAAGCAUUUCGAGCAGGAUAAUGAAUUUAAAUUACUCGGAAUUGUAAGCAGCGAUGAAAGAGAAAUUGCAAAGAAGAUGAUUAUUUUUGGCUUGUGGCGUAUAUAGAAUUGUCUAUCGGAAAUAGAGGGAUAGAAAUGUUAUUGCACAGAAGCAGACUAGCAGUGACGCCUUGAAUAAGUCCACCAAAGCCUCUUGCAUCUUCUCCUCCAACACCGCCAAUAGAGUCCGUUUGACUCAUAAACUUUUGUCGCUUUCAUUCUUUUCAAAAGCACGUGAAAGCUAGCUUAUAGGAUUUUGGAUGGACAAUCACUCUUUUCAAAAGCAUGUUAAAGCUAGUCUUCAAUGAAUUUUAGGGCUUAUUUUCAAGUAAUCUUUUAGCAUGCAUGCAUUUAUGCAAUCAUAUGAUUAUAUAUUCAAUUACUUUUAAAGUAGAAAAAAUUACUUCUCUUAAAAGUAAGAGCGGGGCAGGUAUUGCAAUUUGUAGCAGUUAAUUCUUGGAUGAAAUUUGCUAAAGUAUAGUCUUGUAAAAGAAUUAGUUUUCUUAAAUUGUAAAUCUCGUUUAUGAUUGGGAGAUUUUGAUCAAAAUUAAUAUGAUAAAUCCGUUGCAAGUGUUGUUCUUGAAGUCUCAUCUUCCGUGAUGUUUGUAAAAUCAAGGUUUUACCAUCUCUGAUUAAAUAUUUAGUCUUGAUUUCGACCACGUAAUCUGAACUUGACGAAAGAUUAUGAUUUUGUGUGAUUUUAUGAAUGUGGUCUUAUCUCUUAUAAGUCAGCAAUGAAUUAAUUAAAGCUUGCUGACAAAUUAUAAGCUCAAAAACCGCUGCUGCUUCAUUAAUCACAUUACCCAAAUUCAUUGCAGAACUCAUCAUAAGUUUUCCGAGAAUUUUAAGCUUUAUUUUGGCUUCAUUCAUGUACUUCCUUUGUAGAUCCCAAAGACAUGUUUAACUUUAGUUUAGGGUAACUGUUAGAGUGCAAUUUAUGCACUAGUUUUGCAUUAUUUACUUCCCUUAAUAUCGAUGCUUUGCACUUAAUAAUAAUGUUUUACUUGUGUUUUACUUUUGUAGGUGCAAUUCUAUUGAUUGGUGAUAAAAUUGAGCUAAAAGAUGAUGUUUAAGGAGGAUUGUUCUCUUGGAGAAAUUAUGAGCGUCACAAGAACUUUGUUGAUAAGGCGUGGGCGCGUGCUGUCAACUGCGGACCUGCAAUUUUUAAUUUAACGUGUUUUGUAUUUUUGGUUAUUUUUGUAAUUACGAAUUUAAUAUUUCAGAUAUUAGUAUUUUAUUUUAAAUAGAAUUCUAAAAGAGAAGAGAGAGAGAGUAUUUAAGGGAGGAAUCUAUUGUGAAAAAGGGGGGACUUUUGGAGAAGAGAAAGAAACCCUAGAUCUAAACUUUUCUCUUCUCUCUAUGAAGAACUAAACCUAUUUUUCUGGUUGAAGGUUAAUGAAGCUUUGAUUCAUCACUACUGUGAGAUCUUUCUUAUGCUUUAAUUGUUUUAUUACUUUUUGGAUAUUUGUUUAUUCUCUGAAUUAGUUUCAUGAUUAUGUUUGUUAAUUAGGUAAUUGGCCACUAUUUAAUUAUCAACUUAAUCUAUUGUCAAUUAAAGGAUUCAUCGUAUGAAGAUUUUAAUGUUUGUGACAAAUAACAUAGCAGUGAGUUGUGUUAUGAGAAUAAACAAUCUAAUUUAAAUGAAUCAUCAUAUGUGUUGAUUAGGAUUUGGGUCUCUCUGGUUUUUCAGGCUGUCAAUCGAUUAAAUCCUAUGAUCAUAUCUAGGGUUGUCUAUUGAUUAGGGAAAUAUCCAACGGUCGUACCUUGGUUAUCGACUAGUUAAGGAGAGAUUGGCUAUUAGAGGGUCUCAAUAGCUAUAACCGGUCUAUUCAUAAGUAAUAAUAAUCUAUAUUUGAAUCAAUGAUCAGUAGUCGAAUUAAGCUGAGUUAAUUCCUUCAACCAGAGCUUUCUCCAAUUUGAAUUACAACUUUAAUUUGCAUUCUUGUUAUUUUUAAUUUGAUUUUUAUUAUUAUUAACAAUUCCCCCAUUUUACGAUUUACGUUUCAAAAGGAUUUAAAUAAUUACCGAUCUCUGUGGACACGACCCUGCUCAAUCACUAUACACAAUUUAUUUAGAGUAGGAAUUUAUUUUUGUUGGCUUCGACAACCAUCAAAUUUUGGCGCCGUUGCCGGGGAUUGGUGUCAUUUAUUUAAUCCUUUUUAUGUUUUACUUGGUGUAUGGUUUGUUCUUCUCGUACAGGUACACUUUCGUUUGAUCCUGAAAUUGAGAAGACAGCUCGCCAGCUGAGACAGCAGACGAAGCGAGCUAAGCAACGAUCCUCGUCGCCUUUGCUUUCUGAAACAGAUACGGUGCCUGAUUUAGUUGAAUCAUCUAGCGAUUCAGAAGAACAAGUGAUGGAUAGAGUUGCACCUGUAGAAAGAACUCUUAGAGAAUUAGCUGAACCAGACUUGAAUCAACAACCACUCUGCAUUCAAUAUGUAGACUUGGAGGUAAAUUUUGAAUUAAAGUCUGGUCUUAUUCAUUUAUUACCCAAGUUUCAUGGUUUUGCAAGUGAAGAUCCUCAUAAACAUCUUAAGGAGUUUCAUGUUGUGUGUUCAAGUAUGAGACCACAAGGCAUGACUGAAGAGCAGAUUAAGCUGCGUGAUUUUCCGUUCUCUGUAGAUGGGCUAGCUAAAGACUGGUUGUAUUACUUGCCUCCUGGAUCGAUUACAACGUGGAAUGAUUUGAAGAAGCAGUUCCUCGAGAAGUACUUUCCUGCUUCAAGAGCUGCCAACAUCAGAAAAGACAUUUGUGGGAUUAGACAACUUCCUGGGGAGACUUUGUAUGAGUAUUGGGAGCGAUUCAAACAAUUGUGUGCCAGCUGUCCUCAGCAUCAGAUUUCUGAUCAACUUCUUAUUCAAUAUUUUUACGAAGGACUAUCAUUGAUGGAUAGAAGUAUGAUAGAUGCUGCUAGUGGAGGAGUGUUGGUGAACAAGACUCCUACUCAAGCAAGGGAGUUGAUAUCAAAUAUGGCUGCCAACGCACAACAAUUUGGCAGCAGGCAAGAUCCCACUUCAAGGAAGGUGAAUGAGGUAAAUAUUUCUUCUGUUGAACAACGUUUAGAUAAACUCACUUUUCUUGUGGAAAAGUUUGUUGUAGGUAAUGUGCAACAGGUGAAGACUUGUGGUAUUUGUUAUAAUAUGGGUUAUUCAACUGAUAUGUGUCCUACACUUCAAGAAGAACCCGUUGAACAAGCCAAUGCAGUUGGAGGAUUUCCAGGCAUGCCUCAGAGGAGGUAUGAUCCUUAUGCACAAACAUACAAUCCAGGAUGGAAGGAUCAUCCCAACUUCAGCUAUGGAGUUAGGCCGUCAGGAUUCCCACAACAGUAUCCACCAAGACAACCAGCACCUCCACAGUCAACCUCCAAGUCAGGUAUAUCUCUUGAAGAAAUUGUUAAAUCGCUUGCGACUAACACUCAACAAUUUCAGCAGGCAACUACAGCAAGCAUUCAGAACUUGGAGAACCAAAUAAGUCAAUUGGCGACUACAGUGAGCCGUCUGGAGUCUCAAGUAUUAGGGAGACUGCCUUCACAAUUUGAGGUGAAUCCAAAGCAAAACGUUAGUGCUGUCAUCCUUAGAAGUGGGAAGGAGUUGCAAGAGCCUAGUAAGAAAGUGACAGAGCAUGUAGAAGAUGAGCUUGAGAAGAAUGAAUUGAUGCCUCAAUCUCAAGAUGCACAACCCACCAGAGCGAAACCCCUACCUAUUGUGAUACCUCCUCCUUUUCCAAGCCGGUUUGCAAAAUCCAAGAAUGAGGAACAAGAGAAAGACAUCCUUGAGACAUUUCGCAAAGUUGAGGUAAAUAUUCCUUUAUUAGAUGCUAUAAAACAAAUACCUCGAUAUGCUAAAGUCCUUAAGGAACUAUGCACCUCUAAGAGAAAAUUAAGAGGAGAUGAAAAAGUUCAUAUGGGGGAGAAUGUUUCAGCAGUUCUCCAAAAGAAACUACCUCCUAAGUGCAAGGAUCCAGGUAUGUUUACUAUCCCUUGCAAAAUUGGUAAUGUCAAAGUUGAAAAGGCUAUGUUAGAUCUAGGAGCUUCUAUUAAUGUCAUGCCUCGUUCCAUUUAUUCAUCUUUGAAUGUUGGUCCAUUAAAAGAAACUGGCAUGAUAAUUCAACUAGCUGAUAGGUCUAUAGGUCUAAUGCAUAUCCUGAUGGGGUAUUAGAAGAUGUCCUAGUACAAGUUAAUGAGUUAGUUUUUCCUGCUGAUUUUUAUGUACUUGAUAUGUAAGAGGAUAACUUCUCUAAUUCUGUCCCAAUUUUGCUAGGAAGACAUUUUCUUAAGACUGCUAGGACUAAAAUGGAUGUACAUAAAGGGACUCUCACUAUGGAGUUUGAUGGAGAGGUUAUAGAAUUCAAUAUGAAUGAUGCCAUGAAAUAUGCUAGUGAGGAACAUUCGGUAUUUUUUGUGGAUGUUAUUAACCCUAUACCGCAGGAAGUUUUUUUCAAGGAAAAGACGAAGACAUUUCAUGAUAGAAUGAUUUUGAGAAAGGAGUUCUCUGUUGGUCAAAAAGUUCUUAUUUUUCAUUCUAAGCUUAAACUUUUUCCAGGUAAAUUACGUUCUUGCUGGGUUGGACCUUUUAUUGUUACUAAUGUUUUUCCUCAUGGUGCAGUUGAGAUUCGGAGUCCGACCUCUGACAAAGUUUUUAAAGUUAACGGUCAUCGCUUAAAACCUUUUUAUGAAGGUUUUUCGGUGAAUAUUGUGGAGGAAAUGGCUCUCGAGAGUCCUAUUUAUGGAGAUUGAUGCAUAAAGGUGUCUAGCCAAAGACAUAAAACAAAGGCGCUUUUUGGGAGGCAACCCAAAUGAUUUGUUUAUUUUGGUUUUUGUUUUAUUUUCUUUUAGUUUUGAUUCAGAUUUAAAAAAAAAAAAAUUUUGUGUUUGCUUAUUUUGGUCAGAAGAAAAUUUUUGAUAAGGCGUGCCCACGUUUUAACUAAUAAGUACUUCUGUAAUUUUUAAAGUAAAAUAGUUUUAAGACGUUCCCACGCGCUUAUUAAAAAAGUACUUCUGUACUUUUUAAAGUAAAAUAGUUUUAAGGCGUGCCCACGUGCUUAUUAAAAAAGUACUUCUGAAAUUUUUGGUGUCUCAAAGUGAUUCAUCACUAAAAAAAAAAAAAAAAAAAUUUACUGUUCACAAAAUCCCUAAUUUUCCAGAUCUUGUUUUCUUCUCCAGCCGCUUGCAGCACACCAGCAGCAAACCAGCCCGCCGGAAAACGCACCACCCCGCGUGCGCAGUACCAGCAUCUCGUGUCUCGCAAGUCCAACCAGUGCGCAACGCAAGCCCCAGCAGCGCGCAACGUAGCCCCAGCUGUGCGUGCAGCGCGAACCAGCCCCAACCCGAGCACGCAACCCAACAAGCAUCACCAGUUCGCAGCAUCAGUCCCAGCCCGCACGCGCAACACAACCAGCACCAACCCGGACAGCACAACCAUCCGCGCACAACUGAACCAACAGCCGUGUACCCGCAAGCUCCAGUCGAGCAGCAAUAGUCCGCAACCAGCCUACGACCUGCAUUCCAGCCGCGUGAAUCGAAAUCAGUGACAAGAUGGAGCAGAAUUUGGCCGCAUACUUCAAGAGUGUGGGAUUUAUCCCACCAUUCCCGCCAAGCCCAUAGACGUUAUGAGGAUCAAAGCUCACAAUUCAAGGAAGUUUUUGCCUUUAAUCUUUUAUCCUUACGCUUUAAUUUUUAUGUGAGCUUUGAUUAUCUUACAUUGGGGACAAUGUAAGUUCUUGGUGUGGGGGAGGGUUUUUGCAUUAUUGAUGUCUGGAAUUAUUGUUUUCACUCUACUUAUCUUUUUUUUCACUCUACUCAUCCUUAAAUGAUUUUGGAGUUAGUAUGCUUUAUAUAUUAUUAUUUUUUCUUUUCUUUUAUUUCUCACAACUUUUUUUUUCCCAUCUAUCUCAAAUUAUUUACAUCUAUUUUUAUUCUAUCAUACUCUUUCAUCACUCACAUUUUAUCUUUCACUUUUCAUCUUUCUCACUUCUUAUCAUUUUUACCUUUCCUUUUAUAUAUCACUCAUACCUUCUUCUCAUUCUACACCACUAUUGAUGGUUGAUUCAUUUGAAGAGUGUACAUGAUUUGAUGGCAAAUUUACCAACGUUGUGAGGAUUUGAGCCUAUGAGCAACCACUUUGCUCUAAUAUUUUUGUUAUGUGAAUAUCAAUCUUAGUUUGUUUAUUCUAGAACUUGCUUUGUUAUGCAUGUUGAAGCCGCAUUACGGGAUUUUAUGCAUUAAAAUGAUAAGGGCAAACCCUUUUCCAUUUUUCUAUUCUCGCAUUUUUUUUUUCUCUACCCGAAGACCUUUAUUUGCUACAUUUGUUUGAGCCUUAACCAUUACCCAUCUAAUUCUCUUCGUCUACUUAACCAUUUUUCUUCUUUUUGAGCCUCAAUUUAAGGAGAUUUUUGGACUCAUUGUGUGAAUAUAUUUUGUUGCCUUUUCUACCUUGUAUUAAAGUUUCUCAAUUAGAUCAACAAGCAUUAUGCUUGAAUUAAAUUGUGCAAGGUUCGUUUCUUUUGUUUGAUUCGAAAAAAAAAAUUGAAAAAAAAAAGUUUACAUUCUUGGUGACUUGAGUAGAAAUAAGCAUUUUGAUAUCAUAAGUUUAUUCAAUGAGUUCAUUCUUCUCAUUUUGAUCUCUUUUUCUUUCAUAGACCUUUCUUUUUCAUUUAACCUAUUUAACCCCAUUACAACCCUUUUAAGACCCUUAUAUUUUUGCAUUUUAUUCAUGUUUUGUGGAUUGAGAUGUGAUAUAUGAGCAAGCUUAUGGUAAUAGCAUUCUUUGAUUUGAUUUGAGUGCAUAAAUGAUACCCUAAACACUUUGAGCGCAUGGAGUGAAGUCAUUGAGAGGGCUAUUAAAUCUUGUUGCACUUGAAUUUUGAAUGGAUGUUCUUGGUGGUUGAAUGUUCUUAUUCUAUCUUAUGAGAUUCUAUGCUUUAAAAGUCCUUGUCUCUCGAAUGUUGAUCGACUUAAUUUCUUGAGGUAUGCUUGCUUAAAAUUAUUUUUGGAUGAGUUGAGAUGAGAAUUGAGUGGAGAUUUGGGAUUAAUCUUGAGUUAUAUGCUUGAGGACAAGCAUCAUCUUGGUGUGGGGGAAUUUGUUAGAGUGCAAUUUAUGCACUAGUUUUGCAUUAUUUACUUCCCUUAAUAUCGAUGUUUUGCACUUAAUAAUAAUGUUUUACUUGUGUUUUACUUUUGUAGGUGCAAUUCUAUUGAUUGGUGAUAAAAUUGAGCUAAAAGAUGAUGUUUAAGGAGGAUUGUUCUCUUGGAGAAAUUAUGAGCGUCAGAAGAACUUUGUUGAUAAGGCGUGGGCGCGUGCUGUCAACUGCGGACCUGCAGUUUUUAGUUUAAUAUGUUUUGUAUUUUUGGUUAUUUUUGUAAUUACGAAUUUAAUAUUUCAGAUAUUAGUAUUUUAUUUUAAAUAGAAUUCUAAAAGAGAAGAGAGAGAGAGUAUUUAAGGGAGGAAUCUAUUGUGAAAAAAGGGGGGACUUUUGGAGAAGAGAAAGAAACCCUAGAUCUAAACUUUUCUCUUCUCUCUAUGAAGUACUAAACCUAUUUUUCUGGUUGAAGGUUAAUGAAGCUUUGAUUCAUCACUACUGUGAGAUCUUUCUUAUGCUUUAAUUGUUUUAUUACUUUUUGGAUAUUUGUUUAUUCUCUAAAUUAGUUUCAUGAUUAUGUUUGUUAAUUAGGUAAUUGGCCACUAUUUAAUUAUCAACUUAAUCUAUUGUCCAUUAAAGGAUUCAUCGUAUGAAGAUUUUAAUGUUUGUGACAAAUAACAUAGCAGUGAGUUGUGUUAUGAGAAUAAACAAUCUAAUUUAAAUGAAUCAUCAUAUGUGUUGAUUAGGAUUUGGGUCUCUCUGGUUUUUCAGGCUGUCAAUUGAUUAAAUCCUAUGAUCGUAUCUAGGGUUGUCUAUUGAUUAGGGAAAUAUCCAACGGUCGUACCUUGGUUAUCGACUAGUUAAGGAGAGAUUGGCUAUUAGAGGGUCUCAAUAGCUAUAACCGGUCUAUUCAUAAGUAAUAAUAAUCUAUAUUUGAAUCAAUGAUCAGUAGUCGAAUUAAGCUGAGUUAAUUCCUUCAACCAGAGCUUUCUCCAAUUUGAAUUACAACUUUAAUUUGCAUUCUUGUUAUUUUUAAUUUGAUUUUUAUUAUUAUUAACAAUUCCCCCAUUUUACAUUUUACGUUUCAAAAGGAUUUAAAUAAUUACCGAUCUCUGUGGACACGACCCUGCUCAAUCACUAUACACAAUUUAUUUAGAGUAGGAAUUUAUUUUUGUUGGCUUCGACAACCAUCAGUAACAAAGCUACAGCUUUUUCUGUUGUGUGCAACAAGUGAAGAAAGUGAAAUUGUAAAGAAUACGAUCGAUUACUGAUACGAAAACAUAAAGAUUGAUAAAUUUUAGAGAAAUAAAGCUCCUAAAUAAUUAGAAUAUUAUUCUUAAGUCUUAAUAAAUAAAACUAGAAUUUUGGUUCUUUUUAAACAAUGAGAAAUAUUUUUUAAAAUAGGAAAACCAGAAAUAUUUUUUUGUAGUAAAAUUCUCUAGUCUAAAUAAGCAAAAUUUUAAUGUUUGAAGAAAAAAGAAGUAAACAUUCUGAAAGCAAUUAAAAAAAAGCAAAAUAACUUAAAAUUGCAAAAUAAUCAAGAAAAAAACGGAACUUUUGGCUCAAACACAGGGUAGAACAACAAUUUUUCCAUUUUAGUUAUCUUAUCGCAAGUUUUGAAAAGAUGUAUUAUGAGUUCUAAACAAACAGUGAAAGAAUCUAUAAUUAUGUGUUUGGAGAGUAAGAAAAACAAUGAGAAAAUGAAGAAAAGUUAUGAAGAAGAAUCUGGAAUUUAGUGAAUAAAACUCAACCACACAAUCGUGCUUACAACUAUUUAUUUAUACUUAGUUACAAUGUAAACUAAAUCUGUUUUAUAUUCUAUACACGCUAAACCAAUUGGUUAACAAAGUAGCUGACUCAGCUAACUGACUCUCUUACACGUCAGCUAUCAAGUUAUCAAGUGUGCUCAUCCUCACAGCUCUGACCAUGCUCUGUAACAUCCCCUCUCAAGCUAAACUGUCCAGGAUGGACAUUUAGCUUGCUGCGAAGAUAAUGGAAGCGGUCAAAAGUUAGUGGCUUGGUAAGUAUAUCUGCAGUUUGAUCCUCACUUGGAACAAAUUGCACUUCAAUAUUUUUGGCCGCUAUUUUCUCCCUGAUAAAGUGAAUGUCCAAUUCAACAUGCUUAGUUUUAGCAUGAUAAACUGGAUUGUAAGCCAAAGCUAUGGCACCUUGAUUAUCUCACCACAUAAUAGGUUCUGCAACAAGUUUGAUUUUCAACUCACUAAGCAGAUUUUCAAUCCAAAUAACUUCAAAUGUAGCUUGAGCUAAGGCUCUGUACUCAGCUUCAGUACUGGACCUUGAAACCACUUGUUGUUUCUUAGAACACCAUGAAACUAAAUUCGAACCAAGAUACACUGCAUACCCAGCUACUGAUUUUCUAUCAUCUUUGUCACAUGCCCAAUCAGAAUCACUAUAACAGUAUACUUGUAAAGUUCCACAAUGAUAAAAAUGCAAGCCAAAAUGAAUGGAUCCCUUCAAAUACCUCAAAAGUCUUUUACAUGCUUCCCAAUGUUCUGUCAUUGGCAAGGAUAGAAAUUGACAUAGUUUGUUAACUGAGAAUGCUAUCUCAGGUCUUGUUAGAGUCACAUACUGCAAGGCCCCAAUUAUACUUUUGGACUGAGAUGCAUUAGAAAUAAGUGAGCCUGAACCUUUUGUGAGAUGAUGCCCUGUGGACAUAGGAGUAGGAAUUGGACUGCAACUUGCCAUAUCAUGUUUUGCUAAGAGAUCAGCUAUAUAUUUGGCUUGAGAUAGAUGAACUCUAGCUGCUAUCUUAGAGACUUCAAUCCCAAGAAAAUAGCUUAACUCCCCCAAAUCCUUCAAGGCAAAAGUAGUCUGCAUAUUAUGAAUUACUUGCUCCACUAGUUGGUAGUUAGAUCCAGUAACAAUUAUGUCAUCAACAUAUACUAAGACAAGCAAGAUAUGAUUAUUUUCCCACUUAUAGAAGAGAGAGCUGUCAGACUUAGAGUUUAGAAAACCCCACUGAUCUACCAUAGCAUUCUUGAAUCUGUCAAACCAUGCUCGGGGGGCUUGCUUUAAUCCAUAGAUGGCCUUCUUGAGUUUGCAUACAUGAGUAGGCUUUGUAGGAUCAAUAAAUUCUUCAGGCUGGACCAUAUACACAUCUUCAACCAAAAAACCAUUCAAGAAUGCAUUGUUUACAUCUACCCGUCUGAGGAUCCAUUUGUUCAUGACAGCUAAACUCAAAACUAUUCUAACUGUGGAAGCUUUCACAACUGGACUAUAGGUUUCAGUAUAAUCUAUUCCAUGUGUCUGAUGGAAACCUUUUGCCACAAGCUUUGCUUUGUAUCUAGAAAUGGUUCCAUCCAAGUUAUAUUUAAUUCUGAAAACCCACUUGCUGCCAAUUACUUUGAUAGGUGUUGAUGGUUGUACUAAAACCCAGGUAUGAUUGUUUUGAAGUGCUUGAUACUCCUCAUGCAUUGCUUGAAACCAUUUUGGAUCAGUGAUUUCUUGGGAAACAGAGGUAGGUUCUGAGGGUGUGGCUAAAAGAGCAGCAAGAUAAGACUUUGGCUUAAAAAUGCCAGCUUUAGAUCUGGUGAUCAUAGAAUGUCCUAUUGGUGGUGCAGCAGGUAUUAAAUGUGGUGGUGAUUGAGUAUCAUUUAAAGGUUGAAUAUCAUACAUUUGUGGUGUAUGGGAAGAAGAAUAAAGGGAAUUUACCUGGCUAGGAAUUGUUGUUGAAAACUCAGAGGAACCACUUGCUGAAGAGGAUUGCAGUGCUGGAAAAUGAGUAAAGAUAGGAGUAGAGAUAGUGGCCGAAUGGGAAACUGUAUAAUUUGAAUUACAUGAUUGUGUGACAGAAGAAAAGUCUGAGCCAGGCACAUAUGGAAAGGAGUUUUCAUCAAAGAUGACAUGAUUGGAGAUGUACACCCUACCUGAAGAAUGAAGACAUUGGUACCCUUUAUGUUGAGAGCUGUACCCAAUGAAGACACAUCUACCUGAUCUAAACUCAAGUUUGUGCUUAUUAUAUGGCCUGAGGUAAGGAUAACAAGCACAACCAAAGGUUCUGAGAAAAUUGUAAUAUGGUUUUUGAUGAAAUUUUUUUUGAUAAGGUGAAAUAUUAUUCAAGGUUGGUGUAGGUAAUCUAUUGAUGAGAAACACAGCUGUGUGAAAAGCAUUCCACCAGAAUUUUAGUGGCAAACUCGCUUGGGCUAACAAAGUGAGGCCAAUAUCCACAAUGUGCCUAUGUUUUCUUUCUAUUCUACCAUUUUGAUGAUGAAUAUGAGGACAAGGAUGUCGGAAUUUAAUACCAAAUUGAUCAAGAUAUAUGGAGAAACUUCUAAAUUCCCCUCCCCAAUCUGUCUGGACAAUUUUGAUAUGCCUAUGCAAGUGUUUUUCAAUGAAGUUUUUGAAGUUUAUGAACACUUGAAGAGCAUCAGAUUUAGCAGUCAAGGGAAAGAUCCAUGUAAACCUACUGAAAUCAUCUAGAAUGGACAAAUAAUAGGAAUAACCCUGAGUUGAAGUAACAUGAGAAGGACCCCAAAGAUCAGCAUAUAAGAGUUGAAGAGGCUCUACUGUUUUUGUUGGAACAGAAUCAAAGUGUAACAGAUGACUUUUACCAAACUGACAAGCAUUACAGAAACUCAAGUGUUCGAUUUUAUUCAAGGAAAAGUCAGUACAAUCCUUCAAUACAUUUUUUAGAGUAUGAAAAGCCGGAUGUCCUAGCCUUUUGUGAAGCAAAUUGAUGUCAGCAGUGCUUGCAUUAGCUAUCAGGGCUGACUUACAUGAGUUAUUACUGACAAGGGAAGGAUUAUUCUGGACAGCAGAACCAUUACAAGACAAAGAAGGAAAAUAAGCAAACAUAGAUUCAAAGUGAUUGACAGAAGAUUGACAAAAUGAAACUGGGCUAUCAUCAGAAGAUUGGGAUGCAAUCUGGACUUGAUACAAUCCUCAUUUUGCAAUUCCUUUAAGCAAGAUGGUCCCUGAGCUCCUGGCCUUAACAAAACAACAAUUUUCAAGAAACUCAAUAGUGGCAUUAUUAUCAAAUAGAAGUUUCGAGACACUAAGUAAAUUUUUAGUUAUUUGAGGAACAUAAAGAACAUGACUUAGCAACAAAGGUUCAGAUGUAGUUGUGGCUAGCAAUACUGAUCCAACUUGUUUAAUAUGCAGAGAAGAACCAUUACCAACAAGCAACUUUUCACUUCCACUAUAAGAUUUUGGUUCAAGAAGUUUACCUGCAUCAUUGGUGAUAUGAUUAGUUGCACCACUGUCAAUGUACCAGGUGGGAUCUUCAACCAUCUUAGGAGUAGGAACUGUAGGUACGGAAGGAGAGCAGCCACUGUAAUCUCCAGUAAAACCAAAACCAGAUGCAGAAGAACUUGCACCAGUGGAGCUACCAGGUUGAGUAACAUAAAAAGCAGAUGGAUCUGAGCACAUCACAUAGCUUUGAUAUCCUGGACCUCUUGGCAAAUUGAAAUUUCCAGCAUUAUGAUUAGUAAAGACAUUGCCAAAUUGAGAAUUAAACCCUUUGCCAUAAGCACCAUUAAAAAAUCUGCCACCUGAAUUUCCAAAUCCCCUUCCAAAAUUCCUUUGACCAGCCCUAAAAUUGCCAUUAAAAUUUCCUCUUGCUUGAUUCCUUGAAGGUACAAAAGCAGAAUUGUACCUAUUCUUGCACUUGUGAGCUCCAUGACCCGGUACAAAACAGAUUUGACAAACGAUAGUUGAAUUACCAUCACCAGAUUGUCCCAUACCAUUUCUAUUAGCAAAAUUUCCAUAGACACCUCCACCAUAAGUUAUAUUAUUAUUAUAUCUUGGAUUACCACCAGCAUUUUUUCCAGAAUUAAACUGUUUUUAUGCCAUAUUAGCUGACAAAUUAUGAGUAACAUCACUAGCAAUUUUGCCUCUCUUCUGCUCAACUCUAUUCUCAUGACUUAACAGUAAAGAGUAAAACUCAUCAAAAUUAAUCUUGUCACCUCUAGUUAAGACGCUCGUAACAAGAGACUCAUAAUCUGAGGAAUCCAAUCCAGUCAAAACAUAUUGAACAAAAUCACUCAAUUCAACAGGUUUUCCAGCCAGAGCUAAGCUAUCAGAUAACCUUUUGAUUUUAGCAAAAUAAUCAAUCAUUGACAUUGAGCCUUUUUUAAGUGUUUGAAUCUGCAUUUUAAGAGGCAUUAUUCUAGCCUGAGAUUGUGAGAUAAACAUACUAGUAAGUGUGUCCAGAAGUUCUUUAGCAGUAGAGCAAUGAAUCACCGUUGCCAGUAAAUUUUGUUGAAUGGAUGACAUCAUCCAACUCAGAAUCAAUUGAUCAGUCUUCACCCAAGCUAAAAACUCUGGAUUAAUUUCUCGAUCCUCUGAUCUUGUUGAAUCAAUAGCUCCAGUGACAGCUGAUGGAAGAAAUUGCUCUGGAUAGGCUCGAUCACCAUUGAUGAAGCUCUCCAAGCCGUUACCUUUAAUCGUUGUUAAAAUCUGAGUUCUCCAAACAAUGAAGUUAUUCUGGUCGAGUUUCACAGGAGUAACAAAACUAUAAGAUCCAGAGGUUUGAUUCGAGCUCAUCAUUGUUUGCUCUGAUACCAUGAAAGAAUCUGUAAUUAUGUGUUUGGAGAGUAAGAAAAACAAUGAGAAAACGAAGAAAAGUUAUAAGAAGAAUCUGGAAUUUAUUGAAUAAAACUCAACCACAUAAUCGUGCUUACAGCUCUUUAUUUAUACUUAGUUACAAUGUAAACUAAAUCUGUUUUAUAUUCUAUACACGCUAAACCAAUUGGUUAACAAAGUAACUGACUCAGCUAACUGACUCUCUUACAUGUCAGCUAUCAAGUUAUCAAGUGUGCUCAUCCUCACAGCUCUGACCAUGCUCUGUAACAAACAACUAUCCCUACAAAGUACCAUGCUCAUGCUAUGUAUCCAGACUUUUCCAUCAGAUAGGCUGUCCAUAAAUACAGUGAUAGAAAUGUUAUUGCAAAGAAAAAUACUAGCAAUGACGUUUUGAAAAUUCCACCAAAGUCUUUUGCAUCUUCUCCUCCAGGACCACCAAUAGAUUAUAGAGUCCGUUUGACUCAUAAAUUUUUGUCACUUUCACUAUUUUCAAAAGCACGAGAAAGCUUAUCAAAAGGACCACCAAUCUUUAAUGAAUUUUGGAUUCAGUGUUGAUAUUUUGGGCUUAUCAAAGCUAGAGUCCGUUCGACCCAUAAAAUGUUGUCACUUUCACUCUUUUCAAAAGCAUGUUAAAGCUGAUCUUCAGUGAAUUUUUUAUUCGCUUACCUUUAAGUAAUCUGUUCAUUUAUAUAAUUAUGCGGUUAUAGAUUCAAUUACUACUUCUCUUGAAAGUGAAAGCAGGGCAAAGUUUCGCCCAUAGGCAUCGUACGUAAAGUUUUCUCAUCCCCAGUCCUCUCCUCAUGAAGUUUUCUCUUGGAGACCUCAAAAGGAUGAGAGAGUACAGUCGAGCCGUCAUGACUCAUUAAGUCACUCCGGAGUGGGUGGUUAUUUUCACUGCUUUAUUGAAGGUCUGUAGCUGGUAGAUGCAGAUUUAGUUUGGUUAGGGGCUUGGUGGGGGUGCUCUCUAAGAGGCUGAGACACCAAUUAAUUCAGCCAUUAUUGUUCAAAACAACCUCCAACGGAUGGAUCCAGAAGAGCUUAUAAGGAGAUGCAGAGCAAUAAGAUUAAGUGAAAAGGAGAGAGGGAGAGUCUCUUUCAAGACAAAAAUGAAGGCUAAGGGAGAAAAGAUAGCUGUGGGCUGUUUGGUCGGAAAAGUGCUCCACACAAGAGGGGUCAACACUGAAGGCUUAAAAACGACAAUGCAGAGGGUGUGGAAAACCUCAAGGGAGGUCAAGAUAGAAAGUUUAGGGGAUAACACGUUUAUGUUCAGGUUUGGCUUAGAGGCAGAUAAAAGAAGUAUCAUGGUGGGGGGACCGUGGCAUUUUGCUAGAGCCCUUAUUGUGCGUACCGAACCAGAAGGAAUAGGGGAUAUCAAAAAGCAAGACUUUAGUCAUGUAUCAUUCUGGGUACAAAUCCAUGAUGUUCCCAUUAUGUGCAUGACUAAAGAAAUGGCCACCGAAUUAAGGGAGGUAAUUGGGAAAGUAGAAGAGGUAUAAACAGAUACAACGGGGGAAUGCAUUGGGCAGUUCUUAAGAUUAAGAAUUUCAGUGGAUGUUACAAAGCCGCUAAAAAAGAUAAUUGAGCUGGAACAAGAAGGGGAAGAUGAAGAGGAUAUCCCCAUGCGUGUGAUGUAUGAAAGAUUACCUGACUUUUGUUUCUGUUAUGGGAGGAUAGGGCAUCAGUACAGAGAAUCUGCUCACUACAAAUCUCAAUCCAAAGAUGAAUUGGCUUAUGGUCCAUGGAUUAAAGUAACUACCAUAACAGAGAGAUUAAGACAGAAUAUGGAAAGAGAUAGAUGGGAUUUUGAGCGUAAUAAUUUCAAUCCAAAGGUCUCAACCUAGACAACAAUGGAAACAAGCAGACACACGGUAGAGGAGGAGCAACACAGGAGGGGGGAAUCGGGUAACAGGUGGUGCCCAGACCAUCAGGAUCCGGGUAAGGAUUACCCGACUGAUGAAAUGGGUAUGGUUCAGAGGGUGGUUGGGACGCAAUUAAUGAAAGGGACUGAAACAGGCCGAAAGACCCCUGGAAAAUGCAGCCUAGAUGCUGGGGAUACAGUACCUCGGGAUACGAAUGGGCAAACAGAAAUGAGGGGAAAAGGGAAAGAGCAGAGAGAGGCAAGCCUUAAAUCAGAAAAAGCAAAGUUUCCUGGAAUGGCAAACGCGGGAACUUUUGAGAUGGAAGAAGUUGAUGACUUGGGGGAUGGGAAAAAAAGGGGAGGCAAACAAAAGGUAAUGGUGGGCUCGGCCCAUGUGGAAAUUGAAGCUGAGAAUGCAGACAAUGGGAAUUGCUCGGACAAAAUGAAGCCCAGGAAAAAGAAAUGGAAGUCACAAGCCCGAAAAAUGGAAAAUAAAGUAAGGAUAAAUGAAGCAAUCAUAAACUUAAAAAGGCCCAGCAGUGCUAUGGAGUGGGAGAACCCGGAAGCAAAAAAAUGCAAAAUAAAUAGCUGGCAGGGCGCUGAACAUUCAUCAUAGCAUCAGGAAGUUACUACAACAGCUACUCAGCUAGUUUUCGAAAAUGAAGACGGGGAUGCUUCAAAGGGGGUUCAGAAUGCUGCUCCUAAGAUAUCGGCGGAGGCUGGAAGACAGCCCCGCCGACAGUCAUGAAGCUAAUAAGCUGGAACGUUCGGGGGCUGGGGCAAGACCGAACGUUCCGAGAAGCCCAGCAAAUCUUGCAGGAGCAUAGACCUCAACUUUUAUUUCUUUGCGAAACAAAGAUGACGUCGAAGCAAAUGCAAGAGAAAGCGAGUAAGAUGAAAUUUCAGAAUUAUUUUUCAGUUAGCCGUGAAGGAUUGGGAGGUGGGUUGGCAAUGUUGUGGAAUCCAGGGACAACAGUAGAGAUAAAGUCUUUUAGUAAACAUCAUGUGGAUGCAGUGGUUUGUAACGAAAAUGGCAAUUAUUGGAGGUGUACGGGAGUGUAUGGCCAUCCAGAAUCAGAUCAGAAGAGACAUACUUGGGAGCUAUUCAGAAGGUUAGCUACUUUAUCUUCGCUGCAGUGGCUUUGUUUUGGAGAUUUUAAUGAGGUGUUGAACUUAAAUGAGAAAUUAGGAGGAAGAGAUAAGAGGGUUAAUAUGGUCAAUGAGUUUAGAAAAGCUAUUAGGGAUUGUGAUUUAAAGGAUUUAGGAAGUAUUGGGUACCCGUUUACUUGGUCCAAUAGACGGUUUGGCCAUCACAUUAUAGAAGAAAAGCUCAACAGAUUUUUGUGCAACAAUAAUUGGGGAAACAACUUCCAAGAAAAGGCUGGGCGGAAUUUAAUUUCUUGAAGCUCAGAUCAUAGUCCAAUCUUGAUGGAGGUGGUAGAAAAGAGGAAGGGAAAACGUUUUAUGAAAAGAACUUUCCCAAGAGUCCAUUACGAAGAUAUGUGGAGCUCGUACGAGAAGUGCAGAGAGAUAGUUAGGCAGGAAUGAAGGGAGGUGAAUUAUGAGAAUGGUAGCAAUCCAAUUGAAAUCUUCAAGAAAAAAAUCAAAGAUGUCGUUGGCUGAAUUAAAGAAUUUGAGCAAUGAAGAAUUUAGUGGGAGAGAAAAGAAGCUGGAGCAGUUGUAAAACAAGCUGAAGGACAUUAAAAUCGGGUACAAUCAUGCUGUUAAUGGAGAGGAGAUUACAAAAGUAGAAAAUCAGAUUGAUAAUAUCCUUCUUGACAAGGAAGUUUAUUGGAGGCAAAGAUCGAGGGUGGUUUGGUUGAGGGAGGGGGAUAAGAACAUGAAAUUUUUUCAUUCGAAAGCCUCUGCGAGAAGGAAAAAGAACUGGACAAGUGGGCUGGAAGAUGAGAAUGGCAAAUGGCUUGAAGAAGUUGACGAUGUAGAGCGGAUGGUAUGUGAGUAUUUCACUAAUAUCUUCACUACAACAAACCCAUCAUCAGGCCAGAUAAGCACAACCUUAUCAAACCUGCCAGCUAAGGUUACAAGGGAGAUGGGGAGCUUCAUGGACCAGCUGUUUACAAAAGAAGAUGUAGCAGAUUCCUUAGCUCAAAUGUGCCCCACAAAAGCGCUAGGACCAGAUGGGCUUCCAGCAGCUUUCUUCCAGAAACAUUGGGGUUCUGUGCAGCAAGAUGUUAUCACCACAUGCCUACAUGUUUUAAAUGAGGGAGGUAACAUUGCACCCCUGAAUCAUACAUACUUAGCUUUGAUCCCCAAAGUGCAAAAGCCUAGAAAAGUGACUGAUUUCAGACCUAUUAGCUUGUGUAAUGUUAUAUAUAGAAUUAUUGCUAAAACGCUAGCUAAUAGGCUUAAGAAGAUUCUGCAUGUUAUCAUCUCCCCGAACCAAAGCGCUUUUGUACCCAAUAGACUCAUUACUGAUAAUCUUAUUAUAGGAUACGAGUGUCUUAAUAAGAUUAGACAAAGCAAGAGUAAAAGAAAUGGGCUGGUAGCUCUUAAACUUGAUAUUAGUAAAGCCUACAAUAGGGUUGAGUGGGAAUUUGGAAAAUGCACAAUGCAAAAACUUGGAUUUUCAGAAAAAUGGGUGAAGUUGAUCAUGAAUUGUAUCACUACAGCAAGUUUUUCAGUGUUAAUCAAUGGAGUGGCAAAAGGCCUAAUCCAUCCUCAAAGAGGAUUGAGACAGGGCUGCCCCCUCUCCCCUUAUCUCUUUAUUAUGUGUGCAGAGGUGUUUUCGAACUUAAUGGUGAAUGCAGAAAAUCAAAAUCUCAUAAAUGGUUUGAAAUGCAGCAGCCUCAAGACAGGUGUUUAAUUUCGAGAAGUCCUCUAUGUUCUUUAGCAGCAGCACAAGUUCAGGUAAAAGGGAGGAAAUCAGGAGUAUUUUCGGUUUGAAUGUCGUUUCAAAACAUGAAAAGUAUCUGGGACUUCCAUUGAUGAUAAGGAGGAAAAAGACUAGCUUCUUCAACGACAUAAAACUGAGAGUGCUAAGCAAGCUAUCAAGUUGGCAAAACAAGUGUUUCUCAAGUGGGGGAAAAGAAAUACUCAUCAAAGCUGUGGCACAAGCUGUGCCUGCAUAUGCGAUGAGCGUAUUUAAAAUUCCUCAAAGGCUGUGUGAUGAUAUACAAAAGGCUGUAGCAAGGUUCUGGUGGGGAUCAUCCGAAACUCAUAGAAGGAUUCAUUGGGCAAGGUGGGAGAAAUUAUGUUAGGCCAAGAUUAGGGGUGGUCUGGGUUUUAGGGACUUUUCAAGCUUUAAUCAAGCCCUUGUCGCCAAACAGGGGUAGAGGAUCCUACAUAAUCCUGAUGCUUUAAUGUAAAAAAUUUUAAAAGCCAAGUACUUCAAGCAUACUGACUUUAUGGAGGCAAAAUUGGGGUCAAAUCCCUCAUUUGUUUGGAGAAGUAUAUUAUGGGGGAGACAAGGGUUGCACAAAGGCUUAAGAUGGAGAAUAGGUAAUGGAAACCGGGUCUCAGUGUCCAGCAGGAAUUGGAUGCAAAAACUCGAAUGUUCCAGCUAUGUUCCUCACCAAAAUUUAGCAGAAAAUGCUGUUGUUGCUGAUUUUAUUGAUGACAAAAAUCAGUGGAUGGAGGAGAAGGUUGUGCAAUGUUUUCCCGAAGAGGUGGCACAAAGGAUUCUAAGAACCCCUCUGCCAAGAACCCCCCAGGAAGACCUGAUGAUUUGGCACUUUGAUAAGUAUGGCUGUUACUCAGUAAGAAGUGGAUACCAGGUGGCAGUUAGAAUGAAAUUCCCAGACAAUCCGGAGUGCUCUGAUAGCUCUAAAACUCAAUGGAAGGUAAUUUGGUCAAAUGAGAUUCCGGAAAAAAUAAAAAUUUUCAUGUGGAGAGCUGCUCAGAAUCUAUUACCAACAGCCAAUAAUCUAUGGAGGAAAAAUGUGGUGGGGAAUCCAGCCUGUCAAAGAUGUAAUUGUAAAAGUGAGAAUGUCACUCAUGUGUUAAUGGAGUGUAAGGCUGCUCAAAAAGUCUGGAAGUUGACAGAUUUUUACGAAGAUAUGAAGUUGUUGUCUCAGCAUGACAUACUGAGUAUGCUCCAAGAACUAGCAUCGAGAAGAACGAAGAAAGAGAUUGAGCAGAUUCUUGCAAUAUAUUGGGCCAUUUGGUAUGCGAGGAACCGCUUUGUAAUUGAAGGAAAGCAGGAAGAGCCAAAACUGGCAGCAGCUAGAGCAUCAGCUAUUGUGGAGUCAUAUAAGAGAAUCAAAACCCAAAACGGUCCAGCUAGAUCAAUUCAUUUUCAAAACAACCAACAAAUUUGGACACCUCCUCCAGAGGGGAAGUAUAAAGUCAAUGUGGAUGUUGCGAUUCAAAUGGCAGGUCUGAAGGCAGGGUUGGGGGCAGUGGUUAGGAAUUCCAAUGGAAAAAUCAUUGCUGCAGCUGUUAAGAAGGUGUGCUUUCAGGGAACAGUGGCGAGCAUGGAGGCUGAAGCAGUCCUUUUUGGCAUUCAAGUUGCCCAACAAGUAGAAUAUUUGCCCAUGAUUAUUGAAUCGGAUUCAACAGAAGUGGUGGAGCUGGUCUGGAGCAGGAAAAGUAGCUUGACUGAAGUUUCUUGGACAGUAGAAGAAAUAAAACAACAGCUGCAGAUCUCGAAUGCAUCUUCAUUACAGUUUGUUCCAAGGAAGUGUAAUGCCAUAGCUCAUGCUAUAGCAAAAGUGGCUCUGGAUUUUGAGAAUUCUGUUAUAUGGCUGGAAGAGUUUCCAGUCCAGAUCAUGAUGUUACUCUCAAAUUUUAUCAAUUAGAAAGCUUUACUUUCUUAUCAAAAAAAAAAAAAAAAAAAGCAGGGCAGAUAUUGUAACGCAGCUGCUAUUGGUAGCAAUUAAUUCUUGGAUGAAAUUUACUAAGGUAUAGCCUUGUUAAAGAACUGGUUUUCUUAAAUUGUAAAUGGUCCCGUUUAUGAUGGGGAGAUUUUGAUCAAAUCUGAAAGAAAGCUUGAAAAAUAUAUUGAAACUGUAAUGAAAUUUUAUGUUUGAUUUAUAUUACAAAUGUGGAUAAUGGGUUGAAGUUGCUAGCUUUGAAGAUAAUAUAGAAGAAGAUCAGAGUUUAUAUAAAUUGAGAUUCUUUUUUGCACUUAGAUUUUUAUUUAAAAAAUAUUGUUUGUGUUAUUAUUAAGAGGAAAAAUAUAAAUAAAUGAAUCUAAGUCUUAUAAUAUUAUAGUUGCCAUGUGUCAUAAUCAUAUUAAAAGGUUUGAAAAAAUUAGAUUAGGUGAGGAUUCAAUUCCUCCUUGAAGACCGCUAAUAGAAUUGGUUUCACUCAUAAAUUUUUGUCACUUUCACUCUUUUCAAAAGUGCGUGAAAGCUAGGUUAUAGAAUUUUGGAUGGACGAUCACUCUUUUACAAAGGACUACCAGUCUUUAAUGAAUUUUGGAUUCAGUGUUGAUAUUUUGGGCUCAUCAAAGCUAGACUAUAGAUUUUUUUUUUUUUUAAAGAAUUUUGAAUUCAAUGUUGAUAUCUUGAGCUUAUCUUUAACUAAUUUUUUACCACUCGUGCAUUUAUGUUAUUGUACGGUUAUAGAUUCAGUUAUUUUUAAAGUAGAAAAAUUACUUCUCUUAAAAGUGAAAGCAGGGAAUGCAGACGCUAUUUGUUGUAGUUAAUUCUUGGAUGAAAUUUGGGUCUUGCUAUAAUACAUGCAUGUAUCACAUACAUGCAAGGAAUAAAAAAAUUAAAAAAAAACAUUGCCAAACAUUUGAAAAAAAAAAAAAAAAAACUGGAGCAACUGGUAAAGAGCAACCGGUUGUGCCUUAAACGAUUAAAAAAUUAUGAAACAAUAUAAUAAAUAAAUAUAAUAAACAAAAUAAUAAUAAAAUAAUAAACAAAAUAAUAAUAAAAUAAUAAUUAUUUAAUAAUAAAGGCUAGAUAACUAUAAAAAAUUAGUUUCAAAUUUAAUGGUAUCAGUAUCAAGUUAACGGUAGGUGUUUCGUGUUUAUUGGUCUACUAAUUGCAUGAUAUUCAAGGUUGCAAGUGAAUGAUCCCAAGUUCCAUGUUCAUUGCCCUCAGUUUCAAGUUCUUUUGGUUUUAAGUUUAAUGGUCCUGGUAUCAAGUUAACGGUAGGUGUUUCAUAUUUAUUGGUUUAUUAAUUGCAUGAUUUUCAGGGUUGCAAGUUAAUUAUUCCAAGUUUCAUUUAUUGAAACCGAAUCUAAUGAAUCUGAGUCGGCGUAAUUGCCCCAAUUCAUUAGGCAGAUGGCCAUGAAAAUUAUUAUGAGCAACAUCAAGAGAUACUAAGAACGUGAGAUUUCCCAAGUGUGGGGGAAUGGUACCUCCGAGACCUAUAUCUGAAAGAUUCAAGGCCGUGACUCUUUGAUGACGUGAACCACAAGAAAUGCCAAUCCAGGUACAUAUUGGAUAAGAUAUAGACCAAAUAUUUGUCAGGACACUUUGAUAAUCAACGACACGGGCUUUGAAUGCAAGAAGAGCCGAUUGAUCUGUUGUUAAAUUGCUUAAAGUCGUCAUAGCUAAGCUAGCUAUGGAAUAUUGUAACAACAACAUGGGAACAAAGAAGAACGAUAAGCGCAUAUUGGCUCCUUUUUAUUAUAGAUGCAGCAAUCUAAUUGCUAAGUGAAGUUGAUACAAGUUUUAAGUGAAAGAAAUUAGCAUAUACUCAUACAAGAGACGUAUGAAUUUGAAAACAAGAAAAUAAAAAAUGUACAGGAGAGUGGGGACUUGCAAAUUGUUAUCUUUUAUCAUUGAGCGAAUCGUCCGAGUAAACGCCUAUAGACUUGUAAAUUGUUAUACGCCGUUGUACUUACCGAAAAGAAGAAGAUGCUCAGCAUUGGCAAGACCUAUGCAUUCUGUCCAUUUGUUCACAUUAUGCCGAGGCUCAUGGCAACCGCAAUAUGUUCUUUUUCUUUCGUCUAAAAAAAAAAAAAAAAAAAAAAAACGACCUUCACAUUAGGGCUAAUAAUUAUUGCUAAACAAUUAAUAAUGCUGAGGGUUAGUGGUAAUGUAGCUUUAAAAUAAUUGUUAUUAGUUGUGCCUUAAAAAUAAAGAAAUAAAUAUAGUUAUACCCCCAUAAUUUAAUAAAAUAAUCAUGUAAAUUUCUAAGCUUUUAACAAUAUACACCAAGACCCCUUCUGUUACUUUUUACCAUUUAUUUGGAUGUCACAUGCUUUUUUUUUUUUUUAAUUUUUCACAGCGGAUAUCAAAUGCUAAAUUUACUGUUAUUCCCAUAUCACGUCAUCGCUUGCUUCUACACAUUUUGAUUGUUUUUCCAAAGUUCAAAAUUGAAUUAAAAACAUUCUAAUUAACCUUAAAAUUAAAAAAAAAAAACUCAUCCAACCAGAUAUAAAUCUUCUAAUUAACCUAAAGAUAAGCUACACCCCCAUACUAAUUCCAAUUAAAUAAAUCUUCAUUUUUGUCAUGAUUUUGGAUCUCGAGCAGGGUGGAUAUAUCCAACUAGAUCCACCCCAUUGGCAUUCCAAUAUAUUAUGGAAUUGGAAGAGUAUCAAUGACUUAAUUUGUAAUUUUAAAUUUGUAACGUAUAAUUCUAAUUUGAGGAUUCAAAUGAAUUUAUGCGGAUCUAAAAGGGGACUGAAGAUGGGCAUGCAUACAUACAUACAUAUACAAUGAGAGAGAGAGAGAGAGAGAGAGAGAGAGGUAAUAUAACAUUCUUCUUGAUGAAGAUUUUUGUGCCAUACGAAUUAAAGAGAGUAUUGUGUCGAUGUUGGAGGCUUAAAGGGACAAGUGGUUACAUUGCUUCAGAGGUGUUUAGUAGAAACUUUGGUGAGGCAUCACAUAAUUUAAAUUACUAGAUUUAGCGAGAUAUAUAUAUUUUCUACAUUGGAUUUACAAGCAUUUGGAGCAGGAUAAUGAACUUAAAUUACUCGGAAUUGUAAACAGCGGAAAGUGAAAUUGCUAAGAAGAUGAAUAUUGUUGUUUUGUGGUGUAUACGGACUCGUCCAUCGGAUAGGUCGCCCAUGAACAGAGUGACAGAAAUGUUACUGCAAAGAAGCAGACUGACUAGCAGUGACGCUUUGAAUAAGUCCACCAAACAUCUUCUCCUACAAGACCACCAUUAUAUUUUUCCACCAUUCAACGUCGUGACGUGGGGAUCAGAAUUGAAUUAUAGGAUGCUUGUAAGUUUCCUUUGUGGAACUUGUGAAUUUGUGAUGGCAAAAGUCAAUGAUGCAUGUAACUAGCCGGCCCGUGUAGAGUCCGUUUGACUCAUAAAUAUUUGUCACUUUCACUCUUUUUCAAAACCCAAAAGCACGCUAAAGCUUAAUCUUAAAAGAAUUUUUGAUUUAGUGCUGACAUUUUGGGCUUACCUUUGAGUAAUUUUUACCACGCAUGCAUUUAUGUCAUUGUGCGGUCAUCCUUUACUUCUAAAGAUCGUAAUCUUUAAGAAAAAAUUACUUCUCUUGAAAGUGUAAGCAGGGCAGCUAUUGGCGUAUUGCAUUGCAGCUGCUAUGUGUAGUAGUCAAUUCUUGGAAAGAACUAGUUUUCUUAAAUUGUAAAUGGUCCCGUUUUAUGACUGGGAGAUUUUGAAUAAAAUUAAUAUGAUGAAUUCUUUGCAAGUGUUGUUCCUUGAAGUCUCAUCUUUCACAAUGUUUUUGAAAUAAAGAUAUUACCAUCUCUGACUAAAUAUUUACUCUUGAUUUGGACCACCUAAUCUGAACUUGAUGAAAGAAUAAAGAUUAUGAUCUUGCCUGAUUUUAUGGAUGUGGUUUUAUCUCACGUAAGUCAGUAAUGAAUUAAUUAAAAUUUACUGUCAAAUUACAAACUCAAAAACUGCUACUGCUUCAUUAUUCACAAUACCCAAAUUCAGUGCAGAACUUAUUAUAAGUUUUCCGAAAGUUUUACGCUUUCUUUCCCCCAAAUCCCAAGUACUUCUUGUAAUAUCAUUCCCCUGUAGAUGUCUUCCCCUAAGACAUGUUUAACUUUGGUUCAGGGUAACAAAGCUAUAGCUUUUCCUGCCGUGUGCAACAAGCUAUUAAAUUAAAGCAUUUAUUUCUGUAUUACUACUAGUAGUAAGAGAGGUGAAAUGGAAACUUGAAUUCAUGUUCAUACGACAGUUUGUUUAUAAAUAAAUGAGUUGAUAACAAGUCAUUUUAAAUAUUUGCCAAAACAAAACCGUGAGUGAUGUCUAGUUCAAUUUUCAAUGUUCAGAGUCCAAUUUUGAUUACUGGAAAUUUUAAUUAUGAAGUUGAAAUAAGAAUUUGUUACAAUAUAUUCCACCUUCCUAUACAGUCAUCUGGAAUAAUAAUAUAUCAAAAACAAUAAGAACUCAAUUUACAGGGUGAGAAAGAAAAGAAAGACGCUACGAGGGAAGCAGAGAUUUAAAGACUUCACUACUUUGUUGGAGGAACAAUUUCAUAAAUAUCCAGAAUAUUGACAUAAAACACAUACCAUAUCUAGCAUUAAGUAUAUUUAUUGUUUUCGACAUAUUUUGGGGGUAGGAAAAGCUAAACCUAUCUAGAACAAUGAAUUUAUAUUUUUAGGGGAGACGAGGUACCUCAUUGGUUUGUUGUGUGCGGUGUAUCUGAAAUUCGGGGUAGGUGAGAAGGGAAGAGGGAGUGGUAACAAUGGAGAAAGGUCAGAACAAAGAAAGAAGUCAUUCCAAAUGAGCUUCACGCCUGUAAAACAAUGAAAUAGAGGUUAGAGGUGAAGCCGUGAUACCCCGGCGUUCACACUCCGACGCUCAAGUUAGCAAACUCAAGCUUUUUAAUGGUAAAGAGGGCUUGUCAGCCCUCUGUAAAUCAAAGUUUAAGGUUGAAGAAAGCUUAUUUUGUGGAGUGUGAGUGUUAAUGGUGAAUGAGAACAUGAUGGAGAAUGAAACCUAGGCACCUUUAUAUAUGGAGUACCUCAGCUGCUACAUGACGUAUCAUUUUUAGCUUUUUAUGAUUUUUAGGCCGUUAUGUGCAUGUUCGCGGCGUAUCUCAUCUUUUGGAAAUGUGGCGCGCGCUUGAGAGCUGUCCAGGGUACCUCUGUAGUAGCUGUCGGAUAGGCGGCUGAAGACCACUGUCCUUGGGACAGUGUCCUUCACUUUUGGCAGAGGUGGCAGGCGAUUGCCCCCCAUUUUAGUACGACAUUUUUUAUUCCUAAUUCGGACAAAAUCGAAUAUUAUCCUUCAAAAUAUGGAGAUAUUUCCCAGGGCAGAUUUUUUCAGAGGAUUCCCCUGAGUCGGACCUGUCAGGUACCUCAAGUUAUCUGGGGUACCCUGAUAAAUGCGGGGUACCUCGAGUUACUUUGGAGUUAUGCGAGGUACCUCGAAUUAUGCCGGGUACCUCGAGUUAUUCCGGGUACCUUGAAUUAUUUUGGAGUUAUUCCGGGUAUCUCGAAUUAUACGGGGUACCUUGAAUUAUGUUGGAGUUAUUCCGGGUACCUCGAAUUAUGCGGGGUACCCCAAUCUAUGCGGGGUACCUCGAGUUACUCUGGAGUUAUGCAGGGUACCUCUGAUUGUGCCGAAUACCUCUAAUCGUGCAGGGUACCUUGAGUUACUCUGGAGUUAUGCGGGGCACCUCUGAUCACGCCGGGUACCUCUAAUCAUGCCGGGUACCUCUAAUCGUGCGAGGUAGUAUACCUCGAAUCAUGCCGAAUACCUCAGUUUACACUGAAGUUAUUCCAUUCGUUGAGACGUGGCGUUUUGCUAUCUUUCAUUUUUUCCCCCAAACAUUUAUAGAUGUCCAAAGAUAAAAAUUCGAAUAUUAGAUUUGUCAUUUCAAUGUAUGUUCUGCCCAAAGCAAUGACUUUUAUUCCACAAGCACAAGUAAGAAAGAGUACGCACAAAGUUAACAAACACACAUAGCAAACAUGACAUCAACUACUAGCAGCAGCAUCAUGCAUCUAGAAACUGCACUAUAAUCUUUUUGAGCUUUUCAACGGCAUCUUUCGUAUAUGCCUGCUGUUCUGGUGACUCCAUGCAAAAAUCCAAUGCCGAAUGCAUGCUGCUUAAUAAACAAUUCAUUUUAGCAGAAAAAGCUUGCUCUUCUGUCACCAAGUUUGCAUCGACAACAUCCCUCAAUGCACGACGUAAUGACUACCUUACCUAGUCUCUUAAACUUAUUUAUCCGGUAAACAUUUCAUUUGUGGGCUUCUAUCUGGUGAAAGUUUCCAUCAAUAAAACACCAUAACUAUAGACAUCACAUUUGGCCGAAAUCAUUCCUUCUAAUCCAUACUCUCCAUUUUUUGGUUUCGAUAGAUCAAAUGGAUGUGACAUCAUAAAACAAAUGAUAAACAAAUAAUCAGUCAAGAUGGCCCAAACUUUGACUGUGCUUAGAAAAGAGCAAAAUUUUGAAAUUAUAAUUGAAACCUUACCUGGUGCCAUCUAUAACCAAUUGUAGCCACUGUCAUGAUUUGGGUAACAGAAUCUUCUCCAUCACUUAAGAGUUCAAAAAUGCCGAACUCACAUAUGCCAGCAUUGAAAUACAAGUGUGCAACCCAAGAAGGGGGGUGAAUUGGGAUUCUAAAACAAAUUAUCAUGCAAAUCUAAAAUGAAUUUAAUGCAAUAACAAUUAAAUCAAUUACAAUAUAAAAAGAUAAGGGAAGAGAGAUUCAAACACGAAGAUUUUAUGCGGUUCGGCCAACCUCGCCUACGUCCACGCCUCCAAGCUUUCCAGGCUUGAGGAUUUCACUAAGCAAGCCUCCAAGGCUUCAAAUGCUUACACUUGACUUCCAAGGUGUCAAUGAACCUUUACAACAAGAGAUUAUCCCCAAUCUCUUAACCCAAGUGUAUCCCAACAUUUACAACCACUCAAAAUAAAAGAUUACAAAUUGUUUUUCUCUCACACAAUAUUUAAGAUUACAAAUUAAUGCCAAAUGUGUGAAUAGAUGAAGCAAGAAUAUGUUUAAAUCUCUAUGAAGAUUAUAUUCUCGAAUAUAAGCUCAAUAGUCGUGUUGUGAUCAACCUUGUUUGAAUUUUAAUGAGCUUAUUUAUAGUUGGAGAUGAAAAACUAGCCGUUAUAGACUGUCUGCUCGAAAACAAUUCACCAUUAACCAUUAACAGUUAACUGUUUAGGCUGGUCAAAGUUACCGUUGGGCCAAUUUUCAAAUAAACGGUUUUCCGUUUAGGAUUACCCUUUCGCCAUUAAAUUCCAGAGACCUGCAAGAUAAACUUCAGUUAUCCGUUUACAUUAAACGGUCAAAGAUUUGCAUGAAAUAACCUCUCUGGAAUUUAUCGGUUAGCCGUUUGUAAUAAACGGUUCGCUGUUUGUUUCCAGUAACAAGAUGAACACAGUUUUCCAUUCUGGAUUUUAUCGGUUAACCAUUUCAAUAAACGGUUCAUGGUUUAAUUCCAGUAGCCUUCUCAACAUUUUGUGUUUUCUGUUUUUGUUAACCGGUUAGAGCUUAAGCAAUUCGUUACUCUCUGGAUUUAAUCGGUUAACUGUUAAAAAGAAAACGGUUCAUCGUUUAUUUCCAGAAUCAUAUUGUUAGCCAGAUAUUGCAAAGAAUCAUUUUCCAAUUUUAAGUUUAACAGUAAUCCAACUUUUAUGAAUAUAAUUGGAAUGAUUAUAAGGUUUUCGUUUAUUAAUCCAACAUUUUAAUCAGAAACAUUUAAAGUUUGUUAUCAUCAAAAUCAAUAUUAUGAACAUAUACAUGUUAACAUUCUCCCCCUUUUUGAUGAUGACAAACUUCAUUCAAUAUUUGCUCCCCCUUAAUAUCUGCUCCCCCUAAAUGUGUGGCCAAAUCAAAAAUUGUCGAAUAAACUGAUUUUUGCUCAAGGAAACAUUUUAAAAAAAAUUCAUUGUUUUAAAAAAAAUUAAAAAACAAAAUUCAUUUCAAAUCUCCCCCUUUAUCAAUAUACUCAAUAUACAAGAGCAUAUACUCAAUAUACAAUAGCAUUACAAUAAUCUCUCCCCCUUCAUCAUCAAAAAGAAAAGAGAGAAAAGAAAUCCGUAAAGCAUAGAGGUGAGAAAGAAGUUGCCCAGUUUUGGCGAGCAAAAAAUUUGGCAUAGUUUCCCCUUAAAAUGGAACAAAUCCACUAAUACAAAAUGAGAUUAAAAAAGAAAACACUUCCAAAUAUAUUAACAACAACUCCAUCAUCCAACAUACCAACAACUCCAUCUUCCAAUAUCAAAUCAGCCAACAUCAAAUCAUCCAACAUCAAAUCAUCCAACAUUAAGAACAUCACAAAAACAAUCUAUCAUCAAAAUCAUAGAGAAGUAGCAAUGUAUACCAGAAUAUAAAUAGCAACACACAAACAAACAAAAUAUGAAAUGUAUGUGCGAAGAUGAGACUCAGAAACUAUGAAGGUGGUGAAGAUGUGCUCCCCGGAUCAUAACCGAAAUGACGAAGAAGAGUGCGCUAUCCAGCUAUAAGCUCAAGCUGCUGAUCAAUGCUCUGCUGCUGGAAGGUCUGAAACUCAGAACGAAGCUGCUGAUGGUCGUGGGAGAAGGUGUCCAAUCUAUCGAUAAUCAGCUGCUGCCUCUCUAAAAUCCUGCGAACAUCAUCCACCAACUGCUGCAAGGCGGCCGAAGUAGGGGGCUGAAUUGAAUCAUGAGGUUGUUCGGGAGCUGGAGGUGGCCCAGAAACGGAGGGCCGUGCAGGAACAACAGAUGGCUCGGGAGCGGAAGGCUAUGCUGGAGCUAGAGGUGGCAUCGAAGUGGAUGGAAUAUCAGCAUCCAUCUCACGCUCCUCAGAGUCAGAGUCAGCUGGAGGCUAGGGGACAAAACGGUGACGUGGAGGAGGUGGAUGAGCUCCUAAUCGAAAAUCUGGAAGCUGAUCGGGAGGAUAGACAUCGUUGAGCAUAUGAUCGUCCUCUGGAGCAAUCAAGGUAUCCCGAUUUUUGGAGUUUUUAGUCUUUAUCCACUGGCCAUUCUUUCUAGAAAAACUGAUACUAGUCAUGGCCUCUGGACCAAUCCGUCUAGUCUCCGUAUAACCGGUAUCUAGAAGAGGCACCUCAAAGCGUCGCAGUAUCUUAGUAAUGAUACUGCCAUAUGGAAGCAAGCGGCGAUUAACCGCGGGAGUACUCAACAUGUGCCUCACAAUAACAUAGAUGAGGUUAAUGGAUCGACCUGAAAUGAGGCUAUCUAAUAAGCCAACGUCUAACCUCGUAACCUCAUCCGAGUGACCCUUCCUAGGUGUCACUAUAUGCUGUAAAAUUGUGUGAAGUAUGCGAACUUGCAGAGGUAAAGGUUGAGACCAAAAAGGUAAGUGACAAGUUUCAUAACUCAGUUCUCGACGCCGACAGAUAUUACGAACUCCAUUAGCAUGACUAAAACCGUCAAAGGAAAGAGCUUUCCUAGAUGUAUAAAAUUUAUUACCAUCACUAGAGAUACCUAGAAAGCCAUUAAGGUCCUUAUCAUCAAAUUCAAUAUGAAUACCGCCAACCUAAGUAACUAUCCUAUCUAGGUGAGUUACGGAGAUUUCCAUAUUCGAAUAGAAAACUCGCACUAAAUUUGGAUAUACUCAGUCAUCAAAAUCAAUGGCAGACUCCCAAGGCUGAAGCAUAUCCCUAAUGCUUCUACCACACACAAUUAAAGUUUUAAAAUCUUCUAUAUCCACAUAGUAAGAAUCAAGUACCUUUCUACCAUUGAAGGGGUCCUCGAAACGCUUGGCCAAAGAGGCUAUGGGGAAAUGAAUUCUUUCGAAUUCAGAGACUCUCCGUGGUGGUAUAGAAUUCCUUUGAGGCGUAUCCUUCCUCCUUCGAAGUCUUCGAGAGUACGCAACCAUGGUGAAGAACAAGGAGAAUGAGGGAUUUUGAGAACAGUGACUUUGGACGAAAAAUAACUGAUUUUGGGAUCAAGAGAUAGUGGAGGAUGGAAUUUGGAAGCUUAAUGUGGUUGAAAAAUGACACGAAUUAGGUCAAAAAUGACAAAACCUAACCGGCUGCCCUUAGGGUUUUGAUUUGGAAUUUUUCAAUUUCAGGCUCGAUUCGAAGAUUUGAAUCGGUAAAAGUGAUCUAAAGGUGAUGGGAAAUGAUGUUAUAGGUGUGAUUUGGCAAGGAAAUCAAGAAAAAUGGAGUUUUGAUGAUAGAGAAAACUUCGGCUGCGCAACAAUGGCUGAAAUGGUAAGAAGGUAAAUGAAAAGAGAGAAGAAACCCUUGGAACAGUUUUUAUAUCGCAUGAAAACGGUUAACCGUUUAUUUAAACGGUUAGGGAGUAACUUUCAGAGACUAAUGAAUGGGAAACGGUGAAAGGGUAUCCUUUUAACGGCUAAGGAGUAACUUCCAGUGAGCUCUCUAUUUUUAAACGGUUUACCAAUUGCGUCAAACGGUAAAAGGGUAAAAGGCAGACAUCAUAAUCUAGUUUCUAGAAUAAAACGGUACACAGUUUAUUGGAAACGGUUAUCCGUUUAUUUUAUCUAUAAUUUCACACAUUUGAUUUAAUUUUUGGCCAGCAAAUAAUACAUUCAAAGAUCAUUUAAUUGAUCCAAAAAUGUUUUAUGAGCCAUUUUAAUGCAUGAUUCAUGAACAUGUAUUCAAGCAAUUAAUUCAUAUAAACAUUCAAGAAUUAUCAAAGCAAACACAUCACUUGAAUAUCAUGCUUAAGCAUUUCAUAAAUAUUAAAUCAUCAAAUCAUUAAUAAGUCAAUCAAUUCAAUACACUCAAUAACAUUAAUAGAGAAGUUAAUGCGAAAAUUUCAUCAUCCCAAGUUCAUGCCGAAUUUUUGAAAAUUAUUCUUCGCCAAGAGGUUUGGUAAAAAUAUCGGCAAGUUCUUUUUUUGUAGAAAUAAACUCUAAUGCAAUAUCUCCCUUUUGAACAUGAUCUCUCAAGAAAUGAUGUCUUAUUUCAAUAUGCUUGGUUCGAGAGUGUUGAAUGGGAUUCUUUGAUUCUAGUCUAGCUACGGGUGCAAAUGUUUCAUCAAAAUCAAUUCCUUCUUCUUGGUUGUAACCUUGAGCCACUAAUCUAGCUUUAUUCCUUACAACCACACCGGAUUCAUCCAUCAUAUUUUUAAAUACCCAUUUAGUACCUAUGACGGAUUGAUGUUCCAAUUUAGGAACUAAUUCCCACACAUUGUUUCUUUCAAAUUGAUUUAACUCCUCUUGCAUUGCCAUAAUCCAAGAUUUAUCAUUUUCCGUAUCCGCAAAGGAUUUGGGUUCAAUUUGAGAAAUAAAUGCAUUAUGCUCACAAGUAUUCCUAAGUGAUGAUCUAGUUGUAACACCUCGUGAGGGAUCUCCUAAAAUUACAUCCUUAGGGUGAGAAGAAACAUACCUCCACUCUUUGGGGAGUGAUUGAGAAGUACCUUUAUUUUGCUUUACCUUUGUUUCUUCAUGUUGGUCAUCUUGAUUCCCAUGAGACGCAUCCUUUUGGUUAGCUUUUGAUGAUUCUUUUUGUAAGUCUUCAUCUACAUCAUUAUUAACAACAAAUUUCUCCAUAGAGGAGGGGUUAGAUUUAUCAAAUGUAACAUGCAUCGAUUCUUCUACAACUAGAGUUCUUUUGUUAUAAACUCUAUAAGCUUUGCUUGAGUUUGAAUAUCCAAGAAAAAUACCCACAUCAGAUUUUGGAUCAAAUUUGCCAAGAUUAUCUUUUGUGUUCAAAAUAAAACAUUUGCAUCCAAAAACUUUGAAAUAACCAAUAUUGGGUUUUCUAUUUUUCCAAAGCUCAUAUGGAGUUUUUGUAAGGUUAGGUCUAAUCAACACACGAUUUAAAACAUAACAAGCGGUGUUGACGGCCUCGGCCAAAAAAUACUUAGGCAAUGAAUUUUCAUUCAACAUAGUCCUAGCCAUUUCUUGAAUGGAUCUAUUCUUUCUCUUAACAACUCCAUUUUGUUGUGGAGUUCUAGGUGAUGAAAAUUGAUACUCAAUGCCAAAAUCAUUACAAAAAAUCUCAAAUGCAUGAUUUUCAAACUCUCCUCCAUGAUCACUCCUAAUGCAUCUUUUUCAUUUUGAAUUUUCUUACAAAGUACUUUAAAGACAUCAAGAGCAUCAUCCUUAUUAGCUAAGAAUAAUACCCAUGUAUAUCUAGAAUAAUCAUCCACUAUCACAAAUGCAUAAUAUUUGCUAUUUAGACUAGCAUAUCUAGAGAGCCCAAAUAAAUCUAUGUGAAGAAGUUGAAGUGGUUUUGAAGUAGAAAUAUGAUUUUUAUUUUUGAAAGAUGUUUUGAUUUGUUUUCCAAAUUGACAAGCUUCACAAAUCUUAUCUUUUUGAAAACUAAUUUUUGGAAGACCUUUAACUAAAUCAUUUUUCGAAAUUUUUGAAAUCAAAUCCAUACUUGCAUGUCCUAACCUUCUAUGCCAUAACCAACUAUCAUCAUGCAAUGCCGAAAAGCAUUUAUCAAGAGCAGAUGCAUAUUCUAUGUCAAUGAUAUAAACAUUACCACAUCUAUUCCCAACAAAUAAGAUCUUGCCAUCACAUGAAUUCUCAAUAACACAACUAAAUUUAUCAAAGACAACUUUAUAACAUUUGUCACAUAAUUGACUAAUACUAAUUAAGUUGUGUUUCAAGUUCUCAACCAAACAUACAUUAUUAGAGUUGAGGAAACUUUACCAACAUUUCCAAUUCCAAGAAUUUUUCCUUUUGAGUUGUCUCCAAAAGAUACCUCUCCACCAUUUUCAAUUUUGGUGAAGCUUGAGAACCAUGCAUAAUUUCCGGUCAUGUGCCUUGAACAACCACUGUCUAAGUACCAUUUAUUUUUCUUCUUCUUCAAGCCCUCAUUGAGAUCAUCAUCCUCUCCUAUUGCCAUAAGCGCUAGGUUUGAUACUUCUUGCAACCCUUCUUCAUCACUUGAAUCUUCCUCGUUAUCAUCCCAAGUUGCAACGAUGGCUUUCUUCUUGAGUUUGUUGAUAAGUGGGCACUCCGGUCUUAUAUGGCCAAGCUUCUUGCAUUCAUAGCAUGUGAUUACCUCUUUCUUCUCCCUUUGGUUCUUGAAGUUUCUGAAUUUUCUUCGCUCUCCGAUUUUCUUGAAGAAAUUUCUAAACAUCCUUGCCAGCAUGGCCAACUUUUCAUCAUCCGGUUCACUCUCCCUAUCACUCUCAUAUUUUGAAGCUUUGAGAGUAAUGCUUUUCUUAUUCUCCUCAUGCCCUUUUUCUGCUGCCAAAUCUUUUUCAUAUGAAAUGAGAGAACUGAUUAAAUCAUCAAGAGGUAAAGUAUUUAAAUUUUUGGCCUCUUCAAUAACGGUUCUUUUAGGUCUCCAUUCUUUUAGAAGUGACCUAAUGAUUUUCUUAACUUUCUCGCUAUUUGAGAAGGUCUUUCCUAGGGCUCCUAGGGUGUUUACUAUGUCGGUAAAUCUAGUAAAGCAUUCAUAGCUUUGGAAUUUAGAGAAACUUUUCUCUUUUCCAAUUCAUUCCAUUCUCGUGAAGGUUUUGGAAUAUCUUCCCCGACUUCAUUUUUAGUUAGGGGCAAAAAUGGACCAUCACAUAUAACUUCCCAAAUUUCAUAAUCUAAUGCUUGUAAAUAAAUUCUCAUCCUAGUUUUCCAAUAUAGGUAGUCAUUUCCGUCAAAGAACGGUGGUCUAGUUGUGGACUGUCCUUCCCUAAAGGUUGAGUCAUUUUGGGUUGCCAUGGAUCUUUUACUCUAGACGGUUAAGUCCUAACAAAAGAACCAAGCUCUAAUACCAAAUGAAAUACAAGUGUGCAACCCAAGAGGGGGGUGAAUUGGGAUUCUAAAAAUUAUUUGAUUAUAAAACAAAUUAUCAUGCAAAUCUAAAAUGAAUUUAAUGCAAUAACAAUUAAAUCAAUUACAAUAUAAAAAGAUAAGGGAAGAGAGAUUCAAACACGAAGAUUUUUACAUGGUUCGGCCAACCUUGCCUACAUCCACGCCUCCAAGCUUUCUGGGCUUGAGGAUUUCACUAAGUAAGCCUCUAAGGCUUCAAAUGCUUACACUUGACUUCCAAGGUGUCAAUGAACCUUUACAACAAGAUAUUGUCCCCAAUCUCUUAACCCAAGUGUAUCCCAACACUUACAAUCACUCAAAAUAAAAUAUUACAAAUUAUUUUUCUCUUACACAAUAUUUAAGAUUACAAAUUAAUGUCCAAUGUGUGAAUAGAUAAAGCAAGAAUAUGUUUAAAUCUCUAUAAAGAUUGUAUUCUCGAAUAUAAGCUCAAUAGUCGUGUUAUGAUCAACCUUGUUUGAAUUUUAAUGGGCUUAUUUAUUGUUGGAGAUGAAAAACUAGCCGUUAUAGACUGUCUGCUUGAAAACGGUUCGCCGUUAACCAUUAACGGUUAACUGUUUAGGCCGGUCAAAGUUACCGUUGGGCCAAUUUUCAAAUAAACGGUUUUUCGUUUAGGAUUACCCUUUCGCCGUUAAAUUCCAGAGACCUGCAAGAUAAACUUCAGUUAUACAUUUACAUUAAACGGUCAAAGAUUUGCAUGAAAUGACCUCUUUGGAAUUUAUCGGUUAGCCGUUUGUAAUAAACGGUUCGCUGUUUGUUUCCAGUAACAAGAUGAACACAGUUUUCCAUUAUGGAUUUUAUCGGUUAACCGUUUCAAUAAACGGUUCACGGUUUGAUUCCAGUAGCCUUCUCAACAUUUUGUGUUUUCCAUUUUUGUUAACCGGUUAGAGCUUAAGCAAUUCGUUACUCUCUAGAUUUAAUCGGUUAACCAUUAAAAAGAAAACGAUUCACUGUUUAUUUUCAGAAUCACAGUGUUAGCCAGAUAUUGCAAAGAAUCAUUUUCCAAUUUUAAGUUUAACAGUUAUCCAACUUUUAUGAAUAUAAUUGGAAUGAUUAUAAGUUUUCGUUUAUUAAUCCAACAUUUUAAUAAAAAACAUUUAAAGUUUGUUAUCAUCAAAAUCAAUAUUAUGAACAUAUACAUGUUAACAAACAUAUUUUCAUCCAAGAGAAUAUUGCUAGGCUUCAAAUCACAAUUAAUUACAGGUGCUGAUGAAUGAUCGUGAUGGAGAUAUUCAAGUGCCAGCCGCACAUCUAUCAUUAUAUUCGACCUCUCUAGGAUAUCUAGGAAAUAGUUGUGAGAACACAACUAUUUCUCAAGACUACCAUUGAGCAUGAACUCAGGCACCAGUGCUUUAGAACCUGGGUUGCAACAGCUGCUAGUGAUCUUUAUGAGAUCUUGAUGACGAACACUCCACAAUACUUCACACAUUCAGAAUCAAAACUCCUAAAGGCUCUCUCUAGCUGCAGAUUGAAAACCUUUAUUACAAUGAUAGUCACAUCAUAAAGUUUGCCUUUAUAAACAGAUCCGAAGCUAUUCGUACCUAACAUGAUAUUCUUUUCCAUGUUGUCGAAUAGAACAAAUCUUCUUAUCUGGAGUUCUUGUUUUCCUAUUUUGAAGUAUUAUAAAGAAUAUUAUAACAGUCGUUAUUAGUACAUUGGAUAUAAUCGAAGGCAAAGUAUAUUUUAGGACAAGCAGAGUAGCACUCUUGGAUCCUUUGCUAUUAUCUUCUUUGCAAGGUAGGACUUGAAGUCCUAGUGGACCACAGAGUGCAUAAUUCUCAACAAACGAUUGAGCUGAAAUGUUUUUAAUAGGUCAUUUGAUAGGAAUUCCCCCUUUUAGCCUAUUGUGAGACACAUUAAGUUGUUUGAGAUAUGAGAGUGCCUCCAUUGACUUUGGAAUUUCUCCAGAGAGAUUGUUGCUAGGGAGAUCCAAAGAUUCCAACCUUAUCAAACUACCAAAUGAUUUAGGGAUCAGACCAUAAAAUUUGUUUCUAGCCAGGGAUAAAGUUGCUAUAUCUUUGAGGCCACCAGUACUUAUUGGUAUAUCACGUGAUAAUUGAUUUCUUGAUAAAUCAACUCUAUUAAGACCUUUAAGUUUUGUAUAUCUGAAGAUAGAGGACCACUUAGAGAAUUUGUUGUCAAGUUUACAAACAAGAUGUACUCAAGACUCCAUAAGGAUGAUGGGAUACUAGAAGUGAGCGUGUUGGAGCUUAAAAAGAGUGUUCUUAGAGAAGUCAGACUGCCCAAGCAUUGCGGUAUAUGUCCGAAGAGCUUAUUUUCAUUUAAAAAUAAACCAGUCAACCGUUCCAAGCGGCAAAGAUCACUGGGAAUGUAUCCUUACAAAUGAUUGGCAUUGAAAUAUGAAACUUGUAGUGUCUUUAACGUUUGCAUUGAGGCUGGAAUAGUUCCGUCCAAGUCGUUAUUGGAGAGGCUUAAAAGUAUCAAGCCACGAAAAUUACCAAUCUCUUGAGGAGUGCUGCCCCUAAUUUUGCAAUCAUGUGCAAAAAAAUUUUGAAACGACUCAGAGAAAUUCCCAAUUAAUGGUGGAAGGAUGCCACGUAAAGAUUAGAACCUAAGGCUAAAAAUGCCAGCAUCCUGCAAGAAGUCAAAGAAGGGAGAAAACUCCACCACCAGUAGAUGAUUCAGUCGUCAAGUAAUUAUACACCAGGUUGAGGAGGCCAAGGAAUCUCAGGUUGCCAAAAGUGCUUGGGAUAAGGCCGGAGAAAGAGUUGUAGCUCAAGUCUAGGACUCCGAGUUUAAAAGCGUUGGUGAUGGAGUUGGGAAUUGUACCGCUAAGUUUGUUCUUCGCCAAGCUUAACCAGUCCAUGUUUGGAAGCGAGUGGCCAAUCGUUGAUGGUAAAUGGCCUGUGAAGUGGUUUUCAGCUAGAGUAAUUCUUGUUAUGUUGAAAUAUUGAAGAUCGUGGGUAGAAUAGAACCAGUUAAGUUAUUGGAAUUAAGAGCUAAAUACUCCAGAUUUUGUAGAUUGCCCAUCUCAGUUGGAAUUUCACCUGCCAGUAUAGAUGCCCACAUUAUAUUCACACCUAUUGUGCUAAAAGGACAAGCAGAGUAAUAUAUAUGUUUAAAUGCAUUAAAGUCGCAAGUUUCGUUUGACACCAAGCAUAUAAAUUAUGAUCUCUCUAGUUAAGCGAUUUUGUGAUUUUGUUAAUUAGUUGAAAAAAAAAUAUGAUGGAGAAUGUUUGAAUUGGGCCUUCUAUUUUCAUUAUAGAAUAAAUAAACUAUUAAUUUUCAUGAGAAAAAUACUUAUUUCCAUAAAAUUAUUCAAGCUUUUAAAAAGAUUCAGAAUUAAAACUUUUGUACAGUAGAAAAUUUGCCGGUACGUUCAAUUAGUAGUUUGUUUGAGGAAAUAAGAUUAGAAUAGGCUAUAGGUACGGUGGUUAUGCGGUACCUGUUUCAUAACUGUAGUAUAGCAAAUGUUUGACUUUUUUUAUUAGAAAUAUAUCAUUAACAAUUUUGUUCGCUAAUUGAAUAGAGAAAGAGGGGGGGGGGGGGGGGGGGCAAAAAGGUUAACACAGUUCGAAACUACAAACGAUUGCCUUUUCCUAUUAAUAAUGUUUGCAGAUUCUAACAAUUGAAUCUCAAGGUCAUUAUAUAGUGAAUUUUAUAGUGAAUAAAAUUAAUAUUCCACAUACUAUGUACUCAAUUAAUAUCACAUUAAUUGAGACUUAAGGUAGGGCUCAAUUGUUGGGAUACCUGAUAUUAUUCUCUUUCUAAAUAUAAAAUUAAUGUUAAUAAUAAAAGCAUUUGGAAAUUGGGUCGAAUCCCCCAUUAGGGAUCAAAUUGGGAUUGCGGUUGCUGAUGAAGCUACUUUAUAUUGUAUGGAUUAAAUAAGAUGCCGAUUGAAAAAAUAACUUAGUGUUUUGAAAAUUGCGUUGUUAUGGUUACUGUAAGUUUGUAAAGCAGAAUACAUGCAUUUAGUAAAUUUGAUUAUGAAAGUGUUGUUUUGUUAUAUAAUGACAAAAAUAGACAUAAGUUCAAAUUGCCUUUUAUUUAGAUAUUAGGGUUUGCAGAAAAAAAAGACUUAAUUAUCUUUGGUUAAAGUUUUAAGGUUAUAAUAAGAACUUUAAAAGUACAUGGCAACUUAUUUAAUAAGCUGCUUAUAAAAUGUAACUUCAUAUCAAGAAGUCUGAGGAUAAUACGAGUAGAGAAUUUGAGAAGGCAGCUAGGCGCCUAGAGAAUGCUCGAUUGGUUUGUGGCCUAUCUUUUAAUUUCUUCAGAUUCGGGACAAAUUGUCUCGGAGUGAACUGAUGUGUUGCCUUUUCUUUUUUGAAGCUUGGAUGAUCUAUUUGCUACAGUUAGAAGUGAAAAUCGUAAUGAAUGUUAAAUUAUGCUGAUUGUUUCGAUUUACUUUUCUAUCUUAGCUCCAUAUGAUUAGCGGAAUGCUGGUCCUGCGAGUAUAAAAAUGAACUCCUUAAGUCAAAUUCCUUCUUGGGGUGUUGGAGAAAGAACUAAAUACACGUAAUAUUUCUUUCAGAUAUGGAUCAUCUGAUGGAUGUUGUAUUUUCUAGGUAUUGACGAGAUUCCCCAAUAUUGAAAAUUACGUUGCCGUGCAUCAAAAUGUGAUCCCCUAGAAUUCACCUGUGACAAAAAGAGGACCUUGUAGCUGAGGCAUGGAUUUUUAUCUUUCUUGGUUAUAGUUGUUUCUCAUCAUAAUAGCAAAAGCAGUUUGUUCUGAGUGACCUAUGUGGUCUACUAUCAAUCUCUGCCAUUUCUAUCAUUUAGUACUAUUGACUAUGUGAGUAUAGAUAAUUUGUUUCUACCAUGUAAUUUCAUGUUUGAUACAUUUCUAAUACAUUGCAUAGCGUCCAUGAACGGGAAUUAUAAAAUAAAUUUCAAGCAUGUUUAAGUAGAUGAAAAAAACUUGGUACGAUUUAGAAGGAUCUACUGAUUAAAUAAUUUUUCCUAUUUGUUUGCCUGAAGGAAUUGAAUAGUUAAUUGAUUAAAGGAUUGCAGGGUGGUUAGGUCCAGCUGGGCAUUGUCAAUAUUAACGAUCAUUAUGAAUGUGUAGUUCCUGUAUGUGAAAUUGAAUUUCCAUGGUGACAUGAUAAAAUGAAUUUCUGGUAGGGUGUGAUCGUAUGGUAGCCAAUUGUGAGCAACAGAUCCACAUAGUGAUAUAGAUUGAAAUUUUGCGUCUUAAUCCUUGAAGAUAUAGAUUUUGGCAAUAUUGUACAAGCACUGGGGGUUACCUUAAAUAUUCUGGACUUGCCAUUGAUGGAGUUUCUUUUACCUAGUUAUUGAUAUUGCUUUCAAUUUUCUAUUUUACUGAUACCAUAUAUACAAUUUUAGGUGGCAAGACAACUUUCGAUUUCUAUUGAGCCUGAAAACCUACAUCUACCAUCACCUCUGUCAGCUUUCGGGGAAUACGAGGUUCCUAUGCGCUUACCCAAAAUACGAGGUCCAGUGGACUCUCAAUGUUAAAGUUCGCGGCAAAUAAACAAUCGUUUCAUUUGUUUGGGUCGUAUUUUUUGUGUCGUAUUUUUCUGUGUCGUAUUUUUUCCCCCAAGGUUUUGGUGCCUGUUGCAAACGGGAGUGAGCUGAUUGAGGCCGUGAUAACGAUCGAUGUUUUGAGAAGGUCUCGAGUUGACGUCACGGUUGCGUCUUGGAGAAACAGCUUCGUGUGGACGCGUGUCAUGGUGUCAAGAUUGUCGCGGAUGCUCUCGUGUCUGACUGUCGCGACGCCGUUUUUGAUCUUAUAGCUCUUCCCGUAUGUAUUGCAGCUCACCUCAGCUCAUGCUAAUUUAUGUGAUGUUUUUAUAAUUAUAGAUGAUUAUUGCUGAUACUGAAUGGUAAGCUAAAUAAUUCGUCAUUAAGUCAUCUUCAUUUUAUUUUCGAUUGAAAAUGAAAAAAUAAUAAUUUUGAGCAAAGAAAAAUAUAGAAAAUGUUUAUUUUGUUUUAUUUUUAUUUUUAAAUUUUUUGGGAUUUCCUUAUUGUGAUUGUUAUCAUUCAUUAUAUGGUCCUAGUUAAAUGUUUCAAGUUGUUGUAGUUUGUGAAAAUCUUUUCGAUAUUUAUUCUGGCAUGUACAUUUUUCCUUUCAAUUUAUUUUGUUGCUGAUACUUUGAUUAUGAUAUAUCCUUUUUUGUUUCCCUUGGAGGGUGGCAUGCCUGGUGCUACAAAUCUGAAAGGAUCUGAAGUAUUAGAAACCAUUGUGAAGAAGGCAUGCCCGAUGCUACAAAUCUGAAAGAAUCUAAAGUAUUAGAAACCAUUGUGAAGAAGCAGGCUUCAAAUGGGCGUCUUUAUGCUGCUGUCUGUGCUUCACCUGCUGUGGCAUUAGGGUCUUGGGGUCUAUUGAAGGGAUUGAAGGUAAGAGUUAGAUAAGCCUUUUUGAUGUUUUGUGUUCUUUUGGGAAUCACAUUGAUAUUUGGAAUCACAUUGAUAUUUGUGUUAUACGUUAGUUUUCUUCUCAUCGAUGAUUGUUAAGUUCUAAUUUAUGGGUUAUUCAUCUUUUGUAGGCUACUUGCUAUCCAUCAUUUAUGGAGCAAUUAGCUCCUGCUUGUGCAGCAACUGUUGAAUCAAGAGUACAGCAGGAUGGUAAAGUUGUUACAACUCGUGGACCUGGCACUACCAUGGAGUUUGCUGUUGCACUUGUUGAACAGUUGUAUCGGAAAGGGAAAGCUGAUGAAGUUUCUGGGCCACUGGUAUUAAGUUUUAUAGAUUAUGUUGUUUAAAAAAAUUAUGAGUUAUAUAAUUUGUGGGAAUCCAUUCUAAUAGGUUCCGCUGGCGUAUCUAAUUGAAGGUUCGGAUACUAAUGUAUUCAAAAAAAUUAGUUUAGGGGAAAAUUAUGACUUUUUGCAUUAGUAGUUCAUUAGGUGAAGUUGUAUACUGCUUGUGUUGAAAUGUCAAAUAUUUGGCUGCCAAUUUCAAAGAAACAAAUUUGGUUGGCUUGACAAUUUCAAAAGACAAAGUUAGGUUUUGAAAUGUGGGUUGAGCAAUUACUAAUACUGCGACUUCUAGAGAAAUAUAAAUGUGGUGAUAAACAAAUGCAAAGAAAAUAGGACACAAUAAUUUAUGUGGUUCGGCGUAAUGCCUACGUCCACAGGCAAAGACUGAAAAAUAAUUUUACUAACAAAUGGGAAUUUACAAAAGUGGGAAAAAACUCACAAAACCCACAACCCCAAUACACCCAAAUGGAACCUCACUAGAACACUCAAGUGGAAGCUCUCUCAAACUGUCUCAAAAAACUCACUUGCAAUUGCUCUCUACUUCUCUCAAAUUGGGAAUGCUUAGAAUGAAUGAUCUCUCCUCUAUUUAUAGCUGAGCCUUGCCAUUCAUGCUUUCCAUUUUCAAAGCAAAAGUCUUGAGCUCCUUCCAAAUUGUCAAGGGUCGGCGCCAUCUUUAGCCAAUUUUGAACAUCACCAAAUUGCAUGUACAAGCUUUUCAAAACCUUUUUCAUGCUUUCAAAACCUAACUUUGUCUUUUGAAAUUGUCAAGCCGACCAAAUUUGUUUCUUUGAAAUUGGCAGCCAAAUAUUUGACGUUUCAACAGCUUGUCCAUCUUAAGAUGGUGAAAACAAUGUCUGAUAUAAUUAAUGGCAUCUCGAUAUGUGCAUUUGUUGAGCUUUAAUGUCUGGACUGAUUAAAUUACUUUUAAUGUAAUUUCUUUCUCUUGGUAUUUGUCUUUGAAUUUUCUCUUCCUCAUGCUUUCGUCGUUAUUGUCACCUUGUGCCUAGGUAAUGCGUGCAAAUCAUGGAGAUGAAUUCACUAUUGCUGAAUUCAAUCCAAUCCAGUGGACAUUUGACAAUUCUCCUCAGGUGAGAUUGGACUUCUAGUUUCUUGUAUUUGUUUAUCUUCGUCUGAUGUUUUCAGGCAUACCCAUUCGGCAAUAUAUAAAACUCUGUGAUAUCUUCUAUAAAUAUACAUACAGAUCAUUGGCUUCACUCAUUUGUGAACAUAUUGGAGGUAGUAGAUUUAUGGUUAUGAUAUCUCUAAUAAAAUCCAAAGUUCGAUGCAACCACAAAAGAAGUUGUAGAAACUAAGGUGCUAUGAACAGACUAAGCAACCUUAUAUUCUGCCCCAAGAUCACCAACCAACUAAUCAAGAUGCUGCAAGAUUGAUGACUGAAAAGCUACGACUAAGAUGAAUCUAUAGAACUAGAGAAUUAACCAAUUUGCGUUUAAAAGAAUCAACAGAAGUAGAGCAAUCAAAGAACAAAAGAAACUUAACAUGGUUCAGCUAGAUUUCUCUGGCUUACAUCCACGGGAGGGUAAAGAAUAGCUUUAUUGACUUAACAAGAUGAAUUACAGAGUAAUGCUCAUAUUAUGGAAAGAACGUAACUGACUAUAUAUAUAGACCAGUCCCCCUCUCUCUCUUCAGCUCUCUCUGCAUACCAAUCUGUUGCUUCUUUUAAACCCAAAUUAGUUAAUUCUCUAGUUCCAUAGAUUCAUCUUAGUUGUAGCUUUUCAGUCAUCAAUCUUGUAGCAUCUUGAUUAAUUGGUUGGUGAUCUUGGGGCAGAAUCUAAGGUUGUUUAGUCUGUUCAUAGCACCUUAGUUUCUACAAUUGGUAUCAGAGCUGGAUCUACAACCAAUAACAAGUAUGGUUUCAACCAAGAUCGAUCUUGAGAAGUUUACUAGCAAGAAUGAUUUCAACAUAUGGAAGGUGAAGAUGGAGGCCUUGCUGAUAACACAGGGGUUAGGAGAUGCACUUGAACCUAUCACCAAGAAGGAAGAAAAAGAAGUAUCAUCCUCUAAGACACCUGAAAUGGCUGCCGAGAUAGACAAGAAGGCCAGAAGCACCAUCAUAUUGAGCUUUGGUGACUCAGUGAUAAGAGAGGUUGCCAAGGAGAAGACUAUUGCAGACCUAUGGGCCAAAUUAGAAAAGAUUUAUAUGACAAAAUCUUUAGCUAAUAGGUUAUAUAUCAAAAGGAGGAUGUUCACUCUGAAAAUGGCUGAAGGGUCCUCUCUGGAUGAUCAUAUCGAUGAAUUCAAUCAAGUUUAUGACACACUUGAAACCAUUGAUGAGGGGCUGGAUGAUGAAGGAAAGGCAUUGCUUCUGGUGAGUUCUUUACCUCAGUCUUACUCAAAUCUUGUUGAUGCUCUUAUGUAUGGAAGAUCAACCUUAUCAUUAGAUGAGGUUAAAGCUGCCUUGAAUACUAGAGGGCUACAAGAAAAAUCUGGAAAUAUAAUGCAUGCUAAAGGAUUAUCAGUUAAGGGUAAGUUUAACAAGAAUGAUGGAAAGAAGAAGAAACAAAAGCAAGACAAGUCUAAAUCACAAAACAAGAAGUGCUUUCAUUGUAACAAAGAAGGCACUUCAAGAGAGGCUGUCAAGAACUGAAGAACAAAAGCAAGGAAAGAAAUGGUGAUACAGCUACAGUGGAGGAAGAAGGUUAUGAAUCUGCUGGUGUAUGUGUGGCUACAGAGGAUCUCCAGAGAGGUAAAUGGAUACUAGAUUCUGGUUGCACAUUUCAUAUGUGCCCAUUUAAAACUUACUUUUUUAUUACCAUGAUUUAGAUGGGGGAAAAGUAAUGAUGGGUAACAAUGUUGUAUGGAAAGUCAUAGGCAUAGGCAAUGUGAGUCUUACGCUUCAUGAUGGAACAAUUUGGGAACUUAGAGAGGUCAGAUAUGUUCCUGAUUUAAAGAGGAACUUAAUCUCACUAGGUUUGAUAGAUCAGAAUGGGUUUAGUAUUAAGCUUGAAUCUAGUAGAUUGUUGAUCAUGAAGGGCUCUAAGAUAGUGAUGAAAGGUUAAAAAAGAAAUGGAGUAUAUGUCCUAGAUGGUGAGGCAGUUACAGGAAUAAUAGAUGUGAUUGUUGGCACUGGUGGGGUUAGCACUAGGCUGUGGCACCUAAGAUUGGGGCAUAUGAGUGUUAAGGGGUUAAAAGAACUUGAGAAACAAGGAGUUCUGGGGAAGGAUAAGAUAGAAGAGUUAGAUUUUUGUGAAGAUUGUGUAUUUGGGAAGUCCACAAGGCACAGUUUCAAACACUCAACUAACAAAUCUAUUGGCAUCCUAGAUUACAUACACUCUGAUCUCUGGGGACCAGCACAUACCAACUCAUUAGGUGGUAAUAGCUAUUUUUUGUCAAUAAUUGAUGAUUAUUCAAGAAGGGUUUGGGUCUAUGUACUGAAACACAAAGAUCAAGUCUUUAGUAAAUUUAAAGAAUGGAAAACCUUAGUUGAAAAUCAAACUAGAAAGAAGGUCAAGAAACUAAGGACAGAUAAUGGACUUGAGUUCUGCAAUCUGCAAUUUAACAGCUACUGUGCAAAUGAGGGGAUAACAAGGCACAAAACAGUGAGGUUAACAGCUAGUUAUCUGGUGAAUUUGAGUCCCUCUACUGCUCUUGAUUUUAAGACUCCAUUUGAAAUAUGGCAUGAAAAACCAGCAAGCUAUGUCAAUCUUAAAGUGUUUGGAUGCCCUGCUUAUGCACAUGUCAAUCAAGAGAAGCUAGCACCUAGGGCUCUUAAAGGUCAGUUCCUAGGCUAUCCUGAUGGAGUUAAAGGAUACAAACUAUGGUGUACUGAUCUAGAACCUCCAAGGUGCAUAAUAAGCAGAGAUGUGGCAUUUAAUGAGAAGGCUAUUUUGGAAGUCAGAAAGGAUGCUAGGUUGAAAACUAAGAAACCUCAAGUGGAAGAUAACAUCCAAUUUGGGGUGGAGCACCCUGAUUCAAAGAAAUCUGAGAGGAGUGAAAGUUCAGAUCAAGACAGUGAAGAUCAUGAUGAAUGCAGUGGCCCUCAACCACAAUCUCAAAGGCAGACUCAAGUACAAGGGUAUCAGCUGACAAAAGAUAGAGAAAAGAGACAAAUCAGACCACCACAGAGAUAUGGAUAUGUUGAUCUGAUAGCGUAUGCACUAGCUGCUUCACAUGGUAUUGAUGUAGAUGAACCCAAGAGUUAUGCUGAAGCAAUUCAAAGCUCAAACAAAUUAGAAUGGCAGGAAGCUAUGAAUAAAGAGAUAUCUUCCCUAAAGAAGAAUCACACUUGGAUACUGGUUGAGAAGGCUGGUAACAGAAGGACAAUGGGUUGCAAGUGGGUUUUCAGAGUCAAAGAAGGCCUCACAGCUAGUGAACUUAGCAGCUACAAAGCUAGGCUGGUGGCUAAGGGGUACACUCAAAGGGAAAGAGUUGACUUUAAGGAGGUAUUCUCCCCUGUGGUCAGACAUGCCUCCAUAAGGGUAUUGUUAGCAAUGACUGCAGUUCAUGAUUUAGAGCUUGAUCAACUCGAUGUCAAGACUGCAUUCCUACAAGGAAGACUACAGUAAGAAAUUCUUAUGACUCAACCUGAGGGUUAUGUGGAUUCUGAAAAACCAAACCAUGUUUGCUUACUAAAGAGAUCAUUUUAUGGGCUCAAGCAAUCUCCAAGGCAAUGGCAUCUCAGGUUUGAUGAAUUCAUGUUGUCACAUGGAUACCUGAGAUGCAGUUUUGAUUGCUGUGUAUAUUACAAGCUAAUAAGUUCAAAUCUCUACAUAUACCUGUUACUAUAUGUAGAUGAUAUGUUGGUAGCCUGUAAGUCAAGAGAAGAAAUUGAAGUUUUGAAGAAUUUGCUGAGCUCUGAAUUUGAGAUGAAAGAUUUGGGGUCAGCAAAGAAGAUACUGGGCAUGGAGAUCAAGAGGGACAGAAGCAAAGGUAUUAUAUUCCUUUCCUAAGAGAAAUACCUGAAGAGGGUACUGGAAACUUUUGGGAUGACCUCAUGUAAACCUGUGAUGACUCCAAUAGCAACAUAUUUUAAGCUCUCCAGUUUGCAGUGUCCAAAGACAGAAGAAGAAAAGUUAGAGAUGACUAAGAUUCCCUAUGCUAAUGCAGUUGGCUGCAUGAUGUAUGUUGUUGUGCAAAUUUUAUUGAACUCGCAAGUGCACGAAUCUAUUGUAGAAUAGACUAAUGGUGACGAGUGUCGAUCCCACGAGGAGGUGGAUUUUAAUUAUGUGUAGAAUUAAUUUUGUAAAUGGGUGGUUGGAUUUGUGGUGGAAGUGAUUUAAAUUAUCCUAAAAUUGGAAUUGAAAUGACAAGAAUAAAUUCUAAAAUUAGAAUUGCAAUGGCGAGAAUAAAUUGAAGAGAAAAUUAUUGAAAUGAUGUACUUGGGUAUCUGGAUUCGUAUCAACAUGCAUCAUGGGCUAAAUAAUCCUUAUUAAUGCCAAUUAAAUCAUGAGGGGGGAAUCCAUACCUCAUGAACCACGCUCUAAUCAAUAUGGUGCUAAGGGCUUAUCGUGCCAAAUAAUAAUAACCUUGUACUAGGGGGCCGGUGAAACCAAGGCGGUACUAGACAAGAUUAAUAUUAUUUGUCGACGAGAAGUCAAAACAUCCACAAAAAUUAGAGGGGAAGAGAAAGUAAAUUUACCAAAUAAAGCCCAUGACACAUGUUGAGACUUCACCUUCAACCCAAGCUUGAAAGAAAAUUAGCCACUUAUAAUUGAACUAGGGGUAAAAUGGAAAUUUAUUAAAAUACGUAGAAAAUACAAGAUGGAGAAGGAAUUACAGAAAAUGGAUCCCAAAAAUGGAUUCAGAGAUAUCAAAUUAGCGGGGGGAAGCCCCCUUUUUAUAGAUGCAUGGAGUAAAUCAUGGCCAUCAGAUUAAAAACAGUUUGGACGCUCAGGAUUGCGCCACGUCAUCAGUCAACAGUACGCGGUUUGACCAUGUGGAUGAACAGUAACACGGUUUGACCCGGGUGAACAGUGACGCGGUUUGGUUGAAAAUAAUCAUGUGUGAUGCAUGUACCGUACGUGAGAUUUUUCAUCCACUGAUAUGCUGCCACGUCACCAUCAACAGUACAUAAGAAUUUUAGCCCAACAGGAUCAUGACACCUCAUCAGUCAAUGCCACAUCAUCGGUCAAUGCCACGUCAUCGAUCCGUCUAUGUGAACAGUGUCAUGAACAGUAACGUAGACAGUACCGUACACGUGAAUAGUACCGUACAUGUGAAUAGUGCCAUUUUUCCUUUUAUGCUCCUCUUAAGGUUUUCGACCGUCCUGAGUUCAAAAGUGAUGUCCGUUUUGCCGUCUGAUCUCUGGUUUAUUGUGAAAUGACCAUGAUGCCCUAAAAUACAUAAAAUACUUAAUUAAAAUUAAACACACAUAAUUAAAUUGCAAGAAGCUUAAAUACAUAAAAGUAAGGGUUGUUAGUAAAACUUGAAAUGUAAAAUGAUGAUUUCUCCUUUAUAAAUAUGCAUUUUCUAACACUCAACACACCCCCCAACCAGCUUAUUGCUAGUCCCUAGCAAAUAAAGCGAAAACAAAAUUCAAAUCCAAAAUGAUUUUUUUUUUUAAUAAAAACACUCGUGUUUAUUCAAUCAGAUUAAUGAUAGCAAUCAAAUAAAAGUAUAAGCAUUAUCUGCAGUCUAAAGAAACAUCACACCCACAUCAACCAUCCACAUGAAUCAGCCCAGUAGACUUUGUUAUAGCUACUUUCAAGAAUGACAUGUCAAACCCCAAAAUCUCACUUGAAGUAGUGACACUCUCACAAAGAAAUUAAACCCAAUAAAAAUAGUCACUCCAAUGAAUGGUAAUUGAGAGAAAAUAAUAAAGAAGUGAUAUAACAUGCUCUUACCAAGAUGAAAGAAAUAUGCCCUCAGCUUAGAAAUAAUACGAUCUCAAGUCAAACAAAAAUGCUAGUCAACCCAUUUUCUUUAUCUCUUUUUUUUUAUUAUUAUACACUAUUACAUCUUUUUAGCCCAUAUAACUAGUUUCUACUUCAAACCAUAGUUCCCUAAAAUCAAGAAGGACUUUUAUUAGGACGUAAUGUAGGCUAGGGACAUGGCUAACACAGAAGGGAAAUAAGGAAAACAAAGUGUAUGUUUGAGAGAAAUGCAGAGAAAGUUUUUUUUUUUUUUGAAGUUGCAAGGUGUAUUUCACCUAUUGUUGUUAUUUUUAUUCUUUUGAAACAACAACUUUUGUUUUGUUUUGUUUUUUUUUUUUUAUUUGGCAUAACUUCACUGAACAAAAUAAUUAUUUACAUUUUCUCAAACAUAAAUAGGUGAUGGAACUUAUAAGACAUCGCGUAAUACUCCAAAUCGGAGUGGGUUAAGAUGAUAAGUUGACAAAGAAAAUGUUUUUUUUUUUUAGGCUCAAAAGGGUUAACUAUAGAUAUUUAAUAAAAGGGAUGGCUAGAAAGGAUCAAACGGAUCAAAGAUGGCCUUUUCAUCGUCUUUUAGGGCUCUAAAUAAUCAUCCAUAUCUACUAGUUAGAUGGGCCUCCCAAUGUAGCAACACAUAUAUAUAUAUAUAUAUAUUUUAAGGGUUAACUCAAAAGAAAUCUAGAGAUCGUGUGUAAAAUAAUAAACUGCUAAGUUGUAUAAAGAAUGGGCAAAAGGGUUACUCUCCAAGAAAAAUAAUAGGCUCAAAAACUCACUUGGUACUUAUUAUGAAAUGUUCAUUCCUUCAAGCAACUCAUAUUUGUCUCCAACAUCAACAUGUAGAGUAGUAAACAUAGUGUAACAUCACUUAAGACCAAAGAUAAUACAAAUACUAAAAUUUGAAAUGAAUCAUGUCAUCCAAUGUUAAAACAAAUCACACAAUUUUUUUUUUUUAAACAACAUUCUAGCCCCCAACCUAUUCUAAGCAUGAAAGGAAAAUAUGCAUGUAGAAAUGUGAAAAUGAUGCAAAAAAAACUAAUUAGAAAAGUUACACUUAAAAUGAUAGAAAAAGAAAUGUUUUGUUUUUUUUUUUUAACUAAGAAGAUGCGUUUCUAGAGGCACUACACUCCAUAUUCAGCCAUCUUUAACUUAAAAAAAAAAAAUUGAAAGUGUAUAUUUAUAAAGUAGAAAUUAAAAAGAAGAAGAAAAAUAAACAUCAAAACAUAAUAAAGAAAAAUGAAAAUGUCUGAAUUUUUUUUUUUUCAAACGAUGAAGAUGCGUUUCUAGAGUCACUACACUCCAUAUUCGACCAUCUUCAACACAAAAAGUUAGCAACAGUUAGUUUCUACAACAAAAAAUUAGUAAAAACUUAACCAAUAUUCCACAAUUGUCGACUAUUCCCUCCCCCCAACCAGAACGAAACAUUGUCCUCAAUGUUGUAAAAGAAAGAAGAAGAGUUUAGAAGACAUCACCUGGGUGGUGCAACACAGAAGAAAAUAUUUACAAGCGGAGAGUUAAAUCUAAUUUGUACUUCUUACUGCGGCUACUGUUACCGUCAUUAUUUGGACGUUCCAACACAAAGCUCCAGGGGUUUGGCUCCGGUUUAUGAGCUUGUAACAUAUCAAGGAGCUCAUUAGCAGUAUUCGCACAAAUAAAAAGCUUUUUGGCAUUGGAAGGAACAAAAUAAUUUUUUAUUGCAUGGUUAAGAAAUGCGAUAAAGCCAUCAUAAAAGUUAUUGACAUUUAGCAAACCGAUGGGUUUCUAGUGAUGGGCCCAAGAUGCUAGUGUGAUAAGUGCCUCUAGCGUUGCAAGAUCUCCUGGAAGGAAAAUAAAAGCAUCAGCAUGAUUAAGCAUUUCAGUUAUUCUUUCUUGCAUACCUGAGACGACUAACUCUUCUCCAGUCGAUGAGUCAGACAAACUGCCCAAAGGUUUUAGGACUCUUGGGAUGAUGCCUAACACUUGGCUUCCUAUGAUGAAAGCAGCUUCUGAGACCAAUUUUGAUAACCCUCGGUUACCUCCUCCAUACACCAAGUGUAAUUUUCUCUCUGCUAUACUUCGACCAAGAUCUAUGGCUGCAUCAACGAACUCUUUAUGUUUGCCAUAGGUAAAUCCAGAAAGCACAUAAAUGUUCUUGAAUUGUCUAUUGGGAGUAGCUGCCAUUGGAAAAUUUCUCAAAAAUAAUUUGUGAGUGCUUAACAAAAAGUCAUCUUUAAGAAUCUUGGUGACAGUGGAUCACGACUGUGUAUGAGGUGGCAUGUCAGUGUCAAAUAACGCGUAAAGCACAGGGCUCGAUAGUCAAAAAAUAAAUAGUAAAAAGGAAAAAACAAACAGUAAUAAAAUUAUUAAAGACAAUAAUGUAAACAAUAAAACAACAGUGAAAUGAAAUAAAAUAACAGUAAAGUAAAAGGAUAUUUACAGGUAGUUGCGACUGUGGCUCACAUCUUCCUCUGGUUUUACGUCCAGAAACGGCUUGAACGCCCUCUAUGGGUCGAGGAUAGGCUUCCCAUCCAGUUUUCUUAUAAACUGGCAAACAGGGUCGUUUAUAGUCAGAUUCCCGAGACUAUAUCAUGCAUGCUCUUUCUGGAAUAAUGGCCAUAACUGGAGAAUCGCUUCUUGCACAUAUCCACUGGGAUGCGUUUCAAGAGACAUAAGGAUAUCAUCCAAUGACUCCUUAUUCAAGCCAUCCCUAAUGAAUUGAAUCUUAUCUUCCCUGUUAUCAGACACCAUUCCUAAAGAACAUGGGUUUUUAUCGCAACUCAUUCUGGCACACUUGUGACAAGCAACAAAAAUUCUUCGAGCUCGUCGUUUUCUUGCAUAAUUUCCUUUACCACAACCGGGCAUGUGUUGAGUGUUAGAAAAUGCAUAUUUAUAAAGGAGAAAACCAUCAUUUUACAUUUCAAGUCUUACUAACAACUCUUACUUUUAUGUAUUUAACCUUCUUGUGAUGUAAUUACGCGUGUGUUAUUUUAAUUAAGUAUUUUAUGUAUUUUAGGGGCAUUAUAGUCAUUUCACAAUAAAGGAGAGAUCAGACGGCAAAACGGACAUCACUUUUGAACUCAGGAUGGUCGAAAACCUUAGGAGGGGCAUAAAAGGAAAAAUGGCACUAUUCACAUGUACGGUACUAUUCACGAUACUGUUCACAUAGACGGAUCGAUGACGUGGCAUUGACCGAUGAUGUGGCAUUGACUGAUGAGGUGUCACGAUCCUGUUGGGCUAAAAUUCUUAUGUACUGUUGAUGGUGACGUGGCAGCAUAUCAGUGGAUGAAAAAUCUCGCGUACGGUACAUGCAUCACACAGGAUUAUUUUCAACCAAACCGCGUUACUGUUCAUCCGAGUCAAACCGCGUUACUGUUCAUCCGAGUUAAACCGCGUUACUAUUCAUCCGAGUCAAACCGUGUUACUGUUCAUCCGCGUGGUCAAACCGUGGACUGUUGACUGAUGACGUGGCGCAAUCCUGAGCGUCCAAACUGUUUUUAAUCCGAUGGCCAUGAUUUACUCCAUGUAUCUAUAAAAAGGGGGCCUCCCCCCUCUAAUUUGAUAGCUCUGAAUCCAUUUUUGGGAUCCAUUUUUUGUAAUUCCUUUUCCAUCUUGUAUUUUCUUCGUAUUUUAAUAAAUUCCCAUUUUGCCCCUAGUUCAAUUAUGAGUGGCUAAUUUGCUUUCAAGCUUGGGUUGAAGGUGAAGUCUCAACAUGUGUCAUGUGCUUAAUUUGGUAAAUUUAUUUUCUCUUCCCCUCUAGUUUUUGUGGAUGAUUUGAUUUAUCGUCGACAAAUAAUACUGAUCUUGUCUAGAUACCGCCUUGGUUACACCGGCUCUCUAGUAUAAGGUUAUUAUUAUUUGGCACAAUAAGCCCUUAUCACCAUAUUGAUUAGAGCGUGGUUCAUCAGGUGUGGAUUCCCCCCUCAUGAUUUAAUUGGCAUUAAUACAGAUUAUUUAGCCCAUGAUGCAUGUUGAUACGGAUCCAGAUACCCAAGUACGUCAUUUCAAUAGAAUUCUCUUCAAUUUAUUCUCGCCAUUUUAAUUUAAGUUUUAGCAUAUUCCAAAUCAUUUCCACCACAGAUCCAAUCAACCAUUUGCAAAAUUAAUUCUAUACACAAUUAAAAUCCACCUCCUCGUGGGAUCGACACUCAUCACCAUUGAUCUAUACUACAAUAGAUUCGUGCGCUUGCGAGUACAUUAAAAUUUGCACAACAAGUUUUUGGCGCCGUUGCCGGGGAGAAAGGUUUUAAUAGCGCAAUAAGGGAAAUCUCGGAGUUUACCCAGAGAGAGGACGAGCAAUUUUUCGAAACAUGAGAGCGAUUCAAUGGGCUACUCUUGAAGUGUCCACAUCAUGGGUACGAGAAAUGGCACCAAUGUCAAUACUUUUUGGAGGGAUUAUUGCCGAAUGUGCAAGAAUGGCUAAUGGCAACAAGUGGAGGAGAGCUAAUGUCAAAAAGUGCAUCAGAAAUUUGGGAAUUCUUCCAGCGACAAGCAGAUAAUUCCCAACAACGGAGUCGAUCACUCAGGACUACUAGAAGAGUUAAAGGAGUGAAUGAGGUUCAAAUUGGCGAAUCAACUUCAGGAAUCAAAGAAGUCAAAGAGAUGGUUGAAGGUCUUGCUCGACAAAUAGCAUCGUUAUCGAGUGCUAAAUCAACAGAAUCACAUGACCAUGACUCAUACUCAGAUCAAGCCAAUGCCAUAGGUGUAAUAAGAAAACCAUCGAAUUACAACCCAUACUCCAACACAUAUAAUCCUGGAUGGAGAGACCACCCCAAUUUUUCAUGGUCUCAAGGAUUCCAACAGAGUGGACCAGCAGCUCCAGCUCCACCAAUGCAACCAAUUCCGCAAAUUCCUCAAGCCUCUCAGCCCCCAUUUAGGCCAUACAAUCAGAACCAGAACUACUCUCAACCUAGACCAUGGGAGGAUUCAUUCCAGAAUCUCAAGAAUCUUACUCACUCUACGAUUGAGCAACAGAACCGCACUAUUGAUGGACUACGAAAUGAAUUGAGAGCGGGCUUCAACUCACAAGCCCAAUCAGUUUCAAGCCUCGAGAAGAUGGUGGGACAACUUGCUUCUUCAGUUCAGACCUUGGCAAUGACCGUUGAGAAAGGUAAGUUUCCAAGUCAACCAGUGCCUAACCCUAAAGGAGUGCAUGAAGCAAGUACCAGUUCACCACAGCAGCAUGGAGAAGUUAAAGCAGUAAUGACCUUGCGAAAAGGAAAAGAAGUCGACAACAAAGUGGAGAUGCCGGUGACAAAAGAAAAUCAAAUUGUACCUGUGAAUGUUGAGGAAUCAUCACCGGAGGAGAAAGAAGAAACCAACCCACGAGAAUACGUUCCGAAAGCUCCAUUUCCUCAGAGGUUAGCUAAAGGAAAAAAGGAAAAAUCCACAGGUGAGAUUCUUGAAAUCUUCAAACAGGUAAGUGUUAACAUCCCUUUGCUUGAUGCUAUUAAACAAGUUCCAUCUUAUGCCAAGUUUCUUAAAGACCUUUGUACUAAAAAGAGAAACAUGCAUGUUCAAAAGAAGGCAUUUUUAACAGAAAACGUUAGUUCUAUACUCCAACAUAAAAUUCCUUUAAAAUGCAAAGACCCAGGCUCCCCCACUAUCUCAUGUAGUAUAGGGAAUCACACAAUUGAGAAUGCUUUGUUGGAUUUAGGAGCUAGUGUAAAUCUUUUGCCUUACUCUGUACUCGUGAAACUUGGACUUGGAGAAUUACACCCAACUCCAGUGGUGUUACAGCUUGCAGAUAGGUCCACGAAAAUACCUCGUAGUAUUGUGGAGGACGUGCUUAUCCAGGUAGACAAGUUUUAUUUUCCUGUUGAUUUCAUUGUAAUUGACACUCAACCAAUACAGGACUCAAGGAAGCACAUCCCCAAUAUUCUAGGCCGACCUUUCUUGGCAACUGCAGAUGCUCAUAUUCAAUGCAGGACUGGAAAUAUGCAGUUGUCCUUCGGCAACAUGACUAUGGAGCUAAACAUUUUCAACAUUGCCAAACAACCUCACAGUGCAGAUGAUGGAAUUGUUGAUGUGGAUUUAAUAGAAACAAUAGUUGAUAAUACUUUUCUUUCAAACCUUAGUGAUGAUCCUUUACAAACAUGUUUAACUCACUUUGGUUUGGAUUUUGAUAUUGACAGAUCGGUCGAUGAGGUCAACGCCCUGCUUGACUCAGCACCAUCUAUGGACACUAAUAAAUAGAAGUCAAGAGUUGAGCAACUAGCACCAUCAGAGAAGAAACUCAUCCCAUCAUCAGAAUCACCACCGAAACUCGAGCUCAAACCAUUACCCAACACUCUGGAAUAUGCAUUUUUGGGAGAAGAAAGUACUCUGCCGGAAUUUGACUUGGAAUUUAAAGAUAAGAAAGGCACAGAAAAUGUUGUGGCGGACCAUCUCUCUCUCUCGUCUCCAUUUUGACACAAUUACAGAGCCAUUAAUAUUAAAUGAGUCAUUUCCAGAUGAACAAUUAAUGAGUGUGGAAGUAUUACCUUGGUAUGCUGAUAUAGUUAAUUAUCUUGUUACAGGUGUCAACGAAUGGGGAGCAUUACACGAAGGAACAUGAUGCCACUAAAUCCAAUUUUAGUGGUUGAGAUUUUUGAUGUAUGGGGUAUCGACUUCAUGGGACCCUUUCCCUCUUUUUUUGGCCAUCAAUACAUAUUAGUUGGUGUUGACUACGUAUCGAAAUGGGUAGAAGCAAUUCCAUGUAGGACCAAUGAUCACAAGGUGGUGAUAGCAUUUUUGAAAAGCAACAUUGUUUCGCGCUUUGGAUUCCCUCGAGCAAUAAUUAGUGAUGGUGGUGCCCACUUUUGUAACAAAGCAUUCAAAGCUCUUUUGACAAAGUAUUCAAUCACACACAAAGUGGCGACCCCGUAUCAUCCGCAAACCAGUGGCCAAGUUGAGAUCUCCAAUCGAGAAAUAAAGCACAUAUUAGAAAAGACAGUGAGGCCGGAUAGAAAAGAUUGGUCAUUAAGACUUGAUGAUGCCUUAUGGGCAUAUAGAACGGCUUUCAAGACCCCGAUUGGGAUGUCACCCUACAAGCUAGUGUAUGGAAAAGCUUGCCACCUACCUGUGGAACUCGAGCAUCGUGCAUAUUGGGCCAUCAAGAAAUUCAAUUUUGACAUGCAGCAAGCCAGCUCAGAAAGAAGAUUACAACUGGCAGAACUUGAAGAAAUUCGCAAUGAUGCAUACGAAAAUGCCAAAAUUUACAAGCAACGAAUGAAAGUCUUUCAUGACAAGCACAUUAUGAGAAAAUCUUUCACUCCAGGUCAGAAAGUGCUUUUAUUCAAUUCUCGCUUGCACCUAUUCCCAGGUAAGUUACGCUCUCGAUGGUCUGGUCCCUUUAUUGUUCAUACUGUUUUUCCACAUGGGGCAAUUGAAAUUAAGGACCCAAAGAACGGUGUCACGUUUAAAGUUAAUGGUCAAAGAUUAAAGCCAUAUCUAGAAUACCAACCACAUGGAGAAGACACCGAAAUAAAUUUGAGUGACCCACCAGAUUUGAAUUGAUUUGUUUUUUCUUUUCGUUGAUUUGAUUUUGUUUUCUUUCUUUAUAUUAUUCUUCUGCUAAUUGAAAUUAUUUUUGCAUAAGUGUGUUUGUUUAACUAUUAAGUUUUCUCUUAUCAUUUUUAAUCAUGAGUACCUUGCUUAGACCGUUCCUCCUGAACAUUCUUAAACCACUUCAACGUGUCAAAACUCAUCUCAAAAGGCAGAUUCAAUUUUGUAAAACACAUCGCAUUUGGGCUCUACAACCACCAGAGUUAGUAGCCUAUGUUGAGAAUCUAGAAAGCCAACUCCGAGAUAUUGAGAGAAGUGUUUACGACAUCCAGUUGGAGCUUGAGUUUGUUACCCCGGUGAAGUGGCGGAUAACGGUACUCCGUGACAAUCAAGUCGGUUACUUCAGUUUCCCAUAAUAAUUGAUAUUCUGAGGCAAAGGUAUGGACAGAAACGAGAUUCUAGCGAAGCUUCACAAGCGAUUCCCUUCACUUCCUCAGAAUGCCCUCCUUACGAUCUAUAAAGCUCGGUCCGAACGCAUGCGAUUACUCAUGAAGAAUAACAUACCUGCUGACAUCCGUUGGUUAAUCGAGGCUAAAGUACGAUCGGCAGGUGAGUUACCUCCAAAAUUUAUUGCAUACAUGCCUGGUUGUGGUAAAGGAAAUUAUGCAAGAAAACGACGAGCUCGAAGAAUUUCUGUUGCUUGUCAUAAGUGUGCCAGAAUGAGUUGCGAUAGAAACCCAUGUUCUUUAGGAAUGGUGUCUGAUAACAGGGAAGAUAAGAUUCAAUUCAUUAGGGAUGGCUUGAAUAAGGAGUCAUUGGAUGAUAUCCUUUUGUCUCUUGAAACGCAUCCCAGUGGAUAUGUGCAAGGAGCGAUUCUCUAGUUAUGGCCAUUAUUCCAGAAAGAGCAUGCACGAUAUAGUCUCGGAAAUCUGACUAUAAACGACCUUGUUUGCCAGUUUAUAAGAAAACUGGAUAGGAAGCCUAUCCUCGACCCAUAGAGGGCGUUCAAGCCGUUUCUGGACGUAAAACCAUAGGAAGAUGUGAGCCACAGUCGCAACUACGUGUAAAUAUCCUUUUACUUUACUGUUAUUUUAUUUCAUUUCACUGUUGUUUUAUUGUUUGCAUUAUUGUCUUUAAUAAUUUUAUUACUGUUUGUUUUUUUCUCUUGACUGUUUCCUUUUUGACUCGCAAGCCAUGUGCUUCACGCGUUAUUUGACACUGACAUGUUACCUCAUUCACAGCUGUGAUCUACUGUCACCAAGAUUCUUAAAUGUGAUUUAUCUUUUGUCAAGCACUCACAAAUUAUUUUUGAGAAGUAUCACAAUGGCAGCUACUCCCAAUAGACAAUUCAAGAACAUUUGUGUGCUUUCUGGAUUUACCUAUGGCAAACAUAAAGAGUUCGUGGAGGCAGCCAUAGAUCUUGGUCGAAGCAUAGCAGCGAGAAAAUUACAUUUGGUGUAUGGAGGAGGUAACCGAGGGUUAUAAAAAAUGGUCUCAGAAGCAGCUUUUAUCAGAGGAAGUCAAGUGUUAGGCAUCAUCCCAAGAGUCCUAAAACCAUUGGGCAGUUCGUCUGACUUAUCAACUGGAGAAGAGUUAGUCGUCUCAGGUAUGCAAGAAAGAAUAACUGAAAUGCUUAAUCAUGCUGAUGCUUUUAUUUUCCUUCCAGGAGAUCUUGCAACACUAGAGGCACUUAUGACACUAGCAUCUUGGGCCCAUCUGCACAUCCACCAGAAACCUAUCGGUUUGUUAAAUGUCAAUAACUUUUAUGAUGGCUUUAUCGCAUUUCUUAACCAUGCAAUAAAAAAUUAUUUCAUUCCUUCUAAUGUGAAAAAACUUUUUAUUUGUGCUCACACUACUAAUGAGCUACUUGAUCUGUUACAAGCUUAUAAACCGGAGCCAGACCCCUGGACCUUUGUGUUGGAUCAUCCACAUAAUGAUGGUAACAGUAGCCGCAAUAAGAAGUACAAAUUAGAUUUAACUCUCCGCUUGUAAAUAUUGUUUUCUAUGUUGCACCACCCAGGUGAUGUCUUCUAAACUCUACUUCUUUCCUUUAAAACAUUGAGGACAAUGUUUCGUUCUGGUUGGGGGGAGGGAUUAGUCGACAAUUGUGGAAUCUUGGUUAAGUUUUUACUGAUUUUUUGUUGUAGAAACUAACUGUUGCUAACGUUUUGUGUUGAAGAUGGCUGAAUAUGGAGUGUGGUUACUCUAGAAACGCAUCUUCAUCGUUUAAAAAAAAAAAAAAUGUUUUCUUCCUCUUUCUCCUUUAUAAAUAUAUAUUUUCAAAUUUUUGAGUCUAAGAUGGCUGAAUAUGGAGUAUAAUGCCUCUAGAAACGCGUCUUCUUAGUUAAAAAAUAAAAAAAAAAUUUCUUUUUCUAAUUAAUUUUUCUACAUCAUUUUCGCAUUUCUGCAUACAUAUUUUCCUUUCAUGUUUAGAAUAGGUUGGGGGGUAGAAUGUUGUGUAAAAAAAAAAAAAUUGUGUUUUUUGUUUUAACAUUGGAUGACAUGAUUAAUUUCAAAUUUUAGUAUUUGUAUUAUCUUUAGUCUUAAGUGAUGUUACGCUAUGUUUGCUACUUUACAUGUUGAUGUCGGACACAAAUAUGAGUUGCUUGAAGGAAUGAACAUGUCAUAAAUAAGUGCCAAGUGAGUUGUUGAGCCUAUUAUUUUCUUAGAGAGUAACCCUUUUGCCCAUUCUCUAUACAGCUUAGCAGUUUAUUAUUUUAUACACGAUCUCUAGAUUUCUUUUGAGUUAACCCUUUAAAAAAAAUGGUAAAAUUAAAAAAAAAGAAAAAAGAAAAAAAUGUGUGUUGCUACAUUGGGAGGCCCAUCUAACUAGUAGAUAUGGAAGAUUAUUUAGAGCCCUAAAAGACGAUGGAAAGGCCAUCUUUGAUCCGUUUGAGCCUUUCUAGCCAUCCCUUUUAUCAAAUAUCCAUAGUUAACCCUUUUGAGCCUUUAAAAAAAAAAAAAAAAAAAAACUUUUUCUUUGUCAACUUAUCAUCUUGACCCACUCCGAUUUGGAGUAUUACCCAAUGUCUUAUAAGUUCCAUCACCUAUUUAUGUUUGAGAAAAUGUAAAUAAUUAUGUUGUUCAGUAAAGUUAUGCCAAAAACAAAAAAAACAAAAAAAACAAAAGUUGUUGUUUCAAAAGAAAAAAAAAAUAAAAAUAAUAGGUGAAAUCCACCUUGCAACUUCCAAAAAAAAAAAUUCUUUGCAUUUUUCUCAAACAUACACUUUGUUUUCCUUAUUUUCCUUCUUUGUUAGCCAUGUCCCUAGCCUACGUUACGUCCUAAUAAAAGUCCUUCUUGAUUUUAGGGAACUAUAGUUUGAAGUAGAAGCUAGUUAUAUGGGCUAAAAAGAUGUAGUGAUGCAUAAUAAAAAAAAAAAAAGAAGAUAAAUAAAGUGGGUUGACUAGCAUUUUUGUUUGACUUGAGUUCGUAUUAUUUAUAAGCUGAGGGCAUAUUUAUUUCAUCUUGGUGAGAGCAUGUGAUAUCACUUCUUUAUUAUUUUCUCUCUCAAUUACCAUUCAUUGGAGUGACUAUUUUUAUUGGUUUUAAUUUCUUUGUGAGAGUGUCACUACUUCCAGUGAGAUUUUGGGGUUUGACAUGUCAUUCUUGAAAGUAGCUAUGACAAAGUCUACUGGGCUGAUUCAUGUGGAUGGUUGAUGUGGGUGUGAUGUUGCUUUAGACUGGAGAUAAUGCUUAUACUUUUAUUUGAUUGCUAUCAUUAAUCUGAUUGAAUAAACACGAGUGUUUCUAAAAAAAAAAAAAAAAAAAAAAUCAUUUUGAAUUUGAAUUUUGUUUUCGCUUUAUUUGCUAGGGACUAGCAAUAAGCUGGUUGGGGGGUGUGUUGAGUGUUAGAAAAUGCAUAUUUAUAAAGGAGAAAACCAUCAUUUUACAUUUCAAGUCUUACUAACAACUCUUACUUUUAUGUAUUUAACCUUCUUGUGAUGUAAUUACGCGUGUGUUAUUUUAAUUAAGUAUUUUAUGUAUUUUAGGGGCAUUAUAGUCAUUUCACAAUAAAGGAGAGAUCAGACGGUAAAACGGACAUCACUUUUGAACUCAGGACGGUCGAAAACCUUAGGAGGGGCAUAAAAGGAAAAAUAGCACUAUUCACAUGUACGGUACUGUAUACGUUACUGUUCACGAUACUGUUCACAUAGAUGGAUCGAUGGUGACGUGGCAGCAUAUCAGUUGGGCUAAAAUUCUUAUGUACUGUUGAUGGUGACGUGGCAGCAUAUCAGUGGAUGAAAAAUCUCGCGUACGGUACAUGCAUCACACAGGAUUAUUUUCAACCAAACCGCAUUACUGUUCAUCCGAGUCAAACCGCGUUACUGUUCAUCCGAGUCAAACCGUGUUACUGUUCAUCCACGUGGUCAAACCGUGGACUGUUGACUGAUGACGUGGCGCAAUCCUGAGCGUCCAAACUGUUUUUAAUCCGAUGGCCAUGAUUUACUCCAUGUAUCUAUAAAAAGGGGGCCUCCCCCCCAUAAUUUGAUAGCUCUGAAUCCAUUUUUGGGAUCCAUUUUCUGUAAUUCCUUCUCCAUCUUGUAUUUUCUUUGUAUUUUAAUAAAUUCCCAUUUUGCCCCUAGUUCAAUUAUGAGUGGCUAAUUUUCUUUCAAGCUUGGGUUGAAGGUGAAGUCUCAACAUGUGUCAUGGGCUUAAUUUGGUAAAUUUAUGUUCUCUUCCCCUCUAGUUUUUGUGGAUGAUUUGACUUAUCGUCGACAAAUAAUACUGAUCUUGUCUAGAUACCGCCUUGGUUACACCGGCUCUCUAGUAUAAGGUUAUUAUUAUUUGGCACGAUAAGCCCUUAUCACCAUAUUGAUUAGAGCGUGGUUCAUGAGGUGUGGAUUCCCCCCUCAUGAUUUAAUUGACAUUAAUACGGAUUAUUUAGCCCAUGAUGUAUGUUGAUACGGAUCCAGAUACCCAAGUACGUCAUUUCAAUAGAAUUCUCUUCAAUUUAUUCGCGCCAUUUUAAUUUAAGUUUUAGCAUAUUCCAAAUCAUUUCCACCACAGAUCCAAUCAACCAUUUGCAAAAUUAAUUCUAUACACAAUUAAAAUCCACCUCCUCGUGGGAUCGACACUCGUCACCAUUGAUCUAUACUACAAUAGAUUCGUGCGCUUGCGAGUACAUUAAAAUUUGCACAACAGCAUGUAUGCAAUAAAUUUUAGAGGUAACUCACCUGCCGAUCGUACUUUAGCCUCGAUUAACCAACGGAUGUCAGCAGGUAUGUUAUUCCUCAUGAGCAAUCGCAUGCGUUCGGACCGGGCUUUAUAGAUCGUAAGGAGGGCAUUCUGAGGAAGUGAAGGGAAUCGCUUGUGAAGCUUCGCUAGAAUCUCGUUUCUGUCCAUACUUUCGCCUCAGAAUGUCAGUUAUUAUGGGAAACUGAAGUAACCGACUUGAUUGUCACGGAGUACCAUUAUCCGCCACUUCACCGGGGUAACAAACUAAAGCACACAAACAGAAAAACAAAUCAAAACACACAAAGAAAAUUAAAAUCGUACUCUUAUUGAAUUUACCUCAAGCUCCAACUGGAUGUCGUAAACACUUCUCUCAAUAUCUCGGAGUUGGCUUUCUAGAUUCUCAACAUAGGCUACUAACUCUGGUGGUUGUAGAGCCCAAAUGCGUUGUGUUUUACAAAAUUGAAUAUGCUUUUUGAGAUGAGUUUUGACACGUUGAAGUGGUUUAAGAAUGUUCAGGAGGAACGGUCUAAGUAUGGUACUCAUGAUUAACAAUGAUAAGAAAAAACUUAAUGGUAAAACAAACACACUUAUGCAAAAAUAAUUUCAAUUAGCAAAUAAAAAGAAAGAAAGAAAAAUCAAAUCAACGAAAAGAAAAAAAGCACUUUCUGACCUGGAGUGAAAGAUUUUCUCAUAAUGUGCUUGUCAUGAAAGACUUUCAUUCGUUGCUUGUAAAUUUUGGCAUUUUCGUAUGCAUCAUUGCGAAUUUCUUCAAGUUCUGCCAGUUGUAAUCUUCUUUCUGAGCUGGCUUGCUGCAUGUCAAAGUUGAAUUUCUUGAUGGCCCAAUAUGCACGAUGCUCGAGUUCCACAGGUAGGUGGCAAGCUUUUCCAUACACUAACCUGUAGGGUGACAUCCCAAUCGGGGUCUUGAAAGUCGUUCUAUAUGCCCACAAUGCAUCAUCAAGUCUUAAUGACCAAUCUUUUCUGUCCGGCUUCACUGUCUUUUCUAAUAUGUGCUUUAUUUCUCGAUUGGAGAUCUCAACUUGGCCAUUAGUUUGUGGAUGAUAUGGGGUCGCCACUUUGUGAGUGAUUGAAUACUUUGUCAAAAGAGCUUUGAAUGCUUUGUUACAAAAGUGGGCACCACCAUCACUAAUUAUUGCUCGAGGGAAUCCAAAGCGUGAAACAAUAUUGCUUUUCAAAAAUCCUAUCACCACCUUGUGAUCAUUGGUUCUACAUGGAAUUGCUUCCACCCAUUUCGAUACGUAGUCAACAACAACCAAUAUGUAUUGAUGGCCAAAAGAAGGGGGAAAGGGUCCCAUGAAGUCGAUACCCCAUACGUCAAAAAUCUCAACCACUAAAAUUGGAUUUAAUGGCAUCAUAUUCCUUCGUGUAAUGCUCCCCAUUCGUUGACACAUAUCACAUGAAGAACAAAAAGUGUAAGCAUCUCGAAAUAUAGUUGGCCAAUAGAAACCACAUUGUAAAACUUUAGUCGUUGUUUUCUUAGCACUGAAAUGGCCUCCACAAGCUUGUUCAUGGCAGAAUGAAAGGAUAUUCUGAAUUUCAUUUUCUGGGACACAUCGUUUAACAAUUUGAUCUGCACAAUACUUGAACAAAUACGGGUCAUCCCAAAAGAAAUUCUUUAUUUCUGCAAAGAAUUUAGCCUUGUCUUACUUGGUCCAAUGCUCUGGAAGUUUACCUGUAACAAGAUAAUUAACUAUAUCAGCAUACCAAGGUAAUACUUCCACACUCAUUAAUUGUUCAUCUAGAAAUGACUCAUUCAAUAUUAAUGGCUCUGUAAUUGUGUCAAAAUGGAGACGAGAGAGGUGGUCCGCCACAACAUUUUCUGUCCCUUUCUUAUCUUUGAAUUCCAAGUCAAAUUCCUGCAAAAGUAACACCCAACGAAUUAGUUUAGCUUUUGCAUCUUUCUUUGUGAGAAGAUAUUUAAGAGCAGCAUGAUCUGUGAAUAUAAUUAUUUUACAACCAAUGAGAUAAGAUCGAAAUUUUUCCAAUGCAAACACUACUGCUAGCAUUUCUUUUUCAGUAGUUGAAUAGUUCAACUGUGCAUCAUUCAAUGUCAUACUAGCAUAGUAAAUAACGUGGGGAAUUCGAUCAACUCUUUGUCCUAAUACUGCUCCUACUGCAUAAUCAGAUGCAUCACACAUGAGCUCAAAUGGUAAGCUCCAAUUUGGGGGCUGAAUAAUGGGUGAUGAUGUCAACAAUUGCUUUAAUUUUUCAAAAGCCACAAGACAUGAAUCAUUAAAGAUAAAAGGUACAUCCUUAGCAAGUAAAUUGCAUAAAGGUCUAGAAACUUUGCUAAACUCUUUAAUGAAACGUCUAUAGAAACCAGCAUGCCCAAGGAAAGAUCUUACUUCUCUGACUGUUUUGGGUGGAGGAAGAUUAGAAAUGAGAUCCACCUUGGCUUUGUCAACCUCAAUACCUUUGCUCGAAAUGAUAUGACCGAGAACAAUACCUUAUUUUACCAUAAAAUAACACUUCUCUUAAUUUAAGACCAAGUUUUUUUUUAUACAUCUCUGCAGAACUAGUGUUAGAUGAUGUAAACAUUGAUCAAACGAGUCACCAAAGAUAGAAAAAUCAUCCAUAAAGACUUCAAGGAAUCGUUCAACCAUAUCAGAAAAAAUGCUCAACAUGCAUCGUUGAAAUGUAGCAGGUGCAUUACAUAAUCCAAAUGGCAUUCUCCUAUAUGCAAAUGUGCCAAAAGGGCAAGUGAAAGUAGUUUUCUCUUGAUCUUUUGGUGAUAUGGGAAUCUGAUUAUAUCCUGAGUAGCAAUCUAGAAAGCAAUAAAAUUCAUGGCCUACCAAUCUAUCAAGCAUUUGAUCGAUAAAUGGUAAAGGAAAAUGAUCUUUACGUGUGACAUAAUUCAACUUUCUAUAAUCAAUGCAUACACGCCAUCCUGUAGUCACUCUAGUUGGUAUUAAUUCAUUAUCGGCAUUCGUAAUUACUGUGACUCCUGACAUUUUGGGGACAACUUGUACAGGACUGACCCAUGAACUAUUAGAAAUUGGGUAAAUGAUACCUGCGUCUAAUAGCUUAAGGACUUCAGUUCUAACUUCUUUCAUAUUAGGAUUUAACCGACGUUGCAUUUCCCUAGUAGAUUUAGCAUUUUCAUCGAGGUGAAUGUAAUGCAUGCAGUCUACUGGGUUUAUACCUUUUAUGUCUGCUAUGGUCCAUCCUAAUGCUCCUUUGUGCUCUUUUAAAACAUCCAACAACUUACAUUUUUGUUUGUCAUUGAGGGAUGAUGAGAUAAUUACCGGCAGAGUACUUUCUUCUCCCAAAAAUGCAUAUUCCAGAGUGUUGGGUAAUUGUUUGAGCUCGAGUUUCGGUGGUGAUUCUGAUGAUGGGAUGAGUUUCUUCUCUGAUGGUGCUAGUUGUUCAACUCUUGACUUCCAUUUAUUAGUGUCCAUGGAUGGUGCUGAGUCAAGUAGGGCGUUGACCUCAUCGACCGAUCUGUCAAUAUCAAAAUCCAAACCAAAGUGAGUUAAACAUGUUUGUAAAGGAUCAUCACUAAGGUUUGAAAGAAAAGUAUUAUCAACAAUUGUUUCUAUUAAAUCCACAUCAACAACUCCAUUAUCUGCACUGUGAGGUUGUUUGGCAAUGUUGAAAAUGUUUAGCUCCAUAGUCAUGUUGCCGAAGGACAACUGCAUAUUUCUGGUCCUGCAUUGAAUGUGAGCAUCCGCAGUUGCCAAGAAAUGUCGGCCUAGAAUAAUGGGGAUGUGCUUCAUUGAAUCCUGUAUUGGUUGAGUGUCAAUUACAAUGAAAUCAACAGGAAAAUAAAACUUGUCUACCUGGAUAAGCACGUCCUCCACAAUACCACGAGGUAUUUUCGUGGACCGAUCUGCAAGCUGUAACACCACUGGAGUUGGGUGUAAUUCUCCAAGUCCAAGUUUCAAAAAUACUGAGUAAGGCAACCAAUUUACACUAGCUCCUAAAUCCAACAAAGCAUUCUCAAUUGUGUGGUUCCCUAUACUACAUGAGAUAGUGGGGGAGCCUGGGUCUUUGCAUUUAAGAGGAAUUUUAUGUUGGAGUAUAUAACUAACAUUUUCUGUUAAAAAUGCCUUCUUUUGAACAUGAAUGUUUCUCUUUUUAGUACAAAUGUCUUUAAGAAACUUGGCAUAAGAUGAAACUUAUUUAAUAGCAUCAAGCAAUGGGAUGUUAACACUUACCUGUUUGAAGAUUUCAAGAAUCUCACCUGUGGAUUUUUCCUUUUUUCCUUUAGCUAACCUCUGAGGAAAUGGAGCUUUCGGAACAUAUUCUCGUGGGUUGGUUUCUUCUUUCUCCUCCGGUGAUGAUUCCUCAACAUUCACAGGUACAAUUUGAUUUUCUUUUGUCACCGGCAUCUCCACUUUGUUGUCGACUUCCUUUCCUUUUCGCAAGGUCAUGACUGCUUUGACCUCUCCAUGCUGUUGUGGUGAACUGGUACUUGCUUCAUGUACUCCUUUAGGAUUAGGCACUGGUUGACUUGGAAAUUUACCUUUCUCAACAGUCAUUGCCAAGGUCUGAACUGAAGAAGCAAGUUGUCCCACCAUAUUCUCGAGGCUUGAAACUGAUUGGGCUUGUGAGUUGAAGCCCGCUCUCAACUCAUUUCGUAGUCCAGCAAUGGUACGGUUCUGUUGCUCAAUCGUGGAGUGAGUAACAUUCUUGAAAUUCUGGAACGCAUCCUCCCAUGGUCUGGGUUGAGAGUAGUUCUGGUUCUGAUUGUAUGGUCUUAAUGGUGGCUGAGUGGCUUGAGGAUUUUGAGGAAUUGGUUGCAUUAGUGGAGCUGGAGCUGCUGGUCCAUUCUGUUGGAAUCCUUGAGACCAUGAAAAAUUGGGGUGGUCUCUCCAUCCAGGGUUAUAUGUGUUGGAGUAUGGGUUGUAAUUUGAUGGUUUUCUCAUUACACCUAUGGCAUUGGCUUGAUCUGGGUAUGAGUCAUGGUCAUGUGGUUCUGUUGAUUUAGCAGUCGAUAACGAUGCUAUUUGUCGAGCAAGACCUUCAACCAUCUCAUUGACUUCUUUGAUUCCCGAAGUUGACUCGCCAAUUUGAACAUCAUUCACUCCUUUAAUUCUUUUAGUAUUCCUAAGUGAUCGACUCCGUUGUUGGGAAUUAUCUGCUUGUCGCUGGAAGAAUUCCCAAAUCUCUGAUGCACUUUUUGACAUUAGCUCUCCUCCACUUGAUGCCAUUAGCCAUUCUUGCACAUUCGGCAAUAAUCCCUCCAAAAAGUAUUGGCAUUGGUGCCAUUUUUCGUACCCAUGAUGUGGACACUUCAAGAGUAGCCCAUUGAAUCGCUCCCAUGUUUCGAAAAAUUACUCGUCUUCUCUCUGGGUAAACUCUGAAAUUUCCCUGCGAAUAGCAUUGAUUUUAUGCACUGGGAAAUAUUUAUUCAAAAAUUUUGUAACCAUUUGUUCCCAUGAUGCAAUGCUAUUAGCAGGCAACGUAUUAAGCCAUGAAUGAGCUCUAUCUUUUAAAGAAAAUGGGAAUAGUCUAAGUUUUACAUCAUCAUCUGAAAAAUUCUCAUAUUUAAAUGUUUGACAAAUAGCAUGAAAAUCAUUCAAAUGAUUAUAUGGGUCCUCAUUUUCUAGGCCAUAGAAUGUUGGGAGACAAUUUAGCACACUAGGUUUUAGUUCAAAACUCCUAGUAGCUACAUUUGGGUAUCUUAUACAUGAUGUGCUCAAAUUAGCUAAUGGACUAAAAUAGUCCUUAAAUGAUCUCUCUUGUGGUGCUUGUAAAUCCAUUCCAAAUUUAUUUUUAACGUGCUUGUGUGUGCGAAGUGUUUUUUCUAUUUCAAGGUCUAUAGGUUCAAGAUUAGGUAAUAAUAACCUACGACCAUGCAUGCAAAACAAAUAAAAUAAAAAUAAAGAUGGGAACAAAACAAAUAAAAAUAAAGAAGAGGGAGAAAUUACAAUACUAACCUUAUUGUACUAUUACAACCUUUCUAUAAAAAUACACAAAAACAAAUACGUGAAAUAAAUUAACUAAAAAUUAAAUUAAUAAAAUAAACAAAAAUUACAAAGAAAAAAAUAAAUUGAAAAAUAAAUUACAGAAUUUUAAAGAAGAGAAAAAGAAAAGAAAUACUAACCUUUAUAUGUAAAUUCACUUUUUUUUAAUAAGAAAAAAAAUACAAGAAAACAAAUAAAAGAAAUUAUUUACAAAAAUUAAUUCUAUGAAUUAAAAUUACUUACCUCCCCGGCAACGGCGCCAAAAACUUGUUGUGCAAAUUUUAUUGAACUCGCAAGUGCACGAAUCUAUUGUAGAAUAAACUAAUGGUGACGAGUGUCGAUCCCACGAGGAGGUGGAUUUUAAUUAUGUGUAGAAUUAAUUUUGUAAAUGGGUGGUUGGAUUUGUGGUGGAAGUGAUUUAAAUUAAUUUUGUAAAUGGGUGGUUGGAUUUGUGGUGGAAGUGAUUUAAAUUAUCCUAAAAUUGGAAUUGAAAUGACAAGAAUAAAUUCUAAAAUUGGAAUUGCAAUGACGAGAAUAAAUUGAAGAGAAAAUUAUUGAAAUGAUGUACUUGGGUAUCUGAAUCCGUAUCAACAUGCAUCAUGGGCUAAAUAAUCCUUAUUAAUGCCAAUUAAAUCAUGAGGGGGGAAUCCACACCUCAUGAACCACGCUCUAAUCAAUAUGGUGCUAAGGGCUUAUCGUGCCAAAUAAUAAUAACCUUGUACUAGGGGGCCAGUGAAACCAAGGCGGUACUAGACAAGAUUAGUAUUAUUUAUCGACGAGAAGUCAAAACAUCCACAAAAAUUAGAGGGGAAGAGAAAGUAAAUUUACCAAAUAAAGCCCAUGACACAUGUUGAGACUUCACCUUCAACCCAAGCUUGAAAGAAAAUUAGCCACUUAUAAUUGAACUAGGGGUAAAAUGGAAAUUUAUUAAAAUACAUAGAAAAUACAAGAUGGAGAAGGAAUUACAGAAAAUGGAUCCCAAAAAUGGAUUCAGAGAUAUCAAAUUAGUGGGGGGAAGCCCCAUUUUUAUAGAUACAUGGAGUAAAUCAUGGCCAUCGAUUAAAAACAGUUUGGACACUCAGGAUUACGCCACGUCAUCAGUCAACAGUACGCGGUUUGACCACAUGGAUGAACAGUAACACGGUUUGACCCGGGUGAACAGUGACGCGGUUUGGUUGAAAAUAAUCAUGUGUGAUGCAUGUACCGUACGCGAGAUUUUUCGUCCACUGAUAUGCUGCCACGUCACCAUCAACAGUACAUAAGAAUUUUAUCCCAACAGGAUCAUGACACCUCAUCAGUCAAUGCCACAUCAUCGGUCAAUGCCACGUCAUUGAUCCGUCUAUGUGAACAGUGUCAUGAACAGUAACGUAGACAGUACCGUACACGUGAAUAGUACCGUACAUGUGAAUAGUGCCAUUUUUCCUUUUAUGCUCCUCUUAAGGUUUUCGACCGUCCUGAGUUCAAAAGUGAUGUUCGUUUUGCCGUUUGAUCUCUUGUUUAUUGUGAAAUGACCAUGAUGCCCCUAAAAUACAUAAAAUACAUAAUUAAAAUCAAACACACAUAAUUAAAUUACAAGAAGCUUAAAUACAUAAAAGUAAGGGUUGUUAGUAAAACUUGAAAUGUAAAAUGAUGAUUUUCUCCUUUAUAAAUAUGCAUUUUCUAACACUCAACAUAUGCUAUGGUUCUAACUAGACCUGAUAUCUCCUAUGCUCUAAGUGUAGUUAGCAGAUAUAUGGUGUCUCCUGGAAAAGAACAUUGGAGAGCUGUAAAAUGGGUGCUAAGAUAUCUAAGUGGAACCUUGAGCCAUGGGCUGGUUUAUGGAAAGUCAGGGAUCAAGUCUGAGGGGAUCUGUGGAUUUGUUGAUUCUGACUUUGCAGGAGACUUAGACAGAAGAAUAUCUCUCACAGGGUAUCUGUACAUGUUGGAUGGCUGCUUGAUUAACUAGAAAGCAAGUCUUCAACAUGUUGUUGCAUUAUCAACAACAGAAGCUGAGUAUACAGUAGCUGCUGAAGUAGUAAAGGAAGCCUUAUGGUUGAAAGGCUUGAUUUCUGAGCUUGGAAUGAGUCAGAAGACAGUUGAUGUAUUCUGUGAUAGCUCAAGUGCCAUUUACUUGAGUAAAAACCCAGCUCAUCAUGAGAAAACAAAGCACAUCGACAUCAAGCUGUAUUUCAUUAGAAAUGUAGUUUCCAUUGGUGUGGUCAGAAUGGUAAAGAUACAUACAGACAUAAAUCAUGCUGACAUGUUAACUAAAGUAGUCACUACAGCUAAGUUCAAGGUUUGCUUGGACAUAGCUGGUCUUGGCUGCUGGUACUUCAUUAUGGAAAUGGAGGGGAAAAUCAAGGGUGAUUUAUUUCAAGGUGGAGAAUUGUUGUUUGUGAAGCAAAUCCAGGAAGCUAAAACGGCAGAAGACCUUUGCGUUUAGAGCUGAAAACACUUUAGCUCAACGACAUAGAGUCUCGCGUUUUGAAGAGUAAAAGAAAUACUCUUCUAAACGACAUGUGAGUUUGUCGUUUAAGUUUAAGUGAAGCACGCUUGUAUCACGUGCUUGUGUUUAGCUUGCAAAGGUUGUUAGAAGCCGUUAAACGCAUGAGGAACUCACGUGAGUUGCUGGGGAAUUUCUGGGUUUGUUAAUUAAAGCUGUUAUCAGCAGCUGAUGUGGAAGCAACAUAUUGGUAUGCAGAAAGAACGUCAGUUACGUUCUUUCCAUAAUAUGAGCAUUACUCUGUAAUUCAUCUUGUUAAGUCAAUAAAGCUAUUCUUUACCCUCCCGUGGAUGUAAGCCAGAGAAAUCUAGCUGAACCACGUUAAGUUUCUUUUGUUCUUUGAUUGCUCUACUUCUGUUGAUUCUUUUAAACCCAAAUUGGUUAAUUCUCUAGUUCCAUAGAUUCAUCUUAGUCGUAGCUUUUCAGUCAUCAAUCUUGCAGCAUCUUGAUUAGUUGGUUGGUGAUCUUGGGGCAGAAUCUAAGGUUGCUUAGUCUGUUCAUAGCACCUUAGUUUCUACAGAAGUAUGAGCGGUGCUCAACCAGAGAGGGAGAAUAAAUUUUUCUUUUUUUUUUUGGGGUAGGGUGGUUGGGUGGGGUUGGGUGGCAAAGGGAAUGAUAGGGUUGAAAGUUCACGGUGUCGACAAGCAGUAAAAUGGCUAUUGACAAGCUGAUAUUUCAAAUUAGAGAAUGUGAGGUCCUGAAGAUUGCUGACUUGUGCUCAAAAUGGAAUUCUUGAUAACUUCAAAUGUUAAAAGUUCUUGGUGAAAGUUUUGUACUUUCUUUUCUUUCAGAUUCUUGUGCCUAUUGCGAAUGGUUCAAAGAAGAUGGAAGUUGUUAUAAUAAUUGAUAUUCUGCGACGAGCUAAAGCAAAUGUUGUGGUUGCGUCAGUUGAGGAUAAACUAGAAAUUAUGGCUUCUCGUCAAGUUAAAUUAGUGGCAGAUAUGCUUAUUGAUGAGGCAGCUAAACUUUCGUAUGAUUUGAUUGUCUUGCCAGUAAGUGGGGUUGCUAACUCUUGCCUCAUAGUCUUUACCAAAUUAUUGACUUACUAACUACAAUUUAUCUAUGAACAGGGUGGACUUGGUGGUGCUCAAGCAUUUGCGAAGUCAGAAAAAUUGGUAAAUAUGCUAAAGAAGCAAAAGGAAUCAAAUAGACCUUACGGUGCUAGAUGUGCAUCCCCAGCUUUAGUGUUGAAGCCCCAUGGCUUACUCAAGGUAUGACCAUUUCUGCUUAAAUAUUUACUCUCGAUUUGAAUCACCUAAUCUGAACUUGAUGAAACAUUAUGAUCUUGUGUCGUUUUAUGAAUGUGAUCUUAUCUCAUGUAAGUCUGUAAUGAAUUAAUUGAAGUUUGCUGAUACAAACUCAAAAAGUGCUGCUGCUUCAUUAGUUACAUUACCCAAAGAGUUAUGAUAGACAUCCUAAAUUUUUUAUCCCAAAUUCCCUCUCAAAUGACAUGGUAGUUAUUAAGUAGUUGGUAAUUUUUUAUAAAAUCUAAGUGAAUUAAUUAUAUUAUCUAACCAACUAAUUGAUGAAUGUCACGCCAUUUGAUAUGAUUUUUUGGAAUGUGUAGCAAAAUUUUAUGCUGAUUUGUUUUGGCUACAUUCAUGUAAAACCUGUUUCCCCAAAUCUCAAGAACUUCCCGCAAUAUCAUUCCUGUGUAUUUGUUUUCCCCUUUAGACAUGUUUAACUUUGAUUCAGGAUAAAAAAGCGACAACAAGCUAUCGGAUCAAAGUGAAAUCGAAAACAGGGUUGUGGUUGAUGGCAACCUUAUCACCAGCAGAGAGUCAGGAACUUCCAUGGAAUUUGCACUGGCAAUUGUGGAGAAGUUUUUUGGCCGCAACAAAGCGCUUGAGCUUGCAAAGAUAUUGCUUUUCACCCGCACCUAAAAUUUGUACUAGGACCUGACUACUAUUAAACUAGAGUAUUUAUUCCUGUAUUACUACUGCUUGUAUCACUACACUCACUGGAAUUUUAAUUAUGAACCAAGAAUGAAGUUGAACCGAGAAUUUGAUAUAUUAUAUAUUCCACUUACCAUAUCUAAGAAAGAAUAUUGAAAAGAAAGACGCUAAGAGAGAAUAUAGAAUAUUGAAAAGAAAGACGCUAAGAGAGAAUAUUGAAGUUAAACACAUACCAUAUCUAGUAUUAAGUCUGUAUGCCAAAAUUACAAAUUUGAAGAUUGGAUUUCUAAUUUCAAUUGAUGUUCUGCUCAAAGCAAUGGCUUUAAUUCCACAGUAGAAGAAGGAAAGGGUACGAACAAAGUUAACAGACACGCUAUAAAAAUUACGUUAACUGGUUGCAGCUGCAUCAUCCAGGAACUUCACUUUAAUCUUCUUGAGCUUUGCUGCAGCGUCUGUCAUAUUUAUCCUCUUAUCGGGUGACUUCAUACAACAAUCCAAUGCCAAAUCCAUUAUGCUUAAUAUACAAUCCAUUUUGGCAGAAAAAGCUUGCUCUUCUCGCACCAAAUUUGCGUCAACAACUUCACUCAAUCCGUGAGGUAAUGACUCCUUUACCCAUUUCCUUAAACUCAUUUCUCCUGUGAACAUUUCAUCGGUGGGCCUCUUUCUCGUGAAGGUUUCCAUCAAUAAAACACCAUAGCUGUAGACAUUACAUUUAGCUGAAACAAUUCCUUUUGAUCCAUACUCUGCAUUUUUUAAUUUCAAUUAUGAAACAAAUGAUAAAACAAAUAAUUUUUUGAUAAUUAAGGUAACCCAAACUUUGCUCGUGCUUGAAAAAAGAGCAAAAUUAUUAAUUACAAUUGAAACUUUACCUGAUGCCAUAUAACCAAUUGUAGCCAUUGUCAUGGUUUGUGUCAUAGAAUCUUCUCAUUCACCUAAAAGUUUGGAAAUGCCGAAGUCGCUGACAUGUGCCACCAUAUUUUCAUCCAAGAGAAUGCUGGUGGGCUUCAAAUCACAAUGAAUUAUAGGUGCCGACGAAUGACCAUGAUGGAGAUAUUCAAGAGUCGACCCCACAUCUAUCAUUAUAUUCAACCUCUCUAGAAUGUCUAAGAAAUAGUUGUGAGAAUACAACCGCUUCUCGAGACUACCAUUUGGCAUGAACUCAAGACCAAUACUUUAAAAUCUGGAGUAGAACAACUGCUAAGGAUCUUUAUGAGAUUUUGAUGACGAACAUUCCGUAAAACUUCACAUUCAGAAUUAAAACUCCUAAAUGCUCUCUCUCGUUGCAGAUUGAAAAUCUUUAUUGCAACAUCAGUCCCGUCGGAAAUGGUUCCUUUAUAAACUGAUCCAAAACUACCUGUAACAAGCAAGUUGCAUUCAUUAAAUUCAUCAGUUGCUUGUUGAAUGUCUAGGUACGAUGUUCUUCUCCAUGUUGCAAGAGGUAGUAAAUCUUCGUGAUCUGAUUUUUAUGUACUCCUAUUUCGGCAUCUUAUGUAGAUAAUGAUGGUAAUCACUAUAAGGACGGUGGAUACUAUCGGAGUUCAAAUAUAUUUAAGGACAAUUAGAGCAACUUUCUUGGUUCUUUUAUUGUUAUCUUGCCUGCAAGGUGGGACUCGGAGUUUAGGUGGACCACAGAGUGCAUAAUCUCCUAAAAACGAUUCAGCUGAGAAGUUCUGAAACGACCCCUUAACAGGAAUUUCCCCUUCUAGGCUAUUAUGAGACACGUUAAAUUGUUUGAGAUAUGAAAGUGUCUCCAAUGACUUAGGAAUUUUUCCAGAGAGAUUGUUGCCGGAGAGAUCUAAGGAUUCUAAGCUUAUCAAACUGCCAAUUCAUUCAGGAAUAGGUCCUUGAAAUUGAUUACCAGCCAAGGAUAUAGUUUCUAGAUCUACUAGGGCACCAAUGGUUGAUGGAAUGUCACCUGAUAAUUGAUUCCUUGAUAAAUCUAAAACUCUCAAGACCUUUAACUUUUGUACAUUGGAAGGGAGAGAAUCAUUUAAUAAAUUUGAUGACAAGUUUAUCUCUAAGAUGUACCCAAGGCUCCACAAGGAUGACGGUAUACUAGAAGUGAGCUUGUUGGAGCCUAAGUCAAGUUCUCUUAGAGAUGUCAAACUCGCCAGGCAUGGUGGUAUAUGUCCAGAGAGCUUAUUUCCCCCCAAGUGUAAUAGAUUCAACAUCUCCAAAUGGCAAAGAUUAUGAGGAACGUAUCCUUGCAAAUUAGUCUCAGGGAGAAAAAAACCUUGUAGCUGCUUUAGUGUGCCAAUGGAUGUUGGAAUAGUUCCAUUCAAGUCAUUGAAGCCGAGACUUAAGUAGAUCAAGCCACGUAAAUGACCAAUUUCUUUAGGAAUGGUUCCCUUAAGCUUGCACUCGGAUGCAGAAAAACGCUGAAGAGAAGUAGAGAAAUUUCCAAUUGAUGGUGGAAGGAUGCCACCUAGUGGAUUACCAGAUAAGAUUAAAUAGACUAGAUAUCGGCAGUUAGUCAAAGAGGAGAGAAAACUCCAUUGAUAUGCUGAAGAUGAUUCUGUGGUCAAGUUAUUCAUCAGAAGGCUGAGCACGCUGAGGUGUCUCAAGUUGCCAAAUGUAUUUGGAAUAUGGCCUGAGAAUGUGUUAAAGCCCAAGUCUAGGAUAAUGAGCUUAGUAGCAUUGGUAAUAGAGUUGGGAAUUGUCCCAAUAAGAUUAUUGUCCCCCAACUCCAAAUACUUUAUGUUCGGAAGCGAGUGGCCAAUCAUUGAUGGUAAGUGGCCUGACAGUCGAUUGCCACCCAGAUUAAGGUUUCUUAUGGUUGAAAUAUUGAAGAUCAUGGGUGGAAUGAGGCCACUUAAAUUAUUCGCACCAAGAAAAAGAGACUUCAAAUUUUGUAGAUUGCCAAUUUCGGUUGGAAUUUGACCUGUCAUAACGAUUAAUGGCAACAUUGAUGAGUUAUUGAGCUUUUACUUAACAUAAAUUUAAUUUCAUACUGCAUGAAAUCAAAUUUGCCCACAAAAUGUGUGUAAUUAGUUUUAUAAUUUUUUUUGGGGGGGGGGGGGGGGGGCAGUCGGUGUUGAUAUUUCUACUAGGAAUGACAACGGGGUGAGAUGGGAGUGGGGAGGCCUACCCCAUUCUGCAUCCUAUUAAAAAUUUCACCUCUAUUUCCCAAUAAAUUUAGUGGAGUGGGGAUGGAGAAUCCCAUGUGUGGAAUGAUUUUCCCAUCACCACCUCAUUCCCCAUUUGUUAUUUUAUAAUGUAUGAAUACAUAAUUUCAAUAAAUAAAAAAUUAAAGACUUAAAUAAAAUCAUCACCAUAUUAUAAAGUAUUUAAAUUAAAAAAAAUCUCAAAAAAAUUGAAACAAUAUCUUGAAGUAAUAUCAAAAUUGUAAAAUAUUUGGAUAUAUAAAUAAUAACUAAAAAAAUUAAAAAUGUAUAGCAAUGUUUCAUAUUCUUCUUUGUUAAUGGCUUCAUCUUCUCUUUAUCAUAUUCAUAUACCUAUGAUCGUAAAGUUUAUCAUUCUUUUAUAAAUAAACCAAUGUCUUAAGGGUGAGCAAAAAUCAUAUUAUAGGGUUUUCUUUUAGUUAUACCUUAUUUCUAUUAAGUAAAAAUAAAAGAAAAUUUAUAAACCAACAUUGUAAUUGAUAAAACAAAAAUUAUUAAAUAAAAUAUUAAAAAAAUAUUUACAUAUAAUGAGGAUUGAGUAUGGGGUGGGGUGGAGAGUACUAAACUAAACCCUACUCCAUUAAAAAUUUGGGGAUUAUUUUUUCCCAUUCCCCAAAAUUAUUCAAGAUUCACCCCAUUUGGGGUGGGGUUUCAUGGAGCUCCAAACCCAUGGAGGAUUUUGUCAUUUCUAGUUUCUACCUCAUAAUUUUUGUAAAACCCACCCGCUUUCAGAAAAUUAUUGCAACAAGAUUCUUUAAAAAAUUCAAAUAAAGAAGAAGUUUGGAGAAUUGAUCAAUUAAAUCCAUCUUAAUCUAUUUUUGAAACUUAUUUUCAUUUAUUAUAUUUAAUAACUAAGGUUGCUUUAAUAUAAAAUUAAUAUGACUAGUUUACUCUCACAAGGUAAAAGUACUAAUACCCACAAAUUUACUUUAACUUCAACUAAACUAACAAAAUGUAUUUGUGACAUGUGGUGCACUAAAAAUUAUUGAAUUUUAUUUUAGAAAUAUCGUAUUACAAAACAUAAAACAAAAUGUUGAAACUAUAUAUUAGAUACAAUAAUACAUGUUUUUUGGGGUAAUCUGGUCAUUUUAUAUUAUAAGAGUGAAAUAAUCAAAUUAAACUUAUUUUAAAGCAACCGUAAAUGGCCAAAGAUUGUUAAAAGCCUUAAGUCAUAAAAGGAAGUAUCAUAAGAAUAAUUUAUGUAGUUAAUUGUUCAAACUUAUUGUUAAUUUAUAAUUCUAUAAGAUAAUGUGAGCUUAUUAUAACUAUCUUAUCAAGAUGAGGUGUGUUUGCAAGAAUAAUGAGUGGAAAUAUCUCCAACCUCUAAAAUAAAAAGAAUUUUACAGCUAUGCCAAUGCAAAUAUGUAGACGUACCUUGUAGGUUGUUAUAACCUAUAUUCAUAUUCAAAAGAUUGCUCAAAUUUCAUAUCCUUGAAGGAAUAUUUCCAUCAAGAAUGUUAUCCUUUGCUUUUAACAUCUCCAGCAUCGAUAAAUUGAAGAGAGAAUUUGGGAUUGGACCCGUGAAACUGUUAUUACGAAGACUCAACAUUUGUAAUUUGGAUAAGAUACCAAUCCAUGUUGGAAUGCUUCCACUCAAUUUGUUGAGAGUGAAACUAAUAAAUCUGAGUCGGCGUAAUCGCCCCAAUUCAUUAGGUAGACGGCCAUGAAAAUUGUUCAGGCUAACAUCAAGAGAUACUAAGACCGUGAGAUUUCCCAAGUGUGGGGGAAUGGUACCUCCGAGACCUAUAUCUGAAAGAUUCAAGGCCGUGACUCUUUGAUGGCGUGAACCACAAGAAAUACCAAUCCAGGUACAUAUUGGAUAAGAUAUAGACCAAUUAUUUGUCAGAACACUUCGAUAAUCAACGACACGGGCUUUGAAUGUAAGAAGAGUCGAUUGAUCGGUUGUUAAGUUGCUCAAAGUCGUCAUAGCUAAGCUAGCUAUGGAAUAUUGUAACAACAACAUAGGAACAAAGAAGAAUGAUAAGCGCAUAUUGGUUGUAUUUUUUUUUUUAUAGAUGCAGCAAUCUAAUUGCUAAGUGAAAUUAAUGUUGAUACGAGAUUCUGGUUUUCUGCUCGCCCACGACCAGGAUCUCUCCUCAACUAACUCGACCACGACCAAGAUCUCCCCUCGUAAGACUUCUUCUCUACAGACUCCUACGUAUACAGAAACAAGUCAGAGCACGCCGGGUGUUUUCCUGGCGCAAACCCUCCGACGCUCAAGUCAGAAACGUAGGUUUCGUUUUCCUGGGGAAAUCAGCCACUAAUCUUAUGGCUCGUUUUGAGUACUAAUUAUUCAGAGCUCUUUUUAUCUCAGUUCCAAUGUCAAAAAAUCUAACCCUUUUACCUUCGUUGGCUACCUUUUUAUAGGCUUCCUCUGAAUCCAAGCCUUCCACAAUCCACGUCCAUCACUUCCCCCACCCUCGGAAGUGGAUGCUCCAUUAUCGUCAUUGUGGCUGAAUGGAAGUGGACUUCGUGCCUUGAUUUUCGGGCAGGAGUGCACGUCUUGCCAACCGUCAUUGACUGAGUCUGCCCACCUCAACAUCUAGCAGGAAUGGCCUUAUGCUCCUAGUAGGAGGCCGGCUCCCGUUGUGACCUCGUGGAGGGUGCGUUUGUGAACGAGCAUAAUAUUCCUACUCGUGCCAUCCUGCUACUAGAUAUCUGCUCAUCAUAUCUGGUCUUGUCGGCGUAUAUCCCCCAAACACCGGUCCCCCAGUUUCUAGUGUCGGGUAACGCAGUGGACCGACAGUAGAAAUUCAACAGUCCUGGCUCGCGCAGGAUAGGAAGAGGUUUUGAGGAGUCGUGUCGCAUUUAAUUGCGGACGAGGUGAUGUGGCAGAAAUCUAUCCCUCCAUUUGAAUUUCAAAUCGAUGGUCACGAAACCCUUGGAAUUUGUGCCGUUAAAUGCUGGCAGCCCAAGAGUUUGUUCCUCAUUAGGGAACCCAAAACCCCAAAAAGAGAAACUCGUCUUUUGUCCCAUUUAUAUCUCUCCGGUGAUUGAGUCAUUCCUCUCCCUCGGCGUAAAAGCUUCUAUCCUUGUCUCUAUCCGGCUAGGACACAACUUCAGAUAUUAUUUCUACUUCCUCGGUCUUGGAUAGUUGUAGAAAAUUUCAUUUCUCUCUGUUUUUCUUGGGUAGUGUUUGGUAAUACUGCCCUGGUUAUAGUUUAGGAAAUGUCCGAAGGCAAAGAGAAGGUCAUUGAGAUUAAUGACGACGAGUUAGACUUCCUGCCUAGUCUGCUCGCCGAUCCUGCCUUUGACCCCGGGAUCCCCUUAGAACCCAUUAGAUCUAGUGUUGGGACUAGUGCUAAGAGGAUGUCCCCCCAAAUAACCUCCUCAACCGGCAAUAGCAGCGACGAGGGAUCUUCUGGUUCUGAAGACACCUUGAGUGAGGACCAGGGAGAUGAUUCUGGUGAAAUGUCCUCACCAGGAACAUCGCGACCAGAUAGGAAGUGCAAAAUAGGAGGUAAGGCUCUAUCAGAGCAUUACGCUAUUGACUUCAUCACGUGCACGCCUACAGUAGAUGAGCUCGAUAACCUCCGAGCUAGGUAUGACAUUCCUGAUGAUAUACCCCUUAGGAUCCCAGGAAAAAAGGAUACUCCUAGCCAGCCUCCUAGGGGAUACGUUACUCUGUUUCUGGAAAGUUUUAAGCUUGGGAUGAGAUUCCCCCUACAACCCUAUUUUGCCCGAAUACUCAACGGGUGGAAUUUAGCUCCUGGUCAACUGAACCCCAACGGGUGGAGGGUAUUUUCUGGUCUGUUCAUAUUGUGGGACAGAUGUUGCCAGAGUGAGCUCACAGUUAAUGAGGUGAAGCACCUGUACCAGCUAAAGAGUAGCCCCAAAGACGCCGGCUGGUAUUACUUCUAAUCAAGUACCAAGACCAAGAAACCCAUAACUGACCUUCCAACCGGUGGUGGUGGGAAUUGGAAGAAAAAAUUCUUUUUUGCUGGGGGUCCCUGAGGUCAAGUUGCAUAGGUUGACGGGAAGAAUUAUCGCGUCCCACCCCGUUUCGUGGUCCCAGGUUGCCUGCUCGCUUUAGUUGUCUUGUCGCCAUAGUUGUUUUUAUUUUGCUGAUUUAUCUCUAACCCAACAUCUCCUGGAAUUCCAGGUUCCUGGGGCGUGCACUACCAGCUUAAACCUGAGCCGCUCAAGGGGGUCGAGGCUGUGUUGGCCAAUUCCUGUUCGAACCGAGAGUUGCUAACUACUUACAACUUAUUCGAAUCUUGUUUGGUGUCCACUGACCUUAAGAUGGAGGAUGCUGUGAUCGGGGCUCUGAAUCGAAAACGUCAUCGACCUCAUACUGCUAAGCACGACCAGAAUAAGGGCAUUCCCUCUGCGAAACGGGUGAACAUCGCGGAGUAGGUCCCUCUUUGAGGACUCUACCACCUCUUCCUGCCAAAGCUGGAGAAACUAAUAGAGCAGCCACUGACCCCACUUUCUCUUCUCCACCAGCUAGGUCGAAACCCCGUUUGCCCGACAAUCGAGCAGAGCAUCUGGUCCCCUAUAUCAGCGAGUUUUCUAGUCCCCUAUAUCAGCGAGUUUUCUAGGCUCGUGAGCAAGAAGGACUUGGAGGAUUUUGACGGCAGCACUCUCGGCAAUCUGGUGGGGGCUAUGCAGUAUAGUGCUUUUCACCUCGGCUGCAUGGCCACUAACUAUAAAGCGAAGCUCGGACGCUAUGAUCGAAAGAUGAGAGAGGACGUUCAAUCGACCAAAACCAAAGCUGACGCAGCCGAGAAGAAAGCAGGAGAUCUGAACCUCUAGAAUCUGAAGUUGAUAGAGCGAGAAUCUCUCGCGCAGGUAAGGGCAAUCACUCUAGAGGAAGAGCUGACUAAGGUCAAGGAGGAUCUGCAGAGGCAGAAGGCCACCUACGAGGCUCAGCUCGAAUCUCUCAAGGAUUCCCACCAGGUUCAGGUCAAGAACCUAGAGAAGGAAGCUGACAACCAAAAUGACCAGGGGCUUCGGCAUUCUUAUUGCUGCAUCAUGGCCGUCCUUGGGAAGCAACAUCCUGAUCUGAAGAUGGAUGAGCUUGCUGCUGGGGUUGCUCAAUAUAUAGAUGAUGAGGCAGCAAAAGAGGAUGUCGAAGAGUUGGAGCCAAAUGCAAUUGAGGAGGGAAACUCUCCUCCUCGUGCAGUCCCUGCUGAUGUUGCCGAGGCAAGUACCCCCCGGGUGCAACUGGUGAGACCCCCCUGCACCUAAGGUGGACCAGCCAACAGAAACUGCCCAGCUUACUGACCCGUCGUCCUCUUGAAUGUAUCUUGUGUUGUAAUUACUUUUUUGGAACACUGUAUGUUAAGCCUAGUAGUUUUUCGUGAUUAUUGAUAGAUUAAUAAGAAUGUUCUUAUUUGCUUUCUUUGCCUUGAGCUCUUGGCAAAUUAUUAUAUUUUUUGCUCGCUUACAUUGCGGUCGAGGAGGUGCCGAAAAGUUCAGCUUCCUGCUGUCCUAUGUUUGAGAGUCUGCUGGCCUUCGCUUGGUAGAACAGGUCCUGGCAUGCUUGGCUUCUGGUCUUGCCAUAAACAGGCUUUGAGGCUUAGUGAGCCUUUGCAUGCCUUAGAAAAUUUUACAAUGUUUGAGCAUCUGCUCGCCUUCGCUUGGUCGAGCAGAUCCUAGCACACUUGGCUUCUGGUUUCACCAUGAAACAGACUUUGAGACUUAGCCUUUGCAUGCCUUAGAAAAUUUUAUAAUGCUUGGGAGUCUGCUCACCUUCGCUUGGCCGAGCAAAUCCUGGCACGCUUGGCUUCUGGUCUCACCAUAAAACAGGCUUUGAGACUUAGCCUUUGCAUGCCUUAGACACUUUUACAGCAUUUCGGAGUCUGCUCGCCUUCGCUUGGUCGAGCAGAUCCUGGCACACUUGGUUGUUGGUCUCGCCAUAAAACAUGCUUUGAGACUUAACCUUUGCAUGCCUUAGACACUUUUAUAGCGUUUCGGAGUCUGCUCACCUUCACUUGGUCGAGCAGAUCCUGGCACACUUGGCUGUUGGUCUCGCCAUAAAAUAGGCUUUGAGACUUAACCUUUGCAUGCCUUAGACACUUUUACAGCAUUUCGGAGUCUGCUCGCCUUCGCUUGGUCGAGCAGAUCCUGACACACUUGGUUGUUGGUCUCGCCAUAAAACAGGCUUUGAGACUUAACCUUUGCAUGCCUUAGACACUUUUAUAGCGUUUCGGAGUCUGCUCACCUUCGCUUGGUCGAGCAGAUCCUGGCACACUUGGCUGUUGGUCUCGCCAUAAAAUAGGCUUUGAGACUUAACCUUUGCAUGUCUUAGGCACUUUUAUAGCGUUUCGGAGUCUGCUCGCCUUCGUUUGGUCGAGCAGAUCCUGGCACACUUGGUUGUUGGUCUUGCCAUAAAACAGGCUUUGAGACUUAACCUUUGCAUGCCUUAUAAGUUUUUAUAAUACUUAAGGGUCUGCUCGCCUUCACUUGGUCGAGUAGAUCCUGGCACGCUUGGCUUCUAGUCUCGCCAUAAAAUAAGCUUUGAGACUUGGUGAGCCUUUGCAUGCCUUAGGAGUUUAAAGAACAUUACAGCUGACUGAAAUUCCUCAUCGUUUCAUUAAUUGCUGAAUUCGGCUUACACGAGAUUAAUUUAACAUAGAAUGAAUAAUAACGAGAGCGAAUAGAAAUAACUUUAAAACAUGAACGAGUCUUACUGGAAAUAUUUCCUGAGGUGUACUGCGUUCCAGGGGCGUUUCACCUCGUGGCCAUCCGCACGAACAAGCUUAUAGGCUCCCCCCUCCCAGUUUGGUCCAAGUACUCCUUGUGUCGAGUCUUUCAUGUUCUGAUUCACCCUCCUUAGUACCCAAUCUCCGACCUUGAGCUGUCGUACACACACCUUCUGGUUGUAAUACCGAGCAACCCUCUGCUGGUAGAUGGCUGAUCGCUUCGAUGCUUGCUCCCUCUUCUCGGUCAGCAAAUCAGAUUCAAGCACAUCUGGUCAUUGUUUUCCUGCUCAUCGAAGUGUUCUGUCCAGUUCGUGGUCGUCCCUAUCUCGACCGGUACGACAGCUUCAUGUCCGAAGGCCAAAGCGAACAGAGUUUCGCCGGUUGCUGUUUUGUGGGUUGUCCUGUAUGCCCAUAAUACACCUGGUAGCUCAUCAACCCAUGCACCAUUUUUUGCUCCAAGCCUGAUUUUCAGAAGCCUUUUUAUUAUCUUGUUGGCUGCUUCUACUUGCCCGUUAGACUAAGGGUGAGCCAACGAGCAAUACUUCAUCUCUAUCCCGAGGUUUUAGCAGAAAUCCCUGAAGUUAUGGUUGUCAAACUGCCUGCCAUUGUUUGUUAUCAGGUCACAAAGGAUCACGUACCGAUAGACCAGGUUUCUCCAUACGAAGUCAGUCGUCUUUUUUUUUCUGUGAUCCUGCUGAGGGCCUCUACCUCUAUCCAUUUCGUGAAGUAGUCUAUCGCAACUAUUGCAUGUGUUGCUGCCCCUCGUCCCUCUAGAGACAGCGGGAACACCCUGCAUCUUUGAGCUUGGGAUAAUCCUUGCACCCCAGUUAUGUCGUUGAAGCGCUCUAUGUGCACCAACGGAUCGAUUCGCCCCGAGUAUCUGAGGUCUGGGAGGCGAAAAUCCCUCGAAAUGACUGCCCUCAUGAUUUCUGCUAAGAGCGGGGAUUCUCCGUCCAGCAUUAUCCUUCAACCUGGUGCUCUGCUCCGUCCUUGCAUGUUAUCUAUUAUCUGCGCUAACCUGCGCACUUCUUCUUCCAGCUGUACGGCACGACCAGGGUCACGUGCUGCAACCUGAUCUCGCUCCUGCUCAACAUCAAGCAGGUGUUUCCGGAGUUCUCUUUCCUCUGCAUUCGCCACUCUGUCAUCGUUAUCAAAGAUCUUCCUUCCCAGGGAUUGAUUCUCUCCUCUAUGGCUUUUUCCCCGUAGAGAUGAGUUACCCCCCUCACCACCAAAUCUUCUGGUGGCCCGACUUCUCAUCAUGUUGUCGUGCCCUGGUGUCACUCUGCCACUUCUCACCCCCUCCUCUUGAGCUCCUCUUCGUUCACUUCUCAGCUCGUGUAGGAUGGUUGUCAGGGUCUCCAUCUGUUUCUCCAUCUGUUCCAUCCGCUCAUACAUUGCUUUUUCCCGUACUUUGUUGGCUAUCUCUGUCAACGUCACGGACUCGUUAAGCCUCGGUUUACCUCCUUGUGCACUGCCUCCUCCUACAUCCAUUGUUCCAUCACUUUCUUUCAUCUUCUUCUCUCUAAUAACAGAAGCGUUUUGCUCAGCUCCCCACAGACGGCGCCAAAAUAUUGAUACGAGAUUCUGGUUUUCUGCGCCCCCACGACCAGGAUCUCUCCUCAACUAACUCGACCACGACCAGGAUCUCCCCUAGUAAGACUUCUUCUCUACAGACUUCUGCGUACACAGAAACAAGUCAGAGCACGCCGGGUGUUUUCCCGGCGCAAACCCUCCGACGCUUAAGUCAGAAACAUAGGUUUCGUUUUCCUGGGGAAAUCAGCCACUAAUCUUAUGGCUCAUUUUGAUUACUAAUUAUUCAGAGCUCUUUUUAUCUCAGUUCCAAUGUCAAAAAAUCUAACCCUUUUACCUUCGCUGGCCACCUUUUUAUAGGAUUCCUCUGAAUCCAGGCCUUCCACAAUCCACGUCUAUCACUUCCCCCACCCCCGGAAGUGGAUGCUCCAUUAUCGUCAUUGUGGCUGAAUAGAAGUGGACUUCGUGCCUUGAUUUUCGGUCAGGAGUGCACAUCUGCCCACCUCAACAUCUAGCAGGAAUGGCCUUAUACUCCUAGUAGGAGGCCGGCUCCCGCUGUGACCCCGUGGAGGGUGCGUUCGUGAAUGAGCAGAAUAUUCCUGCUCGUGCCAUCCUGCUACUAGAUAUCUGCUAAUCAUAUCUAGUCUUGUCGGCGUAUAUCCCCCAAAUAAGGCGUGCAAAGGUGCAAAGUCUCAAAGCCUGUUUUAUAACGAGACAGGAAGCCAAGCAUGCCAGGAUCUGCUCGACCAAGCGAAGGCGAGCAGACCACCAAAGUUCCAAAAAGUUUCUAAGGCGUGCAAAGGCUCCAAAAUCUCAAAGCCUGUUUUAUGGCGAGAAAGGAAGCCAAACAUGCCAGGAUCGGCUCGACCAAGCGAAGGCAAGUGAUAAUUCUAGGAAAUAAGAGUUAUUACUUCAAUUCUAGACUGAAAUCAAGAUCAUUUAGAGAGCAAAUAAGGUGUUUUUAUUACAUUUUGGUUACCUUUUGCAUAAACAUUCAUUUUAGUUGGAUAUUAAUAAGUUUUGCUUAAAUCAAGUAAUUUGUACUAAAAACAGGUGCGUAAUUGUAAGGUUUAAAUUCAUGAAGAGGAUGCAGAGACAUUAGAUGAGCAAGAGGAGGAAAGAAGAUGGCCAAAAAAGAAGAAAAGCACAAUCGAGAAUAAUGCAGUACUGUUGUGAAUGUUAGAGCAACCAGUGCUGCAGCAAUCUGGGAGCAAUGCGGUAGAAAGCUUAAAGCGCGGGUCAGCCAUAAAGUCGCGAUCUGCAUGUUUCCUAAUUUAGACGCAUGCAAGCUCAUGGGCUUUAGUUUUUACCCUAAUUCGGAAUAUAAAAAGGAGGCGUGCAUCACAUAGAGAGGGGGCAGAGAGAUUACUAUCCAAGUGAUUACAAAGGCAAGAAGAAGAAGAAGAAGAUCAAGAUUUAGGAGUGUUGUUCGGCAUCAUUGAAGAACCGAGGAGGAUCACUAGUCUUUCACCGUGCUCAACUCAUAUUAUCUUUCUUCCUUGAAAUUGUUUGGAUGUAUUCUGUGAUCAGUAUAUUUAUGUUUACUUUUCUCAUUCAGAACAUGAACAAAAUUUACUUGUAGUUGAGUGACAAAUAAACCAAUGGGUUCUUGACUGUUCUUAUAUGUUGUUAUGGUAUUGCUGUAGCAUUAUACUCUAGUAGUUUUUAUAAUUACAACUGUUAUUUCAGUUGACCACCCAUUUAAUAGUUUCAGUUAAGAUAGAGCAGCAAAAUGGCAUGUCUUAGCGGACAUUAUUAGAGUAUUACUCGUUCUUAAGUCAAGUUUCCUGGAUUAGGUUAUCUUGAAUCCCAUAAGGGCAAUACUUGAAGUUAAGAUUUGUGACACUCUAGACAUAGGUGUUCACCUUGUAGGGUAGAGAGAUUAAAGGUUAUUAUGCCGUACCAUAAAUAUAUGAGCAACUGGUCAUUGUUAGUAGAUUUAAAGGUAUGAAAUUUCCAACAUGCAAUAGCUGCGGAUGCAGAUAUAUUCUACCCAUUGCUGCAGCACUUAUUGUAACAACUGGUGCUAAUUCGGUAAACAACAGUCAUCCCAUUAGGAGAGUUUGAUCAUUCAACUACUAUAUUCUCAAUUGAAUCUUAGACACAUUUAACUUAGUUUAUUUCAUUACAGUAUUGUUUUAUUUCCAUCUCUCGAAAUUAAUAAUUACGAUAAAAUUAUUUGACAUUUGUUUGUUUCGACCUUUAGUUGAUUUGCAUUAUUGUGAUUGUUUCAGUAUUUUGAGCAACAUCAAUCCCCGUAGAGACGAUCUUGAAUACUCAUCACUUUAUUACUUGUUGUGUAUACUUGCACAUUGGCAUUGAUAGUAAUUGAUUAUAAUAAAUUACCAACAAGUUUUUAGCGUCGUUGCCGGGGAAUGAUUGUUUAUUUUUGAAGUGUGAAGUAAAUUAUGAUAGCACCAAACUUAACUUGAUUCAUUCUAUUGAUUGGUAGAUCAGUACGUGCAUACGCAAGGAUAGAUCUGUGGUAUUCCAAUUCGAUCCUGAGAUUGAAAGGACUAUCAGGAGAUUGCGAAGAGAACAAAGAAAUUCAAAGACUGUUUCAGGCAUGAAUAAUUUGCAGGAUGAGGGAAAUUUGAACCCUCACGGGCCUUUACAUCCAGCCAACAUUCAAGAAGUGCAGAAUGAACAUGCUAAUGGGAGAUAGCCAGGUAAUAACAAUAUUAUUUACAUGGCUGAUGACAGGGACAGAGCUAUAAGAGAUUAUGCUGUACUAACUCCUCAAGUUGUCCAUCCUGGCAUCAUCAGACCUGAAGCAGACGCUGCCAACUUUGAGAUAAAGCCCGUGAUGUUUCAAAUAUUGCAAACAGUUGGGCAAUUCAAUGGAUUGACAAAUGAAGAUCCUCAUCUCCAUCUUAAAUUGUUCUUGGAAGUAAGUGAUGCUUUCAAGAUUGCUAGAGCAACACAAGAUGCCUUAAGGCUGAGGCUAUUCCUUUAUUCCUUAAGAGAUCGAGCAAGGGCAUGGUUAAAUUCAUUACCAUCUGAUUCCAUCACUACAUGGAAUGAAUUGGCUGAUAAAUUCCUAGUGAAAUAUUUCCCACCGACAAAGAAUGCAAAAUUAUGAAAUGAGAUUACCUCCUUCCAUCAACUUGAAGAUGAGAGUUUGUACGAGGCUUGGGAAAGGUUCAAGGACUUGCUCAAAAGGUGUCCUCAUCAUGGUAUUCCUUGUUGUAUUCAAUUGGAAACUUUUUACAAUGGGUUGAAUCCGAGUACAAGGUUAAUGGUGGAUGCUUCAGCAAAUGGAGCUCUGUUAUCCAAAUCCUACACUGAAGCUUAUGAAAUUUUGGAAAGAGUUGCCAAUAAUAAUUACCAGUGGCCUUCAGUCAGGCAGCCAGCAGCAAGAGGAACAGCAGGGGUACAUAGCAUUGAUGCAAUUACAGCCUUAUCAGCUCAAGUAACCUCAUUGACUAACAUGGUAAAAGCCAUGACAGCUGCUCCAGCAACAGUAAAGCAAGUUACUGAACUUUCUUGUGUCUACUGUGGUGAAGAACAUGAUUUUGAUAAUUGUCCUGGAAAUCCAGCCUCAGUAAAUUAUAUGGGUAACUUCAAUCGACAACCUCAGAACAACCCAUAUUCAAAUACUUACAACCCAGGCUGGAAACAAUACCUAAAUUUCUUAUAGAGCAAUCAGAAUCGAAAUGCUCCAGCAUUGAAUGGACUAAGUAGAAACACACAACCACCUGGUUUUCAUCAACAAAGUCAAGGGCAAAAGCAUAUCAGUCAGGAUCCAAUCACUUCAUUGGAAGCACUGAUCAAGGAAUACAUUGCAAAGAAUGAAGCAAUUGUUCAAAAUCAAGCUGUGCCCUUGAGAACCAAAUGGGACAAUUAGCUACAGCAAUGAGCAGCAGAACUCAAGGAAGCCUACCUAGCAACACAGAAGACCCUAGGAGAGAUAGCAAAGAACACUGCAAAGUAAUUAGUUUAAGAUCUGGAAAGAAUGUUGAUAUCCUAGUUGAGGUGACCAAAAAUGGGAUGGAAUGCAAUUCAGCUCAAAACCCAACUCAAAAGGGAAACCUGUUACAGCAGGCUCCCCAUCAAGACACUGAUGUAAUGGGCCAAGCUACAGCAGCUGCAGAAGAAAUUCAACCAGAUCUUGCUGAAAAAGAAGUUGCAACACCAGUAGCCACAACCUGCACCAACUUAAACAAACAGAGUUUGGUACCUCCUAAAUCUAACCAGCAGUUUAGACAUCCACUACCCUUCCCUCAAAGGUUCCAAAAGCAAAAACAAGACAAGCAGUUCAGCAAAUUCCUGGAAGUGCUGAAGCAACUGCACAUAAAUAUACCUUUUGUGGAAGCUUUAGAGCAAAUGCCAAAUUACGUGAAAUUUCUAAAAGAUAUCUUGGCACGAAAAAGAAGGCUGGGAGAGUUUGAAACUGUUGCUUUAACACAGGAAAGUAGCCAUAUGCUCUAGAGUAAAAUUCCCACAAAAUUGAAAGAUCCAAGGACUUUUACAAUACCCUGCUCUAUAUGGACUAGGUAUACUAGCAGAGCACUUUGUGAUUUGGGAGCUAAUGUUAACUUGAUGCCAUUAUCUGUAUUUAAGCAGCUUGGAGUAGGGGAGUGCAGACCAACAACUGUCACUCUGCAAUUAACUGACAGCUCUCAUGCAUAUCCUGAAGGAAAGAUAGAUGAUGUACUGGUGAAGGUUGACAAAUUCAUUUUUCCAGUGGAUUUCAUUGUGCUAGACUUUGAAGCUGACAAAGAGGUACCCAUUAUACUUGGUAGACCUUUUCUAGCAACUGGAAAGACUCUGAUAGAUGUGCAGAAAGGAGAGCUGACCAUGAGAGUGAAUGAUCAGCAAGUCAUAUUCAAUGUACUAGAGGCUAUGAGAAACCCUGAUGAAAUAGAAGAUUGCAAUUUCCUAAGUGUAGUGGAUCUUGUUGUAGCAGACAGAAUGGACAGAUGCUACAGUAAUGUACUUGACAAAGUCACCACCUUUGAGGAUGUUGAAGAGGAAGAUGUUGAAGCAAUUCAAACAGAUUGGAUGGACAAACAACAAUCUAAUAGGCACAACAGGGUUAUUGAACACUUGAAUCUGUCAGACAGGGAAGUAAAAACAAUUUUACCAUCUAUUGAAUCACCUCCUAGUUUUGAAUUAAAACUGUUACCUUCACAUUUGAAGUAUGCUUAUCUUGGUCAAAACAACACACUCCUUGUAAUCAUUUUUUCUACUUUGGAUGCAGGUCAAGAACAAAGCCUAGUAGAUUUGCUGGGAAAAUACAGAAGAACAAUUGGAUGGACCAUGGCAGAUAUAAAGGGGAUCAGCCCAUCCAUAUGUAUGCAUAAAAUCCUGUUAGAAGACUGUUCCAGCAAUUCGGUGGAGCACCAGAGAAGGCUGAAUCCUAUUAUGAAAGAAGUGGUAAAGAAGGAAAUCAUAAAAUGGUUAGAUGCUGGAAUCAUAUACCCAAUAUCAGACAGUUCAUGGGUAAGCCCAGUUCAAUGUGUUCCAAAAAAAUGAGGGAUAACAAUAAUGACUAAUGAGAAGAAUGAACUUAUUCCUACAAGGACAGUGACUGGAUGGAGAGUGUGUAUGGAUUACAGGAAGCUCAACAAAGCCACAAGGAAAGACCAUUUCCCACUUCCAUUCAUAGAUCAGAUGCUGGACAGACUUGCUGGAAAACAAUACUAUUGUUUCUUAGAUGGGUAUUCAGGCUACAACCAGAUUGCUAUAGCUCCAGAGGAUCAAGAGAAUACUACAUUUACUUGUCCUUAUGGAACAUUUGCCUUCAGAAGAAUGCCAUUUGGGCUAUGCAAUGCUCCAGCAACUUUUCAGAAAUGCAUGAUGUCUAUAUUUUCUGAUAUGGUGGAGCAUAUUUUGGAAGUUUUCAUGGAUGAUUUCUCAGUUUUUAGAGAAACAUACAGUAAUUGUUUACAUAACUUGGAAGAAGUUCUUAAAAGAUGUGAGAUGACCAACUUAGUACUCAAUUGGGAGAAGUGUCAUUUUAUGGUGCAAGAAGGAAUAGUGUUGGGUCACAAGAUAUCCAAGGAUGGUAUUGAGGUAGACAAAGCCAAGAUAGAGGUAAUAGAUAAACUGCCACCUCCAACUUCAGUAAAGAGUAUUAGGAGUUUUUUGGGUCAUGCUGGAUUCUACAGAAGAUUCAUUAAGGAUUUUUCCAAAGUAGUUAAGCCUCUGUGUUCAUUGCUGGAGCAUGACAAACCAUUUCACUUUGACAAAGAGUGCCUUCAAGUAUUUGAAGAAUUAAAGAAAGCCUUGAUCACUGCCCCAGUUGUUAUAUCUCCAGAUUGGAAUUUACCAUUUGAAUUGAUGUGUGAUGCUAGUGAUCAUUCUGUGGGAGCAGUAUUAGGGCAAAGAAAGGAUAAGGUUUUUCAUUCCAUAUACUAUGCAAGCAAAACUUUCACCCCAACUCAGAUCAAAUACACGACUACAGAGAAAGAGUUACUGGUAGUAGUUUUUUUGACAAAUUCAGAGCUUACCUGGUGGGUACUAAAGUAACUGUUUAUACAGACCAUGCAGCCAUCAAAUAUUUAAUUUCAAAGAAGGAUGCCAAACCAAGAUUAAUAAGAUGGAUCUUAUUGUUUCAAGAAUUUGAUCUGGAAAUUAAAGAUAGAAAGGGGACUGAAAAUCAAGUGGCAGACCACUUGUCACGGUUGGAAGUAGAUACUAGUACAUUGACAAGGAAGGGCAUCACUGAAACUUUUCCUAACGAACAGCUGCUGGUAGUACAGCAAGCACAGAUGCUGCAGCAGUCAGAAUCUCCAUGGUAGGCAGACUUUGCUAACUAUUUAGUAAGUGGGUUGCUACCACCUGAGAUGAAGUUUCAAGAGAAAAAGAAAUUUCUUCAUGAUGCUAGAAGCUAUCAGUGGGAUGACCCACAUUUAUAUAAGCUAUGUGUUGUGCAAAUUUUAAUGUACUCGCAAGUGCACGACAUCUAUUGUAGUAUAGAUCAAUGGUGACGAGUGUCGAUCCCACGAGGAGGUGGAUUUUAAUUGUGUGUAGAAUUAAUUUUGUAAAUGGGUGAUUGGAUUUGUGGUGGAAAUGAAUUGGAAUAUGUUAAAACUUAAAUUAAAAUGGCGAGAAUAAAUUUUAAAAUUGGAAUUAAAAUGGCAAGAAUAAAUUGAAGAGAAUUCUAUUGAAAUGACGUACUUGGGUAUCUGGAUCCGUAUCAACAUGCAUCAUGGGCUAAAUAAUCCUUAUUAAUACCAAUUAAAUCAUGAAGGGGGAAUCCACACCUCAUGAACCACGCUCUAAUCAAUAUGGUGCUAAGGGCUUAUCGUGCCAAAUAAUAAUAACCUUGUACUAGGGGGCCGGUGAAACCAAGGCGGUACUAGACAAGAUUAGUAUUAUUUGUCAACGACAAGUCAAAACAUCCACAAAAAUUAGAGGGGAAGAGAAAGUAGAUUUACCAAAUAAAGCCCAUGACACAUGUUAAGACUUCACCUUCAACCCAAGCUUGAAAGAAAAUUAGCCACUUAUAAUUGAACUAGUGGCAAAAUGAGAAUUUAUUAAAAUACGUAGAAAAUACAAGAUGGAGAAGGAAUUACAGAAAAUGGAUCCCAAAGAUGGAUUCAGAGAUAUCAAAUUAGGGGGGGGAGGAGGCCCCCUUUUUAUAGAUACAUCGAGUAAAUCAUGGCCAUCGGAUUAAAAACAGUUUGGACGCUCAAGAUUGCGCCACGUCAUCAGUCAACAGUACGCGUGAAUAGUACGCGGUUUGACCACGUGGAUGAACAGUAACACGGUUUGACCCGGGUGAACAGUGACGCGGUUUGGUUGAAAAUAAUCUUGUGUGAUGCAUAUACCGUACACGAGAUUUUUCGUCCACUGAUAUGCUGCCACGUCACCAUCAACAGUACAUAAGAAUUUUAGCCCAACAGGAUCAUGACACCUCAUCAGUCAAUGCCACAUCAUCGGUCAAUGCCACGUCAUCGAUCCGUCUAUGUGAACAGUGUCAUGAACAGUAAUGUAGACAAUACCGUACACGUGAAUAGUACCGUACAUGUGAAUAGUGCCAUUUUUCCUUUUAUGCUCCUCCUAAGGUUUUCGACCGUCCUGAGUUCAAAAGUGAUGUCCGUUUUGCCAUCUGAUCUCUCGUUUAUUGUGAAAUGACUAUGAUGCCCCUAAAAUACAUAAAAUACUUAAUUAAAAUAAAACACAUGGAAUUAAAUCAAAAGAAUGUUAAAUUCAUAAAAGUAAAGGUGUUAGUAAAAUUUGUAGUGUAAAAUGACAAUUUUCUCCUUUAUAAAUAUAUAUUUUCUAACACUCAACACACCCCCCAACCAGCUUAUUGCUAGUCCCUAGCAAAUAAAGCGAAAACAAAAUUCAAAACCAAAAUGAUUUUUUUUAUUUAUUUAGAAACACUCAUGUUUAUUCAAUCAGAUUAAUGAUAGUAAUCAAAUAAAAGUAUAAGCAUUAUCUCCAGUCUAAAGCAACAUCACACCCAUAUCAACCGUCCACAUGAAUCAGCAUAAUAGACAUUGUUAUAGCUACUUUCAAGAAUGACAUGUCAAACCCCAAAAUCUCACUGGAAGUAGUGACACUGUCACAAAGAAAUUAAACCCAAUAAAAAAUAGUCACUCCAAUGAAUGGUAAUUGAGAGAAAAUAAUAAAGAAGUGAUAUCACAUGCUCUCACCAAGAUGAAAUAAAUAUGCCCCCAGCUUAAAAAUAAUACGAUCUCAAGUCAAAUAAAAAAUGUUAGUCAACUCAAUUUAUUGAUUUAUUUUUUAUAUGCACCACUACAUCUUUUUAGCCCAUAUAACUAACUUCUACUUCAGACUAAAGUUUCCUAAAAUCAAGAAGGACUUUUAUUAGGACGUAACGUAGGUUAGGGACAUGGCUAACAAAGAAGGGAAAUAAGGAAAACAAAAUGUAUGUUUGAGAAAAAUGUAGAGAAAUUUUUUUUUUUUUUUGGAAGUUGUAAGGUGGAUUUCACCUAUUAUUGAUUUUUUUUUCUCUUCUUUUUUUUUGAAAUAAUUUUUUUUUUUUUUACUUUUGCUUGGCACAACGUCACUGAACAAAAUAAUUAUUUACAUUUUUCUCAAAUAUAAAUAGGUGAUGGAACUUAUAAGACAUCGGGUAAUACUCCAAAUCGGAGAGGGUCAAGAUGAUAAGUUUAGCAAAUAAAAGUUUUUUUUUUUAAAGGCUCAAAAUAGUUUACUAUGGAUAUUUAAUAAAAUGGAUGGCUAGAAAGGCUCAAACGGAUCAAAGAUGGUCUUUCCAUCAUCUUUUAGGGCUCUAAAUAAUCUUCUAUAUCUACUAGUUAGAUGGGCCUCCAAAUAUAGCAACACACUUUUUUUUUCUUUUUUUUUUAAUUUUACAAAUUUUUUUUAAGGGUUAACUCAAAAGAAAUCUAGAGAUCGUGUAUACAAUAAUAAACUGCUAAGCUGUAUAAAGAAUGGGCAAAAGGGUUACUCUCCAAGAAAAAUGAUAGGCUCAAAAACUCACUUGGCACUUAUUUAUGACAUGUUCAUUCCUUCAAGCAACUCAUAUUUGUCUCCGGCAUCAACAUGUAAAGUAGCAAACAUAGCGUAACAUCACUUAAGACCAAAGAUAAUACAAAUACUAAAAUUUGAAAUUAAUCAUGUCAUCCAAUAUUAAAACAAAUCACACAAAUUUUUUUUUUUUAACAACAUUCUACCCCCCAACCUAUUCUAAACAUGAAAGAAAAAUAUGCAUGCAGAAAUGUGAAAAUGAUGCAUAAAAACUAAUUAGAAAAGUUACACUUAAAAUGAUAGAAAACGAAAAUGGUUUUUUUUUUUUAAAAAAAAAAAACUUAGAAGAUGCGUUUCUAGAGGCAUUACACUCCAUAUUCAGCCAUCUUCGACUCAAAAAUUUGAAAAUAUAUAUUUAUAAAGGAGAAAGAGGAAGAAAACGGUUUUUUGUUUUUUUUGUUUUUUAAACGAUGAAGAUGCGUUUCUACAGUAACUACACUCCAUAUUCAGCCAUCUUCAACACAAAAAGUUAGCAACAGUUAGUUUCUACAACAAAAAAUCAGUAAAAACUUAACCAAGAUUCCACAAUUGUCGACUAUUCCCUCCCCCCAACCAGAACGAAACAUUGUCCUUAAUGUUUGAAAGGAAAGAAGUAGAGUUUAGAAGACAUCACCUGGGUGGUGCAACACGGAAGAAAAUAUUUACAGGCGGAGAGUUAAAUCUAAUUUGUACUUCUUACUGCGGCUACUAUUACCAUCAUUAUUUGGACGCUCCAACACAAAGGUCCAUGGGUCCGGCUCCGGUUUAUAAGCUUGUAACAGAUCAAGUAGCUCAUUAGCAGUGUAAGCACAAAUAAAAAGUUUUUUCGCAUUGGAAGGAAUGAAGUAGCUUUUUAUUGCAUGGUUAAGAAAUGCGAUAAAGCCAUCAUAAAAGUUAUUGACAUUUAACAAACCGAUGAGUUUUUGGUGAAUGUGCAGAUGGGCCCAAGAUGCUAGUCUGAUAAGUGCCUUUAGUGUUGCAAGAUCUCCUGGAAGGAAAAUAAAAGCAUCAGCAUGAUUUAGCAUUUCAGUUAUUCUUUCUUGCAUACCUGAGACAACUAACUCUUCUCCAGUCGAUGAGUCAGUCAAACUGCCCAAAGGUUUUAGGGCUCUUGGGAUGAUGCCUAACACUUGACUGCCUCUGAUAAAAGCUGCUUCUGAGACCAUUUUUGAUAACCCUCGGUUACCUCCUCCAUACACCAAAUGUAAUUUUCUCGCUGCUAUGCUUCGACCAAGAUCUAUGGCUGCCUCAACGAACUCUUUAUGUUUGCCAUAGUUAAAUCCAGAAAGCACACAAAUGUUCUUGAAUUGUCUAUUGGGAGUAGCUGCCAUUGGGAUACUUAUCAAAAAUAAUUUGUGAGUGUUUGACAAAAGAAAUCACAUUUAAGAGUCUUGGUGACAGUGGAUCACAACUGUGUAUGAGGUAGCAUGUCAGUGUCAAAUAACGCGUAAAGCAUAUGGCUUGUGAGUCAAAAAGGAAACAGUAAAAAGAAAAAGAAAUAAUGAUAAAAUAAAAUUAUUAAAGACAAUAAUGCAAAAGAUAAAAUAACAGUGAAAUAAAAUAACAGUGAAGUAAAAGGAUAUUUACAGGUAGUUGCGACUGUGGCUCACAUCUUCCUCUGGUUUUACGUCCAGAAACGGCUUGAACGCCCUCUAUGGGUCGAGGAUGGGCUUCCCAUCCAGUUUUCUUAUAAACUGGCAAACAGGGUCGUUUAUAGUCAGAUUCCCAAGACUAUAUCGUGCAUGCUCUUUCUGGAAUAAUGGCCAUAACUGGAGAAUCGCUCCUUGCACAUAUCCACUGGGAUGCGUUUCAAGAGACAUAAGGAUAUCAUCCAAUGACUCCUUAUUCAAGCCAUUCCUAAUGAAUUGAAUCUUAUCUUCCCUGUUAUCAGACACCAUUCCUAAAGAACAUGGGUUUUUAUCGCAACUCAUUAUGGCACACUUAUGACAAGCAACAGCAAUUCUUCGAGCUCGUCGUUUUCUUGCAUAAUUUCCUUUACCACAACCAGGCAUGUAUGCAAUAAAUUUUGGAGGUAACUCACUGCCAAUCGUACUUUAGCCUCGAUUAACCAACGGAUGUCAGCAGGUAUGUUAUUCCUCAUGAGCAAUCGCAUGUGUUCGGACUGGGCUUUAUAGAUCGUAAGGAGGGCAUUCUGAGGGAGUGAAGGGAAUCGCUUGUGAAGCUUCGCUAAAAUCUCGUUUCUGUCCAUACAUUCGCCUCAGAAUGUCAGUUAUUAUGGGAAACUGAAGUAACCGACUUGAUUGUCACGGAGUACCGUUAUCCGCCACUUCACCGGGGUAACAAACUAAAGCACACAAACAGAAAAACAAAUUAAAACACAUAAAGAAAAUUAAAAUCGUCCUCUUAUUGAAUUUACCUCAAGCUCCAACUGAAUGUCGUAAACACUUCUCUCAAUGUCUCUGAGUUGGCUUUCUAGAUUCUCAACAUAGGCUACUAACUCUGGUGGUUGUAGAGCCCAAAUGCGUUGUGUUUUACAAAAUUGAAUCUGCCUUUUGAGAUGAGUUUUGACACGUUGAAGUGGUUUAAGAAUGUUCAGGAGGAACGGUCUAAGUAUGGUACUCAUGAUUAAAAAUGAUAAGAGAAAACUUAAUAGUUAAACAAACACACUUAUGCAAAAAUAAUUUCAAUUAGUAAAAGAAUAAUAAAAAGAAAGAAAGAAAAAUCAAAUCAACGAAAAGAAAAAAAAAUCAAUUCAAAUCUGGUGGGUCACUCAAAUUUAUUUCGGUGUCUUCUCCAUGUGGUUGGUACUCUAGAUAUGGCUUUAAUCUUUGACCAUUAACUUUAAACGUGACACCGUUCUUUGGGUCCUUAAUUUCAAUUGCCCCAUGUGGAAAAACAGUAUGAACAAUAAAGGGACCAGACCAUCGAGAGCGCAACUUACCUGGGAAUAUGUGCAAGCGAGAAUUGAAUAAAAGUACUUUCUGACCUGGAGUGAACGAUUUUCUCAUAAUUUACUUGUCGUGAAAGACUUUCAUUCGUUGCUUGUAAAUCUUGGCAUUUUCAUAUGCGUCAUUACGAAUUUCUUCAAGUUCUGCCAGUUGUAAUCUUCUUUCUGAGCUGGCUUGCUGCAUGUCAAAGUUGAAUUUCUUGAUGGCCCAAUAUGCACGAUGCUCGAGUUCCACAGGUAGGUGGCAAGAUUUUCCAUACACUAGCCUGUAGGGUGACAUCCCAAUCGGGGUCUUGAAAGCCGUUCUAUAUGCCCAUAAUGCAUCAUCAAGUCUUAAUGACCAAUCUUUUCUGUCUAGCCUCACCGUCUUUUCUAAUAUGUGCUUUAUUUCUCGAUUGGAGAUCUCAACUUGGCCACUGGUUUGUGGAUGAUACGGGGUCGCCACUUUGUGUGUGAUUAAAUACUUUGUCAAAAGAGCUUUGAAUGCUUUGUUACAAAAGUGGGCACCACCAUCACUGAUUAUUGCUCGAGGGAAUCCAAAGCGUGAAACAAUGUUGCUUUUCAAAAAUCCUAUCACCACCUUGUGAUCAUUGGUUCUACAUGGAAUUGCUUCCACCCAUUUCGAUACGUAGUCAACACCAACCAAUAUGUAUUAAUGGCCAAAAGAAGGGGGAAAGGGCCCCAUGAAGUCGAUACCCCAUACGUCAAAAUCUCAACCACUAAAAUUGGAUUUAGUGGCAUCAUGUUCCUUCGUGUAAUGCUCCCCAUUCGUUGACACCUAUCACAUGAAGAACAGAAAGUGUAAGCGUCUCGAAAUAUAGUUGGCCAAUAGAAACCACAUUGUAAAACUUUAGUCGUUGUUUUCUUAGCACUGAAAUGGCCUCGACAAGCUUGUUCAUGGCAGAAUGAAAGAAUAUUCUGAAUUUCAUUUUCAGGGACACAUCGUCUAACAAUUUGGUCUGCACAAUACUUGAACAAAUAUGGGUCAUCCCAAAAGAAAUUCUUUAUUUCCGCAAAGAAUUUAGCCUUGUCUUGCUUGGUCCAAUGCUCUGGAAGUUGACCUGUAACAAGAUAAUUAACUAUAUCAGCAUACCAAGGUAAUACUUCCACACUCAUUAAUUUUUCAUCUGGAAAUGACUCAUUCAAUAUUAAUGGCUCUAUAAUUGUGUCAAAAUGGAGACGAGAGAGGUGGUCCGCCACAACAUUUUCUGUCCCUUUCUUAUCUUUGAAUUCCAAGUCAAAUUCCUGCCAAAGUAACACCCAAUGAAUUAAUCUAGCUUUUGCAUCUUUCUUUGUGAGAAGAUAUUUAAGAGCAGUAUGAUCUGUGAACACAAUUAUUUUACAACCAAUGAGAUAAGAUCGAAAUUUUUCUAAUGUAAACACUACUGCUAGCAUUUCUUUUUCAGUAGUUGAAUAGUUCAACUGUGCAUCAUUCAAUGUCAUACUAGCAUAGUAAAUAACAUGGGGAAUUCGAUCAACUCAAUGUCCUAAUACCGCUCCUACUGCAUAAUCAGAUGCAUCACACAUGAGCUCAAAUGGUAAGCUCCAGUUUGGGAGCUGAAUGAUGGGUGAUGAUAUCAACAACUGCUUCAAUUUUUCAAAUGCCACAAGACAUGAAUCAUUAAAGACAAAAGGUACAUCCUUAGCAAGUAGAUUGCAUAAGGGUCUAGAAACUUUGCUAAAAUCUUUAAUGAAACAUCUAUAGAAACCAGCAUGCCCAAGGAAAGAUCUUACUUCUCUGAUUGUUUUAGGUGGAGGAAGAUUAGAAAUGAGAUCCACCUUGGCUUUGUCAACCUCAAUACCUUUGCUCGAAAUGAUGUGACUGAGAACAAUACCUUGUUUUACCAUAAAAUGGUACUUCUCCCAAUUCAAUACUAAGUUCUUCUCGGUACAUCUCUGCAGAACUAGCGUUAGAUGAUGUAAACAUUGAUCAAACGAGUCACCAAAGAUAGAAAAGUCAUCCAUAAAGACUUCAAGGAAUCGUUCAACCAUAUCAGAAAAAAUGCUUAACAUGCAUCGUUGAAAUGUAGCAGGUGCAUUACAUAAUCCAAAUGGCAUUCUCCUAUAUGCAAAAGUGCCAAAAGGGCAAGUGAAAGUAGUUUUCUCUUGAUCUUUUGGUGCUAUGGGAAUCUGAUUAUAUCCUAAGUAGCCAUCUAGAAAGCAAUAAAAUUCAUGGCCUGCUAAUCUAUCAAGCAUUUGAUCGAUAAAAGGUAAAGGAAAAUGGUCUUUACGUGUGACAGAAUUCAACUUUCUAUAAUCAAUGCAUACACGCCAUCCUGUAAUUACUUUAGUUGGUAUCAAUUCAUUAUCAGCAUUCGUAACUACUGUGACUCCUGACUUUUUGGGGAUAACUUGUACAGGACUGACCCAUGAACUAUCAGAAAUUGGGUAAAUGAUACUUGCGUCUAAUAGCUUAAGGACUUCGGUUCUAACAAUUUCUUUCAUAUUAGGAUUUAACCGACGUUGCAUUUCCCUAGUAGAUUUAGCAUUUUCAUCAAGGUGAAUGUAAUGCAUGCAGUCUACUGGGUUUAUACCUUUUAUGUCCGCUAUGGUCCAUCAUAAUGCUCAUUUGUGCUCUUUUAAAACAUCCAACAACUUACCUUUUUUUUCGUCAUUUAGGGAUGAUGAGAUGAUUACCGGCAAAGUACUUUCUUCUCCCAAAAAUGCAUAUUCCAAUGUGUUGGGCAAUGGUUUGAGCUCAAGUUUUGGUGGUGAGUCUGAUGAUGGGAUGAGUUUCUUCUCUGAUGGUGCUAGUUGUUCAACUCUUGACUUCCAUUUGUUAGUGUCCAUGGAUGCUGCAGAGUCAAGUAAGGCGUUGACCUCAUCGACCGAUCUGUCAAUAUCAAAAUCCAAACCAAAGUGAGUUAAACAUGUUUGUAAAGGAUCAUCACUAAGGUUUGAAAGAAAAGUAUUAUCAACUAUUGUUUCUAUUAAAUCCACAUUAACAAUUCCAUCAUCUGCACUGUGAGGUUGUUUGGAAAUGUUGAAAAUGUUUAGCUCCAUAGUCAUGUUGCCGAAGGACAACUGCAUAUUUCCAGUCCUGCAUUGAAUGUGAGCAUCCGCAGUUGCCAAGAAAGGUCGGCCUAGGAUAAUGGGGAUGUGCUUCCUUGAAUCCUGUAUUGGUUGAGUGUCAAUUACAAUGAAAUCAACAGGAAAAUAAAACUUGUCUACCUGGAUAAGCACGUCCUCCACAAUACCACGAGGUAUUUUUGUGGACCGAUCUGCAAGCUGUAACACCAUUGGAGUUGGGUGUAAUUCUCCAAGUCUAAGUUUCAUAAAUACAGAGUAAGGCAACAAAUUUACACUAGCUCCUAAAUCCAACAAAGCAUUCUCAAUUGUGUGGUUCCCUAUACUACAUGAGAUAGUGGGGGAGCCUGGGUCUUUGCAUUUUAGAGGGAUUUUAUGUUAGAGUAUAGAACUAACGUUUUCUGUUAAAAAUGCCUUCUUUUGAACAUGAAUGUUUCUCUUUUUAGUACAAAGGUCUUUAAGAAACUUGGCAUAAGAUGGAACUUGCUUUAUAGCAUUAAGUAAAGGGAUGUUAACACUUGCCUGUUUGAAGAUUUCGAGAAUCUCACCUGUGGAUUUUCCCUUCUUUCCUUUCGCUAACCUCUGAGGAAAUGGAGCUUUAGGAACAUAUUCUCGCAGGUUGGUUUCUUCUUUCUCCUCCGGUGGUGAGUCCUCAGCAUUUACAGGUACAAUUUGAUUUUCUUUUGUCACCGGCAUCUCCACUUUGUUGUCAAUUUCUUUUCCUUUUCGCAAGGUCAUGACUGCUUUGACUUCUCCAUGCUGCUGUGGUGAACUGGUAUUUGCUUCAUGCACUCCUUUAGGAUUAGGCACUGGUUGACUUGGAAACUUGCCUUUCUCAACAGUCAUUGCCAAGGUCUGAACUGAAGAAGCAAGUUGUCCCACCAUCUUCUCGAGGCUUGAAACUGAUUGGGCUUGUGAGUUGAAGCCCGCUCUCAACUCAUUUCGUAGUCCAUCAAUGGUGCGGUUCUGUUGCUCAAUCGUAGAGUGAGUAACAUUCUUGAGAUUAUGGAAUGAAUCCUCCCAUGGUCUGGGUUGAGAGUAGUUCUGGUUCUGAUUGUAUUGUUUGAAUAGUGGUUGAGCGGCUUGAGGAUUUUGAGGAAUUGGUUGCAUUGGUGGAGCUGGAGCUGCUGGUCCAUUCUGUUGGAAUCCUUGAGACCAUGAAAAAUUGGGGUGAUCUCUCCAUCCAGGGUUAUAUGUGUUGGAGUAUGGGUUGUAAUUCGAUGGUUUUCUCAUUACACCUAUAACAUUGGCUUGAUCGGAGUAUGAGUCAUGGUCAUGUGGUUCUGUUGAUUUAGCAGUCGAUAACGAUGCUAUUUGUCGAGCGAGACCUUCAACCAUCUCCUUGACUUCUUUGAUUCCUGAAGUUGACUCGCCAAUGUGAACCUCAUUUACUCCCUUAAUUCUUCUAGUAUUCCUGAGUGAACGACUCCGUUGUUGGGAAUUAUCCGCUUGUCGCUGGAAGAAUUCCCAAAUCUCUGAUGCACUUUUUGACAUUAGCUCUCCUCCACUUGUUGCCAUUAGCCAUUCUUGCACAUUCGGCAAUAAUCCCUCCAAAAAGUAUUGGCAUUGGUGCCAUUUCUCGUACCCAUGAUGUGGACAUUUCAAGAGUAGCCCAUUGAAUCGCUCCCAUGUUUUGAAAAAUUGCUCAUCUUCUCUCUGUGUAAACUCUGAAAUUUCCCUGCGAAUAGCAUUGGUUUUAUGCACUGGGAAAUAUUUAUUCAAAAAUUUUGUUACCAUUUGUUCCCAUGAUGCAAUGCUAUUAGCAGGCAAUGUAUUAAGCCAUGAACGAGCUCUAUCCUUUAAAGAAAAUGGGAAUAGUCUAAGUUUUACAUCAUCAUCUGAAAAAUUCUCAUAUUUAAAUGUUUGACAAAUAGCACGAAAAUCAUUCAAAUGAUUAUAUGGGUCCUCAUUUUCUAAGCCAUAGAAUGUGGGGAGACAAUUUAGCACACUAGGUUUUAGUUCAAAACUCCUAGCAGCUACAUUUGGGUAUCUUAUACAUGAUGUGCUCAAAUUAGCUAAGGGACUAAAAUAGUCCUUAAAUGGCCUCUCCUGUGGUGCUUGUAAAUCCAUUCCAAAUUUAUUUUUAACGUGCUUGUGUGUGCGAAGUGUUUUUUUUAGUUCAAGAUCUAUAGGUUCAAGAUUAGGUAAUAAUGACCUACGACCAUGCAUGCAAGGAAAAAAAAAUAAACGGGAACAAAACAAAUAAAAAUAAAGAGGAAGGAGAAAUUACGAUACUAACCUUAUUGCGCUAUUACAACCUUACUAUAAAAAUACACAAAAAAAAUACGUGAAAUAAAUUAACUAAAAAGAAUUAGUAAGAUAAACAAAAAUUACAAAGAAAAAAAAAUAACUUGAAAAUUAAAUUACAGAAAUUUAAAGAAGAGAAAAAGAAAAGAAAUACUAACCUCUAAAUGCAGAUUCACUUUUUUUUUUCUUUUUUUUUAAAAGAAAAUAAAUACAAGAAAACAAUUAAAUGGAAUUAUUCACAAAAAAUUAUUUCUAUGAAUUAAAAUUACUUACCUCCCCGGCAACGGCGCUAAAAACUUGUUGUGCAAAUUUUAAUGUACUCGCAAGUGCACGAAUCUAUUGUAGUAUAGAUCAAUGGUGACGAGUGUCGAUCCCACGAGGAGGUGGAUUUUAAUUGUGUGUAGAAUUAAUUUUGUAAAUGGGUGAUUGGAUUUGUGGUGGAAAUAAAAUGGAAUAUAUUAAAACUUAAAUUAAAAUGGCGAGAAUAAAUUCUAAAAUUGGAAUUGAAAUGGCAAGAAUAAAUUGAAGAGAAUUCUAUUGAAAUGACGUACUUGGGUAUCUGGAUCCGUAUCAACAUGCAUCAUGGGCUAAAUAAUCCUUAUUAAUGCCAAUUAAAUCAUGAGGGGGGAAUCCACACCUCAUGAACCACGCUCUAAUCAAUAUGGUGCUAAGGGCUUAUCGUGCCAAAUAAUAAUAACCUUGUACUAGGGGGCAGGUGAAACCAAGGCGGUACUAGACAAGAUUAGUAUUAUUUGUCAACGACAAGUCAAAACAUCCACAAAAAUUAGAGGGGAAGAGAAAGUAAAUUUACCAAAUAAAGCCCAUGACACAUGUUGAGACUUCACCUUCAACCCAAGUUUGAAAGAAAAUUAGCCACUCAUAAUUGAACUAGGGGCAAAAUGGAAAUUUAUUAAAAUACGUAGAAAAUACAAGGUGGAGAAGGAAUUACAGAAAAUGGAUCCCAAAAAUGGAUUCAAAGAUAUCAAAUUAGGGGGGGGAGGGCCCCCUUUUUAUAGAUACAUCGAGUAAAUCAUGGCCAUCGGAUUAAAAACAGUUUGGACGCUCAGGAUUGUGCCACGUCAUCAGUCAACAGUACGCGUGAAUAGUACACGGUUUGACCACGCGGAUGAACAGUAACACAGUUUGAGCCGGGUGAACAAUGACGCGGUUGGGUUGAAAAUAAUCCUGUGUGAUGCAUGUACCGUACACGAGAUUUUUCGUCCACUGAUAUGCUGCCACGUCACCAUCAACAGUACAUAAGAAUUUUAGCCCAACAGGAUCAUGACACCUCAUCAGUCAAUGCCACAUCAUCGGUCAAUGCCACGUCAUCGAUCCGUCUAUGUGAACAGUGUCAUGAACAGUAACGUAGACAGUACCGUACACGUGAAUACUACGUACAUGUGAAUAGUGCCAUUUUUCCUUUUAUGCUCCUCCUAAGGUUUUCGACCGUCCUGAGUUCAAAAGUGAUGUCCGUUUUGCCAUCUGAUCUCUCGUUUAUUGUGAAAUGACUAUGAUGCCCCUAAAAUACAUAAAAUACUUAAUUAAAAUAAAACACACGGAAUUAAAUCAAAAGAAGGUUAAAUUCAUAAAAGUAAAGGUGUUAGUAAAACUUGUAGUGUAAAAUGACGAUUUUCUCCUUUAUAAAUAUACAUUUUCUAACACUCAACACUAUGCUCAGAUCAAGUAAUAAGAAGAUGUGUUGCAGCAGAAGAAAUACCUCAUAUACUGGAGUCAUGUCAUGCUGCGGCAUAUAGAGGACAUUUUGGUAGUCACAGAACAGUUGCCAAAGUUAUGCAAUCAGGUUAUUAUUGGCCCACUAUUUUCAAAGAUGCUUAUGAAUUUGUUAAAUGUUGUGACAGGUGUCAAAGGACAGGGAACAUAACUAGAAAACAUGAAAUGCCAUUGACCAACAUCCUGGAAGUGGAGGUUUUUGAUGUAUGGGGAAUAGACUUUAUGGGACCCUUCCCACCAUCUUUUGGGAACUUAUAUAUCCUUGUUGUUGUGGAUUAUGUCUCCAAGUGGGUAGAAGCUGCAGCAUUACCUACCCAUGAUGCUAAAACAGUGGUAACUUUUCUUCAAAAAAAUGUGUUUUCCAGGUUUGGCACUCCUAGAGCAAUUAUUAGUGAUGAGGGCACACAUUUUUGCAACAAAGUAUUUGCUGCAGCAAUGGUAAAAUAUGGAGUCAGACACAAGGUAGCUACAGCAUAUCAUCCACAAUCUAAUGGUUAGGCUGAAGUGUCAAAUAGAGAGAUAAAAAAAAUCUUAGAAAAAGUGGUGAACCCAACAAGGAAGGAUUGGUCUUUACACUUACAUGAUUCUCUAUGGGUCUACAGAACAGCAUACAAAACCCCACUCGGCAUGUCCCCUUACCGAAUUGUUUAUGGAAAGGCUUGUCAUUUGCCACUAGAACUAUAGCAUAAAGCACAUUGGACACUGAAGAAAUUAAAUUGGGAUAUGCAUGCUGCAGUAGAGCAAAUGAAACUUCAACUUUGUGAACUUGAUGAAUUACGGCUAUUUGCAUAUGAAAAUGCAAGAAUCUAUAAGGAGAGGACAAAACAAUGGCACGACAAGCAUCUUCAACACAAGAAAUUCAACCCUGGUCAAUUAGUGUUGCUCCACAAUACAAGACUAAGAUUAUUUCUGGGAAAGCUCAAGUCAAGAUGGUCAGGCCCGUUUAAGCUGCUCAAAGUUUAUCCUCAUGGAGCUGUUGAUCUUUUAGAUGAACAAACAGGCCACGAGUUCAAAGUUAAUGGACACAGGGUUAAGCACUACAUACAUCCAGUAGCAGAAUAUUCAAAGGAGGUGUUACUCCUUCAAGAACCUAGCUACUGAACAAAGAAGGAAGGUCAGGCUGAAGGACCUUAAAUCAAGCGCUUCAUGGGAGGUAGCCCAUUGAGGAGAUAGCCACUUCAAACCAAUUUUGAUAUCCUUUGGUUUUGGAGACAACCCUUCCUCUUUACCAUUUUAUUUAAUCUUGUUUUUCCAUGAUUAACCAUUUAUUUUUUUUCUAUCCUUUUUCAUUAUUGCAUACUUUAUUUUUACAUUAAUUUGAUAUAUCAAUUUCUUUUAAUAAUUUUAGACUUAAAUUUAGUUCUUUUUUUUUUUAAGAAAGCGUGAAAAUUGAAGUCCAUAUUGACAAGUGAGAGUGUAUGGUGGCAGAAUUCAGAGGUGAACCACGUGUCAAAAGCCUUAGUGUGGAGUAUGUAUCUGUUAUCAGAAUAAGCGAAUAGGUGCUGCAGCAACUAAUCUUACCGUUACAGUAAAUUAAAAGCUGGAGCCUUUCACUUACCAUUGGAGAUAAAAUCGUGACAGAUGGACGCAUGGAUAUGGAUAGAAAUUGGAAAACAAAUCUCCGAAAUUAAAGCUUUAAUUUCACUGGCUGCUAAUUUUGGGGAUAUGCACAUUUAACUCAAAUAUUUUAUUCCCUCAAUUAGCUCUAGUUACCGUAUUUAUCUUCAAAUUAAAGUCCAUUAUAAAAAGGAGUCACUGUGCUUAGUACUCUACGCCACUAUUCCCCAUCUCCUUCGCAAAUCCAACUCUCCUAAUUCUUAACCUCGUUUUCUCUUUUUACUCUCAGGAACAGUAGUUUCAAUUUGUUACUGCUACAGCAAUGCCGAGAUAUAAGAAAACAGCAAGUCACCUCAAAGAUCCGUCACGCUUCCAGAGUUACCAGCCGAAGAAAAAUAUGAAGAAUUCAUAGAGCCGCGUAAGAUUCUGGAAGAGAAAGGGUUUCAAUUCCCAGAACAACUCACUGGAAUCGUACAAACAAUUCAUAAUGCUGCAACAAAGCGAGGAUGGUUAGAGUUUUGCAAUCACCCUCGUGAUCCUGUGCUUCAAGUAGUCAAAGAAUUUUAUGCUAAUUUGGUAAGCCUUGAUCAGCACAACAUCUGGGUAAGAAACACACUUGUUCUAUUAGACUCCCAUGUUAUCAAUACUUUUUAUAAUUUACCUGCUGAAAUUACUUGUGAGUAUGCUAAAUUGCGGGAUAAGUUAACCCCAAAAAAGUGGACCACCAUUUUUACAACUCUUACCAUCGAAGGGGUAUCAUGGGCUAACGAGGAAGGGCGUGUAGUUAAUAGGAUAGAUUUGAAACCUAUUGCUAAGGUGUGGGUAAAUUUUUUGAAAUUUAGGCUUAUGCCCACCACUCACACUACUACGGUUUCCCAAGAGAGAUUGGUUUUGCUAUAUGUCCUUAUUCGAGGGCUUCCCAUAGAUGUGGGUAGCAUCAUUGCAAAAGAAAUCUGAGAGUGUGCAGUCAAGACUCACCGAACUGCUGCCUUGCUAUUUCCUUCACUUGUCACUAGCAUUUGUGUAGUUUCAGGUGUUCGUCUUAAAGCCAGAGAUGAUCAUGUCAAGAAUGAUGGUGCCUUUACGACACGUACAAUUGAGAGAGUUGCUGGCGAGAGUGCUGGAACAACCACUGAACCAGCUGCUGUAAUAGGCGCAAGACGCACUAUUGGCUUAGACUAGACCAUCCAGGCACUCAGCACCAGUAUCACUCAAUGUGUGGAAGCUCAGCAGAGGGAAAAUGGUCGGUUUUGGAGUUAUCUACAACACCUGGAUAACCAACUACACCAAUUUGCUUUGUACAUGAAGCACACUCACUGAAACUUCUCUGCUUUCUUGCUCCAGCAGUACAAUUUUGACACCAACACCCCAGGUGCUCCAGCAGAAGCCAUUGAAGAAGCCACUGCUACAGAUGAACCAGUAGAACAAGUUGAAACUGAACCACCAGUAGAAGUUGAAUCAGAAGAUGCUGAACCAUCUGACCCACCUGAGGACGAAGGUGACAAGUCUGAGACUGAUAGCUCACCCCAGAGGUAGAGGACACUUCGGAGCAAGAACGUGAGGAACUAACCAUCCCAACCCAAUCCAAAACUAGGAAGCAGCACAUUAUUCAAGAAGAGAAUGAGGAAGACCUUGAUGUGGAACCGUCUAUUCCAGUUUUUGUAGGCAAAGGAAAGGACAAGGGAAAAGCAAAAAUGGCAACACCUCCAGCCUCUAAAGAUGAGAUGGAGCAAGUCGAUGCUGAGAUAGUUGCUGCAGCAGCCAGAGCUAUGCCUACAUCUGAGCAAGCCAAGCAACUACUUGCGGUAAUUGCUGCCAUCAUAGUUGAGGGCCAGGCCGCCGAUGCAUUGACUCAAAAGCCUCUACAGCAAACUCCUAGCCAACCUAUCCGCACCAUUCUAAGACAAUCCAGCAAAAAAAAAGGCAGUACGUCUACAGGUACUGCUACAGCAACCCCAGCUACAACUCCUCUCACCAGCCCCGCAGCGAAAAAGACAAAGACAUUGCCAGCCACCUCCCCAAAAGCUUCACCAAAAGAUAAGCUGCGCAGUGCCUCCAAGAAGCGUUGAUAACAACAUGUCAUGUGCUGCAGUCCCCACCACAGGGGAGUACUCUUAUCUCCCUAGUUUCUUUCUUUAUAAAAAAAAAAAAAAAUUUGUUUGUCAAUUUGUGUGCCUUUGUUAUGUUUGCUUGUGAGGACACAACAACUCUCAAGUUUGGGGGGGUUGUGUUCCCGUAUGCAUGUGUUUAUGUUUGUGUGGUGUGGAGCUCUAUUAUCCAAUAUUUGUGUAUGGAUUUGAACACCUAAUGAAGAUAAAUUGAGUGCUAUUCUAUAUAUAUAUGCCAAGUAGAGAUGGUUAUAGAUGAAAGUGAAAUUCUGUCUCGACACUUAGACUUUGGUUGAAUUGUAUGAGACUGUUAGAGCAAAGCCAAAAGAAGAGAAAAGAUUUCAAGUUUGGGGAGGGGGGGGGGGGAGAAGCAAGUUUGAAUAACUGUGAUAUCUAUGGAAUACAAGCUGUUCCAAUGGCUCAAGUUGCUGAGUAACCAGAUCUGAGUAUGUACUGCAUAUGCAGACUUGUGUUCAAAGGUAGCGAGAGUUAUGAGCAAUGUUGUAGCAUAUAUAUAUAUAUAAGAGAAAUCCUCUAUCUAAAGCAUUGAGUAACCAGGUCUGUUCAUGAGCCCCAUGUUCAACCUUGAGUAAAAGAUACCUCUAGAUAAGAUUACAUUACAGUUAUUGCUGUAGUAACUCUAAUCUGGGCAUGGUUUGAGUAAUUGGGUGUCAUCAUUACAAUUGAUUGACAUUCACAUGAAAGAUAAAUGUUACAGUGAGGAGGUGAAAUAUUCCCUAGUCUGUCAAUCCUAAAAUAAUCACAGUUGAGUAUGUGAAAGUUAUGAUUACCCCAUUUAUGAAUGAAGUGUUCUCACUGCUGACCUUCAUGCAAUCCCUUGGUGAUGCUAUAGCAUAUCUAGAAUUCAAUCGAAAGAAGCACACACACACUAUGGACAGAAAGAAGCUUAAGUCUAGGACUAAUUUACUAUGGUCAUCUUGUAUGGUUAAGAAUAUGAUCUGAAGGUGGAAGAAUCUUUGCAAAGUUGAUAAAAGAACUAAAUUUGUGUGAAUGAUUAUUUGUGUGAAGUGUUAGUAUGUGUCAUUACUUGAGGACAAGUAAUAGUUUAAGUUUGGGGUAUAAUAACUCUAGGAAAUAAGAGUUACUACUUCAAUUCUAGACUGGAAUCAAGAUCAUUUAGAGAGCAAAUAAGGUGUUUUUAUUACAUUUUGGUUACCUUUUGCAUAAAUAUUCAUUUUAGUUGGAUCUUAAUAAGUUUUGCUUAAAUCAAAUAAUUUGUGCUAAAAACAGGUGCGUAAUUGUAGGGUUUAAAUUCAUGAGAAGGAUGCGGAGACAUUAGAUGAGCAAGAGGAGGAAAGAAGAUGGCCAAAAAAGAAGAAAAGCACAAUCGAGAAUAAUGCAGUGCUAUUGUGGAUAUUAGAACAACCAGUGCUGCAACAAUUUGGGAGCAAUACAGGAGAAAGCUUAAAGCGCGGGUUAGCCAUAAAGUCGCGAUCUGCAUGUUUCCUAAUUUAGACGCAUGCAAGCUCAUGGGCUUUGGUUUUUACCCUAAUUCAGAAUAUAAAAAGGAGGCGCGCAUCACAUAGAGAGGGGGCGGAGAGAUUACCAUCCAAGUAAUUAUAAAGGCAAGAAGAAGAAGAAGAAGAUCAAGAUUUAGGAGUGUUGUUCGACAUCAUUGAAGAACCGAGGAGGAUCACUAGUCUUUCGCCGUGCUCAACUCAUAUUAUCUUUCUUCCUUGAAAUUCUUUGGAUGUAUUCUGUGAUCAGUAUAUUUAUGUUUACUUUUCUCAUUCAGAACAUGAACUAAAUUUACUUGUAGUUGAGUGACAAAUAAUCCAAUGGGUUCUUGACUGUUCUUAUAUGUUGUUAUGGUAUUGUUGUAGCAUUAUACUCUAGUAGUUUUUAUGAUUACAACUGUUAUUUUGGUUGACCACCCAUUUAAUAGUUUCAGUUAAGAUAGAGCAGCAAAAGGGCAUAUCUUAGCGUACAUUAUUAGAGUAUUACUUGUUCUUAAGUCGAGUUUCUUGGAUUAGGUUAUCUUGAAUCCUAUAAGGGCAAUACUUGAAGUUAAGAUUUGUGACACUCUAGACAUAGGUGUUCACCUUGUAGGGUAGAGAGAUUAAAGGUUAUUAUGCCGUACCAUAAAUAUAUGAGCAACUGGUCAUUGUUAGUAGAUUUAAAGGUAUGAGAUUUCCAACAUGCGAUAGCUGCGGAUGCAGAUAUAUUCUACCCAUUGCUGCAGCACUUAUUGUAACAACUGGUGCUAAUUCGGUAAACAACAGUCACCCCAUUAGGAGAGUUUGAUCAUUCAACUACUAUAUUCUCAAUUGAAUCUUAGACACAUUUAACUUAGUUUAUUUCAUUACAGUAUUAUUUUAUUUCCAUCUCUCGAAAUUAAUAAUUACGAUAGAAUUAUUUGACAUUUGUUUGUUUCGACCUUUAGUUGAUUUGCAUUAUUGUGAUUGCUUCAACAUUUUGAGCAACAUCAAUCCCUGUAGAGACGAUCUUGAAUACUCAUCACUUUAUUACUUGUUGUGUAUACUUACACAUUGGCAUUGAUAGUAAUUGAUUAUAAUAAAUUACCAACAGUGAGCAGACGACCAAAGUUCCAAAAAGUUUCUAAUGUGUGCAAAGGCUCUAAAGUCUCAAAGCCUGUUUUAUUGCGAGACAGGAAGCCAAGCAUGUCAGGAUCUGCUCGACCAAGCGAAGGCGAGCAGACCACCAAAGUUUCCAGUCUUGAUUCGUUUCACUCUCAACACUAGAAACUGGGGGACGGGUGUUUAUGGAAUGAAAUAGGGUGACCAAGAUAAAGGUGUUUGCUCAUACAUUAUCGUGCUCUCCUCAAAGUAAAAGUGAGCAAAUGAUUGAGCAAAUCACCUCGACCAGGAUGUUGUUUGGUGACCUCGAGCACAUCACCUCGACCAGGAUGUUAUUGGUCACCUCGAUCAGAUCAUCUCAACUAGGAUGUUAUUGGUCACCUCGACCAGAAUAAUAUGUGGUGACCUCGAGCACAUCACCUCGACUAGGAUAUUAUUGGUCACCUCGACCAAAAUAAUAUGUGGUGACCUCGAGCACAUGACCUCGACCAUGAUGUUGUUGGUCACCUCGACCAAAAUAAUAUGUGAUGACCUCAAGCACAUGACCUCGACCAAGAUGUUAUUAGUCACCUCGACCAGAUUAAUAUGUGGUGACCUCGAGCACAUCACCUCGACCAGGAAGUUACCAGGAAGCACGAUUCAGUCAAAAUAUUUUCUCCGAAAUAUUAAGGAUCAUAUUCUUAGUGGGCUGAAAAUUAGUAGUUUUCUUGAGAAUUCAAGGGGAAAGGAUAAAAACCGCUAUAGUUUCCGAUAAAAACCCUUGGAAGGGGAAGGAAAAGGGGGAUUUCUUGGAACUCUCUCUCUCUCUCUGGGCAACUAAACCCAUUGGACCUUUUUCUCUCUCUACUACUGGGAAAUUUCUCUUUCGCUUAUGAUUUCUUUAAGAUUAAUUAUUCUCAAUUAUUUUCCUUUAAAUUUACUUAAAAACUUUUUUGUUUAAAGCAAUCAUAAUUAAGCCACAUGAAUUAUGGUAUGAGUUUUUCCAAGUAAGACCCAAAUUGCUGACUUGAGCGUCGGAGGGUUCUCGCCGAAAAAACUUCCGGCACCUCCUGACUGUUGGUUGUGCUCACGGGCUCACAGGUUAUCUGCUCAUCGAUCGUCUGCUCAUGGAUUGUCUGCUCAUGGGUUGUCUGCUCAUGGAUUGUCUGCUCAUGAGUUCUCUGCUCAUGUAUCAUCUGCUCAUGGAUUGUCUGCUCAUGGAUCAUCUGCUCAUGGAUUGUCUGCUCAUGGAUUGUCUGCUCAUGGGUCGUCUGCUCAUGGGUAGUCUGCUCAUGGGUUAUCUGCUCAUGGAUCGUUUGCUCAUGGAUUAUCUGCUCAUGGAUUGUCUGCUCAUGGAACAUCUGCUCAUGGUGCUAACUAAUCAGCGGCUUCCCACCAAACAAAUUCAAUGCUGAUGCAGGGAUCUAAGAUUCGAUCAACUCAUCUGGAUUUCGGCAUCAACAGUUGAUACAAGUUUUAAGUUAAGGAAAUUAGCAUAUAUAUACAAGAGGCGUAUGAAUUUGAUAACAAGAAAAGAAAAAAUAUAUAGGAGAGUGGAGACUUGCAAAUUGUUAUAUUUCAUUAUUUAGCGAGUUGUCCGAGUAAACGCGUAUAGACUUUUAAAUUGUUAUACGCCGUCGUACUUGAACCGUGAAUAAAGGGCUUAUGGCACUUGACUUACCAAAAAGAAGAAGAUGCUCAACAUUGGCAAGGCCUAUGCAUUAUGUCCAUUUGUUCACGUUUUGCCGAGGCUCAUGGCAACUACAAAAUGUUCUUUUUCUUUCCUCUAAAAAAAAAAAAAAAGAGGCGACCUUCACAUUUGGGCUAAUAAUUAUCAUUAAACAAUUAAUAAUGCUGAGGGUUAGUGGGAAUGUAGCGUUAAAAUAAUUGUUAUUAGUUGUGCUUUAAAAAUAAAGAAAAAAAGAUAGUUGUACCCCCAUAAUUUAAUGAAAUAAUCACGUAAACUCUUAAGUUUUUAACAAUAAACAACAAGACCCCCUUCUAUUACUUUUUACCAUUUAUUUGGAUGUCACAUGCUUCUUCUUUUUCAAUUUUCGCAGUGGAUAUCAAAUGUUAAAUUUACUGUUAUUCCCAUAUCAUGUCAUCGCUUGCUUCUACAUAUAUCGAUUGUUUUCCCAAAAUUUUAAAUUGAAUUAAAAACAUUCCAAUUAAACAAAAAAAAAACACUCAUCCAACCAGAUAUAAAUCUUCUAAUUAACCUAAAGAUAGCUACACCCUGAUGGUUGUCGAAGCCAGCAAAAAUAAAUACCUACUCUAAAUAAAUUGUGUAUAGUGAUUGAGCAGGGUCGUGUCCACAGAGAUCGGUAAUUAUUUAAAUCAUUUUAAAAUGUAAAAUGUAAAAUGAGGGAAUUGUUGACAAUAUUAAAAAUCAAAUUAAAAUAACAAGAGUGCAAAUUAAAAUUGUAAUUCAAAUUGGGAAAAGCUCUGGUUGAAGGAAUUAACUCAGCUUGAUUCGACUACUGAUCAUUGAUUCAAAUAUUAAUCAUAUCUACUUAUGAAUAGAUCGGUUAUAGCUACUGAGGCCCUCUAAUAGCCAAUCUCUCCUUAACUAGUCGAUAACCAAGGUACGACCGUUGGUUAUUUCCCUAAUCAAUAGACAACUCUAGAUACGAUCAUAGGAUUUAAUUAAUUGACAGCCUGAAAAACCAGAGAGACCCAAAUCCUAAUCAACAAACGCAUACGAUGGUUCAUUUAAAUUAGAUUGUUUAUUCUCAUAACACAGCGCACUGUUAUGCUAUUUGUCACAAACAUUAAAAUCUGCAUACGAUGAAUCUUUUAGUUGACAAUUGAUUAAGUUGAUAAUUAAAUAGUGGCCAAUUAUCUAAUUAACAAACAUAAUCAUGACAAUAAUUCAGAGAAUAAACAAAUACCCAAAAAGUAAUAAAACAAUUAAAGCAUAAGAAAAAUCUCACAGUAGUGACGAAUCAAAGCUUCAUUAACCUUCAACCAGAAUAAUAGGUUUAGUUUUUCAUAGAGAGAAGAGAAAAAUUUAGAUCUAUGAUUUUUUUUUUUACAAUAGAUUCCCUCAUUCAAUUCUCUCUCCCCUCUUCUCCUCUAGAGUUCCUUUUCAAAUCAAAUACUAAUAUCCAAAAAUAUUAUCUAAAUAGUAAAUUCGAAAUUACAAAAAUUACCAAAAAGACAAAACACGUUAAACUAAAAACUGCAAGUCCGUAGUUGACAACACGCGCCCACGCCUUAUCAACAAAGUUCUUCUGAAGCUCAAUUUUAGCACCAAUCAAUAGAAUUGCACCUACAAAAAUAAAACACAAGUAAAUCACUAUUAUUAAGUGCAAAACAUCGAUAUUAAAGGAAGUAAACAAUCUCCUUGAUACUUGAGAUUCCAGGCGGCUCACUGUAGUCGCCAAUUGACUCAUUUGGUUUUCUAAAUUUUGAAUGCUUGUUGUAGUUGCCUGCUGAAAUUGUUGAGUGUUAGUUGUAAGUGAUUUAACAAUUUCUUCAAGAGAUAUACCUGACUUUGAGUUUAACUGUGGAGGGGCUGGUUGUCUUGGUGGGUAUUGUUGUGGGAAUCCUGACGGCCUAACUCCAUAGCUGAAGUUGGGAUGAUCCUUCCAUCCCGGAUUGUAUGUUUGUGCAUAAGGAUCAUACCUCCUCUGAGGCAUGCCUGGAAAUCCUCCAACUGCAUUGGCUUGUUCAACGGGUUCUUUUUGAAGUGUAGGACACAUAUCAGUUGAAUGACCCAUAUUAGAACAAAUGCCACAAGUCUUCACCUGUUGCACAUUACCUACAACAAACGUUUCCACAAGAGAAGUAAGUUUAUCUAAAUGUUGUUCAAUAGAAGAAAUAUUUACCUCAUUCACCUUCCUUGAAUUGGGAUCUUGCCUACUGCCAAACUGUUGUGCAUUAGCAGCCAUAUUUGAGAUCAACUCUCUUGCUUGAGUAGGGGUCUUGUCACCAACACACCUCCACUAACAACAUCUAUCAUACUCCUAUCCAUCAAUGACAGUCCUUCGUAAAAGUAUUGAAUAAGAAGUUGAUCAGAAAUCUGAUGCUAAGGACAACUGGCACACAAUUAUUUGAAUCGCUCCCAAUACUCAUACAAAGUCUCCCCAGGAAGUUGUCUGAUCCCACAAAUAUCUUUUCUGAUGUUGGCAGCUCUUGAAGCAGGAAAGUACUUCUCAAGGAACUGAUUCUUCAAACCAUUCCAUGUUGUAAUCGAUCCAGGAGACAAGUAGUACAACCAGCCUUUACCUAGCCCAUCUAAAGAGAAAGGAAAAGCUCGCAGCCUAAUCUGCUCUUCAGUCACGCCUUGUGGUCUCAUACUUGAACAUACAACAUGAAACUUCUUGAGAUGUUUAUGAGGAUCUUCACCUGCAAAACCAUGAAACUUGGGUAAUAAAUGAAUAAGACCAGACUUUAAUUCAAAAUUUACCUCCAAGUCUACAUAUUGAAUGCAGAGUGGUUGCUGAUUCAAGUUUGGUUCAACUAACUCUCUAAGAGUUCUUUCUACAGGUGCAACUCUAUCCAUUACUUGUUCUUCUGAAUCGUUAGAUGAUUCAACCAAAUCAAGCACCAUAUUUGUUUCAGAAAGCAAAGGCGACGAGGAUCGUUGCUUAGCUCACUUCGUCUGCUGUCUCAGUUGGCGAGCUGUCUUCUCAAUUUCAGGAUCAAACGAAAGUGUACGUAUACGAGAAGGACGAACCAUACACCAAGUAAAACGUAAAAAGGAUUAAAUAAACGACGCCAAUCCCCGGUAACGGCGCCAAAAUUUGAUGGUUGUCGAAGUCAGCAAAAAUAAAUACCAACUCUAAAUAAAUUAUAUAUAGUGAUUGAGUAGAGUCGUGUCCACAGAGAUCGGUAAUUAUUUAAAUCCUUUUAAAAUGUAAAAUGCAAAAUAGGGGAAUUUUUGACAAUAAUAAAAAUCAAAUAAAAAUAACAAGAGUGAAAAUUAAAAUUGUAAUUCAAAUUGGGGAAAGCUCUGGUUAAAGGAAUUAGCUCAGCUUGAUUCGACUACUGAUCAUUGAUUCAAAUAUAAAUCAUUACUACUUAUGAAUAGACUGGUUAUAGCUACUGAGACCCUCUAAUAGUCAAUCUCUCCUUAACUAAUCGAUAACCAAGGUACGACUGUUGGUUAUUUCCCUAAUCAAUAGACAACCCUAGAUACGAUCAUAGGAUUUAAUCAAUUGACAGCUUGAAAAAUCAGAGAGACCCAAAUCCUAAUCAACAAACGCAUACGAUGGUUCAUUUAAAUUAGAUUGUUUAUUCUCAUAACACAACGCACUGCUAUGCUAUUUGUCACAAACAUUAAAAUCUUCAUACGAUGAAUCUUUUAAUUGACAAUAGAUUAAGUUGAUAAUUAAAUAGUGGUCAAUUAUCUAAUUAACAAACAUAAUCAUGACAAUAAUUCAGAGAAUAAACAAAUAUCCAAAAAGUAAUAAAAUAAUUAAAGCAUAAGAAAGAUCACACAGUAGUGACGAAUCAAAGCUUCAUUAACCUUCAACCAGAAUAAUGGGUUUAGUUCUUCAUAGAGAGAAGAGAAAAAUUUAGAUCUAGGGUUUUUUUUUUUUACAAUAGAUUCCCCCCUUCAAUUCUCUCUCCCCACUUCUCCUCUAGAGUUCCUUUUCAAAUCAAAUACUAAUAUCUAAAAAUAUUAUCUAAAUAGUAAAUUUAGAAUUACAAAAAUAACCAAAAAGACAAAACACGUUAAACUAAAAACUGCAGGUCCGUAGUUGACAGCACGCGCCCAUGCCUUAUCAACAAAGUUCUUCUGAAGCUCAAUUUUAGCACCAAUCAAUAGAAUUGCACCUACAGAAAUAAAACACAAGUAAAUCACUAUUAUUAAGUGCAAAACAUCGAUAUUAAAGGAAGUAAACAAUGCAAAACUAGUGCAUAAAUUGCACUCUAACACACUCCCAUAUUAAUUCCAAUUAAAUAAAUCUUCAUUUUUGUCAUGAUUUUGGAUCUCGAGCAGGGUGGAUAUAUCCAACCAGAUCCGGCCCGUUGGCAUUCCAAUAUAUUCUGGAGUUGGAAUAAUAACUUAAUGUGUAAUUGCAAAUUUUUAACGUUUAAUUCUAAUUUGAGGAUUCAAAUGAAUUUAUGCGGAUCUAAAAGGGGACUGAAGAUUGGCAUGCAUACAUACAUACAUACAUAUAUUAUACAUAUAUAGAGAGAGAGAGAGAGAGAGAGGUAAUAUAACAUUUUUCUUGAUGAAGAUUUUUGUGCCAUACGAAUUAAAGAGAGUAUUGUGUCGAUGUUGGAGGCUAGAGGGACAACUGAUUACAUUGCUUCAGAGGUGCUUAGUAGAAACUUUGGUGAGGCAUCACAUAAUUUAAAUUACUAGAUUUACCGAGAUAUAUAUAUAUAUAUAUAUUCCACAUUGGAUUUACAAGCAUUUCGAAUAGGAUAAUGAAUGUCAAUUACUCGGAAUUGUAAACAGCGAGGAAAAUGAAAUUGCUAAGAAGAUGAAUAUUGUUGUUUUGUGGUGUAUACGGACUCGUCCAUCGGAUAGGUCGCCCAUGAACAGAGUGAUAGAAAUGUUAUUUCCAAGAAGCACACUGACUAGCAGUGAUGCUUUGAAUAAGUCCACCAAACAUCUUCUCCUCCGAGACCACUAAUAUAUUCUUCCAUCAUUUCAACGUCAUGACGUGGGGAUCAGAAUUGAAUUAUAGGAUGCUUGUAAGUUUCCUUUGUGGAACUUGUGAAUUUGUGAUGGCAAAAGUCGAUGAUGUAUGUAACUUUCUAUCCCGUAUAGGGUCCGUUUGACUCAUAAAUAUUUGUCACUUUCUCUCUUUUCCAAAACCCAAAAGCACGCUAAAGCUUAAUCUUUAAAGAAUUUUUGAUUGAGUGCUGACAUUUUGGGCUUAUCUUUAAGUAAUCUUUUACCACGCAUGCAUUUUUGUCAUUGUGCGGUCAUCGAUUACUUCUAAAGAUCGUAAUCUUUAAGAAAAAAAUUACUUCUCUUGAAAGUGAAAGCUGGGCAGCUAUUGGCGUAUUGCAAUGCAGCUGCUAUGUAUAGUAGUCAAUUCUUGGAAAGAACUAGUUUUCUUAAAUUGUAAAUGGUCCCCUUUAUGACUGGGAGAUUUUGAACAAAAUUAAUAUGAUGAAUUCUUUGCAGGUGUUGUUCCUUGAAGUCUCAUCUUUUAUAAUGUUUCUGAAAUAAAGAUAUUACCUUCUCUGGCUAAAUAUUUACUCUUAAUUUGGACCACUUAAUCUCAACUUGAUGAAAGAUUAUGAUCAUGCCUGAUUUUAUGGAUGUGGUCUUAUCUCACGUAAGUAGCAAUGAAUUAAUUAAAGUUUACUGUCAAAUUACGAACUCAAAAACUGCUGCUGCUUCAUUAUUCACAAUAUCAAAAUUAAAAGCAGAACUUAUUAUAAGCUUUCCGAAAGUUUUACGCUUUCUUUCGCCCAAAUCCCAAGUACUUCUUGUAAUAUCAUUCCCCUGUAGAUGUCUUCCCCUAAGACAUGUUUAACUUUGGUUCAGGGUAACAAAGCUAUAGCUUUUCCUGCCGUGUGCAACAAGCUAUUAAAUUAGAGUAUUUAUUUCUGUAUUACUACUAGUAGUAAGAGAGGCGAAAUGGAAACUUGAAUUCAUGUUUAUACAACAGUUUGUUUAUAAAUAAAUGAGUUGAUAACAAGUCAUUUUAAAUAUUUGCAAAAAAAAAACGGUGAGUGAUGUCUAGUUCUAUUUUCAAUGUUCAGAGUCGAAUUUUGAUUACUGAAAAUUUUAAUUUAUGAAGUUGAACUAAGAAUUUGUUAUAAUAUAUUCCACCUUCCUAUACAGUCAUCUGGAAUAAUAAUAUAUCAAAAACAGUAAUAACUCGAUUUACAUGGUGAGAAAGAAAAGAAAGACGCUACGAGGGAAGCAGAGAUUCAAAGACUUCGCCACUUUGUUGGAGGAACAAUUUCAUAAAUCUCUAGAAUAUUGACAUAAAACACAUACCAUAUCUAGCAUUAAGUGUAUUUAUGUAUGUCCAAAGAUAAAAAUUCGAAGAUUAAAUUUAUCAUUUCAAUUUAUGUUCUGCCCAAAGCAAUGUUUUUUAUUCCACAAGCACAAACAAUAAAGAGUACGCACAAAGUUAACAAACAGACAUAGCAAACGUGACAUCAACUACUUGCAGCAGCAUCAUCCAGAAACUUCACUCUAAUCUUCUUGAGCUUUUCAGCGGCAUCUUUAGUAGAUGCCCCCUGUUCUGGUGAUCCCAUGCAACAAUCCAUUGCCGAAUGCAUGAUGCUUAAUAAACAAUUCAUUUUAAGAGAAAAAACUUGCUCUUCUCUCACCAAGUUUGCAUCGACAACAUCACUCAAUGCACGAGGUAAUGACUCCCUUACCCAGUCUCUUAAACUUAUUUCUCCGGUAAACAUUUCAUUUGUGGGCUUCUUUCUGGUGAAAGUUUCCAUCAAUAAAACACCAUAACUAUAGACAUCACCUUUAGCCGAAAUCAUUCCUUCUAAUCCAUACUCUCCAUUUUUUGGUUUCGAUAGAUCAAAUGGAUAUGACAUCAUAAAACAAAUGGUAAACAAAUAAUAUUUGGACAGUCAAGAUGGCCCAAACUUUGACUGUGCUUAGAAAAGAGCAAAAAUUUGAAAUUAUAAUUAAAACCUUACCUGGUGCCAUAUAACCAAUUGUAGCCACUGUCAUGAUUUGGGUCACAGAAUCUUCUCCAUCAUCUAAGAGUUCCGAGAUGCCGAACUCGCAUGUGCCACCAUAUUUUCAUCCAAGAGAAUGUUGCUAGGCUUUAAAUCACAAUGAAUUACAUGUGCUGAUGAAUGAUCGUGAUGGAGAUAUUUAUGUGCCAGCCCCACAUCUAUCAUUAUAUUCAAUCUCUCUAGGAUAUCUAGGAAAUAAUUGUGAGAACACAAACAUUUCUCAAGACUGCCAUUGAGCAUGAACUCAAGCACCAGUACUUUAGAAUCUGGAUUGCAAUAGCUGCUAGUGAUCUUUAUGAGAUCUUAAUGAUGAACAUUCCACCAUACUUCACAUUCAGAAUCAAAACUCCUAAAGGCUCUCUCUAGCUGCAGAUUGAAAACCUUUAUUACAAUGAUAGUCACAUCAUAAAGUGUGCCUUAAUUAUAAACAGAUCCGAAGCUAUCCGUACCUAGCAGGAUACAUUCAUUAAAUCCAUCAAUUGCUCGUUGAAUAGCAUGAUAGGAUAUUCUUCUCCAUGUUGUCGAAGAGAAAAAAUCUUCUUUAUCUAGAGUUCUUGUUUUCCUGUUCUGAAAUAUUAUGAAGAAUCAUAACAAUCGUUAUUAGUACAUUGGAUAUAAUCGAAGGUAAAGUAUAUUUCAGGACAAGCAGAGUAGCAUUCUUGGAUCCUUUGCUAUUAUCUUCUUUGUAAGGUGGGACUUGAAGUCCUAGUGGAUCACAUAGUGCAUAAUUCCCAAAAACGAUUGAGCUGAAAUGUUUCUAAAAGGUCCUUUGACAGGAAUUCCCCCUUCUAGCCUAUUGUGAGACACAUAAAGUUGUUUGAGAUAUGAGAGUACCUCCAUUGUUACAGAGUAUGAUAAUAUGGUAUAGAUGAGGGCAUCUGAUUAAAUGAAGCAGCUGGUAAUGCUUACGUGUGUUAGUUAGUUAUCCAGCUCAGCAGCAAAGCAAACGAACUGUAUUGCAUGCAUAUUAGAUCCAACAAAUUGUUAAGCUACGACAUUCUUCUCUCAUUUAGUAUAAAUACCAAGUUGUAAUCAUUUGUUAAAGAUAUAAUAAGAUGAUCAUUUUCAGAUCUUUCUUUUAUAAUUUUCUAUCACUUUCUCGUUAGUUUUCUCUUAAACCAAACACUUUGUACGAACUCUUUCAUGGUAUCAGAGCAAACAAAUGGCAAACUCAAAUCAAAAUUUUGGAUCCUAUAGUUUUAUUACUCUAGUAAAACUAGAUCAUAAUAACUUCAUUGUUUGGCGAACUCAAAUCCUUACAUCCAUAAAAGGAAAUGGUUUAGAAGAUUUCAUCAAUGGAAAUCAAGUCUGUCCAGAAAAAUUUUUCUCUGCUACGAGCUAUGUUGCUGGUUUCUCAACUGGAACAGAGAAUCAAGAGAUCAAUCCAGCUUACACAAUGUGGAUAAAGACGGAUCAAUUGAUUCUGAGUUGGAUGUUGUCAUCCAUUCAGCCAAAUCUGCUGACAACAGUGAUCCACUGCUCAACUGCAAAAGAGCUACUGGAUACACUUACAAGUAUGUUUGUCUCUCAGUCCCAAGCUAGAAUAAUGCCUCUAAAAAUGCAGAUCCAAACUCUUAAAAAAGGCUCAAUGUCCAUGAUUGAUUAUUUUGCAAAAAUGAAAAGGAUAUCUGAUAGCUUAGCUUUAGCUGGAAAACCUGUUGAAGUGAAUGAUUUUGUUCAACAUGUUUUAACUGGAUUGGAUUCAUCUGAUUAUGAAUCAUUAGUCACUACUGUGUUAGCUAAAGGAGAUAAUAUCAAUCUUGAUGAGUUUUAUUCAUUGUUACUGAGUCAUGAAAAUCAAGUGGAACAAAAGAGAGGAAAAAUUGCAAGUGAUGUUACACAUAACUUGUCAGCUAAUGUUGCUCAAAAGUAGUUCAAUCCUGGUAAAAAUACCGGUGGCAAUCAAAAGUUUAACACUAGACCUUAUGGAGGAGUUUAUAAUUCUGGAGCUGGAUCUGGUGAUGGUAACUUCUCACAAAUUGUAUAUCAGAUCUGCUUUAUUCCUGGUCAUAGUGCCAAUAAAUGUAGAAAUAGGUUUAAUUCAGCCUUUGUUCCUUCAAGAAAUCAAGGAAGAGGUGGUUUUAAUGGAAAUUUUAGGCCUGGUCAGAGGCAGUAUGGUAGAGGAUUUGGCUAUGCAAAUGGUAAUAGAUCUUCUAUGGUUUAUGGAAAUUUUGGUAGAAACUUUAAUCCUCAAUUUGGUGCUGGAAUUGGUAACUCUCAGUUUGGGAAUUUCAACAUACCAAGAGCACCUGGUUAUCAAGGUCAUUUGAUGUACUCAGAUCCAGCUGCAUUCAAUAUUUACCAACAAACUAACUCUCAUGGUGUUUACUCCCCUGCACAUGCUUUUGUUCCAACUGGAGAUUACUCUGGAUCUCCAUCAUCACUCUCAAUUCCUUCAGUUCCUGCUCCAGCUCAUGCACUUGAGAUGAUUGAAGAUCCAGCCUGGUAUAUUGACAGUGGUGCUACUAACCACAACACAAAUGAUUCAGGUAAAUUACUGGAUCUUAAGCCAUAUGUUGGAACUGACAAAUUGCUUGUUGGAAAUGGUUCUGCAUUGCAUAUUAAACAUAUUGGAUCAGUAUUGCUAGCUACUACUACAAAUAAACCCUUGUGUUUAAACCGUGUUCUUCAUGUUCCAAAUAUUAAAAAGAAUUUACUCAGUGUUUCAAAACUCUUAAUAGAUAACAAUGUGACACUUGAGUUUUUUAAAAAUGUUUGUGUUGUCAAGGCCAGGAACUAAGGGAUCAUUUUGCUUAGAGGAAUUGCAACAGGGGGAUUGUAUCAAGUCUAAUCUGCAGCUCAAUUCUCUAAAACUAGCUCAGCUUUGUCAUGUCAACUUUCUUCCAAUAAACCUCAGUCUUUGUUUGCUUAUCAUUCUCCUUUGUCUAGUGAUGUUUCUUCUGAAAUAAAUAAGAGUACUUCUUUUAAUCAUUUGCUGUGUAAAUCAGCCUUGGCUGUCAAUACUAGUUCAGUUGAUGUCAAUCUUCUUCAUAAAAGGCUAGGACAUCCUGCCUUACACACACUCAAAUCUGUAUGGAAAGCUUGUAAUAGUCACAAUGUACUCAAUAAAACUCCAAAUUUUUGCAAUGCCUGUCAGCAUGGUAAAAGUCAUCUUUUACAUUUUGGAUUUGUUCCAACAAAAACAGCAGCACCAUUACAACUCAUAUAUGCUGAUCUUUGAGGACCAUCACAUGUUGCCUCCACUCAAGGCUAUAUAUAUUACUUGUCCAUUUUAGAUGACUUUAGCAGAUUUACAUGGAUUUUUCCUUUGUCUGCCAAAUCUGAUGCACUUCAAGUUUUCACAGAAUUCAAAUCAUUCAUUGAAAAACACUUACAACAACAUAUCAAAACAGUUCAAACAGAUUGGGGAGGGGAGUUUAGAACCUUUUCAUCAUAUCUCACUUAGUUUGGAAUCCAAUUCAGGCAUCCUUGUCCACAUAUCCAUCAUCAAAAUGGAAGAAUUGAUAGAACACAUAGACACAUAGUUGACAUUGGCCUCACUCUGUUAACUCAAGCUAAUUUGUCACUUAAAUUCUAGUGGAAUGCUUUUCAUACUGCUGUAUUCCUUAUCAACAGACUACCCACACCAACAUUGAUCAACAUUUCACCUUAUCAAAAAAAUUUUCAGCAAGUACCAGAUUAUACAUUUCUUAGAGUCUUUGGGUGUGCUUGCUAUCCUUAUCUUAGACCUUAUAGCAAUCACAAGCUUGGUUUUAGAUCAAACAGGUGUGUCUUUAUUGGGUAUAGCUCUUAUCAUAAAGGGUAUCAAUGUCUUCAUUCAUCUGGACAUGUAUAUGUUUCAAACCAUGUCAUAUUUGAUGAUCAAUCUUUUCCAUAUGUUUAUGGAUCAGAUUUUUCUUCCAUUGCUCAGUCUUGCAGUUCCUCAGAUAUUUCUUCAGAGUCCAUAGUUACUCUUGUUCCAAUACCACAAGUACAAUCCCCUCUGCAAGUAUCUCCAGCAAAUGAUUACCUACCUACUGACACUUCACAGGUAUUCCCUACAUCUUCAACUUCUUCUUCAUUAUCUUCUUUAACAUCACAUACGCAUCCUAUACAUACUACACAAUCUCCACCUCAUAUAUUACCUGCUGCACCACCUAUAGGUCAUCCUAUGAUAACCAGAUCCCAGGCUGGUAUUUUUAAGCCUAAAUCCUAUCUAGUUGCUUUACUAGCCACACCUUCAGAACCUACUUCUGUUUCAGCAGCUUUAUCUGAUCCAAAAUGGUUUAAGGCAAUGCAAGAAGAAUAUUAGGCACUUCAAAACAAUCAUACUUGGGAUCUGGUCUUGCCAAAUGAACCAGUUAAUGUAGUUGGAAACAAAUGGAUAUUGAAGAUAAAAUAUCAUGUUGAUGGAACCAUUUCUAGAUACAAAGCCAGGUUGGUGGCUAAGGGGUUUCAUCAGACACAGGGAGUUGAUUACAUAGAAACAUUCAGUCCAGUUGUUAAAGCAUCAACAGUCAGGGUUAUUUUAAGUUUGGCAGUCAUGAAUAAAUGGGAGCUCAGACAAGUGGAUGUGAAUAAUGCAUUUUUUAAUGGCAUAUUAGUUGAAGAUGUGUACAUAGGGCAGCCAGAGGGCUUCAUUGAUCCAUCUCGACCUCAUCAUGUCUGUAAGUUGAAAAAGGCACUCUAUGGUUUAAAACAAGCCCUCAUGGCAUGGUUUGAGAGACUGAAAGAUGCUAUGGUUAUGCAAUGGAGGUUUCAAAAUUUAAAGUCAGACAACUCCCUUUUCUACAAAUGGACAGGUGGUCAUGUAAUUUUUAUUCUUGUCUAUGUGGAUGAUAUAAUCAUAACAGGCUCCAGUGAUCAACUGGUGCAACAAGUGGUUACAAAUAUGCAAAAUGAUUUUGCUUUGAAGGAUCUGGGAAAACUAAAUUACUUUCUUGGGAUAGAAGUUACCAAAACAGCAUCUGGAAUGUAUCUCUCUCAGUCAAAAUACAUAGCUGAUCUUCUAGCCAAACACAAUAUGGCUGACUGCAGUUCAGUUCCUACUCCCAUGUAACAUAUGCACUUUGAUUUUUCCUAAUUAAGUGUAUGAUUUAAUUUUUCCUCUUCGAUAUUAAUUUUAAAAUUGUCACAACAUUAAAUCAAGAUAAAUUGAGCGCGAUUAAAAGCUUGGGUAGUCGGAUUUUAUUUUCGUCACGGGUCCGGUAUUAGCUUAAUUUGUAUUCGGAUUCUAUUUCGCCGGAGUUUGGGCACGCCUCCUGCUGGGUUCUACUCCUCACGCCACUAGCUUUCAUUUCCGACCAACCCCGCCACCUGAAACCUCCGUUUUGGCCGUGAACGACCGCCGGAAAGUUCACGACUUUGGGAGCACGAUCCGCCGCCAUCGCCGCGCGUGGGAGGUCACCGCUGGCACCGUUGGACUCACCGAGGUCUGAACUAUCAUACCUAAGCUUCCCGUCGUCGUUGACUGAAGUCCGAUCACCGUUGACCGGCAGGGGCAAUUCGGUAAAUUCAUAAAACUUUAGGGUGAAUUUGUAAUUUGUGGAAUCAGUGGAUAAUUUGGUAAUUUUAGGUUAGGGCAGUGAGGUAAUUUGAGAUUUCAAGGAUAAUUCGGUAAUUUAAGUCGUUAAGGACAUUUUGGUAAUUUUAUGCUCCGAGGGUAAUUUUGUAAUUUCUGACAUUGUGGUAAUUUCGUGAUCUGAAUUGAGGACAAUUUAGGGGCUGUUCGGUAUCAUUUUGAGGAGGGUGUUUUCAUUUUCAUUUUGAGAAUACAGCUGUAAUACUUGUUCGGUGAAUUGGAUUCAAAAAACAAAUUAUAAAACAGAUAAUUUGAAUUUUCAUUUGUAGUUAUAAAAGUGAGAACGUGUUUAACACGUUCUCAAAGAAUCCCAAUACAAACUUUAAAAUAAAUUACAAAACAAACCCCAAGCCUCAUCUCAUUAAAAAUCCACGGCUCUCUCUCUCGUGGAUACAUCUCUUCUUUAACCACAAUUCAUUGUGACAGCUCUCUCACUCCGUCGCAGUAACCAAAAUCAACUGUUGCUGCUAUCGCCUCUCGGCUCUGUCUCGGCCGGUGGUGGUACUACUACUUCAUCUCUGCUCUGGUUCCGCCAUGGUAGAUCGACUGCUGUUGCUGCGUCUCUGUUGAGAAGGGCUUGGCGACCAGAGGCGGCGAGUGAAUCGCCGAGUGGAGUGAAGACUAGGAGAAAGAAGACAAGGAGUAAGCCGAAGACUAUGGCAGAGAUGAUGUCUAGAAAAGUUUCCAUUGUUGAGCUUUGCGUUUUGAUAUGGGUAAAUUCAGGUGACCCAUACUGCAAGUGAAGGAUCCAAUUAACUUAAAUACUUAAUUGCAUUUUCGAUAAACUACUCAAGCAUCAAAGCCCAAAGGAGCCAGUUUAUUGGUUUUGAGGAGAUGAUGGUGAAUUGAUGAUGGGACUUGGGUAGUGGAAAUCUGGAAUUGAUUUGAGUGAGUAUUGAGUGGAUGAGUUCGGUGGAGAAAAGGCAAGCACGGUAACUAGUAAGAAGAUAAACUGCAACAUGACGAUGACAAAAUUAAUAUUAAUUCAAAUAAUAAUUUUAUAUACGUAUUAUACCAUGUGGAUGUGUGGUUGGCAGCUGUCUACUUUCUACCGUAUAUUAUUUAUUUCGUAUUACAAAAUCUAGUAGUGUUGUGAUAAAUUAAUGCUAAUACUAAAUUAUUUAUUGUAUGUUUAUGUAUGUAUUAGUUAAAUACUUUUUUUAAUUAUAAUUUAAAUGUUUAGUAAAAAUUAUUUUUGAGAAUGGUACUACCGAACAUUUAUUCUCUGUUUUUAUCAUUUUUAAUUGUGUCUACCAAACGCAUAUUACUGAUUUCAAUUUUAAAAUACAGAAUAUAGAAAACGAUACCAGACGUAUAUUUAAAUUCGAAAUACUGCAACUAUAAAACACCAUUUUCAUUCUUAUAUUUGUUUUCAGAAAAUACAAAUUCAGAAACAAUACCAAACGGGCCCUUAGUAAUUGAAGAUUCUGAGGAUAAUUUGGUAAAAUAAUAUGUUGGGGGCAUUUUGGUAAUUUUGACAUGUAGGGGUAUUUUGGUAAUUUUGUGCAUGCGGGAAUAGUUUAUUGUGGAUAGAUAUUCGUUUGAGAAUUGUUAUGUAAAAUUAGUUGUAUUUCAAAUCUACGGAGAAUAAUUGUGUCGUUUCCUUGAUUAGGAGGAUCCACGAACGAGAAUCAACCCGCGGACGUUGUAGAUACCGAGUCUGGACUUCAUCACUGUGAGUGGAAUAUACAAAACCUAUUUUCAUAGUAUAUUCUGAUUUUACCAUACAGUACAACAUGUUUUGAUAAUAAGUUUUUGAUGCUUCGAUUUAAUGAUUUUCUAGAAAAUUGAUUUUUAUUUACGUGCUGAUAUUUAUUGUUAUCAAGAAUGAGUUUGAUUAAUGAUUUUAUUGUCGUUUUUGAGUAAAUGCAUGAUAUUAGAAUUCAGUGGAUUUGAGAUAUGUUAAAUAAAAAGAAAAUGAGAUUUCAGAUGUGAUUAUAUGUUUAUGAACAUGUGUAUAAAAAAGUUGUUUGGAAAAUCAUUGGACAGUACCCUUCCCCUCCAGAUACAGAGAUACAGAUAAUAUGAGAUGAAUACAGAAAUACAGAUGAGAUGAGAUAGAGGCCUUUAGGGCCCGUCUGAACACACAUAGAGGCUUUGGGCCGUGUGUUUGGGCGCUUUUGCCUUUUGGGGGCUUAUGCAUGCAGUAUGAUGAUUACAGAGAUACAUAUGUUGAGAUACAUGAGAUAUGAGAUGAGAUUUCCCCAUCUAUCCGUGGUAGCUCCGGGGCAUGAUGGUUCCCUGAUUGCCCGUCCGUCGAGGUCCGAAUAUGAUGAGAUCAUUCCCCUGGGUACUUGUUUGAUGAUAGUUUUUAUUAUUCAGUAUUUGAUAUUAUAAGUAUUAUUAUUUCAUUGAUUUUAUGCAGAUUUAUGUAAUAUAGUUAUUUCAGUGCAUGAUUUGAAUUGAAUAUGUUUAUAUAAGUUCUUAUGAUAUUUUGAUGAAAUUGAUUUGAGAAAGAUUAAAUCAUUUUAAAUAAAUUUAUUUUUCAAAAACUAUUAUCCACUCACUGAGCUCACUGAAUUUUAUACUCAUCCCAUUUUUAUUAUAUUUUUCCCCCCCACAGGAGAUUUGCAGGUACAUCAGUCGACCCAGCAACGAUAGUUAGAUUUGAAAUUGUGGCCACGUGACGGUGCUAGGAGUCGUAGAUUUAAUAUUUUGAUAUUUGGGAUAUUGCGGAUUGUAUUUAUUUGUUAUAUUUUGUAAUUAAGGAUAACCGUUAUAUUUUAAUAUUAGAAUGAUUUGGGUGGUAUUUGGUAUGUUGACUUGAGAAGUUGGUUAUGAAGGAUGGAUGGAUAUUGAAUUAUUUUGGGAGUAUUGUUUUGUAAAUUGCAGGCUUGGGAUGUUUAUUUAUAGGGGAGAUUCUGUCGAAUUUUUGAUCGAAUUCUUAGAUAUCAUAAUUAUUAUCGAUUUGAUUAUACGAGUUUAGAUAGACUCGCCCUGGGGGUGCGGGACGGGUCGUUUCAAGUUGGUAUCAGAGCAUGGUUUUAGAUUCUGUAGACUUUACUGUCGUAAAUAGAAUAAGUUUUAUUGUUAUUAAAGUCGGAAUUGAUAUUUUAUAGGCACCAUCAUGAUUCGUCGUAGUAGUAGACGUGGCCGCGGACGUGGUCGUGGCCGUGGCCAUACUAGGCUAGUAGCUGGGUUAACUCCAGGAGAUGUACCUGCGGGGGAAAAUGAUACCGUAAACGAGGGAAUAGUUGAGUCUUCAACGCACGAGGUUGUGCAACAAGCACCAGGAAAUGCUCCGAACAUUGAGCAGUCAAUUGAUAGAUUAGCUCAGAUUGUGACUACAGUGGUCAGACUCAUCCGCAUGUCGGUCAUGUAAAUACUAUCGAGCGUGUACGAAGUUUAGGGGCCAAGAGUUUUAAUGGUUCUGGAGAUCCACCUGAGGCAGAGUCGUGGCUUAUUAAAUUAGAACGUAUUUUUGAUAUGAUGAGAUGCUCAGAGGAGGAUAGACUUUCAUUUGCCACUUUUCUACUCGAGGAUAGGGCUUAUCAUUGGUGGCAAACAAUAGAGCGUAGAUACCAAGGGCAUGCUGCGCUUACAUGGGCUAUUUUUCGUAAGGAAUUCUAUGAUCAUUAUUUUCCAGCUGUGUAUCAGGAUAUUAAGCGGAGUGAAUUCCUUCGGCUGGUUCAAGGAUCUAUGUCAGUAGAAGAGUAUGAGAAGAAAUUUUUGGAUCUUUCUAGAUUUGCCACUUCAGCUGUUGGUGAUGAGAGAGAGAAAGAUGCAGGCGUUUUGAGGAGGGUCUCCAAUUUGAGAUUCGUACAACUGUGACGGCACACGAUACACUGAGUUUGCUGAGGUAGUUGAGGCAGCCAAGAGAGUAGAGCAUAGUAUCUCUGAGGGAUGUAGAGUUCAGGCUCUGAAACAAAAACGUAGCCAGAGUUGGACAGAGGGUGGCUUGAGUAGUAGACCGCCGAAGAGAGGCUCACAUACAAAUUAUUUUGCUGGCGUGCAAAAGAAUCAGAGUAUAAGCAGCAGGGGAGAUCAGAGACAGGCCGUCAGUUACAGUUCGGCACAACCAUCAGUGGGGAGUAAUGUUAGGACUCAGGGGUAGUAUGACAGGAAUAGCGAAGGACACUGUAAGAGUAUACAACAGACCUCUUGCCCUUCGUGUGGUAGGAACCAUCAGGGCUAAUGCCGUAUUGGAGACAAUGUGUGUUAUUUAUGUUGAUAACCUGGACAUAUUAAGAGAUUCUGCCCCACUUUAUCUCAGGGUGACAGUUCUGCUCGAGGGACAGGCCCACAGUAUCAAUCUCACUCUGGACCAGCUCAGGGUCAAAGGGGUAUGCCGACAAGGGGUUCUAUAUCUAUGAGUCAGACCACUAUUCCAAGUCAGAGACGUCAACCUGGUCAUCCUCGUACUCAGGCUCGAGUCUUUGCCUUAACACAGCAGGAGGCUCAUGCUACACCAGAGUGUGGAUUGCGAGCAGCCCACAGUUAGGGUAACAACAGGGCGACCUACACUAGCCGGCGAUCCGAACAUGGCAUGAAAGAAUUACGGGAGGUACGCGAUGAAUAGUAAGGAAGUGCUUUUUAACUUGCCCUCAACAAAGAUAGCAAAGGUGAGGUAAAUUCUAAUCAUGUGGGCACAUGAUGGUGAGAAAUGCAUUAUGUAUCCUCACGAGGAUGCUUUGGUGAUAAAUGCCAAUGUAGUGAGCAAAGAAUUUAAUAGGAUACUCAUAGAUACGGGUAGUUCAGUAGACAUGCUCUUUCAAUAUAUACUCGAGGAGAUGGGAAUUGCAUAUCUGAGGUUGAAACAUACAAAUACCUCCUUAAAAGGAUCUAGAGGAGGAAAGUUGACUCCUAAGAGGAUUAUAGAACUGUCAGUCAUCAUUGUCUUAAGGCCAUUCGAGAAGAUUAUGAUGUUAGAUCUUGUUACUAUUGAAGAAAACAGUUCCUAUUAGAUAUUUUUGGACAUUUAUGAGGAUAAGUCAAUGUGUCAUAUCCACUCACUGUUUGACGCUCAAAUAUCUUGUGAAUGGGGUUGUAGGUGUAGUAAAGGGCGACCAAAUGAUAACUCGGAGCUGUUAUGCCACGGACGCUAAGGAAACCUUGCAAAUUACAUCACUAAACACUCGAGGAGACUCUGUGAAAGGCCGGCAAGAGCCAGUGGAGAACUUAGAAGAGGUGGUGAUGAAACAAGAUAACCCGGAUAAAGUUGUAAAAAUCAGGUCCAGUUUAAAGCAAGACUUGAGAAUAGAGCUAAUAAACUACUUAAGAUCCCAUGCUGACGUGUUUUCCUGGUUGCAUGAAGACAUGCCCAGGAUCGACCCAAAAAUUGCUUAUUAUAAAUUGGCUAUAAGAAAGGGUAUGAGGUUAGUAAAGCAAAAAAUGAGGUGCUUCAACCAAGAAAGAUAUGAGGCCAUAAACAUCGAGGUGGAGAAGUUGUUGUAAGCAGGAUUCAUUAGGGAGGCUAAGUAUCUCGAAUGGAUUUCUAACGUAGUUCUAAUGAAGAAAGCGAAUGGAAAGUGAUGAAUGUGCAUGGAUUUCACCGAUCUUAACAAGGCAUGCCUAAACGACAGCUUCUCAUUGCCCAAGAUCGACCAGCUGGUUGACUCAACAGUAGGGCACAACCUACUCAGAUUUAUAGAUGCCUUCUCUGGUUACAACCAAAUACCCGUGGACGAGUAGGACAAGGAAAACACUGUAUUUAUUACUAACAUAGGUUUAUUUUGUUACAAUUUAAUGGAGUUUGAUCUAAAAAAUACAGGGGCUACAUAUCCAAUGUUGGUGAAUAAAGUCUUUAAACCCCUGAUUGGACAUACUAUGGAGGUCUACAUAGAUGACAUGAUCACCAAGUCCAAAGAUCCACUAGAACACACACGACAUUUAGAUGAAACUUUUAAGUUGCUAAGCAAAUACAAAAUUAAGCUUAAUCGAGAGACAUGUGCAUCUAGGGUAUGCUCGAGAAAAUUUUGGGUUUUAUGGUGAGCCAUAUGGGGAUCGGGGCCAACCCCAAGAAGGUAUAGGCAAUAACAGAGAUGAAAUCCCCUCGUGCACUCAAAGAAGUUCAGAGCCUUACGGGAAAGCUAGUAGCUCUCAAUCGAUUUAUAUCAAAAGCAAUAGAUAAAUAUCGCAUUUUCUUUAAAGUCAUAAAAAAAGAAAGAAAGAUGGAAGGGGAAAGCAAUAGAUAAAAACCGCGAUAGGGCGACAUAGUGUAUUUAUACUUAGCCCUGUCCCGAUGGGCUAUCGACUUGAUCCUGAUAAGAGAAGAAGCAGAAACUCAGCACUUGGUGUACCAUACCAGAAAGGCCCUACUAGACGCAGAAACUAGAUAUCCGAUGAUGGAAAAAUGGGCUCUGACACUAGUAACAACAGCUCGUAAGCUGAGACCAUACUUCUAGGUCUAUCUAGUAAUCGUGAUGACCGAUCAUCCUCUUCGACAGGCACUACAGAACCCAGAGGCAUUUGGUCGAUUGGUAUUAAAGCACAACCUAUGGCUGAUUUCAUCGCCGAAUGUACAAAUUGGGAGAAGAAAUUCGUAAAGAGCAGAUAAUUGACGAAGAAGGUUCGAAUAGAGUUUGGCUGAUAAUGAUAAAUGGAUCUUGCGAGGAACAAGGGUCCGGAGCAGAUGUGGUAGUGCAUAAACUAGAAGGUGUUGAAAUUUCUUAUGCUUUGAAGUUUGAAUUUAAGGCGACUAACAACCAGACAGAUUAUAAAGCUUUUAUUAUUGGUUUAAAGCUAGCUCAUGCGCUGUGAGCAGAUAGCAUUAAAGUUCGAAUAUACUCCCAAUUAGUAAGCAACCAGUUCAACAAAAUAAUGGAGUUAUAUCUGAAUAAGGCAAAACAACUGAUAGGAAUGUUUAAGAAAGUGAAGAUCGAGAACAUAAAACUAUGGGGCAGAUAUGUUGGCCAGAAGGACAACAACAACAGAUGCAAAGAUGCCAAAAUCAAUCUCGAUAGAAAUCAAGACCUCGCCGAGCAUCAAACAUGAAAAUGAGAUAAUAAGGGUAGAUAUAAGAAGCUCAUGGAUGGAUCCAAGUAUCUUAGAUAUCCGCAAUAGAAAUUUGCCAGCAGAUAAAAGGCAAGGUAGAAAGUUGAAGUGUCAGGCAGUCAGAUACUCGCUACUAAAUGGGGGUGUUCUACAGACGAGGAUUAACCUUGCCCCUCUUACGAUGUUUAAACCACGAGGAUGCAGAUUAUAUAUUACGACAAAUACACGAGGGAAUUUAUGGUAACCAUUUUGAGGCAAGGUCCUUGAAAUUUAAAGCCCUAAGAAAGGGAUAUUUCUGGGCGACUAUGCACCAAGACGCACGGAAAGUGACCAAGAAUUGUAAAAGCUGCCAAAGUUUCACAAGUUUCCCAACCCAACCAUUAAAAAACUCAUUUGUCACCACAAUGUCCUCUUCGUGGCCCUUUGCACAAUUGGGGAUUAAUCUGAUUGGCCCAUUACCUAAAGGGUGGGCAGCUGCUACACACGUCAUUGUAGCUGUAGAUUAUUUUAGAAAGUAGGUGGAGGUUGAAGCUUUAAGUCAGAUCAUAAAGAAGAUGACGAUUGGAUUCAUCUAGAGAAAUAUUUUAUGUAGGUAUGAGAUUCCCUAUAUAAUCUUAAUAGACAAUGGGAGGUAGUUUGACAAUCAUAAUUUCAAGGAAUUCUGUCAGAACUUGAGUGUUGAGCUGAGGUUCUGCUCCCCAGCACAUCCGCAAUCGAACGAGUAGGUGGAGGCUGCUAACAAGGUAAUAAAGAAGCUCCUGAAAACCAGACUAAGGAAAAGAAUAUGGCAUGGAUUAACGAGCUGGCUGGUGUGUUAUGGGCCUACCGAACGACCCACAAGGCCGCAACUGGAGAGACCUCGUUUUCCUUGGCCUUUGGUCAUGAAGCAGGAGUCCCUGCAGAAAUUGUGAUGGGAACACAUCGAACAAAAUACUUUGACGAAGAGCAAAACGAUGAGUAUAUGUGUCUGAAUCUAGAUCUGUUUGAGGAAAAGAGAGAGAGAGCCUCGUGGAAAGUAGUGGAAUAUUAGUAGAGGGUUGCUCGAUACUAUAACUAGAAUGUGCGGUUGCGGCAGUUUAGAGCUGGAGAUUAGGUGCUCAGGAGAAUAAAUCAAAACACGAAGGAUCCCAGCCAGGGCAUCUUUGGCCCUAACUAGACGGGCUCUUAUAAAGUUAUAUGAGCAAUAGGUCUAAGAACUUACAAGUUGGCUUAUCCAGACGGUCGAGAAGUAAAAUGAUUAUGGAACGCGAAGCAUUUAAGGAAAUAAUUCCAAUAAGCAAGUUGUUCUUGAGAGUUUUCCUAUUAUAACGUUUAUGCUUAAUGUAGUAGGAGUUAUUAGAUGUUCAUGUUUUCCUAUAUUCUGUAAUAACUAGAAUAUUUAAUAAUAAAAUGAUGAAGUUUAUUCAAAUGUGUUUAUGAAAUAUUUUCUAAGGUAAAGAAAUAGCUCGAUAGUCUCAAAGCUUGCUUGAGGCGAGACAAGAGUCAGAAGUUUGCCAAAACCUGCUCAAUCAAGCGAAGACGAGUAGGCAAAGUUUGUAAAUAUUUUCUAAAGCAAAUAGAAGGCUCAAUAGUCUCAAAGCCUACUCGAGGCGAGAUAAGAGUCAGAAGUUUUCCAAAACUUACUCAGUGAAGCGAAGACGAGUAGGCAAAGUUUAUUAAAUAUUUUCUAAGGCAAACAAGAAGCUCCAUAGUCUUAAAGCCUACUCAAGGCGAGAUAAAAGUCAGAAGUUUGCCAAAACCUACUCAUAAAGCGAAGAAUGGCAGGCAAAGUUUAUUAAAUAUUUUCUAAGGUAAACAAAAAGCUCGAUAGUCUCAAAGCCUGCUCAGUGCGAAAAAAAAGUCAAAAGUUUUUCGAUCAUAUAAGGUUAAACAAAUAACUGAUUCGAAAAUUUAGAAAACAAAGCAAAGACCCGUAAAAAUUCUUCCAAACCAAACAUUAAUGUGCAUGGCGAAUGAAGGAAAAAAUUUACACAUGUUCCAAAACAUACGAAUAACAAAAGUACAAUUUAUGGGUCUCUGGAAAGAGGAUCAGCCGGCUCAGUGUUGAGUGUUAGAAAAUGCAUAUUUAUAAAGGAGAAAACCGUCAUUUUACAUUUCAAGUCUUACUACCAACCCUUACUUUUAUGUAUUUAACCUUCUUGUGAUGUAAUUACGUGUGUGUUAUUUUAAUUAAGUAUUUUAUGUAUUUUAGGGGCAUUAUAGUCAUUUCACAAUAAAGGAGAGAUCAGACGGCAAAACGGAUAUCACUUUUGAACUCAGGACGGUCGAAAACCUUAGGAGGAACAUAAAAGGAAAAAUGGCACUAUUCACAUGUACGGUACUAUUCACGUAUACGUUACUGUUCACGGCACUGUUCACAUAGACGGAUCGAUGACGUGGCAUUGACCGAUGAUGUGGCAUUGACUGAUGAGGUGUCACGAUCCUGUUGGGCUAAAAUUCUUAUGUACUGUUGAUGGUGACGUGGCAGUAUAUCAGUGGAUGAAAAAUCUCGCGUACGGUGCAUGCAUCACACAGGAUUAUUUUCAACCAAACCGCGUUACUGUUCAUCCGGGUCAAACCGCGUUACUGUUCAAAGUCGGGUCAAACCGUGUUACUGUUCAUCCGCGUGGUCAAACCGUGGACUGUUGACCGAUGACGUGGCGCAAUCCUGAGCGUCCAAACUGUUUUUAAUCCGAUGGCCAUGAUUUACUCCAUGUAUCUAUAAAAAGGGGGCCUCUCCCCCCUAAUUUGAUACCUCUGAAUCCAUUUUUGGGAUCCAUUUUCUGUAAUUCCCUCUCUAUCUUGUAUUUUCUUUGUAUUUUAAUAAAUUCUCAUUUUGUCCCUAGUUCAAUUAUGAGUAGCUAAUUUCUUUUCAAGCUUAGGUUGAAGGUGAAGUCUCAACAUGUAUCAUGGGCUUUAUUUGGUAAAUUUAUUUUCUUUUCCCCUCUAGUUUUUGUGGAUGAUUUGACUUAUCGUCGACAAAUAAUACUGAUCUUGUCUAGAUACCGCCUUGGUUACACCGGCUCUCUAGUAUAAGGUUAUUAUUAUUUGGCACGAUAAGCCCUUAGCACCAUAUUGAUUAGAGCGUGGUUCAUGAGGUGUGGAUUCCCCCCUCAUGAUUUAAUUGGUAUUAAUAAGGAAUAUUUAGCCCAUGAUGCAUGUUGAUACGGAUCCAGAUACCCAAGUACGUCAUUUCAAUACAUUUCUCUUCAAUUUAUUCUUGCCAUUUCAAUUCCAAUUUCAGCAUUUAUUCUUGCCAUUUUAAUUUAAAGUUUUAGCAUAUUCCAAAUCAUUUCCACCACAAUUCCAACCACCCAUUUACAAAAUUAAUUCUAUAUAUAAUUAAAAAUCCACCUCCUCGUGGGAUCGACACUCGUCACCAUUGAUCUACACUACAAUAGAUUCGUGCGCUUGCGAGUACAUUAAAAUUUGCACAACAAGUUUUUGGCGCCGUUGCCGGGGAGGUAAGUAGUUUUAAUUCAUAGAAUUAAUUUUUGUGAAUAAUUUCUUUUAUUUGUUUUCUUGUAUUUUUUUUAUUAUAAAAAAAAAAAGAAAAAAAAAGUAAAUCUACAUUUAAAGGUUAGUAUUUCUUUUCUUUUUCUCUUCUUUAAAAUUCUGUAAUUUAAUUUUCAAUUUAUUUUUUCUUUGUAAUUUUUUUUAUUUUAUUAAUUUAAUUUUUAAUUUAUUUCACGUAUUUGUUUUUGUGUAUUUUUAUAGUAAGGUUGUAAUAGCGCAAUAAGGUUAGUAUCGUAAUUUCUCCCUCUUAUUUAUUUUUAUUUGUUUUGUUCCCAUCUUUAUUUUUAUUUUUAUUUUAUUUUGCAUGCAUGGUCGUAGGUCAUUAUUACCUAAUCUUGAACCUAUAGACCUUGAAUUAGAAAAAACACUUCGCACACACAAACACGUUAAAAAUAAAAUGGAUUUGCAACCACAGGAGAGGCCAUUUAAGGAUUAUUUUAGUCCCUUAGCUAAUUUGAGCACAUCAUGCAUAAGAUACCCAAAUGUAGCUGCUAGGAGCUUUGAACUAAAACCUAGUGUGCUAAAUUGUCUCCCCACAUUUUAUGGCCUAGAAAAUGAGGACCCAUAUAAUCAUCUGAAUGAUUUUCAUGCUAUUUGUCAAACAUUUAAAUAUGAGAAUUUUUCAGACGAUGAUGUUAAACUCAGACUAUUCCCAUUUUCUUUAAAGGAUAGAGCUCGUUCAUGGUUAAAUACGUUACCUGCUAAUAGCAUUUCAUCAUGGGAACAAAUGGUAACUAAAUUUUUGAAUAAAUAUUUCCCAGUGCAUAAAACCAAUUCUAUUCGCAGGGAAAUUUCAGAGUUUACACAAAGAGAGGACGAGCAAUUUUUCGAAACAUGGGAGCGAUUCAAUGGGCUACUCUUGAAGUGUCCACAUCAUGGGUACGAGAAAUGGCACCAAUGUCAAUACUUUUUGGAGGGAUUACUACCGAAUGUGCAAGAAUGGCUAAUGGCAACAAGUGGAGGAGAGCUAAUGUCAAAAAGUGCAUCAGAGAUUUGGGAAUUCUUCCAGCGACAAGCGGAUAAUUCCCAACAACGGAGUCGAUCACUCAGGAAUACUAGAAGAAUUAAGGGAGUAAAUGAGGUUCAAAUUGGCGAGUCAAAUUCAGAAAUCAAAGAAGUCAAAGCAAUAAUAGAAGGUCUCUCUCGACAAAUAGCAUCGUUAUCGACUGCUAAAUCAACAGAACCACAUGACCAUGACUCAUACUCCGAUCAAGCCAAUGCCAUAGGUGUAAUGAGAAAGCCAUCUAAUUACAACCCAUACUCCAACACAUAUAACCCUGGAUGGAGAGACCACCCCAAUUUUUCAUGGUCUCAAGGAUUCCAACAUAAUGGACCAGCAGCUCCAGCUCCACCAAUGCAUCAAAUUCCUCAAAAUUCUCAAGCCUCUCAGCCACCAUUCAGACCAUACAAUCAGAACCAGAACUACUCUCAACCCAGACCAUGGGAGGAUUCAUUCCAGAAUCUCAAGAAUCUUACUCACUCCACGAUUGAGCAACAGAAUCGGACCAUUGAUGGACUACGAAAUGAGUUGAGAGCAGGCUUCAAUUCACAAGCCCAAUCAGUUUCAAGCCUUGAGAAGAUGGUGGGACAACUUGCUUCUUCAGUUCAGACCUUGGCAAUUAAUGUUGAGAAAGGUAAAUUUCCAAGUCAACCAGUGCCUAACCCUAAAGGAGUACAUGAAGCAAGUACCAGUUCACCACAACAGCAUGGAGAGGUCAAAGCAGUCAUGACCUUGCGAAAAGGAAAGGAAGUCGACAACAAAGUGGAGAUGCCGGUGACAAAAGAAAAUCAAAUUGUACCUGUGAAUGUUGAGGACUCACCACCGGAGGAAAAAGAAGAAACCAACCCACGAGAAUAUGUUCCUAAAGCUCCAUUUCCUCAGAGGUUAGCGAAAGGAAAGAAGGGAAAAUCCACAGGUGAGAUUCUCGAAAUCUUCAAACAGGUAAGUGUUAACAUCCCUUUGCUUGAUGCUAUUAAACAAGUUCCAUCUUAUGCCAAGUUUCUUAAAGACCUUUGUACUAAAAAGAGAAACAUGCAUGUUCAAAAGAAGGCAUUUUUAACAGAAAACGUUAGUUCUAUACUCCAACAUAAAAUUCCUUUAAAAUGCAAAGACCCAGGCUCCCCCACUAUCUCAUGUAGUAUAGGGAACCACACAAUUGAGAAUGCUUUGUUGGAUUUAGGAGCUAGUGUAAAUUUGUUGCCUUACUCUGUAUUCGUGAAACUUGGACUGGGAGAAUUACACCCAACUCCAGUGGUGUUACAGCUUGCAGAUCGGUCCACGAAAAUACCUCGUGGUAUUGUGGAGGACGUGCUUAUCCAGGUAGACAAGUUUUAUUUUCCUGUUGAUUUCAUUGUAAUUGACACUCAACCAAUACAGGAUUCAAGGAAGCACAUCCCUAUUAUUCUAGGCCGACCUUUCUUGGCAACUGCGGAUGCUCACAUUCAAUGUAGGACCGGAAAUAUGCAAUUGUCCUUCGGCAACAUGACUAUGGAGCUAAAUAUUUUCAACAUUGCCAAACAACCUCACAGUGCAGAUGAUGGAAUUGUUGAUGUGGAUUUAAUAGAAACAAUAGUCAAUAAUACUUUUAUUUCAAACCUUAGUGAUGACCCUUUACAGACAUGCUUAACUCACUUUGGUUUGGAUUUUGAUAUUGACAGAUCGGUCGAUGAGGUCAACGCCCUACUUGACUCAGCACCAUCCAUGGACACUAAUAAAUGGAAGUCAAGAGUUGAACAACUAGCACCAUCAGAAAAGAAACUCAUCCCAUCAUCUGAAUCACCACCGAAACUCGAGCUCAAACCAUUGCCCAACACAUUGGAAUAUGCAUUUUUGGGAGAAGAAAGUACUCUACUGGUAAUCAUCUCAUCAUCCCUAAAUGACGAACAAAAAGGUAAGUUGUUGGAUGUUUUAAAAGAGCACAAAGAAGCAUUAGGAUGGACCAUAGCGGACAUAAAAGGUAUAAACCCAGUAGACUGCAUGCAUUACAUUCACCUUGAUGAAAAUGCUAAAACUACUAGGGAGAUGCAACGUCGGUUAAAUCCUAACAUGAAAGAAGUUGUUAGAACUGAAGUCCUUAAGCUAUUAGAUGCAGGUAUCAUUUACCCAAUUUCUGAUAGUUCAUGGGUCAGUCCUGUACAAGUUGUCCCCAAAAAGUCAGGAGUCACAGUAGUUACGAAUGCCGAUAAUGAAUUAAUACCAACUAGAGUAACUACAGGAUGGCGUGUAUGCAUUGAUUAUAGAAAGUUGAAUUCUGUCACACGUAAAGACCAUUUUCCUUUACCAUUUAUCGAUCAAAUGCUUGAUAGAUUAGCAGGCCAUGAAUUUUAUUGCUUUCUAGAUGGCUACUCAGGAUAUAAUCAGAUUCCCAUAGCACCAAAAGAUCAGGAGAAAACUACUUUCACUUGCCCUUUUGGCACAUUUGCAUAUAGGAGAAUGCCAUUUGGAUUAUGUAAUGCACCUGCUACAUUUCAACGAUGCAUGUUGAGCAUUUUUUCUGAUAUGGUUGAACGAUUCCUUGAAGUCUUUAUGGAUGAUUUUUCUGUCUUUGGUGACUCGUUUGAUCAAUGUUUACAUCAUCUAACGCUAGUUCUGCAGAGAUGUACCGAGAAGAGCUUAGUCUUAAAUUGGGAGAAGUGCCAUUUUAUGGUAAAACAAGGUAUUGUUCUCGGUCACAUCAUUUCAAGCAAAGGUAUUGAGGUUGACAAAGCCAAGGUGGAUCUCAUUUCUAAUCUUCCUCCACCCAAAACAGUCAGAGAAGUAAGAUCUUUCCUUGGGCAUGCUGGUUUCUAUAGACGUUUCAUUAAAGAUUUUAGCAAAGUUUCUAGACCCUUAUGCAAUUUACUUGCUAAGGAUGUACCUUUUAUCUUUAAUGAUUCAUGUCUUAUGGCUUUUGAAAAAUUAAAGCAAUUGUUGACAUCAUCACCCAUCAUUCAGGCCCCAAACUGGAGCUUACCAUUUGAGCUUAUGUGUGAUGCAUCUGAUUAUGCAGUAGGAGCAGUUUUAGGACAAAGAGUUGAUCGAAUUCCCCAUGUUAUUUACUACGCUAGUAUGACAUUGAAUGAUGCACAAUUGAACUAUUCAACUACUGAAAAAGAAAUGCUAGCAGUAGUGUUUGCAUUAGAGAAAUUUCGAUCUUAUCUCAUUGGUUGUAAAAUAAUUAUAUUCACAGAUCAUGCUGCUCUUAAAUAUCUUCUCACAAAGAAAGAUGCAAAAGCUAGACUAAUUCGUUGGGUAUUACUUUUGCAGGAAUUUGACUUGGAAUUCAAGGAUAAGAAAGGCACAGAAAAUGUUGUGGCGGACCACCUCUCUCGUCUCCAUUUUGACACAAUUACAGAGCCAUUAAUAUUAAAUGAGUCAUUUCCAGAUGAACAAUUGAUGAAUGUGGAAGUAUUACCUUGGUAUGCUGAUAUAGUUAAUUAUCUUGUUACAGGUAAGCUUCCAGAGCAUUGGACCAAGCAAGAUAAGGCUAAAUUCUUUGCAGAAAUAAAGAAUUUCUUUUGGGAUGACCCGUAUUUGUUCAAGUAUUGUGCAGACCAAAUUGUUAGACGAUGUGUCCCAGAAAGUGAAAUUCAGAAUAUUCUGUCAUUCUGCCAUGAACAAGCUUGUGGAGGCCAUUUCAGUGCUAAGAAAACGGCGACUAAAGUUUUACAAUGUGGUUUUUAUUGGCCAACUAUAUUUCGAGAUGCUUACAUUUUCUGUUCUUCAUGUGAUAGGUGUCAACGAAUGGGGAGCAUUACACGAAGGAACAUGAUGCCACUAAAUCCAAUUUUAGUGGUUGAGAUUUUUGACGUAUGGGGUAUCGACUUCAUGGGACCCUUUCCCCCUUCUUUUGGCCAUCAAUACAUAUUGGUUGGUGUUGACUACGUAUCGAAAUGGGUGGAAGCAAUUCCAUGCAGAACCAAUGAUCACAAAGUGGUGAUAGGAUUUUUGAAAAGCAACAUUGUUUCGCGCUUUGGAUUCCCUCGAGCGAUAAUUAGUGAUGGUGGUGCCCACUUUUGUAACAAAGCAUUCAAAGCUCUUUUGACAAAGUAUUCAAUCACACACAAAGUGGCAACCCCGUAUCAUCCGCAAACCAGUGGCCAAGUUGAGAUCUCCAAUCGAGAAAUCAAGCACAUAUUAGAAAAAACGGUGAGGCCAGACAGAAAAGAUUGGUCAUUAAGACUUGGUGAUGCAUUAUGGGCAUAUAGAACGGCUUUCAAGACCCCGAUUGGGAUGUCACCCUACAGGCUAGUGUAUGGAAAAGCUUGCCACCUACCUGUGGAACUCGAGCAUCGUGCAUAUUGGGCCAUCAAGAAAUUCAACUCUGACAUGCAGCAAGCCAGCUCAGAAAGAAGAUUACAACUGGCAGAACUUGAAGAAAUUCGCAAUGAUGCAUACGAAAAUGCCAAGAUUUACAAGCAACGAAUGAAAGUCUUUCAUGACAAGCAUAUUAUGAGAAAAUCGUUCACUCCAGGUCAGAAAGUGCUUUUAUUCAAUUCUCGUUUGCACCUAUUCCCAGGUAAGUUACGCUCUCGAUGGUCUGGUCCCUUUAUUGUUCAUACUGUUUUUCCACAUGGGGCAAUUGAAAUUAAGGACCCAAAGAACGGUGUCACGUUUAAAGUUAAUGGUCAAAGAUUAAAGCCAUAUCUUGAGUACCAACCACAUGGAGAAGACACCGAAAUAAAUUUGAGUGACCCACCAGAUUUGAAUUGAUUUUUUCUUUUUGUUGAUUUGAUUUUUCUUUCUUUCUUUUUAUUAUUCUUUUGCUAAUUGAAAUUAUUUUCGCAUAAGUGUGUUUGUUUUACCAUUAAGUUUUUUUUCUUAUCAUUGUUAAUCAUGAGUACCAUACUUAGACCGUUCCUCCUGAACAUUCUUAAACCACUUCAACGUGUCAAAACUCAUCUCAAAAAGCAGAUUCAAUUUUGUAAAACACAACGCAUUUGGGCUCUACAACCACCAGAGUUAGUAGCCUAUGUUGAGGGUUUAGAACGCCAACUCAGAGACAUUGAGAGAAGUGUUUACGACAUCCAGUUGGAGCUUGAGGUAAAUUCAAUAAGAGGACGAUUUUAAUUUUCUUUGUGUGUUUUGAUUUGUUUUUCUGUUUGUGUGCUUUAGUUUGUUACCCCGGUGAAAUGGCGGAUAACGGUACUCCGUGACAAUCAAGUCGGUUACUUCAGUUUCCCACAAUAACUGACAUUCUGAGGCGAAAGUAUGGACAUAAACGAGAUUCUAGCGAAGCUUCACAAGCGAUUCCCUUCACUUCCUCAGAAUGCCCUCCUUACGAUCUAUCAAGCUCGAUCCGAACGCAUGCGAUUACUCAUGAGGAAUAACAUACCUGCUGACAUCCGUUGGUUAAUCGAGGCUAAAGUACGAUCGGCAGGUGAGUUACCUCCAAAAUUUAUUGCAUUCAUGCCUGGUUGUGGUAAAGGAAAUUAUGCAAGAAAACGACGAGCUCGAAGAAUUUCUGUUGCUUGUCACAAGUGUGCCAGAAUGAGUUGCGAUAGAAACCCAUGUUCUUUAGGAAUGAUGUCUGAUAACAGAGAAGAUAAGAUUCAAUUCAUUAGGGAUGGCUUGAAUAAGGAGUCAUUGGAUGAUAUCCUUCUGUCUCUUGAAACGCAUCCCAGUGGAUAUGUGCAAGGAGUGAUUCUCCAGUUAUGGCCAUUAUUCCAGAAAGAGCAUGCACGAUAUAGUCUCGGGAAUCUGACUAUAAACGACCCUGUUUGUCAGUUUAUAAGAAAACUGGAUGGGAAGCCGAUCCUCGACCCAUAGAGGGCGUUAAAGCCGUUUCUGGACGUAAAACCAGAGGAAGAUGUGAGCCACAGUCGCAACUACGUGUAAAUAUCCUUUUACUUUACUGUUAUUUUAUUUCAUUUCACUGUUGUUUUAUUGUUUGCAUUAUUGUCUUUAAUAAUUUUGUUACUGUUUACUUUUUCCUUUUUAUUGUUUCUUUUUUGACUCGCGAGCCACGUGCUUUACGCGUUAUUUGACACUGACAUGUUACCUCAUUCACAGCUGUGAUCCACUGUCACCAAGAUUCUUAAAUGUGAUUUACUUUUUGUCAAGCACUCACAAAUUAUUUUUGAGAAGUAUCACAAUGGCAGCCACUCCCAAUAGACAAUUCAAGAACAUUUGUGUGCUUUCUGGAUUUACCUAUGGCAAACAUAAAGAGUUCGUUGAGGCAGCCAUAGAUCUUGGUCGAAGCAUAGCAGCGAGAAAAUUACACUUGGUGUAUGGAGGAGGUAACCGAGGAUUAUCAAAAAUGGUCUCAGAAGCAGCUUUUAUCAGAGGAAGUCAAGUGUUAGGCAUCAUCCCAAGAGUCCUAAAACCAUUGGGCAGUUCGUCUGACUCAUCAACUGGAGAAGAGUUAGUCGUCUCAGGUAUGCAAGAAAGAAUAACUGAAAUGCUUAAUCAUGCUGAUGCUUUUAUUUUCCUUCCAGGAGAUCUUGCAACACUAGAGGCACUUAUGACACUAGCAUCUUGGGCCCAUCUGCACAUCCACCAGAAACCUAUCGGUUUGUUAAAUGUCAAUAACUUUUAUGAUGGCUUUAUCGCAUUUCUUAACCAUGCAAUAAAAAACUAUUUCAUUCCUUCUAAUGUGAAAAAACUCUUUAUUUGUGCUCACACUGCUAAUGAGCUACUUGAUAUGUUACAAGCUUAUAAACCGGAGCCAGACCCCUGGACCUUUGUGUUGGAGCGACCAAAUAAUGAUGGUAACAGUAGCCGCAGUAAGAAGUACAAAUUAGAUUUAACUCUCCGCCUGUAAAUAUUUUCUUCUGUGUUGCACCACCCAGGUGAUGUCUUCUAAACUCUACUUCUUUCCUUUAAAACAUUGAGGACAAUGUUUCGUUCUGGUUGGGGGGAGGGAAUAGUCGACAAUUGUGGAAUCUUGGUUAAGUUUUUACUAAUUUUUUGUUGUAGAAACUAACUGUUGCUAACUUUUUGUGUUGAAGAUGGCUGAAUAUGGAGUGUAGUUACUCUAGAAACGCAUCUUCAUUGUUCGAAAAAAAAAAAAAAAAAUUCUUUUUCUUUAUUUAAGUUUUGAUGUUCAUUUUUCUUCUUCUUUUUAUUUUCUCCUCUAUAAAUAUACAUUUUCCAACUUUUGAGUCGAAGAUGGCUAAAUAUGGAGUGUAGUGCCUCUAGAAACGCAUCUUCUUAGUUUAAAAAAAAAAAAAAAUCUUUUUCUAAUUAAUUUUUCUACAUCAUUUUCACAUUUCUGCAUGCAUAUUUUCCUUUCAUGUUUAGAAUAGGUUGGGGGGUAGAAUGUUGUUUAAAAAAAAAAAAAAAAUUUUUGUGUUAUUUGUUUUAACAUUGGAUGACAUGAUUAAUUUCAAAUUUUAGUAUUUGUAUUAUCUUUGGUCUUAAGUGAUGUUACGCUAUGUUUGCUACUUUACAUGUUGAUGUCGGAGACAAAUAUGAGUUGCUUGAAGGAAUGAAUAUGUCAUAAAUAAGUGCCAAGUGAGUUGUUGAGCCUAUCAUUUUCUUGGAGAGUAACCCUUUUGCCCAUUCUCUAUACAGCUUAGCAGUUUAUUAUUUUAUACACGAUCUCUAUAUUUCUUUUGAGUUAACCCUUUAAAAAAAAAAUAGUAAAAUUAAAAAAAAAAAAAAGAAAAAAGAAAAAAAUGUGUGUUGCUACAUUGGGAGGCCCAUCUAACUAGUAGAUAUGGAUAAUUAUUUAGAGCCCUAAAAGACGAUGGAAAGGCCAUCUUUGAUCCGUUUGAGCCUUUCUAGCCAUCCCUGUUAUUAAAUAUCCAUAGUUACCCCUUUUGAGCCUUUAAAAAAAAAAAAAAAAAACAAAAACCUUUUCUUUGUCAACUUAUCAUCUUGACCCACUCCGAUUUGGAGUAUUACCCAAUGUCUUUUAAGUUCCAUCACCUAUUUAUGUUUGAGAAAAUGUAAAUAAUUAUUUUAUUCAGUGACGUUAUGCCAAAAAAAAAAAAAAAUUGUUGUUUCAAAAGAAUAAAAAUAACAAUAAUAGGUGAAAUCCACCUUGCAACUUCCAAAAAAAAAAAAAAAAUCUCUGCAUUUUUCUCAAACAUACACUUUGUUUUCCUUAUUUUCUUUCUUUGUUAGCCAUAUCCCUAGCCUACGUUACGUCCUAAUAAAAGUCCUUCUUGAUUUUAGGGAACUAUAGUUUGAAGUAGAAGCUAGUUAUAUGGGCGAAAAAGAUGUAGUGAUGCAUAAUAAAAAAAAAAAAAAAAGAUAAAUAAAGUGGGUUGACUAACAUUUUAUUUGACUUGAGAUCGUAUUAUUUCUAAGCUAAGGGCAUAUUUAUUUCAUCUUGGUGAGAGCAUGUGAUAUCACUUCUUCAUUAUUUUCUCUCAAUUACCAUUCAUUGGAGUGACUAUUUUUUGGGUUUAAUUUCUUUGUGAGAGUGUCACUACUUCCAGUGAGAUUUUGGGGUUUGACAUGUCAUUCUUGAAAGUAGCUAUAACAAAGUCUACUGGGCCGAUUCAUGUGGAUGGUUGAUGUGGGUGUGAUGUUGCUUUAGACUGGAGAUAAUGCUUAUACUUUUAUUUGAUUGCUAUCAUUAAUCUGAUUGAAUAAACACGAGUGUUUCUAAAAAAAAAUAUAUAUAUAUAUAUAUAUAUAUAUAUUUUGAAUUUGAAUUUUGUUUUCGCUUUAUUUGCUAGGGACUAGCAAUAAGCUGGUUGGGGGGUGUGUUGAGUGUUAGAAAAUGCAUAUUUAUAAAGGAGAAAACCGUCAUUUUACAUUUCAAGUCUUACUACCAACCCUUACUUUUAUGUAUUUAACCUUCUUGUGAUGUAAUUACGUGUGUGUUAUUUUAAUUAAGUAUUUUAUAUAUUUUAGGGGCAUUAUAGUCAUUUCACAAUAAAGGAGAGAUCAGACGGCAAAACGGAUAUCACUUUUGAACUCAAGACGGUCGAAAACCUUAGGAGGAACAUAAAAGGAAAAAUGGCACUAUUCACAUGUACGGUACUAUUCACGUAUACGUUACUGUUCAUGGCACUGUUCACAUAGACGGAUCGAUGACGUGGCAUUGACCGAUGAUGUGGCAUUGACUGAUGAGGUGUCACGAUCCUGUUGGGCUAAAAUUCUUAUGUACUGUUGAUGGUGACGUGGCAGUAUAUCAGUGGACGAAAAAUCUCGCGUACGGUGCAUGCAUCACACAGGAUUAUUUUCAACCAAACCGCGUUACUGUUCAUCCGGGUCAAACUGUGUUACUGUUCAAAGUCGGGUCAAACCGUGUUACUGUUCAUCCGCGUGGUCAAACUGUGGACUGUUGACCGAUGACGUGGCGCAAUCCUGAGCGUCCAAACUGUUUUUAAUCCGAUGGCCAUGAUUUACUCCAUGUAUCUAUAAAAAAGGGGCCUCUCCCCCCUAAUUUGAUACCUCUGAAUCCAUUUUUGGGAUCCAUUUUCUGUAAUUCCCUCUCUAUCUUGUAUUUUCUUUGUAUUUUAAUAAAUUCCCAUUUUGUCCCUAGUUCAAUUAUGAGUAACUAAUUUCUUUUCAAGCUUGGGUUGAAGGUGAAGUCUCAACAUGUAUCAUGGGCUUUAUUUGGUAAAUUUAUUUUCUUUUCCCCUCUAGUUUUUGUGGAUGAUUUGACUUAUCGUCGACAAAUAAUACUGAUCUUGUCUAGAUACCGCCUUGGUUACACCGGCUCUCUAGUACAAGGUUAUUAUUAUUUGGCACGAUAAGCCCUUAGCACCAUAUUGAUUAGAGCGUGGUUCAUGAGGUGUGGAUUCCCCCUCAUGAUUUAAUUGGUAUUAAUAAGGAAUAUUUAGCCCAUGAUGCAUGUUGAUACGGAUCCAGAUACCCAAGUACGUCAUUUCAAUACAUUUCUCUUCAAUUUAUUCUUGCCAUUUCAAUUCCAAUUUCAGCAUUUAUUCUCGCCAUUUUAAUUUAAAGUUUUAGCAUAUUCCAAAUCAUUUCCACCACAAUUCCAACCACCCAUUUACAAAAUUAAUUCUAUAUAUAAUUAAAAAUCCACCUCCUCGUGGGAUCGACACUCGUCACCAUUGAUCUACACUACAAUAGAUUCGUGCGCUUGCGAGUACAUUAAAAUUUGCACAACACUCAGCAGAGGAAGGGUCCACGACCCCAGUAGUGGAAGAGCCCGUGACUGCAGUAGAGGAGAGGGUCGCCUCAGCAAUUGUGUCUUCCACUUCGUCCCUAGCUCCUCGAUCGUGUGCUUCUGCGACUGAGGGGGUCCUUUAUCAGCUUGCAUUUCCUUGGUUAUGCUCCUCUAUGUAUUUUUUUACACCUAUUUCAAGCUUUUUCAGGUCCAACUCUGGAUGCUCCCUUUUAAGGAAUGUCAUGAUAUAGUUGUAGCUGAAGGCAAGCCCAAAAUCGUACUCCUCGCCCACCUCGUUCUCCAAACUAUUGACCUGGGGGUCUCAUCUAAACUCAAUGCCUGCUCACUACUAUUCCUAUUUAAUUUAUUUCCAUCUGAUGACAAGGAAGUCUCGGGUGUUGGUUGCCUAAGAACACUUUUAAGACAAGAGGGAUCUACAUCACCUAGAGGGAUUUGAGGGUCAAAGAGAGGUUCUCUUAAUAUGUGGGGGUAAGAGUCUAUUUCCUCGUCAUUUUCAAUUUUAAUAAUCUUUCUUUUUCUACACGACAUAGUAGGAAUUGAAACAAACCCAAAUAUUCGAAUAAGAAAUAACAACACAUAUCAAUGCAACAACAACUAGGUAUAAGUUCAGAAAGUUGUACUUGGGAUGAUCUAGGGUCGACGAAGUGGAUGUCGAGGCUGACGACAGAAAAGGGGCUUCCUAGCAUGAAGAAGACACUCUAUUUUAGGUAAGAAGCGGUUUUAGAUAAAAAACAGAAGGACAGGUUUAACGAAUAAAGAAAAUAUUAGUUUAGAGAUUUAAUUGAUGAAAGGGAAAAAGGGGGAGGCAUUUUAAGUGGUGAAUAUGUUAGUUUAACCGACGCAUUUCAAGAGCAUGUAAAUCGCCAUUUUAAAUUUCAAAUGUGUGGUAUAGAAAAAAGGCCACGUCAUAAGCAUGUAAAGUGAGGUGACAAGGGGUUAGAUCGAUAUAAAAUGGCCAAAGGACAUAAGUGUCUAUCUGAUAACUCUAUGAAAUGAGAGUUAUUACGGCAAUUCUAGACUGAAAAUAAGAUCACUUAGAGAGCAAAGAAUGUGUUUUUAUUGCAUUUUUGUUAUAUUUUGCAUAAACAUUCAUUUUAGUUUAGUCUUAAUAAGUUUUGCUUGAUUUAGAUUAAUUUGUGAUCAAAUUGUGUGCAAAAUUGUAGGUUACCAGAAGCUUAUGAUUCGGGAAAGAAUGCAGAAGUAAUGGGCUAACUUAAAAGAUGAAGAAGAUGGCCACAAAAAAAGUGAAACAAAAUCUGAAGUAGUACAAUGCUAGAGUCAUUGCUGGAGCAGCCAUUACUGUAGCAAUUCUGGAACAACGAUAGAGAAAACUUAGCACGGGAAAGCUGCAAGAUUGCGAUUUGCAGUUUCCUAAUCUAACUCUCGCGUACCCUAUGCCUUUGCUUACCUUAAUUUUCAGUUAUAAAAGGAGGCGCACAUCAUAUAAAACGGCAGCAAGGAAUUAUCAUUGGAGAAACUCUAUUUAAGGAGUUUAUUUGGAAUUGAAUGGGAACGUGAAGAAUUUUGCUCAAAGCUGUGGUUGACUUUCACCCAAAGAAAGCCAAAUUUAUUCAGUUUUCAUUGUAAUCUGACUGGUACCUAUCACCUAGAAAGUUACAUUCAUUAAAUCUAUCAGUUGCUUGUUGAAUACCAUGAUAGGAUAUUCUUCUCCAUGUAGUCAGAGAGAACAAAUCUUCCUAAGCCGGAGUUCUUGUUUUCCUAUUUCGACAUGUUAUGAAGAUUAUCAUAACAAUCGUUAUUAGUACACUCAAUAUAAUCGAAGGAAAAGUUUAUUUCAAACCAGCAGAGUAGCAUUCUUGGAUCCUUUGCUAUUGUCUUCGUUGCAAGUGGGACUUGGAGUCUUGCUGGACUGCAGAGUGCGUAAUUUUGGAAAAACGAUUGAGCUGAAAAGUUUUUAAAAGGUCCCAUGAGAUAUGAGAGUGCCUCCAAUGAUUUUGGAAUUUCUCCAAAGAGAGAGAGAUCUAAAAAUUCCAAGCUUAUCAAACUACCAAAUGAUUCAGGAUCGGAACGUAAAAGUGGUUUCUAGACAAGGAUAAAGUUGCUAAAUCUUUGAGGCCACCAAUAUUUACUGGUAUAUCACCUGAUAAUUGAUUUUUUGAUAAAUCUAACUUUACUAAGACCUUUAAGCAUUGUAUAUUUGAAGGUAGAGGACCACUUAGACAAUUUGUUGACAAGUUUACAUACAAGAUGAACUCAUAACUCCACAAGGAUGAUGGGAUACUAGAAGAGAGCGUGUUGGAGCUUAAAAAGAGUGUUCUUAGAGAAGUCAAGACUUCCCAAGCAUUGCGGUAUAUGUUCGAAGAGCGUAUUUUCAUUUAAAAAUAAACCAAUCAACCGCUCUAAGGGGCAAAGAUCAUUGGGAAUGUAUCCUUGCAAAAUAUUGGCAUCGAGAUAUAAAACUUGUAAUGUCUUUAACGUUCCCACUGGUGUUGGAAUAGUUCCAUUCAAGUCGUUGUUGAAGAGGCUUAAAAGUAUGAAGCCACUUAAAUUACCAAUCUCUUGAGGAAUGCUGCCCUUAAGUUUGCAAUCAUGAGCAAAACGUUUUUUAACAGACUUAGAGAAUUUCUCAAUUAAUGGUGGAAGGUAUGCCCCGCAAUGGAUUAAAGCCUAAGCCUAAAAAUGCCAGCAUCCUACAAGAAUUCAAAGAAGGGAGAAAACUCAACCCACCAGUAGAUGAUUCCGUCGUCAAGUAAUUAUACGCUAGGUUGAGUAGGCCAAGGAAUUUCAAGCUGCCAAAAGUGUUUAGAAUAAGGCCAAAGAAAGAGUUAUAGCUCAAGUCUAGGACACUGAGUUUAGAAGCAUUGGUUAUCGAGUUGGGAGUUGUCCCCCUAAGUUUAUUUAUUUUUCGCCAAAAGUGACCACUCCAUGUUUGGAAGCGAGUGGCCAAUCGUUGAUGGAAAAUGGCCUGAGAAUUGUUGUUCAGCUAGAGUAAUUCUUUUUAUGGUUGAAAUAUUGAAGAUUGUGGGUGGGAUAGAACAAGUUAAGUUAUUGGAAUUAAGAGCUAAAUAGUCCAGAUUUUGUAGGUUGCCCAUCCCAGUUGGAAUUUCACCUACCAGAAUUAAAGCCCACGUUAUGUUAAGACUUAUUUAGCUGAAAGCACAAGCGGGGUAAUAUACGUUCAAAUGCAUCAAAGUUGGCAGUUUCGUUUGACAAUAAGCAUAUGAAUUAUGAUCUUUCUUGUUCAGCGAUUUUGAGAUUUUACUAAUCAAUUUAUAUAUAUAUACAAUAUGUGGAGAAUGUUUAAAUUGGGCCUUUUAUUUUAAUUAUAGACUAAAUUAUGAGAAAAAUACUUAUAUCCAUAAUAUUAUUCAAGCUUUUAAAAAGAUUCAGAAUUAAAAAUCAAACUUUUGUACUCUAAUAAUUCUGCUGGUACGUUCAAUUAGUAGAUUAUUUUAGGAAAGAAGGUUAGAAUAGGCUAUAGGUUAUGGUAGUUAUGGUCACUUAAUCACAACUUUUAACCUUAGUAUAGUAAAAGUUUGACUUUUUCAGACGACCCAUCCCAAACUCCCAGGGCGAGUCUAUUUAAUCCCGUCAAAACUUAAUUAAUAAUAAUCUAAUAAAUAAAGAUUUUGUAGACAAUUCGGCAAAGUCUUCCUUAUAAAUAUAACACACCCAACUUGCAAAUGUGUAAAACAAGCACUCUCAAAAUAAUCAAAUAAACAACCAACUCCAACGCUCAACAUCCUCAACCAUAAUACUAAACUUUACCGAAGAUAUCUCCAAAGUAUCAAAAGAUUAUAUUAUAGCUAAUAUUAACAUACAUUGGUUUGUUCUUAAUCUCAAAAGAAUAAUACAACAAAAUUAUACAAUCCCAAAAAAAAUGAGAUGACCAAAAUGCCCUAACAAAAAUCAUCUAUAUCUUCUAACACCAUCACAUGGCCAAAAUUCAAAAUAUCUAAAGUUGCUGGGUCGAUUUGGUGUGCCGACAUCCUCAUGUGGAGGGAAAAAUAUAAUAAAACGGGAUGAGUAUAAAACUUAGCUUAGCGAGUGGAUAAUAAUUUUUUUUUGAAAAUAAACUUACUUCAAAAUUAUUAUAUCAUCUCAGUUAAUAAUUUCACCAAAUUACCACAAGAAACUUAAAUAACUUAUUUAAUUAUAAAUCAUAAACUAGCAUAAAUAUAACAUUUAUAAUACCAUAUAAAAUCAAGGAAAUUAUAAACACACUGUAAUCUCAAAUACUGAAUUCUGAAAACUGUCACUAAACAAGUACCCACGGGAAAUAAUCUUGUCAUAUCCAGAUCUCAACGGACGAACAACGACGUACUAUUAGGAUACCGUCAUACCCUGGAGCUACAACGGGUAGACAGGAAAAUUCCAUCUUACAUGUCUCCUAUAUCUCAUCAUAUCUCUACAUGCAUAAACUAGUUCCCAAAGGACAAAGGUGCCCAAGCACACGGCCCAAAGCCUUUGUGUGUAUUCAGACAGACCCCAAAGGCCUGUAUCUCAUAUAUAUUUCAGUAAUUAUAUCUUUGUUAUUAUUAUACUACAUACAUAAGCCCCCAAAAGGCAAAAGCGCCCAAAUAUACAGCCCAAAGCCUCUAUGCGUGUUCAUACGGGCCUUAAAGCCCUCUCUUCAUAUAUGUAUCAUUGUAACUGGAUAGGAAGGGCAAUAGCCAAUGAUUGUGCGAACGAUCUUUUAUGCAUAUUUACAUGAGCAUAUAAUUAUAUCAUACUAUAAAACUCAUUUCCUUUCUAUUUAAAAUACUUUAUAUCUAUUUUCUUUUCUUUAAAAUACUAUCAUUCAUUACUCAAAAAUCAAUAAGGGAACUGAUAAUCACACACUUUUUAAUAAUACAACAAUACAUAAAUAAAACUCAUUUCUAAGAAAACAUUAAAUCGGAGCAUUAAAUAUUUAUUCACAAACAUGCUUUACUAUACUUUAAAAACCAUAAUAUUAUGAAAAUGGAUUUUGUAUAUUCCACUCACAGCGACGAUGCUUAGACUCGGUUAUUGUCUAUGCCUGCAGACUAAUUCUCGCUUGCGAUUCCUCCUAGAUCAAGGAAACGACAUAAUUACUUUUUGUAAAUCUGAAUUAGGACUAAAUUUAUGCAAUAAACUCAAAACGAACAUCUAUCCAUAAUUUACAACUCUCGCACUGAUAAAAUUACCAAAUUACCCUUGCAUUCGUAAAUUAUUACAAUACUAUGAAAUCGUAAAUUCCUGAAUUAUCCUCGAAAUCAUAAUUACUUACCUAUCCUCAAUUUUAGAAAUUACUAAAACAUCUACGGGGUCGAAAAUUACAAAAUUGCCCUCAAAAUGUAAAAUUACCGGAAUGCCCUCAUGGGUCAAUGACGACCGUAAUUCAAGCGACAGUGAGUGGGAAGGUUGGGUUAGACACUUCUGGCCGACCUAAGUUCAAUGGUACCGGCAGUGAGCUUCACCCGUGGCGACGGCGCCAGAAGCUAGCUCAACAAUUGUGAAACUCCAAUGGCUGAACAACGACAAAUUGACAACUUUUGGUGGCUGUGGAUGGCAGAAAAAUCAAAAGGGACUCGUGGAGAACACAAUUGAGAUGGUGGCAUGGUCUAAUUCUGGCAGAAUCGACAGCGGUAGUGACGGGUUUCGGCUGCAACUUUUCGUUGCCACACACAGUGGCAUUUCGGUCAACAUUUGGCGAUGGUGAUGGCAAGGAAGUGAUGGCCGGCUCAAGAGAUUUAGUUUGCUAACUUUCACAGUUGGUGAGGUGGCCGAAAAUUGAAGAUAUGGAUGGGUUGGUUUCGCAGGAUACGGGUCGGGUUUGACAAUUUCCUCUCCUUCUCACGUGUGAAUAUGCUUCUCCUUCAAAAAAAUUGUUAGGUUUACUUUUUUUUCCUCUUUAACCGCCUUUCUUUUUCCUCCUUUUUUUUAUGUUUUUUCACAUACGUUACACUUUUUUACUAGAAAAUAUACCAUUAACAAUUUUGUUCACUAAUUAAUGGUUAACAAUAACUAGGGAAGCACAAUUUUAACCUUAUGAGUACUUUUGGGUGGUCAUAUUUGUGAAUAUUCUAUGCUGAAUUUGUGUUAUCAAAUGUUGAUGGAGAAACACAAUUUUUUUCUUAGAAAAAAUUAUCUAAACAUUAACACACGUUAUAAGAGAUUUGAACUAAGACCCAAGUCUUAUUAGUUCGUGGGAAAAACAAUGUUAAUGAAGCUAGGUCAUGGUCUCAUAGAGAAAAACAAUUUGUUUAUUAUACAAAUUGAAAGAACCAGCAUGCAUUCUCUUUAUUCGUGGGAUCUAGCUUCUUUAAUUUUGUUCUCAUUCUUUAUUUUGUUAUAUGCUGAGGAUACACAAAAACAAUGUAGGUAGAAUUUGAUUAUUUAUUGUUAUGCUGAGGAUUCACACGCUAUUGCUGAAUUCAAUCCAAUUUAGCGGACAUUUGACAAUUCUCCUUAGGUGAGAUUGGACUUUCUAGUUUCAUGUAUUUGUUUAUCUUCUUCCGAUGUUUUCAGGCAUACCCAUUUGGCAAUAUAUAAAAAUCUGCGAUAUCUUCUAUGAACAUACAAAUAGAUCAUUGGCUUCACUCAUUUGUGAACAUAUUGUAGAUAUUAGAUUUAUUGUUAUGAUAUCUCUAGUGGAAUCCAAAGUUUGAUGUAACGACAAAAGAAGAAUGAGCGGUGAUGGACCAGAGAGGGGAAAAAAUGUUGGGGGUGGGGGUUGGGGGGAGGGGGGUGUUGGGUGGGGUUGUGCAGCAAUGGGAAUGAUAGGGGUGAAAGUUCAGGCUAUUAACAAGCUGUAAAAUGGGGACAUUAGAGAUUGUGAGGUCCUUAAGAUUGCUGACUUGUGCUCAAAAUGGAAUUCUUGACAACUUCAAAUGUUAACCGUUCUUGGUGAAAUUCUGUACUUUCUUUUCUUUCAGAUUCUUGUGCCUAUUGCGAAUGGUUCAGAGGAGAUGGAAGCUGUUAUAAUAAUUGAUAUUCUGCGAUGAGCUAAAGCAAAUGUUGUGGCUGCAUUAAUUGAGGAUAAACUAGAAGUUCCGGCUUCUCGUAGAGUUAAAUUAGUUGCUGGUAUGCUCAUUGAUGAGGCAGCUAAACUUUCGUAUGAUUUAAUUUUCCUGCCAGUAAGUGUGGGGGGGGGGGGGGGGGGGGGGGGUUAUUCUUGCUUCAUAGUCUUUACCGCAUUAUUGACUUAUUAACUACAAUUUAUCUAUGCACAGGGUGGACUUGGUAGUGCUAAGGCAUUUGCAAAGUCAGAUAAAUUCGUAAAUAUGCUGAAGAGCGCAAAAGGAAUCAAAUAGACCUUACGGUGCUAUAUGUGCAUC